Molecule: long non-coding RNA, 259550 nt
Filed under: Hordeum vulgare
Lineage: Eukaryota; Viridiplantae; Streptophyta; Magnoliopsida; Poales; Poaceae
Description: long non-coding RNA (HVUL_LNC003335)
Rfam family: MIR1120/MIR1122 microRNA precursor family (bases 9588-9722)
Source: RNAcentral
CCUUAUCACGGGACUUAUUGUUCCCCACCACAAAAAUGUUUUCCCUCUUCUCUAGAGUCAUCUUUCUCUCUUUGUCGGGUGUUAACCCCGGGGUAGGCUCAACGAGCCUGUUCUUUAUCUCCGACCGAAAAGGAAUGACAAAGAACAAAUUUACAAGGCCCAAGUCCUCUGGCCGGCUAGGCAACACCUACCGGCUAGGGGACGAGACGGCCAACUCUCUGGCUGGCCAGGCAGCACCUGCCGGCUAGAAGCAAGACGGUUACCUCUUCCUGGCCGCCUAGGCCAAGCCAACCGGCUAGGGACGAGACGGCCGUCCCCAAGCCGGCUAGUCAAGCAGAAUAGCCGGCCGGGGAUCUCAAGUAACAUCAAAUCAUAGGUCAUGACGAGACCCUACGAUUAAAGGUGGUUACGCGUCAGCAAAGGUACUGGAUCGGAGUGCACGGCGGGUACCAGCGUGAGCGGCCACGCCGCUGACCUCCCCCGGCUCUGAUCCAUCACCCAACAUAUUGUCGGUUGUCAAACUCCCACUCCAUUACUGCACUCGGCGUGGGAACAGUGGAGGCGGCCAUACCGUCUGCCCAUGACGAAUCUCGCUGGACGACGUCGGACGUGCCACAUGUGUCCUGCGUCAACCUUACGCGAGAGCCUCAUUGGCUAGCCGACGGGGCCCACAGCCAGACGGGACCUCGCAGCCGGCGAGCCCCUCAAGCGACAAGACAAGACCCCCGUGGGCCCCCUGGCCAGCCGACGAAGCUGCCAGUUGGGACCCACUCUUGUAUCCUUUAUCCAUAUUGUAGGCCGGUGGGUUCAUCUGUAAAACCCCAGGCCCUCCUCCAUGCAGAGGGGCGGUCAACUGAUCACACACAUACACACCAACCACAUAGGAGAGGCAGAGACGAGCCGGCUGCUCCCUCUUCCUCCUCUGCAAUACAGCUCCAGGAGCGACCGUGUAAUCCCAUCCAUACAUAUCAUACACUCCGGCAGGACUAGGGGUAUUAUCUUUACGGAGAGCCCUAAACUUGGGUACAUCGUGCGUUGCAUGCUUGUACCAACCUCUCCCCCAAGGCCCUCGUUGACACUUCGGUUCCUACCUUCUUUAGCCUACCCAUGGCUUAUGUUGUGAGUAUUCCCCGACAUUUGACGCCCACCGUGGGGCCGAUCGCGACAUCGGCUGGCUUUACACGCUAGGCGGGGCCCUGCACCUACACCACCGGAUGCAUCGCGUCCGGACCGAUCUGCAUGCCCGUGGAGCCUGCCUUCGAUGAGGCAACACCGAUGAUGAUCGACGUCCCUGUCCCCCAUGCGGAUUCGGACGAGGAGUCUGAUGACAAGGCGCCUCCCAGCAUCGUCGCCGCUGCUAUGGAGAACCUCAGCGUUCUCUUUAGCGACCUGUGCCUCAACGAUGGUCCUCGCUACUUUGGCGAGGACUUCGAUGUCGAGGCGUUAUGCGCCAGCUUCAGUAGGCUCUCUAUCGCUGAGACGCCUACGCACGACGUGUACCCCAGCAACGUACUCGUCUUCGACGGCCCUCCGCCAUCGGUGGGGUUCUUCACCCCAUACCAUGUCGCCACCGUCUCCAACGUCAUGGAGGUGAUGGUCAUCGACGCCGGCACCAGCACGACUCAGGCCAAAGUGUCAGCAGACGCUGCUGAUCCUGCUGCCGUCACUGCUGAAACUCUUCAGGCUGCGCUUACCGGCUUGAAGACGCCCAUCGCCGCCUCCACAAAUCCUAACGACGCGCGAGCUUCGCUGGAGGAGGCUCGCAGGUAGAUCUUGGAGGAGGGCAUCGCCAUCGCUUCGGUGAAACGUCGGAUGGAGGCCACGCAGCGCGAGUAUAACUCUGCAUACGGCCUCACUCCGGUUUCCGAGGCGCCUAGCCGGCUUGGUCCGGUCCGCGGCCGCAGUUGGGUCAUGGCCGAGAUUCUAGGAGGCAAGCAGCCCAUCUACGAGACUCCCGCAGCUAACUUGCGGGCUGCUCAGGCGGCCAUGGCAGAAAUGCCAUGUUUGGAAGGCGAGGAGCGCGCCUUUCAGGAGAAGCGGGUCAAGGAUCUCCUUGACGCCGCCAACGAGCAGCAAACACGGCUUGACCCCGGUCAAGCUCAAUCAGAGUCUCCGGACAUCAGCACGCUAAGGGAUCUUCCUCACAUCGCACUCACGCCCGAAAGGGUGAGGGAAGCAAAGACAGGCGCUCCCAGCGCCAUAGCGAGCAUACUUCGAGCUGGCGUCGUGGAGAGGACGAGAGCGAUUCGGUGUAUGAGGUUCCUCGUCCGGGGAGGACUCAUUCCACCGGUUCGCAAGGUGCCCUUCCGAUUGCGACUCAGAUUGGCGCUUGCGUCCCCCAGGGCGAUAACGAUGCCCGCGGGAGUCUCAACGCCCUGGCCCAGUCAACCCUUCUGGAGGAAGACGGCCCCAUCGGUCCGGCCUGCUUGGGCCCCCGGAUCCGAUGGGAGCCGUUUCCCUGAGGCUUCACCUUGCCUCGGGAUACUCCCGAGUACAACGGCACCGCCAAGCUAGAGGACUGGCUGAUGGACUACACGACCGCCAUUGGCAGUGCCAGGGGCAACAAAUGCGUAGCAGUCCGCUACGUGCCACUCAUGUUGGCCGGCUCGGCUCGGACAUGGCUUAACAACCUUCCAGCCGGUAGCGUCAACUCAUGGAUGGACUUUGAGGAUGCGUUCGUCCGCAACUUCAUUGGCACCUACAAGCGUCCUGGCCGGCCUCGACAGCUAGCCAUGUGCGUCCAGAGGCCCGACGAACCCCUUCGUGACUACCUCACUCGCUGGACAGAGCUUCGCAACUCCUGCUAGGGAGUGCAUGAGGUGCAGGUCAUCUAGUACUUCAUCGAUGGUUGCCGAGACGGCACUCUCCUCAAGCACAGGCUCAUGUGCUCUGAGCCCACCUCUCUGGCGGUGCUCAUGGCCAAGGCAGACAAGUACGCCAUGGCCGAAUUCAAGAUGGGAGUCAAGGUGACCGCCUCGGACAAGGUUUUCCCCACGACGGCUACUCCUAAGCCGGCUAGGGAUAAUCGAGGCGCCCAGAACAAUAACAAGCGCAAGGCGGAUCAACUAGAUUCGCGCUCCAACAACAAGUUGGUAGCCAGCAUGGAGGGUGAGGUGUCGGCUUCUCAAGCCGGCUCCCAACAAAAGCGGCCCAACAAGGGCAACUGGUUGCCCAGGCAGACUUUUGAGGAGAUGCUUGACGCACCCUGCAAAAUACAUUCUGGGGCACAACCUUCUACCCACACCCUUCGACAGUGCAGCUUUGCACGACGGCUGUCGCAAGGGGAGGGCUUGCCGGCUGCCCCAGGUGCACAGUCUGCGGCUCGAGCCCUGGCUCUUGGUCCUGCUCCGGCUCCACCGUCGCCGCCUCGCGACGACGGCCGCCUCCACGAUGACUACCCCCAUCAAGACGGCCACCUCCACGACGACUACCCCCACCAGUGAAGGCGACGACAAGCAUAGCUUGCGCCAGCGACGGCGUGAGGUGAAUGCCAUGGUCCCCCCGGUUCCUCAAUACAUGCACUGGUCUGAAAAGCCCAUCACAUGGAGCCGGGUCGACCAUCCUGCGGUGAUGCCCAACCCGGGUUCAUACGCGCUUAUAUUCGACCCCUCCUUUGCCUCCAAGAGGCUCACCUGCCGGUUCUCCCGGGUGUUGGUCGACAGCGGCAGCAGCAUCAACAUCCUCUACCUCGACACUGUCCUCUAGCUCGGGCUCAGGGAGACGGACGUCUUGCCGACAAGCACUGUCUUCCACGACAUCGUGCCAGGGCAGUCCUGCUCUCCUAUCGGCAAAAUCCAGCCGACGUCCUCUUCGGUGACAAAGCUCACUUCCGCCGCGAGUCCAUAUGGUUCGACGUAGUGGACCUCAGCAGCCCGUAUCACGCGCUGCUGGGCAGACCGGCUCUGGCCAAGUUCAUGUCUAUCCCCCACUACGCCUAUCUGACGAUGAAGAUGCUGGGUCCAAAGGGCAUCAUCACCAUUGCUGGCGACUACAAGAAGUCGCUCGAGUGUGCACAGGACAGCAGCCGCCUGGUCGACGCCACGGUGAUUGCCGAGGAGAGGAGACAGAUUGACCGGCUCGUUGCUCAGGUUACCGAGCAGCCGGUGAUCACUUCCUCCAUCCCGGUCGGCCGGUGAAGGCACCUUCAAGUCGGCUAAAGAAACCAAGCAGGUGCCACUCGACCCUGCAUACCCCAAGCAGUGUGUCAUCGGGGCUGGCCUCAGCCCCAAAUAGGAAGGCGAGCUCGUCGACUUCCUCCGUGAGAAUUGGGACAUCUUUGCAUGGUCCCCUAAGGACAUGCCUGGUGUUCCGAGGAAGUACGCCGAGCACAAACUUCACGUGCGACCGUAUGCUAAGCCGGUAAAUCAACCUUUGCACCGCUUCCCCAAGGGGAAGCGACGCAUAAUUGGAGAAGAGAUUACCCGGCUCCUUGCAGCCGGCUUCAUCAUGCAGGUUUUCCACCCGGACUGGUUAGCCAAUUCAGUCCUGGUGCUAAAGAAAAACAACACAUGGCGAAUGUGUAUCGACUACACAAGCCUGAAUAAGGCAUGCCCAAAAGACCCUUUUGCGUUGCCUCGGAUAGAUCAAGUGAUCGACUCCACUGCAGGCUGUGAAAUGAUGUCAUUUCUGGAUGCUUAUUCACGCUACCAUCAAAUCAAGAUGGAUCCAGCUGAUCGCCUGAAGCCCUCCUUCAUCACGCCCUUCGGGGCCUACUGCUACACCACCAUGACGUUCGGUCUGAGGAACGCUGGUGCGACAUUCCAACGCUGCAUGCAGCAGUGCCUACUGCCACAGAUCGGGAGAAACAUCCACGUCUAUGUGGAUUACAUUGUCUUCAAGACCAAGCAGCACUUCAGCCUCCUCGACGACCUGCGGGAGACCUUCGCCAACCUGCGCGAGUACAAGAUCCGGCUCAACCCGGAGAAAUGCGUCUUUGGGGUUCCAGGCGGCAACCUCUUGGGGUUCUUCGUGUUUUCUCGUGGCAUCGAGGCGAACCCCGAGAAGAUCGGCACCAUUGAACGGAUGGUAAAGCCGGCUCGGAUCCUAGACGUCCAGAAGUUCGUCGGCUGCCUGCCGUCCCUUAGCAGGUUCGUUAGCCGGCUCGGCGAGAAGGCCCUUCCACUCUACCAGCUCAUGAAGAAGACGACGAAGUUCAAGUGGAACGACCAGGCGGAUGAAGCCUUCGCGACCUCAAGCGGGUCAUCUCGAGCCUGCCAAUCUUGGCAGCACCGGCUGAAAGGGAACCCAUACUCAUAUACAUUGCAGCGACCACUUGCGUGGUUAGUGUAUUGCUGGUAGUUGAACGCAAGGAGGAGGGCAAGGUACUGUUAGUGCAAUGCCCUAUCUACUACCUCAGCGAGGUAUUGUCCGCCUCCAAGCAAAACUAUCCCCACUACCAAAAAAUGUGUUAUGGUGUUUACAUUGCUGCAAAGAAGUUGAAGCUAUACUUCCAAGAGCAUGCCAUCACCGUGGUGAGCACUGCUCCACUUUCAGAAAUUAUGGGCAGCCGUGACGCAACUGGUAGGAUUGCCAAGUGGUCCAUCGCCAUGGCGAACCACGAUAUCCACUACGAGCCAUACACUACCACUACUAGGAAAAGGGCUAUAGAUGAUAUAGAUACUAAUGGUGCACCACACAAGCAGUGCGCCACUACUAUAUAGUAGUGGCGCACCAUGUGAGGUGUGCCAUUAGUGUGAUGGACACUAAUGGCGCACCACACACUCGCUGCGCCACUACUAUAUUUUUUUUAUUUUUUUUGCAAAACUAUUAAUGGCGCACCAGCAGUUGGUGCGCCAUUAGUAACCAGGGUUACUAAUGGCGCAUGUGUUAGUACUGCGCCACUACUAUAAAAAAAAUUUGGUUUUUUUUGCAAACUACUAAUGGCGCACCACACCUAGUGCACCAUUAGUAACCAGUGUUACUAAUGGCGCAUCUGUUGGUGGUGCGCCACUACUAAUUAUUUUUUUGCAGAACUACUAAUAGCGCACCAGAGGAGGUGCGCCAUUAGUAACCAGGGUUACUAAUGGCGCANNNNNNNNNNNNNNNNNNNNNNNNNNNNNNNNNNNNNNNNNNNNNNNNNNNNNNNNNNNNNNNNNNNNNNNNNNNNNNNNNNNNNNNNNNNNNNNNNNNNNNNNNNNNNNNNNNNNNNNNNNNNNNNNNNNNNNNNNNNNNNNNNNNNNNNNNNNNNNNNNNNNNNNNNNNNNNNNNNNNNNNNNNNNNNNNNNNNNNNNNNNNNNNNNNNNNNNNNNNNNNNNNNNNNNNNNNNNNNNNNNNNNNNNNNNNNNNNNNNNNNNNNNNNNNNNNNNNNNNNNNNNNNNNNNNNNNNNNNNNNNNNNNNNNNNNNNNNNNNNNNNNNNNNNNNNNNNNNNNNNNNNNNNNNNNNNNNNNNNNNNNNNNNNNNNNNNNNNNNNNNNNNNNNNNNNNNNNNNNNNNNNNNNNNNNNNNNNNNNNNNNNNNNNNNNNNNNNNNNNNNNNNNNNNNNNNNNNNNNNNNNNNNNNNNNNNNNNNNNNNNNNNNNNNNNNNNNNNNNNNNNNNNNNNNNNNNNNNNNNNNNNNNNNNNNNNNNNNNNNNNNNNNNNNNNNNNNNNNNNNNNNNNNNNNNNNNNNNNNNNNNNNNNNNNNNNNNNNNNNNNNNNNNNNNNNNNNNNNNNNNNNNNNNNNNNNNNNNNNNNNNNNNNNNNNNNNNNNNNNNNNNNNNNNNNNNNNNNNNNNNNNNNNNNNNNNNNNNNNNNNNNNNNNNNNNNNNNNNNNNNNNNNNNNNNNNNNNNNNNNNNNNNNNNNNNNNNNNNNNNNNNNNNNNNNNNNNNNNNNNNNNNNNNNNNNNNNNNNNNNNNNNNNNNNNNNNNNNNNNNNNNNNNNNNNNNNNNNNNNNNNNNNNNNNNNNNNNNNNNNNNNNNNNNNNNNNNNNNNNNNNNNNNNNNNNNNNNNNNNNNNNNNNNNNNNNNNNNNNNNNNNNNNNNNNNNNNNNNNNNNNNNNNNNNNNNNNNNNNNNNNNNNNNNNNNNNNNNNNNNNNNNNNNNNNNNNNNNNNNNNNNNNNNNNNNNNNNNNNNNNNNNNNNNNNNNNGCCUCUCUUCUGCCCUCGCCCUCGUCCACGGAGACGCCGCUCCUCCUCGUCAUUGUACCAGGAUAUUCGUUUACCUCGUUCAUUGUACCAGGAUAUUCGUUUACCUAGUAUUCUAUACGAGUAUAAGUUUUAGGCUCUUAAGAGUUGUAUGAAAGUUGGGUUCAGAUUCCAUGGCUUGUUCCUUGCGGUCACCGGAAGUCUGUUGCUUUAUCAUACAUGAUUUUCUCGUUGUUGUGGAAGGCAGGCCUUCAACCCCCCUGCUUGUUCCUGUUUUAUACAUGUAGUAAAGCCUGAUUAUUGAUUCUCUUGUGCUCCCGUAGGUAACGAAGAUAAAUCGAUUCCACAAACAGAUCAAUGGGAACGACAAGGUUUGUGCUUUUACGCAAAACGAACGGAUGGAGUACUUCUAUUGUAGCACCACUAACAAAUUUAUGAAAACAAAUGUGACACGUGACCUUGACCUUCAGUCUAUGUGCAAAUUUGGAAUCACUUUUCACGUGGAACACAAAGCAGGUGAUAUUUUCAUUCUAGUAGGAUGUGCAAUGCUAAACUAUUCUCUAAAUGUGUAGAUGCCCAGUAAUCGGUAGAGCGCACCACCCACCCCAUCCCUCCCCCAGAGCACCAUUGCUAUCCAAAAAAAUAAAAUAUUACUAAUGGCGCACCUCUCUGGGGUGCGCCAUUGCUAUCCAAAAAAAGAUUACUAAUGGCGCACCUCUCUGGGAUGUGCCAUUGGUAUACAAAAAAAAGAUUACUAAUGGCACACCGUCUGGGAUGCGCCAUCGCUAUAAAAAAAUUACUAAUGGCGCACCGCUCGGGGGUGCGCCAUUGCUAACCCUUCCCCCCCACUAAAAUCCCAAUCCCCUUUCUAUCUGCCCCAAUCCAUCUCUCACCCGCCCACUGCCCCGACCCGUAGUGCGCCGCCGCCGCCCCCGCGCCUCCUUCGCCGCCCCCGUGCCCCCGCGCCUCCCAUCUCGCUUCUCAGUUCUCUCCCGACUCCCCAGAUCAGGCAACCUCGCUCCGGUAUAGAAGGACCCCUCCUCCCACGGCCGCCGGGCCCUCGUCCUCCACCCCAUAGCCACCGCGUCCGACCUCCACCGCGCCGCUGCCUCCCUCCCUCAUCGGCAGAGCCCACCCCCUAGUAGUCUUCCACACACCCAUGGACGACGGCGACAGUGACGCGGCUGCCGCCUCCCUCCUGCACGUCUCUUCUGGUGACGGUACCGCACCCACCUACGACGUCUGCUGCACAAAAAGCGCUAUGGAGGCGGGCGGACCCAAGCUGGCCGCGUGGGGUGGAUCCCCAUCCACCCCAUUCUCUCGCCUCGGCGUGUCUCAUGGGGGAACUCAUGGCCCUCGACGGCGGCGAGCGAGGAGGCUCCCGCUGUAGCUCCGAGCACCUUCUCGACAUGCUGCAUGGCCUAGACGGCCAAGGUAAUCCCUUAUUCCUUCCCCCAUCCUGCCAAGUACGUACAUAGCUUGCAGCAAUGUCAUAUGCUGGUGCCUCCUUGGGCAGACUAGCGCCGCAGAUUUGGAUGUUUGCCACAUACAUUUUUUUCAGAGAGAGGAACAGACACUCGUAUCCGGAAUAGAUACCAUAGUAUGUUUGUUUGCAAGAUAUCCGUGGAACUCAAAUAAAACUCUAAGUAUAGGGAUGAAGUCAUCUAGGAAAUACAUCUGAGGACUAUGGUGAAGUUACAAAAUAAAAAAAAUCACUUGCACAUAUCAAACUGACUUCUGAGCAGGAAUUUGGUUGCUCCAUAAAAGCUGCUGUUUUACAAUUUGUUCUUUUUUGAGUUCCACGGAUGCAUAGCUCCCUGAGUUGUUUGGCUGUUUACAUGCAUGUUUAUGGGCUAUUUUGUGCAACUAAAGAAAUUCAUUUAUGGUUGUCAGAUACUCAUGUCCUUUAUUAGCUUGAUGAGGUACACCUUAUGUUGGACUGAAUUCAAAAUAUUACAUAUCUCGGUGAAAAAUUUAUCUAGCAUAUGCAAUGUUAUGUUCUGUGAGCAGUGUCAAGUUAGAAGAAUAAGUUAUGCAUCUGAAAACAAAUCUCUUCUUUUUUUCAUAUUCAAAGAAAAUAAGUUAGUUGUUGAGUGUUUACUUCCCAAGUGACAACUGAGUAAUCACGUUCAGGUACAAUAAAAAAUGGCAAGCCAGAAUGUGCUAGCUAUUUGCCAAUUUGUCAUAACAUGCAUGUAAAGAGAUGGCAGGAGUUUAUGCACAUUUCUUGACUUCAACAUAUGACUAUCCAAAUUCAAUUGGGACCGCUAAGGUUGGCACCUUUCUCUCUCUUCCUUGGAGCUGCAUGAUUCCGUUCGAGUUGCUUAUCUCCACUUCCCCUGAUGCGAUUUCCCUCCUCACGCAGGUUAGGUAGGAGCACAAAGGUAGAUUGAAAAUUACCAUCGAGUCUAUCUCCUACUUCGACUGCAAUGUACUGCUGAGUCCCACUUGCUUUCUUCCCUCUCUUUUCUCUUCUUAUCAGAGCAAAGAUGCAUUUCAGGCGAUGAACUCAACCAUUGCUUUUAUGUUAUACUCCCUCCGUCCCAAAUUAAUUGACUUACAUUCAUCUAGAUACGGAUGUAUCUAACACUAAAACGUGGUUAGUCAUGUUCGUAUGUAGACAAAUCUGAUUCAACUAAUUCUGGACGGAGGGAGUAUUGUUCAGUGAGCUUUUUAUAGAGGUACAAGUUGGUCUUUGUGUUCAGAGGCUUGAUAUGACUGUUAACUCUAUAUUGUUUGGCUGUGUAUAUUUGCAAAUGAAUAUUGAUGCUAAUCACAUAGAGGAAAUAUGCAGGUCAUGGUCUUAAUCACGUGCGAUGGAUUAACAUAUUUCCUUCUUUUUGCUAUGAUUGCAAUGUGGCUGCUAAUGACUCACUAUCUUCAAAAUGCUUUUUAUUGAUCAAUAAAAGUAUUAACAAGCCCUCUUAAACAAUAACAAGCUCUGAUGCUCUGUUUUCAGUGAGAUUGCGAAGAACUUGCCACUUGCACCAGUAAAGCUCCAUUGCACUAUGCCUGCUGAAGAUGCAGUUAAAAUCAAAGAAGGUGAAUCUGGGAGAUAGCCUUGCAGAGACACCUUUGAAAGGUUCGUUUAUUAUUUCAAACUGCUUAAUUUUGUAGAUCAUGCCCCAAAAUAAAUAGGUCUCAACAUUAUUGCUGCUAGUAAUUGAUAGUCUGUCAAUUGGGUUGAGGCAGUUUAUGUUCAUUUUUCUCAUGUAUACUUCUAUUUCUCUGCAAGAUGUAUGAUACCCGUAUUAGCAAAUCUUAAGUGGUGAAGUCGAUUCAUGACCGUAAUGCUUGCAGUCUUGACCCCCCCCGGGUCACUGGUCAUGAUAAGCAUUUCAUAUUGUACAAACAAAAGUUUUGUUUUUCAUUGAGCUUUUUUGUGUCAAGCAAUAUGUGUAACUCCAUCUUAGCUUGCAGAAUACACAAGAACUGUUAGAUUUUAAUGCUUUUUUGUAUUUUUGUCCUAUUGUUGUAUCGACACAGUUUCAGUUCCUUUAGGUACACUUUACUUACCUUAAGCUCUCAACUAUUUGUUUGUUGUGUUGUUGGCUUAAUAAAACUGAUGUAACUCAGUUUCUUGUAUGUACCCAUGAGGAUCGUCAUGGUAUCCACCCGCACCCUCUUGUUGCCUUUCUAUGCGGUGCAUCAGCCUCCUAUAGAUGACCCAAAGCUUGCAGUAGCAUCAUCAUCAUCUCUGUCUCCUUCCUCACGAGCUUCAUGUCGUAGAUGAGGUCGCAACCGAGGUAUGCCCUCCUCUCCUCCCUUCUCCUGCCUAUCAAGUGCUUGUGUGAAAAGCAAUUUUAACCGAAAACCAAUCUCUGUUUGUUGUGAAGUGUAGUACAUAGUGUUAUUUUUCCUGCUGUUAAAUUUUACAGGUUGAGAAAUAUGUAGGUUAACAUCAUUUGGUUGAUAUUUUGCUUCUUGGUCUUUGUAGGAGUUGAUGUGAGAUUCAAUUCAAUUCUCUUUUACAUAUAUGGUCUUGGUAGGAGUUUUAGUUUUGUAGUGUCUUUUAAUUUGAUAUGAUUUCUAUUCUUCAAAAAUAUAAAUCAUGAGAGUAAAACUAAAUCUUCUUGUUGCAGUUUUGCAGUGCUCUUUUAAUUUGAUAUGAUUUCUAUUCUUCAAAAAUUUAACUUUGGAUACUCAUGUGUGUGCUAUUGAACUUAUAGGUUUGCAUCACGGAUGCCGUCGACGGUGGGCAUACAUGUUGUGGCGGAAGCUCAUUGCAUAUUGUAGGUUGAACUCAUGCUUUUGUUUGUUAACUCUUGUUGCAUAUGUACACAUGUUGUGAACCCUCCUUGAAUAUGUAUGUGUGUUUUUGUGAAACUAUGUUGGAUAUGUAUGCAUGUGUGGACUUUGAACUCAUCAUCUGUUUGUUAUUUUUGUGAACUUGUAAUAUAUUGGAUAUGUAUGCAUGACCAUUUCAUUUGUGAAUUCUUGUUGCAUAUGUACGCAUGCUUUUGUGAAACUAUAUUGUUGUUGUGAUCUAUUGGAUAUGUAAUAUAUUGUUGUUGUUGUUGUGAUCUAUUGGAUAUGUAAUAUAUUGUUGUGAUCUAUAUUGUUGUUGUCGUGAUAUAUUGGAUAUGUAAUAUAUUGUUGUUGCCGUUAUGUAUAAAUCGUGUGCCCGUUGGCAGUCGACUUACAUGGGGACAUUCGGCUUAUAUAUAAGCCGAGUGUUUUCACUAUUGCUCUCGGCUUACCCCGAAUAAGCCGGUCCUUAGUAAGGCGUGUGAUAUAAGCCGAGGAAAACACUCGGCUUAUAUGUAAACCGAGUGUAAACCGUUGUAAGGCGAGUGUUUCGGGCACUCGGCUUAUAUGUUUUUUUCCUGUAGUGUGUGAUCUCUAUAUUCUGUGCAAUAAUAUGUUUUGUAACCUGUGCAAAUAUCAGAAAAAAAUAAAAAAAACCUAAUAUUCAUACUAGUGGCGCACCACUCACCACUUUAGUGGCGCACUGCAAAAAGCACACUAGUGGCGCAUCGUCAACUAGUGCGCCAUUAGUAAGCCAGAGUACGUGGGUAAAUAUGGCCCUGGGAGGCAUACUAAUGGCGCAGCAUGAGCUAUACUAAUGGCGCACUGUCUGGUGCGCCAUUAAUAUACCAGAUACUAAUGGCGCACCAUGAGCUAUACUAAUGGCGCACUGCCUAGUGCGCCAUUAGUAUACCAGAUACUAAUGGCGCACCAUGAGCUAUACUAAUGGCGCACUGCCUGGUGCGCCAUUAGUAUACGAGAUACUAAUGGCGCACCAUGAGCUAUACUAAUGGCGCACUGCCUGGUGCGCCAUUAGUAUACCAGAUACUAAUGGUGCACCAUGAGCUAUACUAAUGGCGCACUGCCUGGUGCGCCAUUAGUAUACCAGAUACUAAUGGCGCACUUGUGGUGCGCCAUUAGUAAAAAAAUCUAAUGGUGUGAUGCUAGUGGCGCACCUAUAGUGCACCAUUAGUAGCCAAAAUAGGUGCGCCAUUAGCAAGCCUUUUCCUAGUAGUGUACCAUCAAAUUUCAGGUGGUGGCCGACUUCCUGGUCGACUGGGCUGAAACCCAGUUCGAGCCACCACCUCCACACUCCACGCAUUGGCGGAUGCACUUCGAUGGCUCAAAGAUGCAGACUGGUCUCGGAGCCGGCAUCGUCUUGACGUCUCCGAAAGGAGACCAUCUCAAGUAUGCUCUCCAGAUCCACUUUGCUGCAUCCAACAACGUCGCUGAGUACGAAGCACUCGCUCACGGCCUCCGGCUCGCCAAGGAGAUUGGCAUCCGGCAGCUCAUCUGCUUUGGCGACUCAGACCUCGUGGUGCAGCAAGUUUCUGGCGAAUGGGACGCUAGGGACGCCAACAUGGCAAGCUACCGCUUCCUCAUCCAGCAGAUCCACGGCCCUUUCGAGGGUUGCGACUUCCACCAUGUUCCCAGGGCGUACAACGAGGCGGCCGAUACAUUGGCUAUGAUUGGCUCCAUGAGACAGGCUAUCCCAGCCGGUGUCUCCCUCGAGCAGCUGCACAAGCCGUCUAUCAGGCCGUCUCCAGAGUCGGCAUUAAUUUUCGUGCCGGCUGAUUCUUCGGUGCAAGCGCCGUCGGCUACACCAGCUACGCCGGCUACAGCUCCUCUGCCGGCUACCUGGCUCUGCCGACUCCAAUUGCGGCACCGGCUACAACUACUUCACCGGCUACGACCACUUCGCCGGCUACAACAACAAAUCCGGCUCCGCCCUGCCUCGAUUCUUGUCGUCCCGACACCUAGUGGGUGGACGUCAUGGAGGUAGACGCGCGAGCCGGCUGCCACGACGGCAUCGGAGACACAAUGUCUCGAGCCCAUGACGGCUUCGUCAAGCGCGGGGGUUGUAGAAGCCCCCGACAAUCAGGUUGAGGCGGAGCCAGCCCUUGUGUCGGCUCCAUCAUUGGCUCAACCCAUCCUGGCCUUCCUCCUUCGUGGCGAACUUCCUCAAGAGGAGGCGGAGGCGAGGCAGAUCCAGCGCAGAUCUGCAACCUACACCAUCAUCAAUCGCGAGCUGGUUCAGCGUAGCGUGAUUGGCGUGUUCCAGCACUGCGUCGAAUUAGAAAAAAGGACAUGAGAUCGUCAGAGACAUUCACCAAGGGGAGUGCGGGCAUCAUGCCGCCUCUAGAACCCUGGUGGCCAAGGCAUUCUGCCAUGGAUUCUACUGGCCCACAGCCCUCGAGGAGGCCGUGGACAUGGUCAACAAAUGCGAGGGCUUCCAACGCUUUGGCGCGCAGAGCCAUGAUACGUCUCCAUCGUAUCUAUAUUUUUUGGUUGUUUCAUGUCAAUAUUCUACAACUUUCAUAUACUUUUGGCAACUUUUUAUACUAUUUUUGGGACUAACAUAUUGAUCCAGUGCCGAGUGCCAGUUCCUGUUUGUUGCAUGUUUUUUGUUUCACAGAAUAUCCAUACCAAACGAAGUCCAAACGUAAUAAAAAACCUACAGGGAUUUUUUUGGAAUAUUUAUGAUUUUUGGGAAGAAAAAUCAAUGCGAAACGAUGCCCGAGGGGGUCACGAGCCCACGAGGAGCGCCUGGCAGGCUCGUGACCAACCCCUAUGGCGGUUGGGGCCCUUCUUUUGCCGCAAGAAAGCUAAUAUCCGGAAGAAAAUCGUGUAGAAGGACACCCCAAUGGGAGUUACGGAUCUCCGGGAAUUUAAGAAACGGUGAAAGUCUAGAAUCGGGGAGCGCAUAAACAGAAGGACACAAAGAGAGAUAUCCAAUCUCGGCGGGGCUCUCGCCUCUCCGCCGCCAUGGAGACCAUGGACCAGAGGGGAAACCCUUCUCCCAUCUAGGGAGGAGGUCAAGGAAGUAGAAGAAGAAGGGGGGCUCUCUCUCCCCCUCUCUCCAAGCGGCACCACAAUGCCGCCCGGGACAUCAUCGUGUGACGGCGAUCUACACCAACACCUCCGUCAUCUCCACCAACACCUCCAUCACCUACCUGUUGGGGAACGUCACAUGGGAAACAAAAAAUUUCCUACGCGCACGAAGAUCUAUCAUGGUGAUGUCCAUCUACGAGAGGGGAUGUGUGAUCUACGUACCCUUGUAGACCAUACAGCAGAAGCGUUAGUGAACGCGGUUGAUGUAGUGGAACGUCCUCAUGCCCCUCGAUCAGCCCCGCGAACUAUCCCGCGAUCAGUCCCACGAUCUAGUGCCGAACGGACGGCACCUCCGCGUUCAGCACACGUACAGCUCGACGAUGAUCUCGGCCUUCUUGAUCCAGCAAGAGAGACGGAGAGGUAGAAGAGUUCUCCGGCAGAGUGACGGCGCUCCGGAGGUUGGUGAUGAUCUUGUCUCAGCAGGGCUCCGCCCGAGCUCCGCAGAAACGCGAUCUAGAGGCAAAACCGUGGAGAUAUGUGGUCGGGCUGCCGUGGCAAAGUCGUCUCAAAUCAUCCCUAAAACCUCCAUAUAUAUAGGUGGGAGAGGGGGAGCCAUGCCUUGGGGUCCAAGGACUCCCAAGGGGGUCGGCCAAGCCAAGGGGGGAAGGUCUCCCCCCCCAAACCGAGUCCUACUUGGUUUGGUGGGUGGAGUCCUUCUUUCCUUUCCCACCUCCUCCUUUUUUUUCCUUUCUCUUUAAUUUUUCUUCCAAUGUGCAUAGGGCUCUUUUGGGCUGUCCCACCAGCCCACUAAGGGCUGGUGCGCCACCCUCAAAGCCUAUGGUCUUCCCCGGGGUGGGUUGCCCCCCCCCUGUGAACUCCCGGAACCCAUUCGUCAUUCCCGGUACAUUCCCGGUAACUCCGAAAACCUUCCAGUAAUCAAAUGAGGUCAUCCUAUAUAUCAAUCUUCGUUUCCGGACCAUUCCGGAAACCCUCGUGACGUCCGUGAUCUCAUCCGGGACUCCCAACAACAUUCGGUAACCAACCAUAUAACUCAAAUACGCAAAAAACAACGUCGAACCUUAAGUGUGCAGACCCUGCGGGUUCGAGAACUAUGUAGACAUGACCCGAGAGACUCCUCGGUCAAUAUCCAAUAGCGGGACCUGGAUGCCCAUAUUGGAUCCUACAUAUUCUAUGAAUAUCUUAUUGUUUGAACCUUAGUGCCAAGGAUUCAUAUAAUCCCGUAUGUCAUUCCCUUUGUCCUUCGGUAUGUUACUUGCCCGAGAUUCGAUCGUCAGUAUCCGCAUACCUAUUUCAAUCUCGUUUACUGGCAAGUCUCUUUACUCGUUCCGUAAUACAAGAUCCCGCAACUUACACUAAGUCACAUUGCUUGUAAGGCUUGUGUGUGAUGUUGUAUUACCGAGUGGGCCCCGAGAUACCUCUCCGUAACACGGAGUGACAAAUCCCAGUCUCAAUCCAUACCAAAUCAACUAACACAUUCGGAGAUACCUGUAGAGCAUCUUUAUAGUCACCCAGUUACAUUGCGACGUUUGAUACACACAAAGCAUUCCUCCGGUGUCAGUGAGUUAUAUGAUCUCAUGGUCAUAGGAACAAAUACUUGACACGCAGAAAACAGUAGCAACAAAAUGACACGAUCAACAUGCUACGUCUAUUAGUUUGGGUCUAGUCCAUCACAUGAUUCUCCUAAUGAUGUUAUCCCGUUAUCAAGUAACAAGACUUGCCUAUGGCCAGGAAAGCUUGGCCAUCUUUGAUCAACGAGCUAGUCAACUAGAGGCUUACUAGGGACAGUGUUUUGUCUAUGUAUCCACACAAGUAUUGUGUUUCCAAUCAAUACAAUUAUAGCAUGGAUAAUAAACGAUUAUCAUGAACAAAGAAAUAUAAUAAUAACUAAUUUAUUAUUGCCUCUAGGGCAUAUUUCCAACAGUCUCCCACUUGCACUAGAGUCAAUAAUCUAGUUCACAUCAUCAUGUGAUUCCAACGAAUCCAACACCCAUAUAGUUAUGGGGUCUGAUCACGUCUUGCUCGUGAAAGAGGUUUUAGUCAACGGUUCUGAAAUUUUCAGAUCCGUGUGUUCUUUACAAAUCUUUAUGUCAUCUUAUAGAUGAUGCUACUAUGUGCUAUUCGGAAAUACUCCAAAUAUCUACUCUACUAUACGAAUCCGUUUCACUACUCAUAGUUAUUUGGAUUAGUGUCAAAGCUUACAUCGAUGUAACCCUUUACGACGAACUCUUUAACCACCUCCAUAAUCGAGAAAAAUUCCUUAGUCCAUCAGUUACUAAGGAUAAAUUUUGACCGUUGCUAGUGAUUCAAUCAUGGAUCACUCUCUGUACCUCUCAACAGACUUGCUGCAAGGCACACAUCAGGUGCGGUACUCAGCAUGACAUACUUUAGAGUCUACGGCUAAGGCAUAGAUGACGACCUUCAUCUAUUGUCUUUAUUCCGCCGUGGUCGGGUUUUGAGUCUUACUCAAAUUCACACCUUACAACGCAACCAAGAACUCCUUCUUUGCUGAUCUAUUUUGAACUCCUUCAAAACUUGUCAAGGCAUGCAUCUUGUUGAAACUUCCAUUAAGCGCUUUGAUCUAUCUCCAUAGAUCUUGAUGCUCAACGUUCAAGUAGCUCAAUCCAGGUAUUCCUUUGAAAAGUCCUUUCAAACAACCUUGUAUGCUUUACAGAAAUUCUACAUUACUUCUGAUCCACAAUAUGUCAACCACAUAUACUUAUCAGAAAUUCUAUAGUGCUCCCACUCACUUCUUUGGAAAUACAAGUUUCUCAUAAACCUUGUACAAACCCAAAAUCCUUGAUCAUCUCAUCAAAGUGUAUAUUCCAACUCCGAGAUGCUUGCACGAGUCCUUUUAAGGAUCGCUGGAGCUUGCAUACUUGCUAGUAUUUUUAGGAUCGACAAAACCUCAUGGUUGUAUCUCAUACAAUGCUUGCUCAAGGAAACCGUCGAGGAAACAAUGUUUUGACAUCCUACAUGCAAUAUUUCUUAAAUAAUGCAGUAACUACUAACAUAAUUCUAACAGACUUUUAGCAUCGCUACGAGUGAGAAAGUCUCAUCAUAGUCAACUGUUUGAUCUUGUCGGAAACAUCUUUGCGACAAGUCGAGCUUUUCUUAAUAGUGACUUAUCACUAUCAUCGUCUGUUUUCCUUUUAAAGAUCCAUCCUUACUCAAUAGUCCUACGACCAUCAAGUAGUUCUUCCAAAGUCUACACUUUGUUUUCAUACAUGGAUCCUCUCUCGGAUUACAUGGCUUCCAGCCAUUUGUCGGAAUCUGGGCCCACCAUUGCUUUCUCCAUAACUCGUAGGUUCACUGUUGCUCAACAACAUGACCUCCAAGACAGGGUUACCGUACCACUCUGUAGUAGUACGCGACCUUGUCAACCUACGAGGCUUGUAGUAACUUGAUCCGAUGCUCGAUGAUCACCAUCAUCAGCCUUCACUUCAAUUGGUGUAGGUGCCACAGGAACAACUUCCUGCGCCCUGCUACACACUGGUUGAAGUGAUGGUUCAAUAACCUCAUCAAGUUCUACCACCCUCCCACUCAAUUCUUUCAAGAGAAACCUUUCCUCGAGAAAGGAUCCGUUUCUAGAAACAAACACUUUGCUUUCGGAUCUGAGAUAGGAGAUGUACCCAACUGUUUUGGAUAUCCUAUGAAGAUGCAUUUAUCCGCUUUGGGUUCGAGCUUAUCAGACUGAAACUUUUUCACAUAAGUGUCGAAACCCCAAACUUUCAAGAAACGACAGUUUAGAUUUCUCUAAACCUCAGUCUAUACAGUGUCAUCUCAACGGAAAUACGUGUUGCCCUAUUUAAAGUGAAUGCGGUUGUCUCUAAUGCUUAACCCAUAAACGAUAGUGGUAAUUCGAUAAGAGACAUCAUAGCAUGCACCAUACCAAAUAGUGUGUGGCUAUGACGUUCAGACACAUCAUCACACUAUGAUGUUCUAGGUGGCAUGAACUGCGAAACAAUUUCCACAUUGUCUUAAGUGCGUACCAAAACUCGUAACUCAGAUAUUCAUUUCUAUGAUCAUAUCGUAGACAGUUUAUCCUCUUGUUACGACGAACUUCACUCUGAAACAGAAUUGAACCUUUCAAUAUUUCAGACUUGUGAUUCAUUAAGUAAAUACUCUUGUAUCUACUCAAAUCGUCAUUGAAGUAAGAACAUAAUGAUAUCCACCGCGUGCCUUAGCACCCAUUGGACUGCAUACAUCAAAAUGUAUCACUUCCAACAAGUUACUAUAUUGUUUCAUCUCAAUGAAAACAAGGCCUUGCUCAUGUGGUAUGAUUUGCAUGUCACUAGUGAUUCAAAAUCAAGUGAGUACAAAGAUCCAUCAGCAUGGAGCCUCUUCAUGCAAUUUAUAACAACAUGACUCAAGCGGCAGUGCCACAAGUAAGUGGUUACUAUCAUCAUUACCUCGUGUCUUUUGGCACCAAUAUCAUGAACAUGUGUAACACUACGAUCGCGAUUCAAUAAACCAUUGAAGGUGAUUAUUCAAGAAAAUAGAGUAACUAUUAUUCUCUUUAAAUGAGUAAUCGUAUUGCAAUAAACACGAUCCAAUCAUGUUCAUGCUUAACGCAAGCACCAAAUAACAAUUAUUUAGGUUUAACACCAAUCCCGAUGGUAAAGGGAGCGUGCGCCGUUCGAUCAUAUCAACCUUGGAAACACUUCCAACACGUAUCGUCACCUCGCCUUCAGCUAGUCUCCGUUUAUUCCGUAGCUUUCAUUUCGUGUUACUAAUCACUUAGCAACCGAACCGGUAUCCAAUACCCUCGUGCUACUAGGAGUACUAGUAAAGUACACAUCAACAUCAUGUAUAUCAAAUAUACUUCUUUCGACUUUUGCCAGCCUUUUUAUCUACCAAGUAUCUAGAGUUGCUCCGUCUCAGUGACCGUUCCCCUCAUUAUAGAAGCACUUAGUCUCGGGUUUGGGUUUAAUCUUGGGUCUCUUCAUUAGUGCAGCAACUGUUUUGCCGUUUCACGAAGUAUCCCUUCUAGCCCUUGCCUUUCUUGAAACAUAGUGGUUUUACUAACCAUCAACUAUUGAUGCUCCUUCUUGAUUUCUACUUUCGCAGUGUCAAACAUCGCGAAUCUCUCAAGGAUCAUUGUAUCUAUCCUUGAUAUGUUAUAAUUCAUCACGAAGCUCUCACAGCUUGGUGGCAGUGACUUUGGAGAACCAUCACUAUCUCAUUUGGGAGAUUAACUCCCACUUGAUUCAAGCGAUUGUCGUACUCAGACAAUCUGAGCACACGCUUAACGAUUGAGCUUUUCUCCUUUAAUUUGUGGACAAAGAAUCUUGUCGGAGGUCUCGUACCUCUCAACAAGGGCACGAGCAUGAAAUCACAAUUUCAUCUCUUUAGAACAUCACUUAUGUUCCGUGACGUUUCAAAACAUCUUCGGUGCCUUGCUUCUAAGCCAUUAAGUAUUUUUAACUGAACUAUCGUGUAGUCAUCAGAAACGUGUAUUUCGGAUGUUCACAGCAUCCACAGACGACGCUCGAGGUGCAGCACACCGAGUGGUGCAUUAAGGACAUAAGCCUUCUGCGCAGAAACGAGGACAAUCCUCUUCAAAGUUUGCUACUAUCAACUUUCAACUAAAUUUUCUCUGGGAACAUAUAAAAACAGUAGAUCUAUAGCGCAAGCUACAUCGUAAUUCGCAAAGACCAUUAGCCUAUGUUCUUGACAACUAGUUCAAUUAAUCAUAUUACUUAAGAACUCCCACUCGAAAAGUACAUCUCUCUAGUCAUUUGAGUGGUACAUGAUCCAAAUCCACUAUCUCAAGUCCAAUCAUCACGUGAGUCGAGAAUAGUUUCAAUGGUAAGCAUCUCUAUGCUAAUCAUAUCAACUAUACCAUUCAUGCUCGACCUUUUGGUCUCAUGUGUUCCGAGGCCAUGUCUGCACAUGCUAGGCUCGUCAAGCUUAACCCGAGUGUUCUGCGUGUGCAACUGUUUUGCACCCGUUGUAUGUGAACGUUGAGUCUAUCACACCCGAUCAUCACGUGGUGUCUCGAAAGAAAGAACUCUCACAACGGUGCACAGUCGGGGAGAACACAAUUUCGUCUUGCAAUUUUAGUGAGAGAUCACCUCAUAAUGCUACCGUCGUUCUAAGCAAGAUAAGGUGCAUAAAGGAUUAACAUCACAUUGAAUUCAUAAGUGACAUGAUAUGGACAUCAUCAUGUGCUUCUUAAUCUUCAUCACCAAAGCACCGGCACGAUCUUCUUGUCACCGGCGUCACACCAUGAUCUCCAUCAUCAUGAUCUCCAUCAACGUGUCGCCAUCGGGGUUGUGGUGCUACUCAUGCUAUUACUACUAAAGCUACGUCCUAGCAAUAUAGUAAACGCAUCUGCAACCACAAACGUUAGUUUAAAGACAACCCUAUGGCUCCUGCCGGUUGCCGUACUAUUACAACAUGAUCAUCUCAUACAUCCAAUAUAUCACAUCACAUCGUUGGCCAUAUCACAUCACAAGCAUACCCUGCAAAAACAAGUUAGACGUCCUCUAAUUGUUGUUGCAUGUUUUACGUGGUGACUAUGGGUAUCUAGUAGGAUCGCAUCUUACUUACGCAAACACCACAACGGAGAUAUACGAAUUGCUAUUUAACCUCAUCCAAGGACCUCCUUGGUCAAAUCCGAUUCAACUAAAGUUGGAGAAACUGACACUUGCCAGUCAUCUUUGAGCAACGGGGUUACUCGUAGCGAUGAAACCAGUCUCUCGCAAGCGUACGAGUAAUGUCGGUCCAAGCCGCUUCAAUCCAACAAUACCGCGGAAUCAAGAAUAGACUAAGGAGGGCAGCAAAACGCACAUCACCGCCCACAAAAACUUUUGUGUUCUACUCGAGAAGACAUCUACGCAUGAACCUAGCUCUGAUACCACUGUUGGGGAACGUCGCAUGGGAAACAAAAAUUUUCCUACGCGCACGAAGACCUAUCAUGGUGAUGUCCAUCUACGAGAGGGGAUGUGUGAUCAACGUACCCUUUUAGACCAUACAGCAGAAGCGUUAGUGAACACGGUUGAUGUAGUGGAACGUCCUCACGUCCCUCGAUCUGCCCCGCAUUGUAUCCCGCGAUCAGUCCCACGAUCUAGUGCCGAACGGACGGCACCUCCGUAUUCAGCACACGUACAGCUCGACGAUGAUCUCGGCCUUCUUGAUCCAGCAAGAGAGACAGAGAGGUAGAAGAGUUCUCGGCAGUGUGACGGUGCUCCGGAGGUUGGUGAUGAUCUUGUCUCAGCAGGGCUCCGCCCGAGCUCCGCAGAAACGCGAUCUAGAGGCAAAACCGUGGAGAUAUGUGGUCGGGCUGCCGUGGGAAAGUCAUCUCAAAUCAGCCCUAAAACCUCCGUAUAUAUAGGUGGGAGAGGGGGAGCCUUGCCUUGGGGUCCAAGGACUCCCAAGGGGGUCGGUCGAGCCAAGGGGGGAAGAUCUCCCUCCCCAAACCGAGUCCUACUUGGUUUGGUGGGUGGAGUCCUUCUUUCCUUUCCCACCUCCUCCUUUUUUUUCUUUUCUCUUUGAUUUUUCUUCCAAUGCGCAUAGGGCUCUUUUGGGCUGUCCCACCAGCCCACUAAGUGCUGGUGCGCCACCCUCAAAGCCUAUGGGCUUCCCCGGGGUGGGUUGCCCCCCCCCCCCGGUGAACUCCCGGAACCCAUUCAUCAUUCCCGGUACAUUCCCGGUAACUCCGAAAACCUUCCGGUAAUGAAAUGAGGUCAUCCUGUAUAUCAAUCUUCGUUUCCGGACCAUUUCGAAAACCCUCGUGACGUCCGUGAUUUCAUCCGGGACUCCGAACAACAUUCGGUAACCAACCAUAUAACUCAAAUACGCAUAAAACAACGUCGAACCUUAAGUGUGCAGACCAUGCGGGUUCGAGAACUGUGUAGACAUGUCCCAAGAGACUCCUUGGUCAAUAUCCAAUAGCGGGACCUGGAUGCCCAUAUUGGAUCCUACAUAUUCUACGAAGAUAUUAUCGUUUGAACCUCAGUGCCAAGGAUUCAUAUAAUCCCGUAUGUCAUUCCCUUUGUCCUUCGGUAUGUUACUUGCCCGAGAUUCGAUCGUCAGUAUCCGCAUACCUAUUUGAAUCUCGUUUACCGGCAAGUCUCUUUACUCGUUCCGUAAUACAAGAUCCCGCAACUUACACUAAGUCACAUUGCUUGCAAGGCUUUUGUGUGAUGUUGCAUUACCGAGUGGGCCCCGAGAUACCUCUCCGUCACAUGGAGUGACAAAUCCCAGUCUCGAUCCAUACUGACUCAACUAACACCUUCGGAGAUACCUGUAGAGCAUCUUUAUAGUCACCCAGUUACGUUGCGACGUUUCAUACACACAAAGCAUUCCUCCGGUGUCAGUGAGUUAUAUGAUCUCAUGGUCAUUGGAACAAAUACUUGACACGCAGAAAACAGUAGCAACAAGAUGACACGAUCAACAUGCUACGUCUAUUAGUUUGGGUAUAGUCCAUCACAUGAUUCUCCUAAUGAUGUGAUCCCGUUAUCAAGUAACAACACUUGCCUAUGGCCAGGAAACUUGGCCAUCUUUGAUCAACGAGCUAGUCAACUAGAGGCUUACUAGGGACGGUGUUUUGUCGAUGUAUCCACACAAGUAUUGUGUUUCCAAUCAAUACAAUUAUAGCAUGGAUAAUAAACGAUUAUCAUGAACAAAGAAAUAUAAUAAUAACUAAUUUAUUAUUGCCUCUAGGGCAUAUUUCCAACACUUCCCCCAUCUAUAUUCAGCGGUCCACUCUCCCGCAACCCGCUGUACCCUCUACUUGAACAUGGUGCUUUAUGCUUCAUAUUAUUCUCCAAUGAUGUGUUGCCAUCCUAUGAUGUUUGAGUAGAUUUUCGUUGUCCUAUCGGUGAAUAAUGAAUUGGUUAUGUUGCUGUCCUUUGGUGCCCAUCAUAUGAGCGCGCGCGUGGAUCACACCACAGGGUUAUUAGUAUGUUCAUAGGACUAUGUAUUGGAGGGCAAGGGUGAUAGAAGCUUCAGCCUAGCAUAGAAAUUGAUGCAUACGGGAUUGAAGGGGGACCAAUAUAUCUUAUUGCUAUGGUUGGGUUUUACCUUAAUGAAUGUUAGUAGUUGCGGAUGCUUGCUAAUAGUUCCAAUCAUAAGUGCAUAGAAUUCCAAGUAAGGGAUGACAUGCUAGCAGUGGCCUCUCCCACAUAAAACUUGCUAUCGGUCUAGUAACGUAGUCAAUUGCUUAGGGACAAUUCCGCAACUCCUACCACCACUUAUCCACACUCGUUAAACUAACAUAAUUGUUUCUUUAUCUAAACAGCCCCUAUUUUUUAUUUACGUGUUCUUUAUUAUCUUGCAAAACUAUCCUAUCACACCUACAAAGUACUUCUAGUUUCAUACUUUUUCUAGGUAAAGCGAACGUAAAGUGUGCCUAGAGUUGUAUCGGUGGUUGAUAGAACUUGAGGGAGUAUUUGUCCUACCUUUAGCUACUCGUUAGGUUUGACACUCUUACUUAUCGAGAAAGGCUACAAUUGAUCCCCUAUACUUGUGGAUUAUCCAGACCUUUUUCUGGUGCCGUUGCCGGGGAGCAAUAGCGUGGGGUGAAUAUUCUCCUGUGUGCUUGUUUGCUUUAUCACCAAGUAGAUUUAUUUGCUGCUCUAAGUUGUUCUUUAUCUUUAGUUAUGUAUAUGGAACAUGAAAUACCGGAAAAAUUAGGUGUACUUGCUACUCAUGGAGAUGGGGAACCUCCUAAAACCCUCGAUGCUCGUUAUGUGGAAAAUAUUAUGCACUUCUUUAAUAAUCUUGAGAAAACCCCAUUCAAUUAUAUAAUGGGAUACACGUUGGAUCAACGUGAAUAGUUUAGGGAUUAUCGCUUGACUCAAAAAGGGAAACUAUUAUGGGAUCAAAUUCAUAUGUUGAAAUGGUAUGCUUGGGAUCUAUGCUUGAGAUAUGAUAUUACUUGUUGCUCUAGGAUAAAGGCUAAAGACCUUCCCUUUUCUUGUAAAUUUAAUGCUAAUGAAACCUUGGCUUCUUAUGCUAAUGGUAUAUAUGAUUACUAUGAUGUGUAACAAAUAGAAGAGUUUGUUGCUUUUAUGGGUGCUUAUGAAAUUCAAGCUCUGUUAACAAAGUGUGAUGAUAAUGAUGAUGUUGUUUACCGAUCUAAACUUUGGUUAUGCUUCGUUAUUGUUAUACUAAUUAUGAAUAUAAUGCCCAUAUUUAUCGAUUUAUGGAGAAAUUCUCCGCUGCCCAAGAAGAGAUAAUAUUUUGCACGAAACUAUGGAAGAAGAAAAUGCUGAAACUGUGAGCUCAUUAGAUGAAAAAGAUGACGAGGAGAGCGAAGAACAAAAGGAGGAAGAGCGGACUAGCUACCCGUGCCCACCUUCUAAUGACAGUAAUUCUUCAACUCAUACAUUGUUUAAUUUCCCUUCGUUCUUACCGAAGGAUGAAUGCUAUGUUGAUUGCUAUGAUCCCUUGGAUUCGUUUGAAAUAUCCCUUUUUGAUGAACUUGAUGCUUGCUAUGCUUGUGGCCAUGAUGCCAAUAUGAAUGAUGCUUAUGAAGAUGAACUUGCUAUAAUUCCUGAUGUUAAACAUGAAAUUGUUGCUAUCGCACCCACUUAUGAUAGUCCUAUUAUCUUUUUGAACUCUCCCAACUACACUAUAUCGUAGAAGUUUGCUCUUAUUAGGAUUACAUAGAUGGGUUGCCUUCUACUAUUACACACAAUGAUUUUUAUGAAUACAAUAUGCAUGUGCUUGCUGCUCCUACUUGCAAUUAUUAUGAGAGAGGAACUACAUCUCCACCACUCUAUGUUUCCAAUACGAUAAAAUUGCAAGAAACUGCUUAUGCUAUGUAUUGGCCUUUACUUGAUAUGCAUGAAUUGUUCUUUUAUGACAUGCCAAUGCAUAGGAAGAGAGUUAGAAUUCGUCAUUGUAUCAUAUAUUUUACCUUGUGCUCACUACUAAAUUACAAAUCAUUGUUAAUUAAAAUUGGCUUUGAUAUACCUUGGGAUCUGGGUGGAUCCAUUACUUGAGCACUUUAUGCCUAGCUUAAUCGCUUUAAAGGAAGCGCUGCCUGGGAGACAACCCGAAAGUUUUAGAGAGUCAUUUAUUUCUGUUGAGUUCUUUUAUAUAGUUUAAAAACAAAAAAAAAUAUAGGGGCAAGGGGGGGGGGGGGGAAAACUUUUUCAAAAAGAGAAGCGAUUGAAAGGUGAUGCAUUGCGGAAGUGAGGGUCGACCUUGAAUACUUGUGUUCAUGCUCAUGGAAACAAUGUAGAAUUUUUCAUGGAAGUUUCUCGCAAAAAUAAUUAUCCCCUUGUACAAUUCCAUUGUAUUAUAAAAAUAAUGUGCCAAGUAAAGCCUUUACGAUUAGUUUGGGUGAUAGUUGUUUGAUCAUGCUGAAAAAGACAGAAACUUUGCACUCACGAAAUCAUUUCUUAUUUAUAUACAGAGAGCGCUAUUGAGUCGAUUCUUUUUUGUUCUUAUUGAUAUACAAAUUUCCUUAGUUAUCAUAAAUUUUUCAGAAUUUUUGGAGUAUCAGAAGCAUGGUAUGUGUUUAGAUUACUACAGAUUGUUCUGUUUUUUGACAGAUUAUGUUUUCUAUGCAUUGUUCUCUUAUUUUGAUGAAUCUAUGGGUAGUAUCUGGGGGUAUGAACCAUGGUGAAGUUGGAUUAUAGUAGAUAUAAUGCUAAUAUGAAUUUGGAAUGAGUUCACAACAGUACUUAAAGUGGUGAUUUACUUUAUUAUACUAACAGAUCUCACGAAGGUUUUGUUGAGUUUUGUGUGAUUGAAGUUUUCAAGUUUUGGGUGAGACCACGAUGGAUGAAGGAAUAAGGAGAGGCAAGAGCCUAAGCUUGGGGAUGCCCGAGGCACCCCAAGGUAAUAUUCAAGGAAGACUCAAGCGUCUAAGCUUGGGGAUGCCCCGGAAGGCAUCCCCUCUUUCGUCUACAAUCUAUCGGUAAUUUUACUCGGAGCUAAAUUUUUAUUCGCCACAUGAUAUGUGCGAAUGCUUGGAGCGCCUUUGGUGUUUAUUUUNUUUUCCUUUUUAUUUUAUGCACCAUGCUGGUAUGAGAUAGUCCUUGGUUGAUUUAUAGAAUGCUCUUUGCACUUCACUUAUAUCUUUUGAGUAUGGCUUUAUAGAAUGCUUCAUGUGCUUCAUUUAUAUCAUUUGAAGUUUGGAUUGCCUGUUUCCCUACACAUAGAAAACCUCCAUUUGUAGAAUGCUAUUUUGCUUCACUUAUAUUUGUUAGAUCAGGGCAUAUCUUUUGUAGAAAGAAUUAAACUCUCAUGCUUCACUUAUACCUAUUUAGAGAGUUAACAGGAGUUGGUCAUUCACAUGGUUAGUCAUAAAAUCCUACAUAAAACUUGUAGAUCACUAAAUAUGAUAUGUUUGAUUCCUUGCAAUAGUUUUGCGACAUGAAGAUGUGAUAUUAGAGUCAUGCUAGUGAGUAAUUGUGUAUUCAUAGAAAUACUUGUGUUAGGGUUUGUGAUUCCCGUAGCAUGCACGUAUGGUUAACCGUUAUGUGACGAGGUCGGAGCAUGCUUUAUUUAUUGAUUGUCAUCCUUUGUGUGGAGGUCGGGAUCAUGCGAUGGUUAACUCCUACCAACCCUUCCCCUAGGAGCAUGCGUGUAGUACCUUGUUUUGAUUACUAAUAGACUUUUGUAAUAAGUAUGUGAGUUCUUUAUGACUAAUGUUGAGUCCAUGGAUUAUACGCACUCUCACCCUUCCACCAUUGCUAGCCUCUCUAGUACCGCGCAACUUUCGCCGGUGCAUUACACCCACCAUAUAACCUUCCUCAAAACAGCCACCAUAACUAAUUAUUAUGGCAUUUCCAUAGCCAUUCCAGGAUAUAUUGCCAUGCAACUUCCAUCGUUCCGUUUAUUAUGACACGCACCAUCAUUGUCAUAUUGCUUUGCAUGAUCGUAAGAUAGCUAGCAUGAUGUUUUCAUGGCUUGUUCAUUUUUUGAUGUCAUUGCUACACUAGAUCAUUGCACAUCCCGGUGCACCGCCGGAGGCAUUCAUAUAGAGUCAUAUUUUGUUCUAAAUAUCGAGUUGUAAGUAAAUAAAAGUGUGAUGCUCAUCAUUAUUAGAGCAUUGUCCCAUGUGAGGAAGUAAUAAAAGAGGCCAAUGAAGCCCAAAUAAAAAAAAAGGCCAAACAAGCCCACCAAAAAAAGGAAGAAUAAUAAAAAAAAAUGAGAGAAAAAAGAGAAGGGACAAUGCUACUAUCCAUUACCACACUUGUUCUUCAAAGGAGCACCAUGAUCUUCAUGAUAGAGAGUCUCCUAUGUUUUCACUUUCAUAUACUAGUGGGAAAUUUUCAUUAUAGAACUUGGCUUAUGUAUUCCAGUGAUGGGCUUCCCCAAAUUGCCCUAGGUCUUUGUGAGCAAGCGAGUUGGAUGCAUACUCACUAGUUUCUUUUUGAGCUUUCAUACACUUAUAGCUCUUGUGCAUCUGUUGCAUGGCAAUCCCUACUCACUCACAUUGAUAUCUAUUGAUGGGCAUCUCCAUAGCCCGUUGAUACGCCUAGUUGAUGUGAGACUAUCUCCUCCUUUUUGGGGGGGGGGGCCAUAUUCUAUUCCACCUAUAGUGCUAUGUCCAUGGCUCACGCUCAUGUAUUGCGUAAAAGUUGAAAAAGUUUGAGAACACUAAAGUAUGAAACAAUUGCUUGGCUAAAAACGGGGUUGUGCAUGAUUUAAAUACGUUGUGUGGGGAAGAUGGAGCAUAGCCAGACUAUAUGAUUUUGUAGGGAUUACUUUCUUUGGCAAUGAUAUUUUGAUAAGUCAUGAUUGCUUUGUUAGUAUGCUUGAAAUAAUAUUGACUUUAUGUCAAAGGCUAGACUAUUGCUUCCAAUCACUCGUGUUUUAGUAUACAUGCCAUGACUAGAUAUAUGAUCAAGAUUAUGCUAGGUAGCAUUCCACAUCAAAAAUUAUCUUUUUUAUCAUUUACCUACUCGAGGACGAGCAGGAAUUAAGCUUGGUGAUGCUGAUACGUCUCCAUCGUAUCUAUAUUUUUUGAUUGUUUCAUGCCAAUAUUCUACAACUUUGAUAUACUUUUCGCGACUUUUUAUACUAUUUUUGGGACUAACAUAUUGAUCUAGUGCCCAGUGCCAGUUCGUGUUUGUUGCAUGUCUUUUGUUUCACAUAAUAUCCAUACCAAACGAAGUCCAAAUGCAAUAAAAAAACAUACGGGGACUUUUGUUGGAAUAUUUAUGAUUUUUGGGAAGAAAAAUCAACGUGAAAUGAUGCCCGAGGUGGUCAUGAGCCCACGAGGCGCGCGCUACCCCCCAGGCGCACCUGGCAGGAUCGUGACCAACCCUAAUGUGGUUGGGCCCUUCUUUCGCACCAAGAAAGCUAAUAUCCGGAAGAAAAUCUUGUUAAAAGGACACCUCAAUCGGAGUUACGGAUCUCUGGGAAUUUAAGAAACGGUGAAAGGCCAGAAUCGGGGAGCGCAGAAACAGAAGGACACAGAGAGAAAUCCAAUCUCGGAGGGGCUCUCGCCUCUCCGCUACCAUGGAGAUUAUGGACCAGAGGGGACCCUUCUUCCAUCUAGGGAGGAGGUAUAGGAGGGGGGGGGGGGGGGCUCUCUCCCCCUCUCUCCCGGCGGCGCCGGAACGCCGCCCGGGACAUCAUUGUGUGAUGGCGAUCUACACCAACACCUCCGUCAUCUUCACCAACACCUCCAUCACCUUCUGUUGGGGAUAUUAUCUGCGGUGUGACCCGCCCUAAUUGGGCCGGGUCACCAAGUGGGCGACUCAUCCUUUGGCGAUUCAAGCUUUGGCCCAGUAGGCCCAGGAGCUGGAUGGCGGUUCAAGAUCCACGUGGAGAAUCAAUUAUCGGGGAGUUCUCCAGUCUUGGAAAGCACGACAAUUUAGAGAUAGAAAGAAUCAUGACUUGUGCUAUGGCAAGGACUCUUGUAAACCCUAAGGGCUCGACCUGUAUAUAUAGGCGAGUCCCUAGAAAGGAGAGGACCUGUUAGAAAUCAUCGAGAGCUAGGUCAGGUGAGUUACGCCCUCCUUGUAAUCGAAACAUCAUCAAUACGACACAAAGCAUGACGUAGGCUUUUACCUCUUCAUGAGGGGCCGAACCUGGGUACAUCUGAGUCCCGCUCCCAUUCAACCCCUUUGAGUCGCCACCAAGGUGAGAUGGCUCCAUCAUUAAGUCCUUUCACUAGGACAUCUGCCAUGACAAAACCACGACAGUAGGCGCCCACCGUGGGGCUAACGCACGGUGGAGUUGAGUUCUCAAAGGGAUCCCUACCAGGGUUAGGGAACUACGCGGAUGGGCUCAUGACCCGGAGCCACCGCGAAAAGUACUACACCGACAACUCGCUGUGGGGGCCCGAGGCCGAUUUAAUCGAAUCCGGCUACAGAGUCCCCUUCGGCAAGGUCAACAUCUUCAUCGGCAUGGUCGGUGCACCCAUGCCUGAGUCGGACAUCUUCACCGACACCGUCGAGACGGCCAGGUAUGUCCGUCCCGUCGCGCUGCCAAGCCUGACGCUCCCAGUCUUCGUCGUCUUCACACAGGGAUCUGAUGAACAAGAGCGAUCGGCAACUCAGGAGACUACGCCGGUCAACACUGACGACGAGUCAUCCAUGGGCGACACAGAUUCAAUCCAAUCCCUGCACGAAGGCUGCCUUGGAGAUCUGUCGCUGGCAAUGGAUCCCGAAGUCCUCGAUCGGACCCGCCGUCAGAUUGCCAUAUAAAUGGCGGGGGCCACACAUUCCCAACAAAACCCUGCAGGCAACAACAAGGCUGGCGAACCAUCCAAAAGCCCAACUGUGGUCCUGGUGGACCUGUCGGCGGAGAUAACGAGUCUUAUGGUGACCCCUGUGACGACAGAAAAUCAAGGAACAAUAAAUGCCGAGUUGGCAAAGCUGCGAGAUGAGAUGGCGAAGGCCCAACGAGAUGCAGAAGCGGAAGCCGCCAGGAUUGAGACUCGGCAAGCCCAGAUCACCAUGGAGACGACCCGCUUGAACACCGAGAACUGGCGACUUGAAAGACAUCAGCGCGCGUCCGGCACUGUCCAUCAGAGGAGGCACCAGGGGCGUUUACACCCUGAUCUGAACCCUACCCGCCUUUUCGACACUCCACGCACCCCCGGGGCAGGAACCGUUCCAGGGGAGGGCCGGCUCAGCCGCCAAACCCGCCGACUCAGCCAUCAGAUGAUCGCGUUCCUCGUUUCCAGACGCCUGAGGGCCACUUUCCAACCGCAUGGACAACGUGCUCGCUGCGACUCGCCACUUAGAAUCCCUUCCGAUUUAUGGCAACACCCCGGCUGAAAUAGAAGCAAGAAACACCAUUGAGAUGUGGAAAACGGCGGUGGUCUAGAACGCGCAAUUCUUUAACAGCCUUGACCGGCUGCACUCCACCCCCCAGGCGAGCCGCACCAGAAGCCGGCCAGAGGACUAACCCGCCAUAACCAGCGGACCGCGACACCUACCUCAGGGUAACCCGCCUGACCAUCGGGACCGUCCCGCCCGCAACACCUUUGGUGCAACAGGCCAGGAUCAUCAGGGCAACAUCCAACCCCACCCAGCACCACUUAGUGGAGGCGACAGGCAAGUCGGGGUGCCGUGCUUGGCCCUUUCCUGCGCAACGAGCGAAUGCCAAAGGACUUUAAAGGACCAAGGAAGGUGCCCAACUACACCCCGGACCUUGAGCCAGCAUCAUGGGCUGAGAGUUACGGACUCGCAAUGGACAUGCUCGACAUGAGUGAAGCAGUCUGUGCCAGGUACUUUACAAUGAUGCUCGAAAGAACGACGCACACUUGGUUGAAAAACCUUCCACCCAACUCCAUCCAGACAUGGGUUGAACUGAAGGAACGUUUCAUCAAAAACUUUCGAGGAACAUGCAAACGCCCAAUGACGAUCGUCGACUUACAGCAUUGCGUUCAGCGCCCGAUGAGUCGGCCCACCACUGGACGCGGCGGGUUGCGGAAACCAUCCACUCGUCAGACGGCAUCACGGCGGCUCAAGCCAUGCUGAUCCUGGAGCAAAACUGCCACUAUGAUCCCUUGGUACAGAAGCUGGGGCGACUCAAGCGCAAGGUCCAGGAUAUGGGCGAAUUAAUGGACACCCUCACUCGGUAUGCCGAAGCAGACGAUACCAAAAAUCCAGGAGAGGGCAGCAGCAAGGCCAACUCGCCGAGGAAAGGCGAGUCAUCCAAGAAUCACUCCCGGUUUCAGGGACGCGCCCACCACAAUCAUGGUGGAAAUGGCAAGAGAAGGCAGCAGGAAGGAUCCACAGACUUCGUGGCCAACACCAAUGCUAUCAAUGGCAACCAGCGCCAGAAGAAGAGGGGUUACAGUGGCAAGAAGCCGCGCAACUAUAACGAGAUAAUUAAGGGCCCCUGCCCACAUCACGCCACGGCGGAAGGACCGACGACCCACUCUUGGGAAGAAUUUCGAGCGGAGACACUCAAGAGAGGCCAAACUGGUGACCAGAGCCAACGGCAGGAACAGUUUGGUGCGCCUAAUCAAUGCCAGAACCCGUUCGGCGGUUUUCCCGAACCAGGGGCCUAGGGCAGCUCGCAACCAAGCAGUGGCCAGUACCCUGUGCAUAACCAGCAACGGUAUAACCCGCCCGGAGCAUUCCAACAACCACCCCCACAGGGGGCUCCCCAGGGGCAAGAUGAUAAUGGCGGAUUCCGCAGCAAUCCCAAACAAUUAAACAUCGGACAAUACCAGGUGUUCACCACUAGUGCAUGUAAGCGAGACAAGAAGGUGAAGCACAAGACGUAUAGCGUGUCCGAGCCGACACUCCCUAGGUACCUCCAUUGGUCUGAGCAGACUAUCUCCUGGAGUAGGGAGGACCACCCGCCCAGAAUCGACAACCCCGGCGACUUGGCAUUGGUCGUGGCCCCCCAAGUCGGGGGAUAUACCCUUUCAAAGGUUCUUAUGGAUGGUGGUAGUAGCAUCAACAUAUUAUAUUUCGACACCUUUCGAAGGAUGAACCUCUUGGAAAAGACCUAAUGCCGUCAACCACGGUAAUCCAUGGUAUCGUUCCGGGUAAGUCAGCAUAUCCAAUUGGGCGGGUCAAACUUAAUGUGGCUUUUGGUAUAGCAUCCAAUCAGAGGAGUCAGUCUCUUAUAUUUGAGGUGGUCAAGCUAAAGAGCCCUUACCAUGCGUUGUUCGGGCGGCCGGCUUACGCCCGAUUCAUGGCUCGCCCCUGCUAUGUCUACCUUAAACUCAAGAUGCCUGCCCCUAAGGGACCCAUCCCGGUCGAUGGUGACAGGAGGAUAGCAAAGGAGUGUGAGGAAGGAGAUGCAGCUUACGCAGAAAUCGCCUGUGCUGCAGAAGAACUCAAGUAUCACCAAGCCAAUGUUAACCCGGAGGACAUGUCGCCCCUCAAGAAGCCAACAACUGAUGCCGAGCCGCUCCUCAAGUUUAAGCCAACGGAUGACACUAAGAUGGUGGACUUUACUCCUGGCGAUUCAUCCAAGCAGUACACUAUCGGGGCGAGUCUGGAUCCUAAAAAGGAAAGCGCACUCAUCGAAUUCAUCCGUGAGACUCGGGACAUCUUCGCAUGGAAACCUUCUGACAUGCCUGCUGUACGAAGAGAAUUCGCUGAGCACCAUCUUAAUGUUGACCCUAAAGCAAAGCCGAUUCAGCAAUAUCUUCGUAGGUUUAAUGAGGAGCGACGCAAGGCGAUCGGAGAAGAAGUCGUCCGUCUUUUGGCCGCCAGAUUUAUCGUUGAGGUCUUCCACCCUAAAUGGUUGGCUAACCCGGUCCUGGUGCUCAAGAAGAACAAGACUUUCUGCAUGUGCAUCGACUACAGCGACCUCAACAGAGCUUGCCCAAAAGAUCCAUUCGCCCUUCCUCGCAUUGAUCAAAUCAUUGAUUCGGUUGCGGGCUACGACCGUUUGUGUUUCUUGGACGCCUACUCCGGAUAUCACCAAAUCAAGAUGGCUGUGGAAGAUCAGGAGAAGACAGCUUUCAUAACCCCGUUUGGGGCGUUUUGCUAUGUAUCCAUGCCGUUUGGGCUCAAGAGCGUUGGGGCGACUUACCAGCGUUGUAUCCAAAACUGUCUCCGCGGCCAAAUCGGACGCAACGUCCACGCUUACGUUGAUGACAUCAUGGUUACAUCUCGCAAGAAGGAGACGCUCUUGGAGGAUCUCAAGGAAACCUUUGACAAUCUGCGGGUGCAUUAGAUGAAGCUUAAUCCCACCAAAUGUGUCUUUGGCGUCCCCGUAGGAAAGCUUUUGGGUUUUCUGGUGUCCGAACACGGCAUUGAAGCCAACCCGGACAAAAUCGAAGCAAUCACUUCGCACGGGAAACCAACGAAUAUUAAUCAAGUUCAACGCAUGGCGGGUCGUAUGGCGGCCUUGAGUCGCUUUAUAAGCCGCCUGGGGGAGAAAGCCAUUCCCCUCUAUCAGUUGCUUAAGAAAACUGAUCGUUUUGAUUGGACAGACGAGGCCAACGAAGCUUUCGAAACUCUAAAGCAGCAGCUGGUCAACUCGUCGGUUCUGGCCGCCCCGACUAAAAAGGAACCUAUGCUUUUAUACAUCGCGGCGAAUACCAAGGCGGUGAGCGUGGCGGUGGUUGUUGAACGGAAGGAAGAAGGAAAGGAAUACCCGGUACAGUGCCCGGUUUAUUUUGUCAGCGAGGUGCUAACCCUCUCCAAACAACGUUAUCCGCAUUGGCAGAAGUUGGUUUAUGGGGUCUUUAAGGCAAGUCAGAAGCUAAAACAUUAUUUCCAAGAACAUCCUAUCACGGUGGUUAGCUCCGCCCCUCUCGGGGACAUCAUCCAUAACCGAGAAGCAAUGGGGCGAAUCGCCAAAUGGGCGAUUGAGCUUGGGCCGCACCACGUGCGGUAUGCGCCUCGCACAGCUAUCAAGUCCUAGGCGUUGGUCGACUUCAUCAAUGAUUGGACCGAGUUGCAGAUUCUGGAAGACAGGCCUGUUCUCAUGUACUGGACUAUUUAUUUUGAUGGGUCUAGGCAAUUGGAAGACUCGGGGGCUGGCGUGGUGUUGAUUUCACCCCAGCGAGACAAGUUAUGUUAUGUUCUCCGACUCAUGUUCCCGUUUACCAAUAACGAUGUGGAGUAUGAAGCCAUGCUUCAUGGUUUGCGACUCGGGAAGGAGAUGAACCUCACACGCGUUAGAUGUUUUGGCGAUUCCGAUCUAGUGGCCCAACAAGCUUCACGUACAUGGGAUUCCCGGGACCCCCUAAUGGCGGCUUACAGAAGGGCUGUGUCUGAUGUGGCGGGUCAUUUCCAUGGUUAUCAAGUCGAUCAUAUCGACCGGUGACUUAACGAAGCAGCUGAUGCCCUCUCGCGUCUCGGCUCAAAACGUAAGCUGGUUCCUCCUAAUGUCUUUCUGGAUAUUCUGCAUAAUCCUUCCGUAAGAUUGCCCUCAGAACAAGAGUUGGCGAUACCAGAUCCUGAGUCCCAGUUUGUGGCGGCUCUCCGUGUUACGCCGGAUUGGUUUGUUCCUUACUUGGUGUACCUCACACGAGGCGAGUUACCUUCAGAUGAGGUAUUGGCCCGUCAAAUCGUUCGACGGAGUAAAUCCAUGGUCAUCAUCAACGGUGAGUUAUAUAAGCGAAGUACUUCUGGACGAAAUCCAUGCCGGAGAUUGCGGCCAUCAUGUCGGGUCACGUUCCUUGGUUUCCAAGGCGUUCCGACAUGGAUUUUUUUGGUUGACGGCUCAUGCGGAUGCAGAAGAGAUAGUUCGUCGAUGUGAUGCCUGUCAACGAUUUGGACAACACGCACAUGUGCCGACUCAAGAACUAAGGAUGAUCCCUAUCACUUGGCCUUUCGCGGUUUUGGGGUUAGAUAUGGUUGGCCCUUUUAAGAUGUAAUCCAAUAAAAAACUCAUCUACUGGUGGCGGUUGAUAAAUUCACCAAGUCGGUCGAAGCAGAGCUUGUUGGCAGCUGUGAUGCAGAAACGACCAUCAAAUUCUUGAAAAAGUUGAUAUUCCGGUUUGGAUACUGCUUAGCAGUCCUCGGCAACGACACCAGAAGAAUGUUGUUGACGAGUCCUUGACUUGAUGCCUUCGCGACAACAAAGCCAGAACUUCUCCCAGUUGCUCAACAAUUAGCAAUUGUCUUGCAAUGGCCCCCCAGCGCGUGGGUUCGCGGCAGUUUUCGAGGAUAGAGUAUUGGACCCAAAUUUGUUGCUACGCCAGUCAGGAGGUGAGAGAAUACUCUCGAGUAUUAGCAGCUGAAUGUGUCAGAUUCAACCACACCUGAAAGAUUAGUAUCUGCAAGCAAAUUAUCAGCAGCAAAGUAGUAUGAUAACAAUGGUGUCAGAAACGACAUGUUGACACGGCGGACUAUUUCUAACGGUCGUAUCAAUGGCGCCAAAAGUUGCCCGUUGACGGAAAUUGUAUUUUCCCGUCAACGCUGAGCAAACCAGAAUUGUAGCAGAUAGCAGCAGUGUAACGAGUAACAGCAGUAGCAAGGAACAACAGUAGUGACAGUGGUAGCAAGUAGCAACAGUAGCAAGUAGCAGCAGUAGCAAGCGACAGUAGUAACAGCAGCAGUGCAGAGCAAGUAACAACAGUAACAACAGUGGGACAAACUCGUAGGCAAUGAGUCGGUGAUUCAUUUGGAUGAUAUUCAUCAUGCAACAGUUAUAACACGGAGAGAUAUGUGGCUAGCUCCCGUUCGUCAAUGUGAUGUAGGCAUGCAUUCCGUGUGUAGUCAUACGUGCUUAGGGAAAAGAACUUGCAUGACAUUUAUUGUCCAUCCCUCCCAUGGCAGCGGGGUCCAAAAGGAUACUACGGGAUAUUAAGGUUCUCUUUUUAAUAAAGAACCAGAACAACGCAUUAGCACUUGGUGAACACAUGAACUCCUCAAACUAUGGUCAUCACCGGGAGUGGUUCUGGUUAUUGUCACUCCGGGGUUGCCGGGUCAUAACACAUAGUAGGUAACUACAACUUGCAAGAUCGGAUCUAAAACACACAUAUAUUGGUGACAACAUAAUAAUUUCAGAUCUGAAAUCAUGGCACUCGGGCCCUAGUGACAAGCAUUAAGCAUGGCAAAGUAGUAGCAACAUCAAUCUCAGAACAUAGUGGAUACUAGUGAUCAAUCCCCAUCAAAACUAACUCGAUUACAUGAUAGAUCUCAUCCUGCUCAUCAACGCCCAGCGAGCCUAUGAAUAGAUUACUCACGAACGAUGAAGAGCUUCAUGGAAUUGGAGAGGGAAGAAGGUUGAUGAUGACGAUGGCGACGAUUUCCCCUCUUCGGAGCCCAAAACGGACUCCAGAUCUGCCCUCCAGAUGAAGAACAGGAUGUGGCGGCGCCUCCGUUUCGCAAACGCGUCGAAAUCUUCUCCAAAACGGACUUCUGAUGUGGGGGCGGCAGAGGCACGUGGGCCCCACAAGCUUGGUUGUCGCGGCCAGGGGGUGGCCGCGGCAACACGGCUUGUGGCCCACUGGCCCAUCCCCUCCGGUGGAUCUUUGCGCAGGUAUUUUUCAUAUUUUCCAGGAAAAUUCUCCGUAAAUUUUCAAGACGUUCCAAGAACUUUCAUUUCUGCACAAAAACAACACCAUGGCAAUUCUGCUGAAAACAACGUCAGUCCGGGUUAGUUCCAUUCAAAUCAUGCAAAUUAGAGUCCAAAACAAGGGCAAAAUAGUUUGGAAAAGUAGAUACGAUGGAGACGUAUCAGAUACCCACACAGCAUUAUCACUCAUAAUGGUACCAAUUUAUCACAAGGGGCGAUGCAGGAGUUUUGCAACCGGAAGCACAUCCGGCUUGAUGUGUCUGCAGCCGCUCAUCCCCAAUCUAAUGCGUAGGCAGAACGGGCGAAUCAGGAAGUACUACGAGGAAUCAAGCCCCGACUUAUGGUUGUGCGCACCCCAGGGUGUUGUAUUGAGGAGUUGCCUCGGUAUUAUGGAUCAUUCGAACCAUCACGAAUCGUUCUACGGGUUUUACUCCUUUCUUCCUGGUGUACGAAGCAGAAGUCGUUCUUCCCAGUGACAUUAGGCAUGACUCGCCCAGAGUCGCCGCUUAUGUGGAACAGGAUAAUGAGUUGGCACGUCAGGAUUCUUUGGAUGCUUUGGAGGAAGCACGCGAUUUGGCUGCGUCCCGAUCGGCUAUCUAUCAGCAAGAUUUGCGGCGUUAUCAUAGCCGCCGGGUCAAGAGCCGAGCUUUUCAGGAGGGCGACUUAGUGCUCCGUUUGAUCCAAGAACGCACUCGCAUGCAUAAGUUGUCACCACCAUGGGAAGGACCGUUUGUCGUCAGCAAAAACCUUCGCAACGAGUCAUACUAUUUGGUCGAUCUUCGGCCUGAUCGGCCAACCACGGAGGCUGAGUCAACUCGCCCCUGGAACAUAGCCCAUCUGCGGCCUUACUACACUUGAGCUAUUGGCUCCCCUUUUUCCUUUCUCUCCCAUCUUUGAAGAUUGUAAUUCUCUCAUUUAUAUAAAGAAAUAAACUUGAUACCCACGAAUUUUGGGUUUUUCCUGCCACUUCAUCUUCUUGAAAGCAUGGAUCUUUAUUGUUCUUCGACAAGUCGCCCAAACAUGGACGCUAUGAAUACCAGAGAGCAUAAGUUGCCAUGUUGCACUUAUUACAACACUGGGUAUCGAUAAGCCAAAGAGGAUCAAGUCGCUACACGCGCACGAUUCAAACAUGGGCGCCUUAUAUGAUUCUGAGGAUUAGGCCGGCUUACUUGGGGGCUAUCGGCCCCCAAGUCGUUUUGUGGUAAGAGCGUAUACGCUUCUACAAUCCAAUGACCGGUCUUUCCCCUAAUCAUAGGUCACUUGGGGGCUUCCUCUCACUGAGAUAAGCCUAAUUACCCAUUUGGCUAGCAAAAAUUACCGCACUACAAAUGGUUAUACUGGACUGUGUGUUGGCCAAAUCGCCAUAUGGACCCAUGAACUCUUGGCGAGUCAAUCCACUAUUUGGACCCUCAACUCACCUUGGUUAAAAUAUGCAUUGUACCGGCUAGCGCCCCACAUGGAAAAUAGGGAAACCAUUGGUUCAUUGAACCUGCUUCACCGAAGCUUGACUCGCGCCUGAUCAGCCGGUCUAAAUACUUGAGCUUUUUUAUACAAAAAGUCUCCCUUGGGUAGCACUAGAGUUUGUGUAACUCGUCCUAUCCUGUCGCGACUUGAACGAGCCGGCGAAAUUCUUACUCUCACCUUCCUCGCACUGCCACAAGGUUUCACAGAUUUAUAAUAUUUGCUGGAUCUUGUUGAGCCGGGUUUUCUUCAUAUAACUCACCAAGACACCUUGAGUCGGUUAUUAUUUAUUAUCGUCAAUUACUCAUUGAGAUGGUUUGAUGUAUGCUUUUGUUAGCCCAACAGGUUGCUGAUCAAAAUCUUUAUUGACACGGCGGGUCAAGCAUCAUAGGAACCCCAAGGGCGGCACAAGGUUUUUUAAGGAUCACAGAAGAGUUCCGCAACAGGCAUAAGCAAGGGAUUGUUUUCUACAAAAACCUAUUACAUGGCUCGGAUGGCCAAAUCAGUAAGAUCUAUUCUGCUAGUGCCUCCGGGUCAACUUGCCCCGAGCUCUGGCCGACUUCAAGUUGUAAAUCGCCCAGUACCCAAUUACACUUGGAUAGAGCGGCAAAUUCGUCUUCAUCAUUCAAAAAUGCCGAGAGAUCAGAUUCCAAAUCAAAAGGGUUCUUGGGCCGACGAGGAGUUAAGCUGGUUGUCACGAACGACGGCGGAUUAACUUUCUUGUUCUUGUCAUCAUAAGCGGCUUGGUACUUUGAUAAAUCCAAGCUCGCUGCUAGCUGAGUCGCCACAGAGCGUGAUUCCUUGACAACAUGCUGAUAAUCAUCUUGAGUAAACUCUGACCCGUCAUCCUUGAGCUAUGGAAAGCCUGCUGCUACCUCUUCGGGCUUCAGUUCUCGAGCAUAUGCCAAACACCGACUCAAGGUAGUCAGCGCCCCCUUCCGGGAGGCUGAUCGGGUUAGCUCACCUAUCUGAGGUGGAAGGGUUGAUAGGCAGCCAAGCAUCUUUUUUAUUGAUGUGAUUGGUUCCUUGGUUCCCAUCACUGCCUUCAUGGUCAGCAUGCUUCCAACAUACAACUGCUCAAUUAGUGUGUAAAUCGCCUUUAACUUCAAGAUGCAGUCGUCUUGAAGGUUGGAGGCUCUCGGGCCGGCGUAAGAAAGACAAUGAUGGUUAGUACUUUGUCUUUUUUACACUACUCUUUUCUCAGAUAUACAAAACCAAGGAUUCCUUACCGAAAAAGGCAUGUGUCAUGUUGGAAAUAUGUUUCUUUAAAUCGGCCAGCUCUUGUUGCACGGCUUCCAGUUUUGUUUCAGCCAUUUCCUCUCGCUUUAGCGCGGUGGCCUGAUCAGCUUGAGCCUUUUUAUUUGCGGCUUUCAGCUUUUCCAUAUCAGCUAAGAUCGCCUGGUAUUUUUCUUAUGCUUGAGCCCGCGCGUCUUGCUGGUUGGCUAAACUUUUCUUUAAGUCGCCCAACGCCGACUCAGCUUGGGCCAGAGAUUCCUGUCAAUAUAUUAUCAAGGGACAAGUCUCAGAAUUAUUGCAAGCAACAUCCCUGACACUUGGGCGCUAAUGUAUAAUUUUUUAGACAAAAUUAUGCCACAAUCAAGACCUGGCUCAUCUUUCAAAAGAUGACCCGGCCCUUGGGGGUUACAGGUCGAAAGUUUUUUCUACAUCAAGACCUGGCUCAUCUUUCAAAAGAUGACCCGACCCUUGGGGGCUAAUGAGGAGGAUAUGCAUUAAGGCGUACCUCAUGUUUAUUCUUCAUCAUAUGGAGUAGGUUCUUCUCCAUUUCAUAACUUGUUUCCAGGCGACUCGCGAAGCCGAAGCAGAGCUCAUCAAACUCAAUUUUUUCAUAUUGAGAAAGUUUUGCUUUGGAAAUCUCAUGUCAAGUGGAAGGAUGGGACGAUGUUGAUUCAUGCUUUGAUAAGAUUGUCGAAGCCGGCUUAGAGAAGCCAGUACCAGUAAUGACCACAGCGCCAGGAUCUUCAGCCGCCUUCAACGGAUUUGACAGGUUGGGCGCUUCCAUGCCUUCCUUGGGAGAACUUGGAAGGUCAACUCGGUCAUCAGAUAUAUCUUUUGCCGGGUCAGCACGAGCCGGUGUUGGGUUUUCUUUAAGUUCUGGAGCCAGAGUGGAAGUUGAGCCGCCAGUUUUUCUCUUCUUCGCUUGCGCUCUAAGGAAAAGAGGGUCAUGCUAAGAGCAAGCAUCAUUAUCAUUAGGAGAGACAUAAGUAUUAUAAGGACUUACCCUUGUACGCGAAUCAUUGGAGGAAGGGCCGACAUCACUGAGUCGCCGACGAAGGGGGAGAAGUCUGCAAAAGUAAUAUCUCAAAAUGUGAGAAAGUUACAAGUGUGAUCCAAAAGAAAACGAAGGUGGAAAUUGAUAAGAGGGUACGUCAUUUUUCCGUUUCUUGGUAGGGGGUUUUACUGGUAACCCGGACACCAAAUCGCUAGAGUGGCUUCGAGUCUUCCGAAAGGAAGCGUGUUGCGUCUUCUUCAAGAGGAAAUUAGGGUCCAGACAAGCAUUCAGGUGAGACAUGGGAACUUUCCCACAAACUCACCUGGCCGGCUUAGGCGAAGGAGAAGAUGAGUCGAAAGAAAUAGAAAUUACAUCUACGGCAUAAUCCUGGAUUUCGUUAUCAUCAUUCUAUACAUAGAAAUGCAGAGAUAUAAGCACAAAUUAGAGCAAAGGGCGUCAAGACAAAGAAGAUAAAAUUUACCUGUGAAGACGCUUCGUUGACUUGGGAUUCGUCCACAUCAGACGAUUCUGUUGGAAAUAUGCCCUAGAGGCAAUAAUAAAUUAGUUAUUAUUAUAUUUCUUUGUUCAUGAUAAUCGUUUAUUAUCCAUGCUAUAAUUGUAUUGAUUGGAAACACAAUACUUGUGUGGAUACAUAGACAAAACACUGUCCCUAGUAAGCCUGUAGUUGACUAGCUCGUUGAUCAAAGAUGGCCAAGGUUUCCUGGCCAUAGGCAAGUGUUGUUACUUGAUAACGGGAUCACAUCAUUAGGAGAAUCAUGUGAUGGACUAGACCCAAACUAAUAGACGUAGCAUGUUGAUGGUGUCAUUUUGUUGCUACUGUUUUCUGCGUGUCAAGUAUUUGUUCCUAUGACCAUGAGAUCAUAUAACUCACUGACACCGGAGGAAUGCUUUGUGUGUAUCAAACGUCGCAACGUAACUGCGUGACUAUAAAGAUGCUAUACAGUUAUCUCCGAAGGUGUUAGUUGAGUUAGUAUGGAUCGAGACUGGGAUUUGUCACUCCGUGUGACGGAGAGGUAUCUCGGGGCCCACUCGGUAAUACAACAUCACACACAAGCCUUGCAAGCAAUGUGACUUAGUGUAAGUUGCGGGAUCUUGUAUUACGGAGUGAGUAAAGAGACUUGCCGGUAAACGAGAUUGAAAUAGGUAUGCGGAUACUGACGAUCGAAUCUCGGGCAAGUAACAUACCGAAGGACAAAGGGAAUGACAUACGGGAUUAUAUGAAUCCUUGGCACUGAGGUUCAAACGAUAAGAUCUUCGUAGAAUAUGUAGGAUCCAAUAUGGGCAUCCAGGUCCCGCUAUUGGAUAUUGACCGAGGAGUCUCUCGGGUCAUGUCUACAUAGUUCUCGAACCCGCAGGGUCUGCACACUUAAGGUUCGACGUUGUUUUAUGCGUAUUUGAGUUAUAUGGUUGGUUACCGAAUGUUGUUCGGAGUCCCGGAUGAGAUCACGGAUGUCACGAGGGUUUCCAGAAUGGUCCGGAAACGAAGGUUGAUAUAUAGGAUGACCUCAUUUGAUUACCAGAAGGUUUUCGGAGUUACCGGGAAUGUACCAGGAAUGACAAAUGGGGUCCAGGAGUUCACCGNGAUUAUAUGAAUCCUUGGCACUGAGGUUCAAACGAUAAGAUCUUUGUAGAAUAUGUAGGAUCCAAUAUGGGCAUCCAGGUCCCGCUAUUGGAUAUUGACCGAGGAGUCUCUCGGGUCAUGUCUACAUAGUUCUCGAACCCGCAGGGUCUGCACACUUAAGGUUCGACGUUGUUUUAUGCGUAUUUGAGUUAUAUGGUUGGUUACCGAAUGUUGUUCGGAGUCCCGGAUGAGAUCACGGACGUCACGAGGGUUUCCGGAAUGGUCCGGAAACGAAGGUUGAUAUAUAGGAUGACCUCAUUUGAUUACCAGAAGGUUUUCGGAGUUACCGGGAAUGUACCAGGAAUGACAAAUGGGGUCCAGGAGUUCACCGGGGGGGGGGGGCAACCCACCCCGGGGAAGCCCAUAGGCAUUGAGGGUGGCACACCAUCCCUUAGUGGGCUGGUGGUACAACCCAAAAGAGCCCUAUGCACAUUGGAAGAAAAAUCAAAGAGAAAAAAAGGAGGAGGUGGGAAAGGAAAGAAGGACUCCACCCACCAAACCAAGUAGGACUCGGUUUGGGGGGAGACCUCCCCCCCUUGGCUCGGCCGACCCCCUUGGGAUUCCUUGGACCCCAAGGCAAGGCUCCCCCUCUCCCACCUAUAUAUACGGAGAUUUUAGGGCUGAUUUGAGACGACUUUGCCAUGGCAGCCCGACCACAUAUCCCCACGGUUUUGCCUCUAGAUCGCGUUUCUGCGGAGCUCGGGCGGAGCCCUGCUGAGACAAGAUCAUCACCAACCUCCGGAGCCCCGUCAACCUGCCGGAGAACUCUUCUACCUCUCCGUCUCUCUUGCUGGAUCAAGAAGGCCGAGAUCAUCGUCGAGCUGUACGUGUGCUGAACGCGGAGGUGCCGUCCGUUCGGCACUAGAUCGUGGGACUGAUCGCGGGAUAGUUCGCGGGGCGGAUCGAGGGACGUGAGGAUGUUCCACUACAUCAACCGUGUUCACUAACGCUUCUGCUGUACGGUCUACAAGGGUACGUAGAUCACACAUCCCCUCUCGUAGAUGGACAUCACCAUGAUAGGUCUUCGUGCGCGUAGGAAAAAUUUUCUUUCCCAUGCGACGUUCCCCAACAGUGGCAUCAUGAGCUAGGUUCAUGCGUAGAUGUCUUCUCGAGUAGAACACAAAAGUUUUUGUGGGCGGUGAUGUGCGUUUUGCUGCCCUCCUUAGUCUUUUCUUGAUUCCGCGGUAUUGUUGGAUUGAAGCGGCUUGGACCGACAUUACUCGUACGCUUACGAGAGACUGGUUUCAUCGCUACGAGUAACCCCGUUGCUCAAAGAUGACAGGCAAGUGUCAGUUUCUCCAACUUUAGAUGAAUCGGAUUUGACCGAGGAGGUCCUUGGAUGAGGUUAAAUAGCAAUUCAUAUAUCUCCGUUGUGGUGUUUGCGUACGUAAGAUGCGAUCCUACUAGAUACCCAUGGUCACCACGUAAAACAUGCAACAACAAUUAGAGGACAUCUAACUUGUUUUUGCAGGGUAUGCUUGUGAUGUGAUAUGGCCAACGAUGUGAUGUGUUAUAUUGGAUGUAUGAGAUGAUCAUGUGGUAAUAGUUAAUAUCGACUUGCACGUCGAUGGUACGGUAACCGGCAGGAGCCAUAGGGUUGUCUUUAAACUAACGUUUGUGCUUGCAGAUGCGUUUACUAUGUUGCUAGGACAUAGCUUUAGUAGUAAUAGCAUGAGUAGCACGACAACCCCGAUGGCGACACGUUGAUGGAGAUCAUGAUGAUGGAGAUCAUGGUGUGACGCCGGUGACAAGAAGAUCAUGCCGGUGCUUUGGUGAUGGAGAUCAAGAAGCACAUGAUGAUGGCCAUAUCAUGUCACUUAUGAAUUGCAUGUGAUGUUAAUCCUUUAUGCACCUUAUCUUGCUUAGAACGACAGUAGCAUUAUGAGGUGAUCUCUCACUAAAAUUUCAAGACGAAAUUGUGUUCUCCCCGACUGUGCACCGUGGCGACAGUUCUUCGUUUCGAGACACCACGUGAUGAUUGGGUGUGAUAGACUCAACGUUCACAUACAACGGGUGCAAAACAGUUGCACACGCAGAACACUCGGGUUAAGCUUGACGAGCCUAGCAUGUGCAGACAUGGCCUCGGAAUACAUGAGACCGAAAGGUCGAGCAUGAAUCGUAUAGUUGAUAUGAUUAGCAUAGAGAUGCUUACCACUGAAACUAUUCUCGACUCACGUGAUGAUCGGACUUGAGAUAGUGGAUUUGGAUCAUGUACCACUCAAAUGACUAGAGAGAUGUACUUUUUGAGUGGGAGUUCUUAAGUAAUAUGAUUAAUUGAACUAAUUGUCAUGAACAUAGUCUAAUGGUCUUUGUGAAUUACGAUGUAGCUUGCGCUAUAGCUCUACUGUUUUUAUAUGUUCCUAGAGAAAAUUUAGUUGAAAGUUGAUAGUAGCAAACUUUGAAGAGGAUUGUCCUCGUUGCUGCACAGAAGGCUUAUGUCCUUAAUGCACCACUCGGUGUGCUGCACCUCGAGCGUCGUCUGUGGAUGCUGUGAACAUCCGACAUACACGUUUCUGAUGACUACACGAUAGUUCAGUGAAAAAUACUUAAUGGCUUAGAAGCAAGGCACCGAAGACGUUUUGAAAUGUCACGGAACAUAAGUGAUGUUCUAAAGAGAUGAAAUUGUGAUUUCAUGCUCAUGCCCUUAUUGAGAGGUAUGAGACCUCCGACAAGAUUCUUUGUCCACAAAGUAAAGGAGAAAAGCUCAAUCGUUGAGCGUGUGCUCAGAUUGUCUGAGUACGACAAUCGCUUGAAUAAAGUGGGAGUUAAUCUUCCAGAUGAGAUAGUGAUGGUUCUCCAAAGUCACUGCCACCAAGGUGUAAGAGCUUCUUGAUGAACUAUAACAUAUCAAGGAUAGAUACAAUGAUCCUUGAGCGAUUCGCGAUGUUUGACACUGCGAAAGUAGAAAUCAAGAAGGAGCAUCAAUAGUUGAUGGUUAGUAAAACCACUAAGUUUCAAGAAAGGCAAGGGCUAGAAGGGAUACUUCGUGAAACGGAAAAACAGUUGCUGCACUAAUGAAGAGACCCAAGAUUAAACCCAAACCCGAGACUAAGUGCUUCUAUAAUGAGGGGAACGGUCACUGAGGCGGAGCAACUCUAGAUACUUGGUAGAUAAAAAGGCUGGCAAAAGUCGAAAGAAGUAUAUUUGAUAUACAUGAUGUUGAUGUGUACUUUACUAGUACUCCUAGUAGCAUGAGGGUAUUGGAUACCGGUUCGGUUGCUAAGUGAUUAGUAACACGAAAUGAAAGCUACGGAAUAAACGGAGACUAGCUGAAGGCGAGGUGACGAUACAUGUUGGAAGUGUUUCCAAGGUUGAUAUGAUCAAACGUCGCACGCUCCCUCUACCAACGGGAUUGGUGUUAAACCUAAAUAAUUGUUAUUUGGUGCUUGCGUUAAGCAUGAACAUGAUUGGAUCGUGUUUAUUGCAAUACGAUUAUUCAUUUAAAGAGAAUAAUAGUUACUCUAUUUUCUUGAAUAAUCACCUUCAAUGGUUUAUUGAAUCUCGAUCGUAGUGUUACACAUGUUCAUGAUAUUGGUGCCAAAAGAAACGAGGUAAUGAUGAUAGUAACCACUUACUUGUGGCACUGCCACUUGAGUCAUGUUGUUAUAAAUUGCAUGAAGAGGCUCCAUGCUGAUGGAUCUUUGUACUCACUUGAUUUUGAAUCACUAGUGACAUGCAAAUCAUACCACAUGAGCAAGGCCUUGUUUUCAUUGAGACGAAACAAUAUAAUAACUUGUUGGAAGUGAUACAUUUUGAUGUAUGCAGUCCAAUGGGUGCUAAGGCACGGAGUGGAUAUCAUUAUGUUCUUACUUCAAUGACGAUUUGAGUAGAUACAAGAGUAUUUACUUAAUGAAUCACAAGUGUGAAAUAUUGAAAGGUUCAAUUCUGUUUCAGAGUGAAGUUCGUCGUAACAAGAGGAUAAACUGUCUACGAUAUGAUCAUAGAAAUGAAUAUCUGAGUUACGAGUCUUGGUACGCAGUUAAGACAAUGUGGAAAUUUUUUCACAGUUCAUGCCACCUAGAACAUCAUAGUGUGAUGAUGUGUCUGAACGUCAUAGCCACACACUAUUUGGUAUGGUGCAUGCAAUGAUGUCUCUUAUCGAAUUACCACUAUCGUUUAUGGGUUAAGCAUUGGAGACAACCGCAUUCACUUUAAAUAGGGCACCAGGUAUUUCCGUUGAGAUGACACAGUAAAGACUAAGGUUUAGAGAAAUCUAAACUGUCGUUUCUUGAUAGUUUGGGGUUUCGACACUUAUGUGAAAAAGUUUCAGUCUGAUAAGCUCGAACCCAAGCGGAUAAAUGCAUCUUCAGAGGAUAUCCAAAACAGUUGGGUACAUCUCCUAUCUCAGAUCCGAAAGCAAAGUGUUUGUUUCUAGAAACGGAUCCUUUCUCGAGGAAAGGUUUCUCUCGAAAGAAUUGAGUGGGAGGGUGGUAGAACUUGAUGAGGUUAUUGAACCAUCACUUUGACCAGUGUGUAGCAGGGCGCAGGAAGUUGUUCCUGUGGCGCCUACACCAAUUGAAGUGAAAGCUGAUGAUGGUGAUCAUCGAGCAUCGGAUCAAGUUACUACAAGCCUCGUAGGUUGACAAGGUCGCGUACUACUACAGAGUGGUACGGUAACCCUGUCUUGGAUGUCAUGUUGUUGAGCGACAGUGAACCCGCGAGUUAUGGAGAAAGCAAUGGUGGGCCCAGAUUCUGACAAAACGCUGGAAGCCAUGAAAUCCUAGAGAGGAUCCAUGUAUGGAAACAAAGUGUAGACUUUGGAAGAACUACUUGAUGGUCAGAUGACUAUUGAGUAAACAUGGAUCUUUAAAAGGAAGACAAACGAUGAUAGUGAUAAGUCAUUAUUAAGAAAAGCUCGACUUGUCGCAAAGAUGUUUCCGACAAGAUCAAACAGUUGACUAUGGUGAGAUUUUCUCACUCGUAGCGAUGCUAAGAGUCUGUUAGAAUUAUGUUAGUAGGGUUAUUUUUGAAAUAUUGCACAUAGGAUGUCAAAACAUUGUUUCCUCGAUGGUUUCCUUGAGCGAACAUUGUAUGUGAUACAAAUAGAAGGUUUUGUCGAUCCUAAAGAUACUAACAAGUAUGCAAGCUCCAGCGAUCCUUCAAUGGACUGGUGCAAGCAUCUCGGAGUUGGAAUAUACACUUUGAUGAGAUGAUCAAAGAUUUUGGGUUUGUACAAAGUUUGUGAGAAACUUGUAUUUCCAAAGAAGUGAGUGGGAGCACUAUAGAAUUUCUGAUAAGUAUAUGUGGUUGACAUAUUGUGGAUCAGGAGUAAUGUAGAAUUUCUGUAAAGCAUACAAGGUAGUUUGAAAGGUGUUUUCAAAGGAAUACCUGGAUUGAGCUACUUGAACGUUGAGCAUCAAAGAUCUAUGGAGAUAGAUCAAAAGCGCUUAAUGGAAGUUUCAACAAGAUGCAUGGCUUGACAAGUUUUUGAAGGAGUUCAAAAUAGAUCAGCAAAGAAGGAGUUCUUGGUUGCGUUGUAAGGUGUGAAUUUGAGUAAGACUCAAAACUCGACCACGGCAGAAUAAAGAGAAUAGACGAAGGUCGUCUUCUAUGCCUUAGUCGUAGACUCUAAAGUAUGCCAUGCUAAGUACCGAACCUGAUGUGUGCCUUGCAGCAAGUCUGUUAAGAGGUACACAGAGUGAUCCAGGAUUGAAUCACUGAUCAGCGGUCAAAGUUAUCCUUAGUAACUAAAUAGACUAAGGAAUUUUUCUCGAUUAUGGAGGUGCUUAAAGAGUUCGUUGUAAAGGAUUACGUCGAUGCAAGCUUUGACACUAAUCCGAAUAACUAUGAGUAGUGAAACGGAUUCGUAUAGUAGAGUAGAUAUUUGGAGUAUUUCCGAAUAGCACAUAGUAGCAGCAUCUAUAAGAUGACAUAAAGAUUUGUAAAGAACACACGGAUCUGAAAAUUUCAGAACCGUUGACUAAAACCUCUCUCAUGAGCAAGACGUGAUCAGACCCCAUAACUAUAUGGGUGUUGGAUUCGUUGGAAUCACAUGGUGAUGUGAACUAGAUUAUUGACUCUAGUGCAAGUGGGAGACUGUUGGAAAUAUGCCCUAGAGGCAAUAAUAAAUUAGUUAUUAUUAUAUUUCUUUGUUCAUGAUAAUCGUUUAUUAUCCAUGCUAUAAUUGUAUUGAUUGGAAACACAAUACUUGUGUGGAUACAUAGACAAAACACUGUCCCUAGUAAGCCUCUAGUUGACUAGCUCGUUGAUCAAAGAUGGCCAAGCUUUCCUGGCCAUAGGCAAGUGUUGUUACUUGAUAACGGGAUCACAUCAUUAGGAGAAUCAUGUGAUGGACUAGACCCAAACUAAUAGACGUAGCAUGUUGAUUGUGUCAUUUUGUUGCUACUGUUUUCUGUGUGUCAAGUAUUUGUUCCUAUGACCAUGAGAUCAUAUAACUCACUGACACCGGAGGAAUUCUUUGUGUGUAUCAAACGUCGCAACGUAACUGCGUGACUAUAAAGAUGCUCAACAGUUAUCUCCGAAGGUGGUAGUUGAGUUAGUAUGGAUCGAGACUGGGAUUUGUCACUCCGUGUGACGGAGAGGUAUCUCGGGGCCCACUCGGUAAUACAACAUCACACACAAGCCUUGCAAGCAAUGUGACUUAGUGUAAGUUGCGGGAUCUUGUAUUAUGGAAUGAGUAAAGAGACUUGCCGGUAAACGAGAUUGAAAUAGGUAUGCGGAUACUGACGAUCGAAUCUCGGGCAAGUAACAUACCGAAGGACAAAGGGAAUGACAUACGGGAUUAUAUGAAUCCUUGGCACUGAGGUUCAAACGAUAAGAUUUUCGUAGAAUAUGUAGGAUCCAAUAUGGGCAUCCAGGUCCCGCUAUUGGAUAUUGACUGAGGAGUCUAUCGGGUCAUGUCUACAUAGUUCUCGAACCCGCAGGAUCUGCACACUUAAGGUUCGACGUUGUUUUAUGCGUAUUUGAGUUAUAUGGUUGGUUACCGAAUGUUGUUCGGAGUCCCAGAUGACAUCACGGACGUCACGAGGGUUUCCGAAAUGGUCUAAAAACGAAGAUUGAUAUAUAGGAUGACCUCAUUUGAUUACCGGAAGGUUUUCGGAGUUACCGGGAAUGUACCGGGAAUGACGAAUGGGUUCCGGGAGUUCAACGGGGGGGGGGGAACCACCCCGGGGAAGCCCAUAGGCUUUGAGGGUGGCGCACCAGCCGUUAGUGGGCAGGUGGGACAGCCCAAAAGAGCCCUAUGCGCACUGGAAGAAAAAUCAAAGAGAAAAGAAAAAAAAGGAGGAGGUGGGAAAGGAAAGAAGGACUCCACCCACCAAACCAAGUAGGACUCGGUUUGGGGGGGAGACCUUCCCCCCUUGGCUCGGCCGACCCCCUUGGGAGUCCUUGGACCCCAAGGCAAGGCUCCCCAUUCUCCCACCUAUAUAUACGGAGGUUUUAGGGCUGAUUUGAGACGACUUUGCCACGGCAGCCCGACCACAUAUCUCCACGGUUUUGCCUCUAGAUCGCGUUUCUACGGAGCUCGGGCGGAGCCCUGCUGAGACAAGAUCAUCACCAACCUCUGGAGCGCUGUCAUGCUGCCGGAGACCUCUUCUACCUCUCCGUCUCUCUUGCUGGAUCAAGAAGGCCGAGAUCAUCGUCAAGCUGUACGUGUGCUGAACGCGGAGGUGCCGUCCGUUCGGCACUAGAUCGUGGGACUGAUCGCGGGAUAGUUCGCGGGGCGGAUCCAGGGACGUGAGGACAUUCCACUACAUCAACCGCGUUCACUAACGCUUCUGCUGUACGGUCUACAAGGGUACGUAGAUCACACAUCCCCUCUCGUAGAUGGACAUCACCAUGAUAGGUCUUCGUGCGCGUAGGAAAUUUUUUGUUUCCCAUGCGACGUUCCCCAAGAGAUUCGGCGAUGGCGGUUUUUUUUUACCCUUGGUUUUCUUCUUUGGAGGCGGUUUGGCUUGCUUCAGGGCAAUCUUUUUCGAUCUUCUUGACCAGAAUCGGUCACCUUCUAUGGUUGAAUUGUCAUUAUGCAAGUCAGAAUCCGAGUAAGUCAGAAAAAGUGAACCAAGGGCGGGUUAAAUUAUUUACCUUAGGAGCCGGAUUAAUCUUGCAGAAUGGCUUAAGCCCCAUCUGGCUGCACUUGGCCAAGGGCUCGUCGGUUAGCUUCUUAUGAUGCUCACAGUGUCUUCCUCUGUGAGUGUGGUGUGGAAGUAGCAUUGGGGAUGGUCCAAAGUACCAUCAAACUCGCACAUCAAGCCAUCUCGGUGACUCAAGGGAAGGAUGCGCCAUUCCACCCAGCAAUGGAUCAGAUCAACUCCAGUAAGACCAUUGUUUGUUAAAGAUCGUAACUCGGAUAGCACUGGAAUGAAAUCUGACUCCUCCUCUUCGGUGAGCUUGUCUGGAAGUUUGAAGUUUGUGAGCAGACGUUCCUUCCUGUAGCUGAGGAGUUUGUUUUCACCCGGAGGGGAAGUGUCCCGGCAAUAAAACCAAGACUCACCCCAGCCUUUGGGGUGGCUAGGCAUGGCGAGUGAUGGGAAUGAGCUGCCCCUGCGGCGUUGAACGUUAACACCUCCAAGUUCUAAGCUAGGGUUGUUGGAGAACUCGGUCUGGCGAUUCAAAUGGAAGAAGUACCAAAACAAAGGGACCGAUGGUUCCAUUCGCAGGUAAGCUUCACAGAAUACUUGGAACGAGGACAUGUUGCUGAUCGAGUUGGGGCCCAGGUCUUGGAGGCGGACGUUCAUGAAGGCCAUCGCAUCUCUAAGGAACUUUGAUCCUGGCGUCUAAAACAACUAUUUCCCCUUCGGCCGGGUUCGGAAUUUUGUCGCCUAGUCCAGAUCGCCAUCCGAUGACUUCCUUCGGAUCAAGGAUCCCAGCUUUUACUCAAUCCUCGAGGAAGGCGUCGUCAACUUAGGUCGGGAGCCAGUAGGCCUUGAAAACGGCACCCAUAGCUACAGAGGAAAAGGUCAUGGGUAAGUUAACCCGCCUAAUACUUGUUGAGUGGCUAGGAAAAUCCUUCAACUCGCGAAACACUUGUUGAGUGGGUAAGAGAAUAUCUCAACUCGCCGAACACUUGCCGAGUGGCUAAGAUAAUCUAGUAGCUCGCCAAUAGGGGACCAUAUUUGGGCACAAGGGCGAUUUAGGAAUUUCCUAUUACUCACAGAAGGCAUCCCAGGGCAUCAAAGACGUGUGGUAAAAUGAUGAAGUCUGAAUCUACAAACAGUUUUCUACAUAGUAAGCAGUACAAUGCGGAUCUACGAGCAAGGUAAAAUAACAGAAAAAGGCUUAGACGAAACAAAACGGGCUAUAACUGAAAAUGAAUAUGGCAGAGAUGAUUUGGCCGAAGCUUUUUUCGGUUUUCAAAUAGGAAACUAUUUAAUCAAGGAUGCGGCUAACACUAUUACAUCAGCUACUACCAUUGACCUAUCAACACGCAAAGGAAAGCUCAAAGUGUUCUAAGAACAUGGCAGGUGGCGAAUGUCGAAAUAUCCGGAUCUGAUUGCAAGUGAUGAAGAACUGACCUACUAAUGGCGUCCGGAAGCGGUUGUGCGGGUCCAUGGCGAGGACAGAAUCCCUCGAGCUGCGACAGAACUUCACAGGCGGCGGCGGUGGAGACCCUCGAGCGGCAACAAAGCUCGGCAGGCGGCGGCAGAGUCCCUUGGACGACGACAGAAACCUUCGGGCGGUGAGGAGUUCUUCGGGCAGCGACGGAGCUCUUCGAGGAGGUGGUCGCGAGGAAGAAGAAGACGAUGGGACGAGUAGGUGAAGAUUCCCUUCGCUCCCGUUCCCGAGCCUAUUUAAUAGGUUGGGUGCGGGGAUCGAGGUGCCUCACGCGGGAACAAAAGGGCAAACUAAAGAUUCGCACUUAUGGCGCCAAGAUUUUCGGGAUAUUUGUGCCACGAGAUCCGGUGGAGAUUGCGUCAUCAUUUUCCGAGGAUAAAGGGAUAAGGUGAUGUCCUCAAGAAACGGUUCGGUGACUUGGAUAUUUCCAUGGAGGAUGGCGGCUUUAGCGUGUGAUGCAUGAAAGGAGUGGAAUGAGUCGCCCCUAAACCAGGUAAGAGUAUUGGCGUUAACAGGUUCAAGUCAAUAUGGGCCCUAAUGUUGGGGAUAUUAUCUGCGAUGUGACCCGCCCUAAUUGGGUCGGGUCACCAAGUGGGCGACUCAACCUUUGGCGAUUCAAGCGUUGGCCCGGUAGGCCCAGGAGCUGGAUGGCGGUUCAAGAUCCACGUGGACAAUCAAUUAUCGGGGAGUUCUCCAGUCUUGUAAAGCACGACAAUUUAGAGAUAGAAAGAAUCAUGACUUGUGCUAUGGCAAGGACUCUUGUAAACCCUAAGGGCUCGACCUUUAUAUAAAGGCGAGUCCGCGGAAAAGAGAGGACAGGUUAGAAAUCAUCGAGAGCUAGGUCAGGAGAGUUACGCCCUCCUUGUAACCGAAACAUCAUCAAUACGACACAAAGCAGGACGUAGGCUUUUACCUCUUCACGAGGGGCCGAACCUGGGUACAUUUGAGUCGCCACCAAGGUGUGAUGGCUCCAUCAUUCAGUCCUUUCACUAGGACAUCUGCCGUAACAAAACCACGACACCUUCCCCCAUCUAUAUUCAGCGGUCCACUGUCCCGCAACCCACUGUACCCUGUACUUGAACAUGGUGCUUUAUGCUUCAUAUUAUUAUCCAAUGAUGUGUUGCCAUCCUAUGAUGUCUGGGUAGAUUUUCAUUGUCCUAUUGGUGAAUAAUGAAUUGCUAUGAUUGGUUUAAUUUGCUUGUGGUUAUGUUGCUGUCCUUUGGUGCCCAUCAUAUGAGCACGUGCAUGGAUCACACCACAGGGUUAGUAGUAUGUUGAUAGGACUAUGUACUGGAUGGCAAGAGUGACAGAAGCUUCAGCCUACAUUGAAAUUGAUGUAUACGGUAUUGAAGGGGGACCAAUAUAUCUUAUUGCUAUGGUUGGGUUUUACCUUAAUGAACGUUAGUAGUUGUGGAUGCUUGCUAAUAGUUCCUAUCAUAAGUGCAUAGAAUUCCAAGUAAGGGGUAACAUGCUAGCAGUGGCCUCUACCACAUAAAACUUGCUAUCGGUCUAGUAACUUAGUCAAUUGCUUAGGGACAAUUCCUCAACUCCUACCACAACUUUUCCGCACUCCUUAAACUAACGUAAUUGUUUCUUUAUCUAUACAGCCCCUAGUUUUUAUUUACGUGUUCUUUAUGAUCUUGCAAAACUAUCCUAUCACACCGACAAAGUACUUCUAGUUUCAUACUUUUUUUGGUAAAGCGAACGUAAAGUGUGCGUAGAGUUGUAUCGGUGGUCGAUAGAACUUGAGGGAAUAUUUGUCCUACCUUUAGCUACUCGUUGGGUUCGACACUCUUACUUAUCGAGAAAGGCUACAAUUGAUCCCCUAUACUUGUGGGUUAUCAAGCCACAUGCCGCCUUCGGCCCUCAAAACCAUCCCCUUGUCAUGGCCUUUCACCGUCUGGGGGUUAGACAUGGUGGGGCCUUUCAAGAUGACUCGCGGUGGCAUGACUCACCUCUUGGUGGCCAUCGAGAAAUUUACCAAGUGGAUCGAGGCUAGGCCCAUCAAGAAGCUUGAUGGCCCCACGGCUGUCAAGUUCAUCACGGACAUCUCUGUCCGAUACGGCGUCCCCCAUAGCAUCAUCACCGACAACGACACUAACUUCGCCAAGGGUGCAUUGGCGAAUUACUGCUCCAAGCUAGGUAUCCGGCUCGACUUGGUGUCAGUGGCACAUCCUCAGUCCAAUGGCCAGGUGGAGAGGGCCAACGGCCUGAUCCUGGCCGGCAUCAAGCCCUGACUGGUGGCACCACUUGUCAGGUCAGCCGGCUCCUGGAUCGAAGAGUUGCUGACAGUACUGUGGAGCCUCCGCACCACGCCCAACCGGUCAACCGGCUUCACCCCGUUCUUUCUAGUAUACGGAUCCGAGGCCAUCAUCCCCAUGGAUAUCGAGUUUGACUCACCUCGGGUCACCCUGUACACUGAAACGGAGGCAAAGGAGGCAAGAGAAGAUGGUGUUGAUCUCCUCGAGGAGGCAAGGGACCUAGCCUUGAGCCGGACGGCAAUCUAUCAACAAAAGCUAAGGUACUACCACAACAAGUAGAUCAAGCCCCUCUCUUUCGAGAGGGGGACUUGGUCCUCAGAAGAUUCCAGCGCACAGCUGGCCAACACAAGCUCUCAUCCCCAUGAGAGGGACCCUUCAUCAUCAGUAGGGUCUUGCACAACAACGGAUACUACUUGAUCAAUGCCAGAAGCCAAGGAAGCGCAAGAGGGACGACUCCGGCCAGGAGAGGGAACGUCCAUGGAACGCGGCGUUGCUUCGCCCGUUCUAUUGUUAGAAGGCAAGUAUCAAACAUGGAAAGAGCAUGCACAUAUGUAUCUUUCUCCCUCUUCAGGGAUUUCUAAUGAAUGCAAUGAAAAGAGCAUGCACAUAUGCUUCUUUUUAGAUUCAUAUAUGGAGUUCUCACUCUGUGAGUCCCUUGCCUGCUCUAAUAAGUUCCGGGCCUCGCUAGCCGCCCCGACGACUUCCUAAUGUUGUAGAAAAACACAUAGUGUACGCCAGACCGAUCCCUGGUCACCUCGUAAUCGCUACAGGCCGGCUCCCGGCUGUCCGGCUAGCGAGGCGACGCUAGGUAUGGCCGGAUACAUGAAUAGUUUGACUAGAAAAAGGUUGAUGGCUCAGGUUGGUUUGAUCUUUUUACGAUCUCAUUCUAUCUGGCCUCUCCUGGUUUAUGUCUAAAUCUUUAAGUCCUGAUGGCUUCCAAAAAUAGAAGUCCUAUAUUCCCAAAGUCUAAAAGCUCGACCCAGUCACAGACCGGAUCACAGCUGUUGUCCUCGCGGGGUGGAAGCUAAGAGAGUAGAAGGGUUGGAGAAAAAGAAGUCAAGCAGGAAUCAAAAGAUGAAGAUAUAAAACAGCACACAUGGCAUUACGAAUAUAAUGCUGAAUCCAUACAUUCAAAAGCAUUGGCCCACGGCCGAAGUUCAUUACAUCCCCCGGUGGGUGGGACUGUUGGACUGACAAAAUAUUGCAGACAACAAAAAGAAAAACAAUAUCGGGUAAGGGGCGGCGACCUCGUCUGUUGCCUCGGCUGCUGCUCCUAAAGUGGUGGCUUCACCAUCGCCGGCUUCUCCCGAGGCGGUGGCGCUGUGUCCUCUGUGAGGGAUUUCGGCUCCGUCCACGACGGAGUCAGCGUAUGCCUCGUCGCUGGAGGCGGCUAUUUCCACCUCACGGGCCGCCUCGUCGGAAAUGCCAUCGGCGUCAAAGGACUGAAGGCCAUGCAGAUCCUUAGGGAUCACAUUGCCGCCUUCACCCCGCUCCAAGUUGAGCUCAUGCCAGGCGGCAUAUGAGGCGAUGUCUCUGGCCCUCACGCGCAACUCCUCCUCCACGGCCUGCAGCUCCCCCUCCUAGUCGUCAUGCUGGCGACGAGCUUGCCCAAGUAUAGGUUUCGGCACCAGGACUUGGCCAAGCGCAGGGCCAUGUAGGCUCCAGCACGCGUGGCCGAGGCACGCCAGGCGUCAAGGCGGUCAUCGCCAGCCGCAAGCCAGCGGGAGAGCCGGCUCAUCGACGCCGGCUCCACGCCAUUAGGCCACAGAGCCUUCACCAUCGACGAGCUUGCAACCUGGAGCCGAGCCAUGGAAUCGCCCACGGCACGCAGGCGAACUCUGAGGCCCACCCCGAUCUCCUCCACGCUCCAGCCGGAGGCAUUGUCUACCUCCUGCCCGGCCACGCGACGCUCCUCGUGGAUCACCUCGACGGCCGUCUCGGCUGCGUCCCAUGUCUCAGGGAAGAGACCUGAGAUAGGGAAAGGGGCGCAAAGAAGAGUAAGAAGAGGAGGCACCAAAGAAGAAAAUUCAAGGCAAAACAAAGAGGACUCACAGUCGAAGUGGCCAUCAGUCUCAUGAGCACUCUCCAGGGCCUCAAGCUCCCGCACCUUGCUCACUUGGGUGAUGCGGGUAACUUCUUCCUGGAGGGUCGCGGUUGCGUCCAGCGCCUUGGCCAGCUGCGCCUGCUUCUGGAUCAGGGCUUCCUCCUUCUCCUUCAAGGUAGCGCCCUUGAGCUUCAUCUCCUCGAGAUGAAUCGUCUCAAGACGCUCCACGUCGGCAGCAUGGGAGGCGUCCUUCUCCUGCAGGGAAGCGCGCAGCUGCUCCUGGUCAGCCUGGCGGGCCGCCUCGAGCUCCUUCUUCUAUGCCUGGAGAAGAGCCAGCUGCUGCUUGAGCCGGCCGUCCGCCUCGCGCAGGGCGUCCCACUCCACGGCAACCUCGCCCAGCCGGGCUGAAGUUCGGCGACCUGGCCAUCAGCCGCCUGGUUCUGAGCCUGCACCGUGUUGUAGGCUUGCACCUGGGCAUCAUAAAGUCCUACAAGCAAUGAAGAAGCAAAAGUAAUAUUUGGCAUGGUUAAUUCAUAACCAGCCCGAUUCUCGGGGGCUACACCCAGUGGGUGCGCUACCACGCCCCCACUAAAAAAGCAAAGUAAGAGAUGAGCUCGAGGAGAUUCGGCCCAGCCAAUGCUUGGCCAGCCCGAUUCUCGGGGGCUACAUCCAGUGGGUGCACUCGCGCGCUCCCACUGAUUCAAGAAGAAGAAGAAAAAAUUGAAGACAAAGACGAGGCACUUACCCUGGUGCGCUCCUCCAAGCGCUCCGGAUCGCUGCCCGCCACGCGGGCGGCCUGCUCCACCUUGUGUCAGUUGUUGGCGAACAGCGACACCAGCUCCGGGACACCUUGGAGUAUGGUGCCUACGGGCAGCUUCGAGCGCUCAAUAUUGGCCGCUCGCCAAGCCUUCAUGGGCCAGCUCCCGGCUCUGGGGCCGGCUCCUGGAGCAACCAGGCCACGGUUGGAGACGACGAUGGUGCCGUUUCCAGGAGUCGGUAUGGCGGCCGACUCCGCCGAUGUCCUAGCCGGCGCUGUCUCCACAGCAGGAGGUGGAUGGUCCGCAUCCAACGCAUCCACGUUGACCUCUAGCUCGUCUAAGGCCACGUCUGGCGCGUCCAGGUUCAGUUUUGGCGCGUUGGCGGCCGCCUUGGCCUCCGGUGACUCACGGAUCUCCUCGAGAUCGACAGGCACAGAGGCGUCCGGCUUGGACAGCUUGGCCUCCUCGAUCCUUUGGGCGCGCCUCAGGGUCGCCUCGCUAGCUGGCUCCUCCACACGAGCACGCGUGGAGGGGUCAUGUCUAGCCUUCGUACGCCUUUCCGCAGGCUUCUCGGCUCGGCUAGGCCGAGACUGGCCCUAGGCCAUAUUCUCCGCGACCGCAUGCUAGCGGCGGGCGUAUUGUUCCUCGAGUUCCUUCUGGGCAGCGUCAGCCGCUGCCCAGCCGGCUCGCUCAGCGGCGGAGGCAGUGUCUUCCUCUACAUCCUCCGCCUCCCUGCCAAGUGCCGCUUUGAGGAACAAAUCCUCACGCAAGACAAAGCAAAAGGAAUGAAAGGGAACCCUUACCACGCGACGAUGGGCAUUUGCCUCCUACCGGCACCAGCACGGCGUUUCUUAGCGCCGCCUGCUCGUGCUCCGGCUGGAGGACCCGUCGUGGCUCGUUUGGGAGCCGGCCUCGAAGCUGUGGCACCCUUGCCUUUCCUCUGGGCCGCCUCGCCAAGACCGACCGCCUCGGCCCUAUGGCACCGUCCGCGGGUCAGAGGCGGGCUGGUAACCUCCUCCACCCCGUCAGAGUCUUCCUCGAAGGCUGCAUCAGAUAGGGAGGAUGGAGUCCCAUCAUCAUCCGUCCAAUCGACAACGGAGGGCUUCAGAUGCUUACCGGAUGGCUCCGUGCCCUCUGACUCCAGCGCGUCCUCCGAACCUUCGGAGGCGGAAGAACGAGACUCGAUCAUGCCCUCGUCCUCGAUCUCUGAGGCGUCAGACCUCACCACGUCGGGGGCAGGCCGAUUGAGUGCCUGCUGCUUCUCGAACAUCUGCAUAAUGGAGUCGGCGGCCGGCUCAAAAAAAGGAUCAACCACAAGAAAAACAACAAGAAAAGACUCGAUGAGAGUGCUUACCAUCGGAGGCAGACGGGACCGGCAGUAAGGGGCCAGCCCCCCCACCCAGUUCCCACUAUCAUCCAUGUGGGCGGUGGAAAUCUGGUUCACCCCCCGCGCCACCGUGCUGGCCGUGAAGCUCUUGGUGGAGGUCCGAAAGGGAUCAUACCGGCCGCUCAUCUGGCAAGACAUAUGGGGCCACCUCUACAGAGGCAGGAUCCUGCAGGAGACCAUGGUGGUAUGCAGGUCCCGGCCAAAAAGGCCGUGAUCCUUCAAGCUAGCGAGGUAGGCACCGAUCUGCGCCACCUCGGGAAUCGGCUUUCGAUACUUCGCUCCGUAGUUCAACUUCUCCAUCGGAGGAUCGAUGUUGAAUGGGGGCAUGUUGAGGGCGUCAUGUGCGGGGUCAGCGUUCUUCACAUAAAAGAAGCCUUUCUGCCAUUGCUUGAUGGAUUCUUGAAGUGGCAUCUGGGGGAAGCCGGACUUCGAGCGAGGAUGCAUCAAUGCGGCUCCGCACGGCGUCAUCAGGCGAGGUCCGUCAAGCUUUUCCAGCUCGGCCUUGUCCAUCUUCCUGGACUGCUGCUUGAAGAAGAACAAGCUCUGCCAGAGCUCGAGGCGAGGCUCCAUCCCCAGAAAGUCCUCGCACAGGACGACGAAGGCCGACAGCUGAAGGAUGGCGUUCGGCCCCAGCUGGUGCGGCUGCAGGCCAAAGAAGAUGAGCCAGGUGGAGAAGAAUGUGCUCGCCGGGAACCCGAAGCCCCUGCAGAAGUGCUCAUCGAAUACGAGGAUCUCUCCUUCCUGCGGCCUAGGGGCUGUCUCGACGCCGGGGAUCCGCACUGACACGAGAGACGCCGGGGGCAAUAUCCGGCGGUGGCGGAGCGCCUCGAUGUGGCCAUCCUAGAUCUCACUGCCAAGCCAAGAUCCGUGGGACGAGGUCUUCUUCGAGGAAGAACCGCUCGCCAUGGCUACGGGCAACAGAUGCUCAGGAAGGAUGGUGGCGCGAUGGCAACGGAGAGGAAGAAGACGAAGGUGGACAGACUCUUUCUCUCUGGGCUCAAGGAGGAAGAGGGCGUCGAUGCGGGGCGAGAAGGGGGCGAAUGGCCUCCUCGGUACCCGCGCAUCCCAUUUAAACCCCACGAAGGAUCGUGGCGAGGGAAUCCGAUGCGCGCGGAGCCCCACUAAUCCCGUGUAUUACGGGCGGUAGCAUUUCCCAAAACCCAACCGUCGCGGAGUAAAUCCGCAAAGGAUCCUACGCGCGGCGGCCGAGGGGAGUCGUGGCGGGACCCAGGGCCCAGGACCGGUCCCGUCACGAGUAUAAACCAUCAUCACGUCAGGCCGGGCCAGGCACGUGGCGUGAUUUGCGCAGCCUACAACAAGCCGAGGCGUCGCUUCGAAGACAACCGGCUUUUGAGUUGGCGACCCCUGCCGCAGGUGGCGGCAGGAAUACAAUGACAAAAAAUCAAGUUGGUGAGACCACCCGCGACCAGGCGGUGGGCCUCUCUAGCUUUGGGGACUACUGUCGGGGUUAUAACCCCGGGGUAGGCUUAACGAUCCUGCUACUUUAUCUCUGGCCCAAAAGGAAUGACCAAGAACAAUUUUACAAGGCCCAAGUCCUCUGGCCGGCUAGGCGACACCUACCGGCUAGGGGGCGAGACGGCCAACUCUCUGGCCAGCUAGGCAGCACCUGCCAGCUAGAAGCAAGACGAUUACCUCUUCCUGGCCGCCUAGGCCAAGCCAGCCGGCUAGGGACGAGGCGGCCGUGCCCAAGACGUCUAGACAAGCAGGCUAGCCGGCCAGGGAUCUCAAGUCACAUCAAAUCGUAGGUCAUGACGAGACCCUACGAUUAAAGGUGGCUAUGCGUCAGCAAAGGUACUGGAUCAGAGUGCACGGCGGGUACCAACGUCGGUGGUGACGCUGCUGACCUACCCCGGCUCUGAUCCAUCACCCAGCACAGUGUCGGUCAUCAAACUCCCACUCCAUUACUGCACUCGGCGUGGGAAUAGUGGAGGCGGUCGUACGGUCUGCCCAUGAUGAAUCUCGCUGGACAACGCCGGACGUACCACACGUGUCCAGCGUCAACCUUACGUGGGAGCCUCAUUGGCUAGCCGGCGGGUCCCACGGCCAGACGGGACCUCACAGCUGACGGGCCCCUCAAGCGACAAGACAAGACCCCCGUGGGCCCCUGGCCAGCCGACGAGCACUACUGGAAUCCAGAAAUUUGCCGUCAGCCAGUUCUUUACCGUCUGCUGGCUGACGGCAAAGAACCUCUUUGCCAUCAGUUGACACAAUACAGACGGCAAAGAACUGACACAUGGAAAAAAUACUAUUUGCCAUGUGUGGGUCCUUUGCCGUCUGCCAGCGGACGGCAAAGAGCCCUAGGGCAGACGGCAAAGGGGACGCGUGGGUCCCAUGCCUGCCGUGUCCGAAAUCCGGGGGCCUUUGCCGUCUGCCAUACGGCCCUUUGCCGUCGGGGGGCGGACGGCAAAGGGNNNNNNNNNNNNNNNNNNNNNNNNNNNNNNNNNNNNNNNNNNNNNNNNNNNNNNNNNNNNNNNNNNNNNNNNNNNNNNNNNNNNNNNNNNNNNNNNNNNNNNNNNNNNNNNNNNNNNNNNNNNNNNNNNNNNNNNNNNNNNNNNNNNNNNNNNNNNNNNNNNNNNNNNNNNNNNNNNNNNNNNNNNNNNNNNNNNNNNNNNNNNNNNNNNNNNNNNNNNNNNNNNNNNNNNNNNNNNNNNNNNNNNNNNNNNNNNNNNNNNNNNNNNNNNNNNNNNNNNNNNNNNNNNNNNNNNNNNNNNNNNNNNNNNNNNNNNNNNNNNNNNNNNNNNNNNNNNNNNNNNNNNNNNNNNNNNNNNNNNNNNNNNNNNNNNNNNNNNNNNNNNNNNNNNNNNNNNNNNNNNNNNNNNNNNNNNNNNNNNNNNNNNNNNNNNNNNNNNNNNNNNNNNNNNNNNNNNNNNNNNNNNNNNNNNNNNNNNNNNNNNNNNNNNNNNNNNNNNNNNNNNNNNNNNNNNNNNNNNNNNNNNNNNNNNNNNNNNNNNNNNNNNNNNNNNNNNNNNNNNNNNNNNNNNNNNNNNNNNNNNNNNNNNNNNNNNNNNNNNNNNNNNNNNNNNNNNNNNNNNNNNNNNNNNNNNNNNNNNNNNNNNNNNNNNNNNNNNNNNNNNNNNNNNNNNNNNNNNNNNNNNNNNNNNNNNNNNNNNNNNNNNNNNNNNNNNNNNNNNNNNNNNNNNNNNNNNNNNNNNNNNNNNNNNNNNNNNNNNNNNNNNNNNNNNNNNNNNNNNNNNNNNNNNNNNNNNNNNNNNNNNNNNNNNNNNNNNNNNNNNNNNNNNNNNNNNNNNNNNNNNNNNNNNNNNNNNNNNNNNNNNNNNNNNNNNNNNNNNNNNNNNNNNNNNNNNNNNNNNNNNNNNNNNNNNNNNNNNNNNNNNNNNNNNNNNNNNNNNNNNNNNNNNNNNNNNNNNNNNNNNNNNNNNNNNNNNNNNNNNNNNNNNNNNNNNNNNNNNNNNNNNNNNNNNNNNNNNNNNNNNNNNNNNNNNNNNNNNNNNNNNNNNNNNNNNNNNNNNNNNNNNNNNNNNNNNNNNNNNNNNNNNNNNNNNNNNNNNNNNNNNNNNNNNNNNNNNNNNNNNNNNNNNNNNNNNNNNNNNNNNNNNNNNNNNNNNNNNNNNNNNNNNNNNNNNNNNNNNNNNNNACGGCACUGACUCCCGACGCCACUAAGUCCCGACCCCCGACACCUCUUCUGCCUUCUUUUGAACGAGAAGGUGCUUUCCGGCCUUCCAGAGGCCCACGGGGUCAUAGUUUUGUAAAUUAUGAGUUAGGUCACAUAUUUUCCGAUCAUGUUAAUUAUAAAAACAUCGUAUUUGUGUUGAUCGGGUGAAUUUCAAUGUGCAGUUGUUCGACGACCUCCACGUGCGUUGGACGAGCUCCGCCCUUGCGCUUGUUGGUGAGCACAAAUGACUUCUCCUCCUACCCCCUUAAUUUGCUCUGUCCCGGUCUUCGUGCCGAUGAAACUUGCUAGCUAUAGGUUUCUUCAAUCAUGAGUAUGCGUGACCAGUAUGCGUCUCCCGUUCGAAAGGGCCACAUCUAUAAAUAUUCAUUUCUUUGCAUAUUUAUAACCGCCAUCCUUUCGAAUUGUCUAACAUUAUCCAUGGACAGCCCGAGUAUGUGUAGAUUGGGUUUGUUUUCCCGUAUGCUGUGCUCCGGAUCCGAUGCGGAAUUUCGUCAGUGCCUCCCCUGUUGUUCUCCGGGUACACAUCCUCUCUGCUUAUUGCCGAGACGUGUAUCAGGAGAACAGCGGGGAGGUGCUGCCGAAAUUCUGCGUCGCAUCUGGAGCAGAGCAUGGGAAAACGAACCCAGUCUACACAUACUCGGGUGGGAUUAGGACCUAUCUUUACCUAUUAGCGUGUAGGUUGCAUGGACGUAAUAAAACUGACAAACUUGAUUAGCGUAUGAAUAUAGAUGAUGAUUUAUGUAUUUAUUUCUUGUGCCCCCAUAGGUAGCUAGGCAACAUGAGCGAUCGUGCUUGGAUGUACAGUGGUCACCCUAGUCAGAAAUACAUGACCCAUGAAUGGUUAACAAAAACCAGGGGGUUUGUGAGAGCCGCAUUUGCAAAUGGCCAGCAAAAAACAUGGUGCCCCUGUCCCAACUGCGACAACUGGAAAAAGCAGACAGAGCUUGAAAUGGGUAAACACUUGCAGAAGUGGGGUUUUACGCCUAAUUAUACGGUGUGGACUUUUCAUGGUGAGUCUGACCAACGUGCCAGAGCUGAGGUGAUUCGUCGUCGCACCGACGAGCAUGGUACCGAGAUUGAUGACAUGGUGCAAGACUUUGAUGAUGCUCGAGAUUCGGACGAUGAGAUGGAGGAAUCUGCAAAGGCCUUCUAUGAAAUGCUGGAGUCUUCAAAACGUCCUCUCCACGAGCAGACUGAGCUUUGUCAGCUGGAUGCCAUCGCGCAAGUAAUGGCUCUGAAGGCUCAAUUCAACCUAGGCAGAGAAUGCUACGACGCGAUGAUGACGAUAUUUGGACGCUUUCUACCCAAAGGCCAUGUACUGCCUGCAAACCUGUACCAGUCAGAGAAAAUCCUCCGUGUACUUAAGAUGCCCUAUGAGAAGAUACAUGCCUGUGAGAAUGGAUGUGCCUUAUUUAGGCUUGAGUAUGCGGCCUUGAACUAUUGCCCCAUUUGCAAUUCUUCCAGGUAUAUUGUGGUAGACAACGACAUGGGUGAGAAGAAUCAGACCAAAAUCCCCAUUAGUGUUCUUCGAUAUCUGCCAAUCGUACCAAGACUUCAACGUCUUUUCAUGGUCGAAGAGACGGCCAGACAGAUGACAUGGCACAAAUUGGGCAAAAGAACCGAACUAGAUGCGGAUGGGAACAAGAUGCUGGUACACACUUCAGAUGGUUUUGCGUGGAGGCACUUCGAUGCAUUACAUAAGGAUAAAUCGGAAGAUCCAAGGAAACCUAGAGUUGCCAUCAGCAUGGAUGGGUUCAAUGUGUAUGGUAUGACGGCAGCACAAUACAGUUGUUGGCCUGUAUUUGUCAUUCCACUAAAUUUGCCACCCGGAGAGAUUAUGAAAAGAAAGAACAUUUUCCUGACGUUGAUAAUUCCAGGGCCCAACUAUCCGGGGAAGAAUAUGAAUGUGUACAUACAACCGCUUAAGGAUGAGUUGCAAGAAGCCUGGGAUAAUGGGAUCAAGACCUACGACGCGGCUACCAAAACAAAUUUCAAAAUGCAUGUGUGGUACAUGUACUCGACGCAUGAUUAUCCGGCGUUUGCGCUAUUCGCUGGCUGGUGUGUGCAUGGAAGGUUCCCGUGCACCACAUGCAAGGCAGCUCUUCAGUUCCGUUGGCUGCAGGCUGGUCGCAAGUAUUCUUGCUUCGACAUGCAUAGACAAUUCCUGGAUCCUGACCAUAAGUUCAUAAAAGACAAGAAGAAUUUCAUCAAAGGUAGAGUUGUCAAAAACACUGCACCAGCUGCGUUGACAGGCCAACAGACCCUUGAUCAGUUAAACGCUCUCGAGCCGGAUCCUUUGCGUCCAGGAUACUUCAAAGGGUAUAAUACGGAACACGCCUGGACUCACAAGUCAUGCUUAUGGGAUCUCCCUUACUUCAAAGACCUCCUUUGCCCACACAACAUUGACGUGAUGCACACUGAAAAGAAUAUUGCGGAGGCCAUUUUUGGUACAUUGUUCAGCAUAGAGGGGAAGUCAAAAGAUAAUCCUAAGGCUAGAAUCGACCUGGAGGCUCUAUGUGAUAGACCGUUGCAAAACUUGCGACAACGGAAAGGAAAGAAAAGCAUAGCGAAGCCAAAGGCAUGGUUCAGUCUUGAAAGGCCAGCUAUGAGGGAAAUGCUAUUGUGGGUGAAAAUGCGGUUGAUGUUCCCCGAUGGGUAUGCUGCGAAUCUAAAGAGGGGAGCGAGUCUUGAGAAAUUGAAAAUAUUUGGGCUCAAGAGUCAUGAUUGGCACAUAUGGAUUGAGCGGGUAAUGCCGGUGAUGUUGCGUGGCUUUAUCCCUGAGGAUGAAUGGCUAGUACUGGCAGAGCUGAGCUAUUUCUUCCGUUCUCUUUGUGCGAAAGAACUAUGGCCAUGCGUGCUAGAUGAAAUGGAAGAGUUGGCGCCGGAGUUGGUCUGCAAAUUAGAAAAGAUCUUUCCACCGGGCUUCUUUAAGCCAAUGCAACAUUUGAUUUUGCAUCUCCCGACCGAGGCAAGAAUGGGGGGGCCCGUUCAAAAUCGAUGGUGCUACUCAACUGAGAGGAUGCAGAAGACGCUUUGAGCUAAGUGUAAAAAUAAACGUAGAAUUGAAGCAUCGAUGGCCGAGGCAUUCAUUACUGAGGAGGCGGCAAACUUCGUGACAGCACACUACGAAGCCAAAAAUUAUCAUUUGCAUAACCCGAAGCCUCGGUACAAUGAUGGCGAUCGAGAAAAAGUUCGAUCCAACCUCAGCCUAUUCAAAGGUAAGCUCGCACCAUCCGGUGCUUCGAAAGGGAAAUCGUUGGAUGUCGAAGAAUGGCGGACCAUUUCAUUGUAUAUCUUCACCAACCUAACAGAAGUGCGGCCGUACAUCGAGUAAGUUCUCGGUAAUUUAUUGUUCCGCAACUUCUAAUUGCUUUGAACCACUCUUAUUCCCGGAUAUUUGAUAUAGUCGAUACGUCGCCGAAUUCUCGGAUGGAGCGGUCAUCGAAAAGGAUUCCGUCGAAGAGUAUGAGCUUCUCGCAAAGCAUGGAGGCGACUAUCCUAGUUUCAUCUCUUGGUUCAAACAAAGGGUAAUUAAUUACCAUUAAGGGCCCAUUUGACUUAUUGGUCUAAUUUGCGGCUAAUGCAUCCAUUCUUUCGUAUUAAACUUGUAGGCUGAUGCAGAGUCUAUGGACGCCGAGUUGAGACAAGUCGCUAAUGGUUUUGACUAUAAGGUCCGUUCAUUUGACAAAUACAACAUCAACGGGUAUCACUUUCGUACCUUUGGCAAAGAGCUAUCUAUGCCCGACCUAAAGACUACAAAUUGUUCUGUCUCUCCUAUCGGCGAAGGAGACACCGAGUAUUAUGGAAGGGUUGAAGCAAUUUAUGAACUUCUAUUCUAUGGUGAAAACCCACCGACCGUCGUAGUCUUCAAAUGUUAUUGGUUUGAGCCGAGGGAGACUAGAAGGACUCAUGAACAUAUAGGACUAGUCGAAAUCAACCAAAACACCCACUUAGAUGUUCCCGAUGUCUAUAUUACGGCUCAACAGGCGACACAAGUUUUCUAUCUACCUUGGGCCUGCCAAACUGAUCCAAAUCUCAAAGGUUGGGAUGUCGUUUAUGAAGUGCCACCACAUUUUAGACCACCUACCCUCAAUGAAGAGGAUUACGAACCUCACAUUAACCCAGACACAUAUGAAGGAGAAUUCUUCCAAGAAACACGUAUGUCCAAGAAACGUUUCAAGAACCGCUCUACUUCACCCCAGAACAUUGAAGUAGACAGCGACAGUGAAUCCGUCUUAACCCCUGAGCCCGAAGAGGAAGAGCUGGAAGAAGAAGAGGUUACUGCUGCGGAUGACCUGUCACUUCUUGACCGAUUACAUAAUGGUGGCCUUCCACAUGUUCUUCUAGAUAGUGAUGAUGAUGAUGCAUUUAUUGAUGAUAGUGAUGAUCAUGAUGCAUUUAUUGACCCCGAAGCAUAUAUAGACGAGGACGAUUGUUAUUAGUUCAUGUCAGGUAUUCAACUAUUAUACUAUAUAUAAAUUUUGAGUUCAUGUUAGGUAUUCAAUUUUUAUUAGUCAUGUUGGUAUUUAUGUUGUACUAAUUUCAUUUACUCUUUGUCAUGACAGGUGUUGAAAUAUGGUGGGAAAGGGUCGAAAGCAUGUCGCGGCUGCUUCUUCGUCGGCGGGUGAUGGUAUGGGUACUUCCAUUCCUGCCUCGCCUCUUCGGAGAGUGUUGCUCUCUACUAUGCAAGGAGCAGCCCCCGUGAGAGGAGGUCGACCACCCGCGAAGCCGAGAGAAACUAAAGGUACACGUUGUAUUCAUGUUGGUAUUUAUGUUGUACUCAUGUUGUAUGCAUAUUGGUAUUUAUAUACAUUUUAUUACUCAUGUUGGUAUUUAUGUUGUACUAAAGGUACACGUGGCCGCGGGAGAGGUAGGGCUACACGGUCUCCGCCACCACCCCAAGCUGAUUCACCUGAGCACAGGAGGACUUCUAGGGUGGAUUCGUCUGAGGUGGAGGCUACACGGUCUCCGGUUCACGAGCCUCGAGUCGACGAGCGUCAGGUCGACGAGCCUUCGACCCACGAGACUCGUGUCCCAGAGGCUUCCUUCCACACGACUGCGGAGCACAGCAGGGAUGAGGGUACGUCCCAAGAGACCCAGUGGGAUCCCUGGCCAGAGCCAACUGGCCAUGCUGGUAGCGACGAGGAGCUGGGUGAGGGGGAUACCGUCUACCAGCGUGGUAGUUCGGGGCUCCCGCUCGUGCCAGCGACCCCCGAGCAGAGGUGCUCGAUUAGGCCAAAUGGGGACAAGUAAGUUAAUUUACUCUUAUUUUACCUUUUGCCUUCGCGUUUUCUCAAAUAUCUAAUGUUUUUGCUUUAAUUUGUCAUACUGUAGGGGUUGGAUUGUUGCCAAGGGUGUCCGCAAGCCCAACAGCGUCCUCGGUGUUCUUUGCCGUCAAAACUUCCCAGGGUUUGUUACAUUGCCCGGUCGGGAGCGAGAGGUAGGGAUGACCUGGGAGCACUACUUGGGUGCCCCGGCCCCGCCGGAGGUGGAGAUCGACGGUGUUUUGUGUGCCACGAGGGCGGACAUCGUGAUCCGAAAGUUCUGGGUAAUUUCUCUUUCACACAAUUAUAAAUUAACCAUAGCUAUUUAUUGUACUAAUCGGUGUUGUCUCAUUUGCAGACCUUCUACAGGUGUGAGGAGGGAUACGAGGACGACGCGGCAAAGGCUAUCGAAACCAAAUGUCGCCGCCUACUUCAAAACUUCCGGCACGAGGCUCGGGUGCAGGCUGUUCGAGACUACUAUGCCACGCGGCGUAUUAGGAUUGAUAAGGCGAAGUGCCGUGAUGCUAAGAUGGAGAAGGAGCAUUACAUGAAGGUAAUUACAUAUUAUUAAGGCUUUGUAGUUAGUUUCCUUGAUUUGGUUCUUACGCACUCAAAUUUCUAUUUAUUAACUUAGGUGCCCCCUAGAUGGUGUGUGGAUAAGAUGGAUUGAUGGGAGGCCUUGGUGGACCAGUGGUGCUCCAAAACGUGGGAGACCAGCCACAACAACGCCAAGGAGAGGCGUGGCAAAAUGGUUGGCGUGCCACACCAUCAAGGGAGCGUCAACUUAAUCCAAUUUGGCGAGAACUGGGUAUGUGGUUUGCUUCAUGCCUCAUGCAAUUCAUGCCUAUUUAAUAAAAAAUGACCUAUACUUAGCUAAUUAUCCUCGAAAUGACAUAAUUAGCUCCAAAAAGGCAUUCUUAGCCAAUUUAGCCCGAAGAAGGGGAAAAGAAGAGAAAAAGAGGAAAAAUGAAAGGAGNNNNNNNNNNNNNNNNNNNNNNNNNNNNNNNNNNNNNNNNNNNNNNNNNNNNNNNNNNNNNNNNNNNNNNNNNNNNNNNNNNNNNNNNNNNNNNNNNNNNNNNNNNNNNNNNNNNNNNNNNNCUCCUCCUCCUUAUUUUACUUCUUCUUCUCUAUCUCUUCUUCUACGUAGCUUAGACUCAUCCAAGAAAGGCUAAAUUAGCCAAUUGUCCUACGAAAUGACAUAAUUAGCUUAGUUAGCUCCAAAAUGUCCUAUUUAAUAAAAAAAGACCUAUACUUUGCUAAUUAUCCUCGAAAUGACAUAAUUAGCUCCAAAAAGGCAUUCUUAGCCAAUUUAGCCCGAAGAAGGGGACAAGAAGAGAAAAAGAGGAAAAAUGAAAGGAAGGAAGAGGAAAAAUGAGGAGAAGAAGGAGGAAGAGGAGAAGAAGAAAGGAAUAGAGGAGAAAGAAGAAAAAAAAUAGAAAAUUUCUAUUUUUUUCUUCUUUCUCCUCUAUUCUUUUCUUCUUCUCCUCUUCUNUCAUCUAUAAAACCCCCUGGGCCCCCUCCAUGCAGAGGGUCGGUCAACUGAUCCACACACACACACCAACCACAUAGGAGAGGCAGAGAUGAGUCGGCUGCUCCCUCUUCCUCCUCCGCAAUACAUCUCCAGGAGCGACCUUGUAAUCCCAUCAAUACAUCUCCAGGAGCGACCUUGUAAUCCCAUCCAUACAUAUCAUGGCUUAUGUUGUUACUUUGGUUUCACUCUUGCUACUUCGGUUCCUACCUUCUUUAGCCUACCCAUGGCUUAUGUUGUUAGUAUUCACCGACAUUUUGCCCCCACCGUGGGGCCGAUCGCGGCAUCGGCUGGCUUUACGCGCUGGGCGGGGCCCCACACCUACACCACCGGAUGCAUCGCGUCCAGACCGAUCUGCAUGCUCGUGGAGCAUGCCUUCGAUGAGGCAACACCGAUGAUGAUCGACAUCCCUGUCCGCUAUGCGGAUUCGGACGAGGAGUCCGAUGACAAGGCGCCUACCAGCGUCGUCGUCGCUACUAUGGAGAACCUCAGCGUUCUCUUUAGCGACCUGCGCCUCAACGAUGGUCCUUGCUACUUUGGCAAGGACUUUGAUGUCAAGGCGUUAUGCGCCAGCUUCAGUAGACUCUCUAUCGCUGAGACGCCUAUGCACGACAUGUACCCCAGUAAUGUACUCUUCUUCGACGGCCCUCCGCCGUCGAUGGGGUUCUUCACCCCAUACCAUGUCGCCACCGUCUCCAACAUCGUGGACGUGAUGGUCAUCGGCGCCGGCACCAGCACGGCUCAGGCCAAAUCGUCAGCAGACGUUGCUCAUCCUACUGCUGUCGCUGCUGACACUCUUCAGGCUGCGCUUACCGUCUUGAAGACGCCCAUCGCCGCCUCCACAAACCCUAACGACGCAUGAGCUUUGUUGGAGGAGGCUCGCAGGCAGAUCUUGGAGGAGGGCAUCGCCAUAGCUUCGGCGAAAUUCCGGAUUGAGGCCACGCAGCGCGAGUAUAACUCCGCAUAGGUCCUCGCUCCGAUUUCCGAGGCCCCUAGCCGGCUUGGCCAGGUCCGUGGCCGCGGUCGGGUCAUCGCCGAGAUUCUAGGCGGCAAGCAGCCCAUCUACGAGACUCCCGCAGACAACUUGCGGACGGCUCAGGCGGCCAUGACAGAAAUGCCAAGUUUGGAAGGGGAGGAGCGCGCCUUCAAGGAGAAGCGGGUCAAGGAUCUCCUUGACGCUGCCAACGAGCAGCAGACACGGCUUGACCCCGGUCAAGCUCAAUCAAAGUCUCCAGGACCCAACCCCGGAGCGCACCGCAACCCUAGCCCCCGCCCUUUUGAAUAUAGUACACAUGCAAGCAUUUAUAAAAACGUGCAUACCCUCAUCUUUAAUUAUGACCGCACACAUGUACAUCCUAGCCCUAUGAGCACAUCCUAGAGACUGAGUUGCCAUAUCAUUUUGAGAUUUACAAAGUCAACGUAGACACCUCAUUGUCAACCAAAACGUCUACUCCCACUGAAUACGCAUCAUCAAAAAUCCUAAAAUAAAUCCGAAAUUAUACGAACACCAGUACUUAAACCCCGGGGGCGUAGGGAUACCAUUGUCCCUUUAACCAUCCAAUCACAAAUAGGUUUGCAUUUAUCGAGAUCUGAGUUGCAAUGUUUCUUUCUUAUUUUAUUCUAUAUUAUUCGCAAUAAUUCAAGAUUUUAAACAGUUACAAAUUUCUAAUAAGUUAGAAAAACAAAAUCAAGAAACCAUAAUAUUUUUGUUAACUCGCAAAUUGUUCGGUAAAUCAUAAAUGUUCAUGGAUUAAAAAAUAUACGUGAUUUUGAAAAUUAAAUGUUGGCAUAUUUAAAAAAUGUGCACGACUUCAAAUCAAUAUUCGAGAUAUAAAAUAAGGUCGUGAUUUUGAAAACAUUUGUGUGGGGGGGGGGGUUUUAAAAAUGUUCACGAAAAUUCAAAACAUAUUGGUGAAUUCAACGAAUAGUUCCAAAUUUGAAAAUAAAUUCAUCGAUUCAACAAAUAUUCGCUGACCUAAAAAAAAUACAUGAGUACGAUAAAUAAUCAUGCAUUUCAAAAUAAUAUUCAUCAAAACAAAUAUUGUUCAUGAUUUCAGAAAUUGCUCCCAAAUUCAAAAAUGUUUGUCCAUUCAGAAAAAUGAUCUAGAGUUUUCAAAAUAUGUUCAUAGUUUUAAAAGUUGUAAAUAAUGUUACCCAAUUUGUAUUAAACUCUUAUGUUUUUUUUAAACAAAGUGUUCAUGAAUUCAAAAAAUGUUUAUGAUUUCAAAUAUAUGGAUUCAUGAAUUUGAAAGACGUUCAUAGAAUAUAAUAAUAAAUAAUUAACAAAUAACCAGACAAAAAGAGUAAAACCGGUUCAAGGGGUUGACACCAGAUUUUGGCAUGUAACGAAGAAUUAUUAAGAUGGCUUCAAGGGAAGAAGUACUCUACAUUGAAAAGUUCCGUAGUGUUGACAUGAACAUUUUUGAAGUUUCGGCCAUCGCCAUUCGAUCUCAUCUCGAAGGCCGAAACUGUGCUCAAUCUACUCGAUUUCAUAUUUAGAGUAUUGUUCGGACAAUUAAUUCCCCAAGACCACCCCGUGUGAGAAAAUGUUCAACAUGGAUUGUCUUCGUCCUGUCGGAACGAUCGAUUUUCAUAUAAAAAUCAUCUUAAUCCGAGAUCACAUGCAAAAGUUACAACCAUUAGAGUGUGGCCCUAACGCGAGGCAAAAUGUGGCGUAAGGGAUCACACAACCACCUAAGAGAUGUCUGAUGUGUCGCGCGAGCUCUCAACAGGGCCACAAAUGAAAAAUUAUUCGACUUGAAAGUUGUGUGUAUCGUCGAGUUGGUGAACUUUGCUUUUGAAGUCAUCAUCAUUUGAUAUAAUAUACGGCCUGCAAAAUCUCUACAAAACUCGGACAGCCUAGUGAGCCAGAGAACCGAAUCCGACUGGAAGUUAAAGAUUACCUUGUGGAUUAUUCAAGAUUGCCUUAUUUUGAAAAGUGAUAAACAGAAGACUUGUUCGUCUCAUCGAAACAAUUGAUUUUGAUAUAAAUAUUGUCUCAAUCAGAGGUCAUAUACAGAUUCUGUGACCUGCGCAAAGAGCAAGAGAAAAGUUUGAGCCACAUUCAGGCUAAAUCCGAGUUAGAAUAAAAGUAGGACUCUAGGACAUGAAUUGAUGUAGUUUUCUUGUAAGGAAAGCAUAGAUAAAUCCUCUACUUGUAUGGGAAAUCCAUCUUCCACUUAUAUAUAAUGGAGGUGACGGCCGAUUAAAACAACACACAAUCGAAAAAAUGAAUCUACCGCUCUUUACCUAUACCUUUAUCUCCCUCCCUUGUUCUUCUUCUUCCUUGUCCUUCGUCGUUCUUCAUGAUUGCAGGGCAGCAAAUCCACGAGGCUCUAGGGGCGACCAGGUCGACCUAGGGCAUCCUAUAGCGGACGCACGCCCUGACAGGGUCCCCCAGGACGUGUGGGUUUUCGGGUCUGCAAAACCAUUUGCUGGAUUGCUUGCGUACCACGCUUCUGGAUGGGUCUUCUUCGACUUGAGCUGCAGUGCAUCACCAUCGAUGUUGGAGGUACAUGGCGACUUGUUCGUGUGUCAACACAAGGAAGGUUUUAGAACUUCCCAAGGCCAGUGAAAAAAGGGGAGUGCUCUGCGCCGGCGCGCCGGCCGAAACUUUCGGUGGCCGCGCGCGGGCCGCACGAUCCACCAUCCCCGCGCUUCCGCACCGUUGGAUCUCGAUGCAACAUUUUUCCUUCGAUGCAGCAAUAUUUCGAUGCGAUGCAGCAAUUUUUUCAACGGUUGCAACAAAAAAAAAUUGUAGCAAAAAAAUAAUAUCUAUGUGAUCGUAGCAAAAAAACGAAGAUGAUGGUACGUGGUAGCAAAAGUCAAACGCCGGUUGUAACAAAUAUUUACAUGACAUGUAUGCAACUUUUUUAGCGAACGGUUGUAGCAAAAAUUAACACGAUUGUAGCAAAAGUAAAAAACAUCGUUUGUAACGAAAAAUUCGAAGAACUGGAGUUGCAACCAAACGUAUAUGCAGCAAAUACGACACUGGUUGCAAGAAAUUUACACGAGAAAAAAAGCUGCAUGAAAAACGUUUGUAUAAAAAAAACACGAUUGUAGCAAAUUUGACGGAAAAUUGUUGCGAGCAUCUGCCAGCGAGGCGUGCGGCCCGCGCGUGACCGGCCGGACGAUUCGGCCGGAGCGCCGGGUGGAAACAAUUCCCGUGAAUAAAUGAGUCAGCCCAUCCUCUCAAGACAUGACGCGUGGGUGAAGGGGUGGGGGGUACGCACUAGGUCACUACACAACGACCUAUGCACCAAAUUGGAGUGGCGGGCAUGAUGGUGGGUAUGGUCCGGAGCCGUGAACAUUAUUGUCAUGUUUUUUAUAUAUUAAUAACUUUUUCUUACACUCAUUUUUUCUUAACAAAAAACUGUGAAAUGAAAAAUAGAAGUCUCAUAUGGAGUAGUCAUGAGGUGGAAUGACGUUCUGUCAGCCACGCUGUGACAUCGUCUACAGAGACGAGACGGUGACAAGUUUCUUGGUGUGCGGGUUGAUGGUGUGUGUGCAAUGGGGAUCACCGACAUGGAUACAUAGGAGAAGGGGAGAGGGGCGGGCCAACAAUGUAAAAGCAUCUACAACCGGACUCCUUAAACCCUCCUCAAAUGGGUACGUAGGCCAGCCAAUCAUUGACCGGUCAUGAAAAAGCCACCUAGACGGAUCCCUCAAACCGGCCUCAAACACCCGGGCUGACCGACACCACCCAUAUCCAGCCCAAAUAUGGGGCGAAUAUUAGGGAACCCGAGCACGCCCGCCACAUCGGCCUAAUGGUGUGCCCCACAUGGACUCGCCCGGAAACUCGACGGUCCACUAGGCGCCUCGAACAGCAUUGCGGUGUGAAUGUCGUGUGGUGCCGCUCCAGCUCCCCGCCCUUAUUCAUAGUGGCUAUUUAAGACGGCUGGCAUCCGCAAGCCUAAGCACAUCCACCUCCUCCCUUUUGUCGCUGCCAUAUGAGCCUGUCAGCCAUGCCCCCACACCAUCGGCACAACACAAUACAACACCGUCACUAGCUCCUUGAGCACGCCCGGAUCUCGAGGGAGUCGGGGAUACCUUUGGAUCGGGAGGAGGAUUUCCAGGAGGUGGAGGACGAAGAGGAGGAGCUGGGGGUGGAAGAGGAGGAGGUGUUGGAUAUAUGACCUAGAGGAAAUAAUAAAUUAGUUAUUAUUGUAUUUCCUUCUUCAUGAUAAUCAUUUAUUAUCCAUGUUAUAAUUAUAUUGAUUGGAAACCCAAAUACAUGUGUCGAUACAUCGACAACACGGUGUCCCUAGUGAGUCUCUACUAGACAAGCCCGUUGAUCAAAGAUGGUUAAGGUUUCCAAACCGUAGAUGUGGGUUGUCAUUCAAUAAUGGGAUCGCAUCAUUAGUGAAAUGAUGUGAUGGACAAGACCAAACCUUAAGCAUAACAUUUGAUCGUAUGACUAAGUUUAUUGCUAUUGGUUUCUGCAUGUCAGAUAUUUGUUCCUAAGACCAUGAGAUCAUGCAACUCCCUAAAACCGUAGGAAUGUCUUGUGUGUAUCAAAUGUCACAAUAUAAUUGCGUGAUCAUAAAGAUGCUCUACAAGUAUCUUCGAUGGUGUUCGUUGGGUUGGAAUGGAUCGAGCCUGGGAAUUGUCACUCAGUUUGACGAAGAAGUAUCUCUGUGCCCUGUCGGUAAUACAACAUCACAAUAAGUUUGCAAGAAAUGUGAGUAAGGAGCUCUUCACACAAUCUUGUAUUGCAGAACGAGUAAAGAGACUUGUCGGUAACGAGAUUGAACUGGAUAUGGAGAUACCGACGAUCAAAUCUCGCGCAAGUAGCAUACCUCUGGACAAAGGGAACUACAUACGGGAUUGAUUGAAUCCUUGGCAUCAUGGUUCGACCAAUAAAUAUAUUCAUGGAAUAUGUGGGAACCAAUAUGGCCAUCUAGGUCCCGCUAUUGGUUAUUGACCGGAGAUGUGUCUCAGUCAUGUCCACUUGAUUCUCGAACUCGUAGGGUCCGCACCCUUCACAUUCAGUGGCAAUAUAGUAUUAUUGGGUUAUGUAUGUUGGUGACCAAAUGUUGUUUGGAGUCACAGAUUAGAUCUCGGAUGUCACUAGGAGCUCCGGAAUGGUCUGAAGGUAAAGAUUUAUAUAUGGGAAGUCAUAUUUUGGCUACCGGGAAAGUUUUGGGUUUUUCCACUAUUGUUCCGGGAAGCUUCUAGAUGGUUCCGGAAACUUCCGGAGGAGUACGAAAAUACACCAAGGGUUCCACCACGUCCCAAGGAUUUGCAUGUUCUCUGGGGAGGCACUCUGGAUUUAUUGCGAAAGGCAAACAAGUCCCUCAAGUCCCAUGCAGUUGGGAAAGGUGGAAAGUCCACCGUUGUAUGGAAGGGAAGGAGGAGGACAAGGAUUCCACCUCCUCACCCUUGGCUGCACCCUAGUGCUUGGAGGGGAUGUUUCCCAUGCCCCGUAACCUAUAUAUAAAGGGGAGGGGUUCCCUAAUAGGACACACCAAGCCUUUUGUGCAACUCUCUCUCCCUAUAUUGUUUUCUCCUCCGUUUGCAGUUUCAGUAGCACUCGCCGUAGCCAUGUUUUCUUGUUGCCGGAGAACUAAUCUAAAAAUCCACCCCUCUCUGGCUGGAUCGAGGAGGCGGAUAUGUCAUCGAGAUGCAUGUGUUCUAAACACGGAGGUGUCGUCCGUUCGGCACUAGAUCGUGACAGAUCAUGAUUGAAUCGUGAAGACGUAUGACUACAUCGACCGCGUUAUAUAUGCUUCCUCUUAGCGUUCUAUGAUACAUCUCCAAUGUAUCUAUAAAUUUUAUUGUUCCAUGCUAUCAAUUUAUCAUUUUAGAACACUUUUAUUGUACUUAUCUACCAAUUCAUAUUAUUUUCGAGCACUAACCUUUUUACCUAGUGCCCAGUGUCGAAAGGAGGCAGGAGGGUGCACAAGGGCCCCACAAGCCAAGAGGGAGUGCCCUAGGGGGCGCCCUGACGCUUGUGGCCCCCUCAUGGCUCUCCCGACUCCGUUCUUUGGCCUAUAAAUUCCUAUCUACCCUAAAAACAUCGAGGGAUGUCCCAAAACACUUUUUACGCCACCGCAAGUCUAUGUUCCGACGGAAGACCAUCUAGAGCUCCGUUUCGCCACUCUGCCAGAGGGAGGAUCAAUCAAAGAUGGCUUGUUCAUCAGCCUUGCGGCGAUCAUGAUGAUGUGUCAGUAGUUCACUACAUCCCUAUGGGUCUAUAGCCAUUACCUAGAUGGCAAUCUCUCACUUUGAUAUUCAACACAAUAAUCAUCGCAUCUUCACUUUGAUCCAUAUGAUGUAACUCUUUUGUACGGUGCAUUUGUUGGGAUCUGAUGAAUUGUGGGUUUAUGUUCAUAUUAUUCAUGAUAAAUAUUGGAGUCUCCGCUGAUAUAUAAUAUUAUUAUUAUGUGCGUGAUUAUGAUAGCUUCGUAAUUCUCUCUGAUCUAUUAAAAUAGUUUGGCCAACUAGAUUGAUAUCUCUUCGGUGAGAGAGGUGGGUUGUAGAAGGUUCAACCUCACGAGUUUCUGUAUCCCAGUGACAGAAGGGGACAACUUGUGUAUUUGUGUUGCUACAGCUAAGGGUAAAAUGAUGGGGUUCAUUAAUAUCAGUUGAGUAUACUUUCUCUACAUCAUGUCAUGUUUCUUCAAGCAUUACUUCGUUUGUCAUGAACUUAAUACGUAGAUAGGCAAGCAUAGAAGUACUCUUGAAGUGAAGUAAUAGUGAUAGGUGGAUCCAGGAGUUGGCCUAUUUAUUUAUGGACGUGAUGCCUAUAUUUACAUGAUCGUUGCCGUGAAAAUCGCAUAACUAUCCGAUCUUCUGUCAAUUGCCCAAUAGUAUUUUGUUUACCCACCGUGUGCUAUUUUCAUGAGAGAUGCCAUUAGGGAAAACUAUGGCCCUCGGGUCUAUUCACAACAUAUUGCUAAAACCUCCAAUACCUUGCUGCCAUUUAUUUUCUNNNNNNNNNUUUUAAUUUUAUUGUUCUAUACAAUUAUCAAAACACCUCAUUUUCUUGCAAAUAACAACACCAAGCGGAUUGAAAACCCUCUUGCCUGUGUUGGGUGCAAGCUAUUUGUUCUUUUGUGUGCAGCUGCUGAAGAUGGUUGUGGUUGAUAUUCCUAUUGGUUAGAUAGACCUUGGUUUCAUAACUAAAGGAAAUACUUACCCACAUUGUGCUGCGAUAACCCAUUCUUCUUCAUGAAAACCCAACGCAGAUCACAAGUAUCACGAAGGAUUUCUUGCACACUUGUCGGGGAAUAUCAUCACCAACUUUCAAAUAACUCCGCACAAAAUUUCAUUCACUCUAUCCUCUUUUCACUUGCUGAUAUAUAUAAUUUGUCUCAUAAACCAAUGAAAUAAAUAAAUAUUUAUCUUUGCUUGCUUAGCUUGUCACCAUAUUGCAUCUUUGGUCUCUAGUUUGCUUAUUACACUUGUCACUUUGCUCACUCGGUCAUCCAACGCAGAUCACAAGUAUCAAUCUACAAGGGUAUGUAGAUACACUCCCCCUCUCAUAGCUAUGCAUCUCCAUGGAUAGAUCUUGCGUGUGGGUAGGAAAUUUUAUGUUUCCCAUGCAACGUUCCAAAAUAGUGGCAUUAUGAGCUAGGUCUAUGUGUAGAUGAUAUGCACGAGUAGGACACCAAGUGUUUGUGGAUGUUGAUGUUCAAAUUGCUUACUUCCUUAGUCUUAUCUUGAUUCGCCGGCAUUGUAGGAUGAAGUGGCUCAGACCAGCUUUACUUGGCCACAGACAAGAGAUCAGUUCCACCUACUCACAUGUAACUUGGUUGCAGAAAGGUGGCUGGCGGGUAUCUGUCUCUCCCACUUUAGUUGAAUCAGAUUCGACAGAGCCGGUUCUUGUAGAAGGUUAAAUAGCAACUUGGAACUCACAGUUGUGCCUUUGCAUAGGUAAGAACGGUUCUUGCUAGUUCCCAUCGCAGCCAUGUAAAACUUGCAACAACAAAGCAGAGGACGUCUAACUUGUUUUUGCAAGGCAUGUUGUGAUGUGAUAUGGCGAAAGACGUGAUUUGAUAUAUGUGAUGUGUGAGACGAUCAUGUUUUGUAUAGAUUAUCACAACUUGCAUGUCGAUGAGUACGACAACUAACAGGAGCCAUGGGGUUGUCUUUAAUUUAUUUGUUCCAUUUGCUUUACUUUAUCGCUAUGAGUUAGCAAUAGUUUUAUCAGCAAUAGUUGGUGGGACAAUCACAUGACGAUCCGAUUAUCAUGGUGUCAUGCUGGUGACGAUGGAGACCUCAAAAGCAUAAGAUGAUGAUGGCCAUAUCAUGUCACUUAUAUGAUUUGCAUGUGAUAUUUAUCUUAUGCAUCUUAUUUUUCAUAGGACAAGGUAGCAUUAUAAGAUGAUCCCUCAUUAAAAUUGGAAGACAAAAUUGUGUUCUCCCUAAGUGGUGCACCGUUGCGAAGGUUCAUCAUUUUGACGCACCUCGUGAUGAUCGGAUGUGAUAGACUCUAUAUUCGCAUACAACGGGCGUAAGCUAGUUUUGCACAUGCAGAACACUCGGGUUAAACCUGACGAGCCUAGCAUGUACAGACAUAGCCUCGGAAGAUAGGAGACCGAAAGGUCAAACGUGAGUUAUAUAGUAGAUAUGAUCAACAUAGAGAUGUUCACCAUUGAAACCAACUCAUCUCACGUGAUGAUCAGACUUGGGUUGGUGGAUUAGGAUAGUUUUACACGCAAACAACAUGAGGGAUGUUCUUUUGAGUGGGAUUUCUUUAGUAAUAUUAUUUAUUUAAAUCCUUAUCAUGAACAUAGUAUAAGUUGUCUUUGCAAAUUAUGUUGUAGAUCAAUAGCUCAUGUUGUAGCUCCUCUGUAUUUUGAUACGUUCUUAGAGAAAACUAAGUUGAAAGUUGAUAGUAGCAAUUACGCAGAAUAGUUCUCUGAACUGAGGAUUGUCCUCAUUGCUACACAAAAGUGUUGGAAAUAUGCCCUAGAGGCAAUAAUAAAUUAGUUAUUAUUAUAUUUCCUUGCUCAUGAUAAUAUUUAUUAUCCAUGCUAGAAUUGUAUUGAUUGGAAACUCAAAUACAUGUGUGGGUACAUAGCCAACACACUGUCUGUAAUGAGCCUCCAAGGACUAGCUCGUUGAUCAAAGAUGGUCAUGGUUUCCUAGCCAAAGACAUGGGUUGUCAUUUGAUGAUGGGGUCACAUCAUUAGGAGAAUGAUGUGAUGGACAAGACCCAAACUAUGAAUGUAGCAUAUGAUCGUAUAAGUUUAUUGCUACUAUUUUGUGCAUGUCAAGUAUCUGUUUCUAUAACCAUGAGAUCAUGCAGUUCCCGGGCACCGAAGGAAUGCCUUGUGUGUAUAAAAUGUCACAACGUCACUGGGUGGCUAUAAAGGUGCUCUACAGGUAUCUCCGAAGGUGUUUGUUGGUUUGGCGUGAAUCAAGAAUGGGAUUUGCCACUCCGUAUGACGCAGAGAUAUCUCUAGGGACCACUCGGUAAUACAACAUCACAAUGAGGUUGCAAGCAAUGUGAGUAAAGAGUUAGUCACGGGAUUUUUUAUUAUGGAAUGAGUAAAUAGACUUGCCGGUAAUGAGAUUGAACUAGGUAUAGAGAUACCGAUGAUCGAAUCUCACGCAAGUACCAUGCUGAUGGACAAAGGGAAUAGUGUACAGAAUUAACUGAAUCCUUGACAUAGAUGUUCGACCGAUAAAGAUCUUCAUAGAAUAUUUAGGAGCCAAUAUGGGCAUUCAGGUCCCUCUAUUGGUUAUUGAUUGGAGAGUGUCUCACUCAUGUCUACAUAUUUCUCGAACCCACAGGGUAUGCAAACUUAAGGUUCGGUGACGUUUCGAUAUAGUUGAGUUAUGUAUGUUGGUGACCGAAGGUUGUUCGGACUCCGAGAUGAGAUCCAGGAUGUCACGAGGAGUUCGGUAAUCAUCCAAAGACAGAAAUUGAUAUAUAGGAAGACGGUAUUUGGGCUCCGGAAAAGUUUCGGGCAUUUCCGGUAGUGUACGAGGAGUAACAAAUGGGUUUUGGGGGUUCACCGGAAGGGGCCAACCACCCCGAGGGGGAGGGGUUACAUAGGCCUAAGAUGUUGCGCACUACUACCUCUUGAGCUUGUGUUGGUUUUUCCCUUGAAGAUGAAAGGGUGAUGCAGCACAGUAGCAGUAAGUAUUUCCCUCAGUUUGAGAACCAAGGUAUCAAUCCAGUAGGAGUAUCAAGGCAAGUCUCCAAAGUACCUGCACAACAAUAGCAAACUUGCAGCCAAUGCUACAAAGGGGUUGUCAAUCCCUUCACGAUUGAUUGCAAGGUGAGAUCGGAAGGCGGAAAGUGCAAUAAAGUAAAAGUGUAGGGCUGAAAAUAUGAUGUGAAGUGGACCCGGGGGCCAUAGUGUUCACUAGAGGCUUCCCUCAUGAUAGAAAAUAUUACGGUGGGUGAACGAAUUACUGUCGAGCAACUGAUAGAACCGCCCAAAGUCAUGACGAUAUCUAAGGCAGUGAUCAUACAUAUAGGCAUUACAUCCGAGACAAGUAGACCGAUACUUUCUGCAUCUACUACUAUUACUCCACACAUCGACCGCUAUGCAGCAUGCAUCUAGUGUAUUGAGUUCAUAACAAACAGAGUAACGCCUUAAGAAAGAUGACAUGAUGUAGAGGGACAAAUUCAUGCAAUAUAUAUAAACCCCAUCUUUUUACCCUUGAUGGCAACAACACGAUGUGUGCCUCGCUACCCCUUCUGCCACUGGGUGAGGACACCGCACGGUAUGAAACCAAAACCAAGCACUUCUCCCAUUGCAAGAAUUAUAGAUCAAGUUGGACAAACGAAACCCACAACUCGAAGAGAAUUACAAGGAUAUUAAAUCAUGCAUAUAAGAGAUCAAAAGAAACUCAAAUAAGAUUCAUGGAUAAUAUGAUCAUAAGUCCUCAAUUCAUCGUAUCUUGACAAACACACCGCAAAAGAAGAUUACAUCGGAUUGAUCUCCAUGAAGAUCAUGGAGAACUUUGUAUUGAAGAUCCAAGAGAGAGAAGAAGCCAUAUAGCUACUAGCUAUGGACCCGAAGGUCUGUGGUGAACUACUCACGCAUCAUCGGAGAGGCAAUGGUGUUGAUGAAGAAGCCCUCCAUGUCCGAAUCCUCCCUCCGACAGGGCACCAGAACGUGCCCCAGAUGGGAUCUUGUGGAGACAGAAGCUUGCGGCGGCGGAAAAGUAUUUUCGAGGCCCUCUCCCGUGGUUUCAGAUUUUUGGGGGAUUUAUAGGCGGAAGAAUAGGCAAAGGAGCCACGGGGGGCCCCCAAACCUGCUAGGCCCCCCUUAGGCGGCGGCUAGGUGGGUUGUGGCCUCCCCCGGGACACUUUGCCUUGGUUCUCAAGCUCCGUGCGUAUCUUCUGUUCCGGAAAAAAUCUUUUUGAAGGUUUUAUUCCGUUUGGACUCCGUUUGAUAUUCUCCUGUGAAAAAGGUCAAGAACACGGAAAAAACAGGUACUCGCACUUGGCACUGAGUUAAUAAGUUAGUCCCAAAAAAGAUAUAAAAUGCAUACAAAACAUCCAAAGUUUGACAAGAUAAUAGCAUGGAGCCAUAAAAAAUUAUAGAUACAUUGGAGACGUAUCAAGCAUCCCCAAGCUUAACUCCUGCUCGUCCUCGAGUAGGGAAGUGAUAAAUACUGAAUUUUUUAUGUGGAAUGCUACCUAGCAUAUUUGUCCUUUGUAACUUCUUUCAUGUGACAUGAAUGUUCAGAUCCGUAAGAUUCAAAACAAUAGUUUGCUAUUGACAUGAAAACAAUAAUACUUCAAGCAAACUAGCAAGGUAAUCAUGAACUUUCAACAUAACAAGGCCAAAGAAAGUUAUCCCUACAAAAUCAUAUAGUCUGGCUAUGCUCCAUCAUCCCCACACAAUGAAUUUAAAUCAUGCACAACCCCGAUAUUGGCCAAGUUAUUGUUUUCGCACUCUUACUUUCUCAAACUUUUUCAACUCUCAUGCAAUACAUGAGCGUGAGCCAUGGAUAUAGCACUAUAGGUGGAAUAGAGUGUGGUGGAGGUUGUGAGGCAAAAAGGAGGAGAUGGUCACAUUGACUCGGUGUAUCAAUGGGCUAUGGAGAUGCCCAUCAAUAGAUAUCAAUGUGAAUGAGUAGGGAUUACCAUGCAACGGAUGCACUUAGAGCUAUAAGUGUGUGAAUGCUCAAAGGGAGAACUACUGGGUGUGCACCCAACUUGCUUUCUCACGAAGACCUAGGGCAAUUUUGAGGAAGCCCAUCACUGGAAUAUACAAGCCAAGAUGUAUAAUGAAGAUUCCGACUAGUAUAAGAUGGUGACAAAACAAGAGACUCUCAAUCAUGAAGAACAUGGUGCUAUUAUGAAGCACAAGUGCGGAAAACGAUAGCAGCAUUGUCCCUUCUCUCUUUUACUCUCAUUUUUUUAUUUUUGUUGGGCUCUUUGGAAUCUUUUCAAUUUUUUUUGGUGGGCAUCUUUGGCCUCUUUUAUUUUUCCUCACAUGGGACAAUGCUCUAAUAAUGAUGAUCAUCACACUUUUAUUUACUCACAACUCAACACUUAGAGCAAUGAUGACUCUAUAGGAAAUGCCUCCGGCAGUGUACCGGGAUGUGCAAUGAUCUAGCAUAGUGUAUGAUGUUGAAACAUCUCGCUACCUAUCUUACGAUCAUGCAAUGGCAAUAUGAAAGUGACGGCACAUGUCAUGAGACGGAACGGUGGGAGUUGCAUGGCAAUUUAUCUCGGAAUGGCUAUGAAAAGGACAUGAUAGGUAGGUAUGGUGGCUGUUUUGAGGAAGGUAUAUGGUGGUUUUAUGCACCGUCCAAAGUUGCGCGGCACUAGAGAAGCUAGCAAUGGUGGAAGGUGAAAGUGCAUCUAUACCAUGGACUCACAUUAGUCAUGAAUAACUCAUAUACUUAUUGCGAAAUUCUAUUAGUAAUCGAAACAAAGUGCUAAACGCAUACUCCUAGGGGAAGGGUUGGUAGGUGUUAACCAUCACGCGAUCCCAACUGCCACACAAAGGAUGAAAAUCAAUAAAUAAAUUAUGUUCUUACUUCCUAACAUAGCGGUUCACCAUACGUGCAUGUUACGGGAAUCACUAACUUCAACACAAGUAUUUAUAGAUUCACAACAACCUACAAACAUGACUCUAAUAUUACCAAAUCCAUGUAUCAAUACUAAUUGAGAGGAAUCAAACUUCUCUUUACUAAUCAAUACACAUGCAUAUGGAAGUUUUUACUAUAUCCUCUUUGGACGCCUAUCAUAUUUAGGACUACUUUCAUAGCACAAGCCAAUUACCCAGCUACUCAAAGAGAGCACUCUCCAAAAGAUAUAAGUGAAGAUCGGGAGUUAUUAUUUCUCCAAAAUAUAACACCGCCGUGCUCUAAAAAUAUCUAAGUGAAGCACUAGAGCAAAGUUAUCUAGCUCAAAAGAUAUAAGUGAAGCACAUGCGAGCUAAAUUGCGUAACUCAAAAGAUAUAAGCGAAGAUCAAUGAGUAUUCUACAAAAUUCACGAUGAGUGCAUGUCUCUCUCAAAAAGGUGUGCAUCAAGGAAGAUUGUGACACAACAAAAAGAAAAGACUCCUAUAAUACAUGACGCUCCAAGCAAAACACAUAUCAUUUGGUGAAUAAAAAUAUAGCUCCAAGUAACGUUACCGAUGGAUUGAAGACGAAAGAGGGGAUGCCUUCCCGGGGCAUCCCCAAGCUUAGGCUUUUUGGUGUCCUUGAAUUUGGCUUGGGAUGCCUUGGGCAUCCCCAAGCUUGAGCUCUUUCCAGUCUUUAUCCCUUGUCCAUGAGAACAUCACCCAAAACUUGAAAACUUCACAACACAAAACUUAAACAGAAACUCGUGAUAUCAUUAGCAUAAGAAAACAAUCUACCACCUCUUGAGGUACUGUAGCAAACUGGAUUUCUAUUUAUAUUGGUGUUAUAUUACUGUAUUCUCAGUUUUCCAUGGCUAGAACCCCCCGAUACUAUCCAUAGUUUCAUCAAAAUAAGCAAUCAACACAACAAAAAAUAGAAUCUGUCAAAAACAGACCAGUCUGUAGCAAUUUGUAUACUUCGUAUACUUCUGGUAUCUCAAAAAUUCUGAAAACUUAUGACAAUUUGGGAAAUUGGCAUAUAAACCAGCUGCAAAACGAAUCAACUCCAAAGCUCUUUCUGGGUAGGAAUGAAAAAUAAUUUCGUGAGCGCAAAGUUUCUGUCUUUUCCAGCAAGAUCAAACAACCAUCACCAAAACUAGUCAUAAAGGUUUUACUUGGCACAAACACAAAAAGAAACACAAAGAACACAAUCAUAACAGAAUUAUGAUGGUGUGAACACAACAAAAAAGAAAGAAAAGAGCAAAGAUAAAUUCAUUGGGUUGCCUCCCAACAAGCGCUAUUGUUUAACGCCCUUAGCUAGGCAUAAGGCGAUAGAAUCACGUAUCGUCGUCUUUGGUAAUCAAACCAUAAGUAGCCCUCAUCAUGGAUUCAUAAGGAAAUCUUAUUUUCUUUACAGGAAAAUGUUCCAUGCCCUUAUUUAAUGGAAAUUGAAAUCUAAUAUUCCCUUCCUUCAUAUCGACGACAGCACCAAUAGUCCUUAGGAAAGGUCUACCAAGAAUGAUAGGACAUGUCGGAUUGCAAUCAAUAUCAAGCACAAUGAAAUCUAUGGGUACAUAGUUCCUACAUGCAAUAAUAAGAACAUCAUUGAUCCUUACCAUAGGUUUCUUAACAGUAGAAUCCACAAGAUGCAAAUUAAGAGAGCACUCAUAAAUCUCAUUGAAGCCUAGAACAUCACAUAAAGACUUUGGAAUAGCAGAAACACUGGCACCCAAAUCACAGAAAGCAUUGCAUUCAUAGUUUUUGAUCUUGAUUUUGAUAGUAGGUUCCCACUCAUCAUGAAGUUUUCUAGGAAUAGAAACUUCCAAUUCAAGUUUCUCUUCAAGAGAUUUCAUCAUAGCAUCGACGAUAUGAUCGGUAAAGGUCUUGUUUUGGCUAUAAGCGUGUGGAGAGUUUAGCAUGGAUUGCAUCAAGGAAAUACAUUCAAUCAAAGAGCAACUAUAAUAAUUCAAUUCCUUGAAAUCCAAAGUAGUAAUUUCAUUACUACUUAAAGUUUUGAUAACCUCUACUCGACAUUCAAUGCUUUUAGCAUCAAGAUAGAUAGACUCUGAAUCAUUGGGGCAUUUCUCAACCAAAGUGGAUUCAUAUCCAGCCCCAUCAUCAUUAGGUUUGACAUUAGAAAACAAGGAUUAAAUGGGAGUCACACCAAGCACUUUAAGAUCUUCGUGAUUAUCAUCAUGAGAACACGCCUUUUUAAGCCAUUCAUGUCUAGCAAGAAUUUGGGAGGUUCUUUCUUUACUCUCAUUCAUGGAAACAUGCAUAGCUUUCAAAGUUUCAUCCAUAUUGAUCUUGGGAGGAGCACAUCUCAAUUUCAAAGCAUCAAUAUCAAGAGACAUUCUAUCAACGGUCCUAGCCAAGUCAUCAAUUUUGAGCAGCUUUUCUUCUAUGGACGCAUUGAAAAUCUUUUGUGGGUUGAUAAACUCUUUAAUAUAACUCUCUAGAUCAAAGGGUAAUUUAUUGUAGUUUCCAUGAGCAUUGUUGUAGGAGUUGCCAAAGUUAUUAGGGGGAUUACUAGGAAAAGGCCUAGGAAUAUAGUUACCUCUAAAGGCAUUGUUGUGGCCAAAAUUAUUCCUACCAACAAAAUUUACAUCCAAGCUCUGAUUGCUACUCUCAAUCAAGGAAGACAAGGGCAUAUAAUUUGGAUAUAAAGGAGCUCCUUUACUAGCAAACAAUUUCAUUAACUCAUCCAUCUUAGCACUCAAAGAGUUAAAUUCUUCUAUAGCGUGCACUUUUUAGUAGUAGGUGACCUUUCAGUUUGCCAUUAAGAAUAGUUUGUCAUGAUAUUGUCUAGGAGUUUUCUGGCGUCUCCUAGUGUGAUUUCCAUGAAAGUUCCAUCGGAGGCGGAAUCAAGGAUAUUUCUAGAAGAAAAAUUCAAAUCAACAUAGAAGAUUUGAAUAAUCAUCCAAAGACUCAAGCCAUGAGCGGGACAAUUUCUAAUCAUCAAUUUCAUUAUGUCCCAAGAUUGUGCAACAUGUUCAUGAUCUAGUUGCUUAAAAUUCAUGAUAUCCUUAUGGAGAGAGAUAAUCUUAGUCGGUGGAAAAUACUUGGAUAUAUAAGCAUCUUUGCAUUUGUUCCAAGAAUCAAUACUAUUUUUGGGCAAAGAUGAAAACCAAGUUUUUCCUCGAUCUCGCAGUGAGAACGGAAAUAGUUUCAAUUUAAUCACAUUAUUAUCCACAUCUUUCUUCUUUUUCAUAUCGCAUAACUCAAUGAAGGUAUUAAGAUGGGAUGCGGCAUCUUCACUAGGAAGGCCAGAAAAUUGCUCUUUCAUAACAAGAUUGAGCAAAGCACCAUUGAUUUCAUAUGAUUCUGCACUAGUGACGGGAGCAAUCGGAGUACUAAUAAAAUCAUUAUUAUUAGUAUUCGAGAAGUCACAAAGUUUGGUGUUUUCAGUCAUGGUGACUUCAGCAAGCACACAAGCACACAAGCGAACAGAAAGCGAGCGAAAGAAAAGGGCAAACGAAAAAGGAAAAUGUUUUUGUAAAUUUUUGUUUUUCAGAAGUGGGGGAGAGGAAAACGAGAGGCAAAAAAAAGUAAAUGCAAGAGAUGAGUUUGUGAGAGUUACUUGGAUAAGUGAUACGUCUCCAACGUAUCUAUAAUUUUUGAUGGUUUCAUGCUUUUAUCUUGUCAAAGUUUGGAUGUUUUGCAUGCCUUAUAUAUAUUUUUUGGGACUAACUUAUUAACUCAGUGCCAAGUGCCAGUUCCUGUUUUUCCAUGUUUUUGACCCCUUUUAGAGGAGAUUUUGAAACGGAGUCCAAAUGGAAGAAAAUCCCCAAAAAGAUUUUUUUGGAACGGAAGAAGAUCGGGGAGCUUGGGAGCCAAGGCAGGGGAGCCCCAGGGGCCCUAGGGGCCCCUACCCCGUGGCCAUGGGGGCCACGCCAUCCAGGCUUGUGGGCCCCCUGGACGCCCUUUGCCUUAGGUCUUUCGCCUAUAUAUUUCCAUAAAUUCUAGAAAAAAUCAGGAGAUCAUCGCAAUCACUUUUCCGCCGUUGCAAGCUUCUGUUUCUGCUAGAUCCCAUCUGGGGCACGUCCUGGUGCCCUGACGGAGGGGGGAUUCGGACUCGAAGGGCUUCUCCAUCAACACCAUGACCUCUCCGAUGAUGAGUGAGUAGUUCACCAUAGACCUACGGGUCCAUAGCUAGUAACUAGAUCACUUCUUCUCUCUCUUGGAACUUCAAUACAAAGUUCUCCAUGAUCUUCAUGGAGAUCUAUCCGAUGUAAUCUUCUUUUGCGGUGUGUUUGUUGAGAUCCGAUGAAUUGCGGACUUAUGAUCAGAUUAUCUAUGAAUCUUAUUUGAGUUUCUUCUAAUCUCUCUUAUGCAUGAUUUCAUAUCCUUGUAAUUCUCUUCGAGUUGUGGGUUUUGUCUGGCCAACAAGAUCUAUGAUUCUUGCAAUGGGAUAAGUGCUUGGUUUUGGGUUCAUAUCGUGCGGUGACCUCACCCAGUGACAGAAGGGGUAGCGAGGCACGCAUCGUGUUGUUGCCGUCAUGGGUAAAAAGAUGGGGUUUUCAUCAUUGGUUUGAGAUUAUCCCUCUACAUCAUGUCAUCUUGCUUAAAACGUUACUCUGUUCGUCUUGAACUCAAUACACUAGAUGCAUGUUGUAUAGCGGUCGAUGUGUGGAGUAAUAGUAGUAGAUGCAGAAAGUAUCGGUCUACUUGUCUCGGACGUGAUACCUAUAUGUAUGAUCAUUGCCUUAGAUAUUGUCAUGACUUUGCGCGGUUCUAUCAAUUGCUCGACAGUAAUUUGUUCACCCACUGUGAUACUUGCUAUUUUGAGAGAAGCCUCUAGUGAACACUAUGGCCCCCAGGGUCUACUCCACACCAUAUUUUCAGCCUUACACUUUUUACUUCGUUGCACUUUACUCCUUGAGAUCUCACUUUGCAAACAAUCUUGAAGGGAUUGACAACCCCUUUGAAGCAUUGGGUGCAAGCUUGUUUGUGUUUGCGCAGGUACUCUGGACUUGACGAGACCCUCCUUCUGGAUCGAUACCUUGGUUCUCCAACCGAGGGAAACACUUACUGCUCCUGUGCUGCAUCACCCUUUCCUCAUCAAGGGAAAAACCAUCGCAAGCCCAGCCUCUGUCAACGUGUCAAUUUCUGGCGCUGUUGUCUAUGGGAUGGCAAUAAGCUUCACUUAGAAUAGUCCCCGGUGCCAGAAAUUGACACGUUGGAGGAAGACUAUUCUUGACUUCAUGCUCCCCAGCAACGGCGCCAUAAAUUCGUCUUGCUACCUCUUGAGCUUGCGUUGGUUUUUCACUUGAAGAGGAAAGGGUGUUGCAGCAUAGUAGCAGUAAGUAUUUCCCUCAGUUUGAGAACCAAGGUAACAAUCCAGUAGGAGUAUCAAGGCAAGUCUCCAAAGUACCUGCGCAAAAACAUCAAAUUUGCACCCAACGCUACAAAGGGGUUGUCAAUCCCUUCACGAUUGAUAGCAAGGUGAGAUCGGAAGGAGGAAAGUGCAACAAAGUAAAAGUAUAGGGCUAAAACUAUGAUGUGAAGUAGACCCGGGGGCCAUAGUGUUCUCUAGAGGCUUCUCUCGUGAUAGAAAAUAUUACGGUGGGUGAACGAAUUACUGUCGAGCAAUUGAUAGAACAACGCAAUGUCAUGACGAUAUCUAAGGCAAUGAUCAUACAUAUAGUCAUCACGUCCGAGACAAGUAGACCGAUACUUUCUCCAUCUACUAAUAUUACUCCAUACAUCGACCGCUAUCCAGCAUGCAUCUAGUGUAUUGAGUUCAUAACAAACAGAGUAACGCCUUAAGCAAGAUGACAUGAUGUAGAGGGAUAAAUUCAUGCAAUAGAUAUAAACCCCAUCUUUUUACCCUUGAUGGCAACAACAGGAUGCAUGCCUCGCUACCCCUUCUGUCACUAGGUGAGGACACCGCACGGUAUGAACCCAAAACCAAGCACCUGUCCCAUUGCAAGAAUUAUAGAUCAAGUUGGCAAAACAAAACCCACAACUCGAAGAGAAUUACAAGGAUACGAAAUCAUGCAUAUAAGAGAUCAGAAGAAACUCAAAAAAUAAUCAUAGAUAAUCUCAUCAUAAAUCCACAAUUCAUCGGGUCUCGACAAAGCAAAAGAAGAUUUCAUCGGAUAAGCCACAACUUUGUAUUGAAGAUCCAAGAGAGAGAAGAAGCCAUCUAGCUACUAGCUAUGGAACCGAAGGUCUGUGGUGAACUACUGAAGCAUUAUCGGAGAGGCAAUGGUGCUGAUGAAGAAGCCCUCUGUGUCCGAAUACCCCUCCGGCAGGGCACCAGAACGUGCCCCAGAUGGGAUCUUGCGGAGAGAGAAGCUUGCGGCAGCGGAAAAGUAUUUCCAUGGCUCUCUCCCGUGGUUUCAGAUUUUUUUCGGGGAUUUAUAUGCGGAAGAAGUAGGGAAAAGGAGCCACGGAGGACCCACAAGCCUGCUAGGCGCCCCCCAGGCCACAGCUAGGGGGCUUGUGGCCUCCCACGGGACCCUUUGCCUUGGUUCUCAAGCUCCCUGCGUAUCUUCUGUUCCGGAAAAAAUCUUUUCGGAGGUUUUAUUCCGUUUGGACUCAGUUUGAUAUUCUCCUCCGAAAAAGGUGAAAACACGGAAAAACAGGAACUGGCACUUGGCACUUGGCACUGAGUUAAUAAGUUACUCCCAAAAAAGAUAUAAAAUGCAUACAAAACAUCCAAAGUUUGACAAGAUAAUUGCAUGGAACCAUAAAAAAUUAUACUCUACUGAAAUUCAGAAAUUUGCCGUCUGCCACGGCGGACGGCAAAGGGGGGAACCACGGACGGCAAAGGCUUUGCCAUUGGUCAACAAACGGCAAACUAGACGGUAAAAAAAUCCGGUGAAGAGGUUCUUUGCCGUCUGCUUUUGUAAAGCAGACGGCAAAGAAUCUUUGCCAUCAUGGGGCAGACGGCAAAUUAACUGGGAGGGCAUAUACUGCAACGGCCCCGUUAAGCGUUAACGGCAGGCCUCCUCUUUUUGCCGUCUGCCAUCCCACCCUUUGCCAUGUGGGGACAGACGACAAAGAGGGGAGAGAGAGGGGGCUGAUUCACCCCUUUGCCGUCUGCCCACCCCCCUUUGCCAUGUGGGGGCAUAUGGUAAAGAGGGGAGAGAGAGGGGGCAGAUUCCCCCACUUGCCGUCUGCCUACACCCCUUUGCCAUGUGGGGGCAGACGGCAAAGAGGGGAGAGAGAGGGGGCAGAUUCCCCCCUUUGCCGUCUGCCAUCCCCCCUUUGCCAUGUGGGGGCAGACGGCAAAGGGGGAACCAGCCCCUUUUGAAUUUAUUUUUUAUUAUAUCCAGCAUUUUUAACAAUAAUCUGGAUACAUAUAUAUAUAUUUGACAUAAAUAAAUUUCUUUCUAUACUCAUAAUCAUAUUAAAAUAACUCUCAUCCAUAGUGCAUACAUAUUAUGCAAGUUGCAUCCGUACCAAACCAUAUAUUACACCAGUUUCAUCCACAUGCAUACAAAGCUUCAUAUAUAUCCAUAUACUACAAUAGUUUCAAUACAAGCCAUGGUACAAGAAAUCAUCUUCAAGCAUUCCAUCAAUAUAAUCCAAGCUCCCCGUGAAGUGAAGGUAAUCUGCAAAAUGACAAAUAAGAAAGUUAGAAGAAUAAUACUAGAUGGACAAGUGCAUAUAUAGGUUAUUUCGAAGAGAAAUUAGCAAAGUAUGGACCAUUUAGGAGCUAACUAAGCUAAUUAUGUCAUUUAGGUGGAACCUUAGCUAACUAUAGGUCGUUUCGGAGCUAACUUGGGUAAAAUAGGUCAUUCCGGAGCAAACUAUGCUUAUUAAGCCAUUUUUGAUCUAGCUAGGCUAAUUAUAGGCCAUUUAAUACCUAAGUUAGGGGGAACAGGUCAUGUUGCAGCUACGUAAGCCUUAUUAUGUCAUUUAGGAGAGAACUUAGCUAAGUAUAGGUCAUGUUUUAUUAAAUAGACCAUUUAGGAGCUAACUAAGCUAAUUAUGUCAUUUAANNNNNNNNNNNNNNNNNNNNNNNNNNNNNNNNNNNNNNNNNNNNNNNNNNNNNNNNNNNNNNNNNNNNNNNNNNNNNNNNNNNNNNNNNNNNNNNNNNNNNNNNNNNNNNNNNNNNNNNNNNNNNNNNNNNNNNNNNNNNNNNNNNNNNNNNNNNNNNNNNNNNNNNNNNNNNNNNNNNNNNNNNNNNNNNNNNNNNNNNNNNNNNNNNNNNNNNNNNNNNNNNNNNNNNNNNNNNNNNNNNNNNNNNNNNNNNNNNNNNNNNNNNNNNNNNNNNNNNNNNNNNNNNNNNNNNNNNNNNNNNNNNNNNNNNNNNNNNNNNNNNNNNNNNNNNNNNNNNNNNNNNNNNNNNNNNNNNNNNNNNNNNNNNNNNNNNNNNNNNNNNNNNNNNNNNNNNNNNNNNNNNNNNNNNNNNNNNNNNNNNNNNNNNNNNNNNNNNNNNNNNNNNNNNNNNNNNNNNNNNNNNNNNNNNNNNNNNNNNNNNNNNNNNNNNNNNNNNNNNNNNNNNNNNNNNNNNNNNNNNNNNNNNNNNNNNNNNNNNNNNNNNNNNNNNNNNNNNNNNNNNNNNNNNNNNNNNNNNNNNNNNNNNNNNNNNNNNNNNNNNNNNNNNNNNNNNNNNNNNNNNNNNNNNNNNNNNNNNNNNNNNNNNNNNNNNNNNNNNNNNNNNNNNNNNNNNNNNNNNNNNNNNNNNNNNNNNNNNNNNNNNNNNNNNNNNNNNNNNNNNNNNNNNNNNNNNNNNNNNNNNNNNNNNNNNNNNNNNNNNNNNNNNNNNNNNNNNNNNNNNNNNNNNNNNNNNNNNNNNNNNNNNNNNNNNNNNNNNNNNNNNNNNNNNNNNNNNNNNNNNNNNNNNNNNNNNNNNNNNNNNNNNNNNNNNNNNNNNNNNNNNNNNNNNNNNNNNNNNNNNNNNNNNNNNNNNNNNNNNNNNNNNNNNNNNNNNNNNNNNNNNNNNNNNNNNNNNNNNNNNNNNNNNNNNNNNNNNNNNNNNNNNNNNNNNNNNNNNNNNNNNNNNNNNNNNNNNNNNNNNNNNNNNNNNNNNNNNNNNNNNNNNNNNNNNNNNNNNNNNNNNNNNNNNNNNNNNNNNNNNNNNNNNNNNNNNNNNNNNNNNNNNNNNNNNNNNNNNNNNNNNNNNNNNNNNNNNNNNNNNNNNNNNNNNNNNNNNNNNNNNNNNNNNNNNNNNNNNNNNNNNNNNNNNNNNNNNNNNNNNNNNNNNNNNNNNNNNNNNNNNNNNNNNNNNNNNNNNNNNNNNNNNNNNNNNNNNNNNNNNNNNNNNNNNNNNNNNNNNNNNNNNNNNNNNNNNNNNNNNNNNNNNNNNNNNNNNNNNNNNNNNNNNNNNNNNNNNNNNNNNNNNNNNNNNNNNNNNNNNNNNNNNNNNNNNNNNNNNNNNNNNNNNNNNNNNNNNNNNNNNNNNNNNNNNNNNNNNNNNNNNNNNNNNNNNNNNNNNNNNNNNNNNNNNNNNNNNNNNNNNNNNNNNNNNNNNNNNNNNNNNNNNNNNNNNNNNNNNNNNNNNNNNNNNNNNNNNNNNNNNNNNNNNNNNNNNNNNNNNNNNNNNNNNNNNNNNNNNNNNNNNNNNNNNNNNNNNNNNNNNNNNNNNNNNNNNNNNNNNNNNNNNNNNNNNNNNNNNNNNNNNNNNNNNNNNNNNNNNNNNNNNNNNNNNNNNNNNNNNNNNNNNNNNNNNNNNNNNNNNNNNNNNNNNNNNNNNNNNNNNNNNNNNNNNNNNNNNNNNNNNNNNNNNNNNNNNNNNNNNNNNNNNNNNNNNNNNNNNNNNNNNNNNNNNNNNNNNNNNNNNNNNNNNNNNNNNNNNNNNNNNNNNNNNNNNNNNNNNNNNNNNNNNNNNNNNNNNNNNNNNNNNNNNNNNNNNNNNNNNNNNNNNNNNNNNNNNNNNNNNNNNNNNNNNNNNNNNNNNNNNNNNNNNNNNNNNNNNNNNNNNNNNNNNNNNNNNNNNNNNNNNNNNNNNNNNNNNNNNNNNNNNNNNNNNNNNNNNNNNNNNNNNNNNNNNNNNNNNNNNNNNNNNNNNNNNNNNNNNNNNNNNNNNNNNNNNNNNNNNNNNNNNNNNNNNNNNNNNNNNNNNNNNNNNNNNNNNNNNNNNNNNNNNNNNNNNNNNNNNNNNNNNNNNNNNNNNNNNNNNNNNNNNNNNNNNNNNNNNNNNNNNNNNNNNNNNNNNNNNNNNNNNNNNNNNNNNNNNNNNNNNNNNNNNNNNNNNNNNNNNNNNNNNNNNNNNNNNNNNNNNNNNNNNNNNNNNNNNNNNNNNNNNNNNNNNNNNNNNNNNNNNNNNNNNNNNNNNNNNNNNNNNNNNNNNNNNNNNNNNNNNNNNNNNNNNNNNNNNNNNNNNNNNNNNNNNNNNNNNNNNNNNNNNNNNNNNNNNNNNNNNNNNNNNNNNNNNNNNNNNNNNNNNNNNNNNNNNNNNNNNNNNNNNNNNNNNNNNNNNNNNNNNNNNNNNNNNNNNNNNNNNNNNNNNNNNNNNNNNNNNNNNNNNNNNNNNNNNNNNNNNNNNNNNNNNNNNNNNNNNNNNNNNNNNNNNNNNNNNNNNNNNNNNNNNNNNNNNNNNNNNNNNNNNNNNNNNNNNNNNNNNNNNNNNNNNNNNNNNNNNNNNNNNNNNNNNNNNNNNNNNNNNNNNNNNNNNNNNNNNNNNNNNNNNNNNNNNNNNNNNNNNNNNNNNNNNNNNNNNNNNNNNNNNNNNNNNNNNNNNNNNNNNNNNNNNNNNNNNNNNNNNNNNNNNNNNNNNNNNNNNNNNNNNNNNNNNNNNNNNNNNNNNNNNNNNNNNNNNNNNNNNNNNNNNNNNNNNNNNNNNNNNNNNNNNNNNNNNNNNNNNNNNNNNNNNNNNNNNNNNNNNNNNNNNNNNNNNNNNNNNNNNNNNNNNNNNNNNNNNNNNNNNNNNNNNNNNNNNNNNNNNNNNNNNNNNNNNNNNNNNNNNNNNNNNNNNNNNNNNNNNNNNNNNNNNNNNNNNNNNNNNNNNNNNNNNNNNNNNNNNNNNNNNNNNNNNNNNNNNNNNNNNUUCCUUUCAUUUUUCCUCUUUCUUCUCCUCUUGUCCCCUUCUUCGGGCUAAAUUGGCUAAGAAUUCCUUUUUGGAGAUAAUUAUGUCAUUUCAAGGAUAAUUAGCUAAGUAUAUGUCAUGUUUUAUUAAAUAGACCAUUUAGGAGCUAACUAAGCUAAUUAUGUCAUCUAGGUGGAACCCUAGCUAACUAUAGGUCCUUUCGGAGCUAACUUGGGUAAAAUAGGUCAUUCCGGAGCAAACUAUGCUUAUUAAGCCAUAUUGGUUCUAGCUAGGCUAAUUAUAGGCCAUUUAAUACCUACGUUAGGGGGAAUAGGUCAUCUUCCAGUUACGUAAGCCUUACUAUGUCAUUUAGGAGAGAACUUAGCUAACUAUAGGUAAUUUUUUUAUUAAAUAGGUCAUUUUGGAGCUAACUAAGCUAAUUAUGUCAUUUCAUAGGAUAAUUAGCCAAUUUAGCCUUUCUUGGAGCUAACUAAGCUAAUUAUGUCAUUUAGAUGGAAGUCUAGUUAUUUUUUAUUGAAACACUAGAAAUAACAUACCAUUAUCGUAAUCACAAUGGUGAAGCACGAUGGCUCUGGCUUGUUUCACUUGGAGAAGGCUGCCCUGGAGAAGGCUCGUGCGAUGCGUUUCAGGAGAUAUAUAUUCCGCACCAAACAUCGUUUGCAAUGUGUAGUUAGCAUGAGGACACUAUUAAGAUCACUGCACUGAAAUGAAACUCACCGUCCCCGCCACGUUAAUGACUGGCAUCGGCGGAGGGACUUGGCCGUUCUUCUCGCACAUAGACUGUACAUUUGGUUUCGACAAGUCAAACUUUUUAUUUAUUAAUGAAACGGACAUUCAAAUGCAAGAUUUGAAAUAACAUGAAGAAGAAACUUACCACGAAGAGCUCGGAUAUGGCCCUGUUAGACGUAUCAUUCCGUGCCCUCUCCGCCUCCACCAAUGCAGUCGUCCUCUCCUCCAGCUCCCUAAUUUCCUUAUCCUUCUCCGCCAUAGCUGCCUCCAUUGCCUCUCUCUCUUUCUGAAUAGCAGCCUGCAACACAACUCAUUGUUAGUAAUGUAAUCAUAUUGGUUCCAACGUGCAACAUAAUGCAGAAAGAUAGUUGAGUCCAUUAAACUAACCUCGAUGGCGAGCUCGACUGGACGUGGACGAUGUGUUAUCUCCGGACAAGAGCUCGUUUGGCGUGCCUUUAUCUGCCGGAGAGCGCUAGGACAACGUAUAAGUCCGUCUCCAAUGGCGAUCGAGCCAUGGGGCCUCCCGUUGCCAGCUAUCAUCACGAGCUCUGGAUCAAUAGGCCCCUCGCUCGGGUUAAAGUCCUCCCCUUUCCUCGCUUCCCGUGAUCUCUCUACUUCACGAGCUUGUGGUGGGAGGAGAUGUUGGUGAAGUUUUCUGGAUGCUCGAGGUCAGACUCAGAGAAUGCCUUGACCUUCUUGUACGAGGCAGUAUGGGCCAUCGCAUAUAGGUCAUACAUCUGUGGCGCCUCCGUCUUAUUGUGACGCGCCUAAAAGAGAGAGAGAGGAAAAUUGUAUUAGUAAAGGGCUCAAGAUAGCAUUAAGAAUGAAUUGCAUGAGGUAUGAAGCAAACCAAAUACCCAGUUCUCGCCAAAUUGGAUUAAGUUGACGCUCCCUUGAUGGUGUGGCACGCCAACCAUUUUGCCACGCCUCUCCUUGGCGUUGUUGUGGCUGGCCUCCCACGUUUCGGAGCACCACUGAUCCACCAAGGCCUCCCAACAAUCCAUCUUAUCCACACACUAUCUCAGGGGCACCUAAGUUAAUAAAGAGAAAUUUGAGCGCGUAAAAACCAAAUCAAGGAAACUAACUACAAAGCCUUAAUAAUAUGUAGUUACCUUCAUGUAAUGCUCCUUCUCCAUCUUAGCAUCAUGGCACUUCGCCUUGUCAAUCCUAAUACGCCGCGUGGCAUAGUAGUCUCGAACAGCCUGCACCCGAGCCUCGUGCCGAAAGUUUGGAAGUAGGCGGCGACAUUCGGUUUCGAUAACCUUUGCCGCGUCCUCCUCGUAUCCCUCCUCACACCUAUAGUAGGUCUGCAAACGAGACAACACCGAUUAGUACAAUAAAUAGCUAUGGUUGAUUUAUAAUUGUGUGAAGGAGAAAUUACCCAGAACUUUCGGAUCACCAUGUCCGCCCUCGUGUCGCACAAAACACCGUCGUUCUCCACCUCUGGCGGGGCCGGGGCACCCAGGUAGUGCUCCCAGGUCAUUCCUACCUCUCGCUCCCGACCGGGCAACGUAACAAACCCUGGGAAGUUUUUACGGCAAAGAACACCAAGGACGUUGUUGGGCUUUCGGACACCCUUGGCAACAAUCCAACCCCUACAAUAUGACAAAUUAAAGUCAAAACAUUAGAUAUUUGAUAAAAUGCGAAGGCAAAAGGUUAAAUAAGAGUAAAUUAACUUACUUGUCCCCAUUUGGCCUAAUCGACCACCUCUGCUCGGGGGUCGCUGCCACGAGCGGGAGCCCCGAACUACCACGCUGGUAGACGGUAGCCCCCUCACCCAGCUCCUCGUCGCUACCAGCAUCCCACUAGGUCUCUUGGGACGUACCCUCAUCCCUGCUUUGCUCCGGAGUCGCUUGGAAGGAAGCCUCUGGGACACGAGUCUCGCGGGUCGAAGGCUCGUCGACCUGAGGCUCGUGAACCGGAGACCGUGUAGCCUCCACCUCAGACGAAUCCACCCUAGAAGUCAUGUGCUAAGGUGAACCAGCUUGGGGUGGUGGCGGAGACCAUGUAGCCUCCACCUCAGAAGGCGUGGCAGCCACCGCCCUACCUCUCCCGCGGCCAUGUGUACCUUUUGUACAACAUAAAUAACAACAUGAGUAAUAAAAUGUAUAUAAAUACCAAUAUGCAUACAACGUGAGUACAACAUAAAUACCAACAUGAAUACAACGUGUACCUUUAGUGCCUCUCGGCUUCGUGGGGGGUCGACCUCCUCUCACGGGGGACGCUCCUUGCAUAGUAGAGAGCAACACUCUCCGAAGAGGCGAGGCUGGAAUGGAAGUACCCAUCCCAUCAUCCGCCGACGAAGAAGGAGCCGCGGAGUGCUUUCGACCCUUUCCCACCAUCUUUCAACACCUGUCAUGACAAAGAGUAAAUGAAAUUAGUACAACAUAAAUACCAACAGGAGUAAUAAAAUGUAUAUAAUUUAAGUGUCUCAUCGUCAUAAAUACCAACAUGACUAAUAAAAUUGAAUACCUAACAUGAACUCAAAAUUUAUAUAUAGUAUAAUAGUUGAAUACCUGACAUGAACUAAUAACAAUCGUGCUCGUCUAUAUAUGCUUCGGGGUCAAUAAAUGCAUCAUGAUCAUCACUAUCAUCAAUAAAUGCAUCAUCAUCAUCACUAUCACAAAGAACAUGUGGAAGGCCACCAUUAUGUAAUCGGUCAAGAAGUGACAGGUCAUCCGUAGCAGUAACCUCUUCUUCUUCUAGCUCUUCCUGUUCGGGCUCAGGGGUUAAGACGGAUUCAAUUUCGCUGUCUACUUCAAUGUUCUGGGGUGAAGUAGAGCGGUUCUUGAAACGUUUCUUGGACAUACGUGUUUCUUGGAAGAAUUCUCCUUCAUAUGUGUCUGGGUUAAUGUGAGGUUCAUAAUCCUCUUCCUUGAGGGUAGGUUGUCUAAAAUNNNNNNNNNNNNNNNNNNNNNNNNNNNNNNNNNNNNNNNNNNNNNNNNNNNNNNNNNNNNNNNNNNNNNNNNNNNNNNNNNNNNNNNNNNNNNNNNNNNNUUCUUCGGGCUAAAUUGGCUAAGAAUGCCUUUUUGGAGCUAAUUAUGUCAUUUCGAGGAUAAUUAGCUAACCAUAGUGUUGGAAUUAUGCCCAAGAGGCAAUAAUAAAUAUAGUUAUUAUUAUAAUUCCUGUAUCAAGAUAAUCGUUUAUUAUCCAUGCUAUAAUUGUAUUGAAUGAAGACUCAUUUACAUGUGUGGAUACAUAGACAAAACACUGUCCCUAGCAAGCCUCUAGUUGGCUAGCCAGUUGAUCAAAGAUAGUAAGUGUCUUCUGAUUAUGAACAAGGUGUUGUUGCUUGAUAACUGGAUCACGUCAUUAGGAGAAUCACCUGAUGGACUAGACCCAAACUAAUAGACGUAGCAUGUUGAUCGUGUCAUUUUGUUGCUACUGUUUUCUGCGUGUCAAGUAUUUGUUCCUAUGACCAUGAGAUCAUAUAACUCACUGACAUCGGAGGAAUACUUUGUGUGUAUCAAACGUCGCAACGUAACUGGGUGACUAUAAAGAUGCUCUACAGGUAUCNNNNNNNNNNNNNNNNNNNNNNNNNNNNNNNNNNNNNNNNNNNNNNNNNNNNNNNNNNNNNNNNNNNNNNNNNNNNNNNNNNNNNNNNNNNNNNNNNNNNGGGCCCCACCUGUCAUUUGGUGGGAGUGGUGGGGCCCUACUGUCAUUGGGACAGCGAGCCCACACAUACGCUACACGUAGACACAUCCAUACCACUAAUUCAUACAUACCACAUAUACACAUAUUUCAUAUACCUACACACAUAUUCCAUACAUAUCCAUACCUAUAUUUGCAUACAUACACAUAUACAUNNNNNNNNNNNNNNNNNNNNNNNNNNNNNNNNNNNNNNNNNNNNNNNNNNNNNNNNNNNNNNNNNNNNNNNNNGACAUCUCUCUCAACAGAGAGAGAGGAGGCAACCUCCACGUCGUCAUACAGGAGAUCAACGGCGCUGGGACGAGGCGAUGAGCGCUGGAACGGAACCGGAGGGUGAAGGAGAGGGAGAGGGACGCGUUCUCACACAUGAUGUAGGGGGGUCGGCUAGGCUUGAUGGAGCCGUUGAGGAGGAGGACGGGGACGAGAUGAGGAGGAGCGGUCGGCGGUUCAGUGGAGGCGGUACGGUGAGGGAGGAUUCGAUGGAGGGGGCUAAGAGGGGUCGAUUCCGAUGGCGCGGGGCGUUGUCGGGUAGGCCGGCGGUGGCCCUGGUCGGUGGAGGAAGNNNNNNNNNNNNNNNNNNNNNNNNNNNNNNNNNNNNNNNNNNNNNNNNNNNNNNNNNNNNNNNNNNNNNNNNNNNNNNNNNNNNNNNNNNNNNNNNNNNNUCUUACAGCUACAUAAGCCUUAUUAUGUCAUUUAGGAGAGAACUUAGCUAACUGUAGAUCAUUUUUUAUUAAAUAGGUCAUUUUGGAGCUAAGUAAGCUAAUUAUGUCAUUUCGUAGGAUAAUUAGCCAAUUUAGCCUUUCAUGGAUGAGUCUAAGCUACGUAGAAGAAGAGAAAGAGAAGAAGAAGUAAAAGAAGGAGGAGGAGGAGGAGGAGGAGGNNNNNNNNNNNNNNNNNNNNNNNNNNNNNNNNNNNNNNNNNNNNNNNNNNNNNNNNNNNNNNNNNNNNNNNNNNNNNNNNNNNNNNNNNNNNNNNNNNNNNNNCCUUCUUCUUCUUCUCCUCUUCUUCUUCUUCGUUCCUUUCAUUUUUCCUCUUUCUUCUCCUCUUGACCCCUUCUUCGGGCUAAAUUGGCUUAGAAUGCCUUUUUGGAGCUAAUUAUGUCAUUUCGAGGAUAAUUAGCUAAGUAUAGGUCAUGUUUUAUUAAAUAGACCAUUUAGGAGCUAAGUAAGCUAAUUAUGUCAUCUAGGUGGAACCCUAGCUAACUAUACAUCGUUUCGGAGCUAACUUGGGUAAAAUAGGUCAUUCCGGAGCAAACUAUGCCUAUUAAGCCAUUUUGGAUCUAGCUAGGCUAAUUAUAGGCCAUUUAAUACCUAAGUUAGGCGGAAUAGGUCAUCUUGCAGCUACGUAAGCCUUAUUAUGUCACUUAGGAGAGAACUUAGCUAACUGUAGGUCAUUCUUUAUUAAAUAGGUCAUUUUGGAGCUAACUAAGCUAAUUAUGUCAUUUCGUAGGAUAAUUAGACAAUUUANNNNNNNNNNNNNNNNNNNNNNNNNNNNNNNNNNNNNNNNNNNNNNNNNNNNNNNNNNNNNNNNNNNNNNNNNNNNNNNNNNNNNNNNNNNNNNNNNNNNUCUACAGGUAUCUCCGAAGGUGUUAGUUGAGUUAGUAUGGAUCAAGACUGGGAUUUGUCACUCCGUGUGACGGAGAGGUAUCUCGGGGCCCACUCGGUAAUACCACAUCACACCCAAGCCUUGCAAGCAAUGUAACUUAGUGUAAGUUGCGGGAUCUUCUAUUACGGAACGAGUAAAGAGGCUUGCCGGUAAACGAGAUUGAAAUAGGUAUGCGGAUACUGACUAUCGAAUCUCAGGCAAGUAACAUACCGAAGGACAAAGGGAAUGACAUACAGGAUUAUAUGAAUCCUUGACAUUGAGGUUCAAACGAUAAGUUCUUCGUAGAAUAUGUAGGAUCCAAUAUGGGCAUCCAGGUCCCACUAUUGGAUAUUGACCGAGGAGUCUCUCGGGUCAUGUCUACAUAGUUCUCGAACCCGCAGGGUCUGCACACUUAAGGUUCGAUGUUGUUUUAUGCGUAUUUGAGUUAUAUGGUUGGUUACCGAAUGUUUUUCGGAGUCCCGGAUGAGAUCACGGACGUCGCGAGGGUUUCCGGAAUGGUCCGGAAACGAAGAUUGAUAUAUAGGAUGACCUCAUUUGAUUACCGGAAGGUUUUCGGAGUUACCGGGAAUGACGAAUGGGUUCCGGGAGUUCACCGGGGGGGGGGCAACCCACCCCGGGGAAGCCCAUAGGCCUUGAGGGUGGCGCACCAGCCCUUAGUGGGCUGGUGGGACAGCCCAAAAGGGGCCCUAUGCGCAUUGGAAGAAAAAUCAAAGAGAAAGAAAAAAAAGGAGGUGGGAAGGGAAGGAAGGACUCCCACCCACCAAACCAAGUCCAACUCGGUUUGGGGGGGGGAGACCUUCCCCCCUUCGCUUGGCCGACCCCCUUGGGGCUCCUUGAGCCCCAUGGCAAGGCCCCCCUCUCCCACCUAUAUAUACGGAGGUUUUAGGGCUGAUUUGAGACGACUUUUCCACGGCAGCCCAACCACAUACCUCCACGGUUUUCCCUAUAGAUCGCGUUUUUGCGGAGCUCGGGCGGAGCCCUGCUGAGACGAAAUCAUCACCAACCUCCGGAGCGCCGUCACGCUGCCGGAGAACUCUUCUACCUCUCCGUCUCUCUUGCUGGAUCAGGAAGGCCGAGAUCAUCGUCGAGCUGUACGUGUGCUGAACGCGGAGGUGCCGUCCGUUCGGUACUAGAUCGUGGGACUGAUCGCGGGAUUGUUCGCGGAGCGGAUCGAGGGACGUGAAGACGUUCCACUACAUCAACCGCGUUCACUAACGCUUCUACAGUACGGUCUACAAGGGUACGUAGAUCACUCAUCCCUCUCGUAGAUGGACAUCACGAUGAUAGGUCUUCGUGCGCGUAGGAAAUUUUUUGUUUCCCAUGCGACGUUCACCAACACAUAGGUCAUGUUUUAUUAAAUAGACCAUUUAGGAGCUACCUAAGCUUAUUAUGUCAUUUAGAUGGAUAAUUAGCCAAUUUAGGCUUUCUUGGAUGAGUCUAAGCUACGUAGNNNNNNNNNNNNNNNNNNNNNNNNNNNNNNNNNNNNNNNNNNNNNNNNNNNNNNNNNNNNNNNNNNNNNNNNNNNNNNNNNNNNNNNNNNNNNNNNNNNNAUUGUACAUUACAAUUGGAUGCAAAUCUUUUUGUAUACAUUUCUUUGUUUUAUUGUUUAGUCAACUUUUCGUGAUUUUCAAUUAAACAAUUGAUAUGCACAUCUAGAUGCAAUUAUGAAAAGAACUUGUAUCUAAAGUGAUAGAUUUUGAUAUGUCUAAAGUUNNNNNNNNNNNAAGUGAGAUAUGAAAUAUGCACAUGAGCAGAAUUCGACAAGCACAAAUUGCAUAUCUAGGUAUGUGAUGUACUCUAUUGAUUGAGAUAAUUUGAUUCGUUUGAGAUAUGAUGGGGAAGGAAUGGGGGGUAUCCUUGGCACAAAAGGUUUUGAUUCUGUUGUGAUUUUUUUUGGAAAGAUUUGAUGCUAUUGAGAUUUGCGGGGAGGAAAAGGAUACCUCGUUAGUGGAUUAUAUGUAAAGAAGGAAAAAAAUCCGGGUUUUCUCCUUUGGUUAAAUAAAAACCAGCGGGCUAACUUUUUUUGGUUGUAAAAAGAACGUACAAAUAAAAAUUGAACAAGUGGGGGAGGGGCGUCCGAUGGGAGAGGGUAUCGAUGGGUGGGGGAUCGAGGGAGUCCUAACGAAAUGACGUACGGAUUCUCCAAUUAUACUAGUUAUACGGACUCCCCAAUUAUACUAGUUAUGUUUGAUGCUCUACAAUAGAGUUAGUUUUUCUUUUCCAUACUCACACGUCGAAUCCACAUUUUUAAUUCUAGGUUUUCAUUGUUAGUAAAUAAAAUCAGAGGCAUAUUUCUGCACAUGGAGACAAAACUUCGUGGCAUACAUGAUACGUAUGUGAGACGUAUUACAGUACGAGUUCGCCAAGUUUAAUGACCGUAUUGAAUCGGUAUUUUCAAGUUCAAGGUCCGUAAUCAAGCAGUUCUUGAGUUUGAGGACCAUUGUGAACAUUGCCACCAAGUUUAACGAUCAUACAUGUAUUUUACUCAUAUGCAUAAAUAACAAAGUUCAUAGUACCCAAAAUGCCAUAACUAGAGCGGUAUCGCUAGUUGAGGAGGACGGUUUAAUUAGAUCACAAAUAAAGUUUCGUCGUGCAUAACUCAAAGUUUCUUCAUAGAGAAAGUAUGGACUAAAGGGACACUUUGUCAUAUAUCGUUAAUCACUCCAACAUGUCGUGUCAUCCAUCCAAGUGAGGGAGAUAGUCCCCGAGCGCGGUGAAAGGCUUCAGGUCGAGACGCUCAGCCGAUAUGCAUGUCCAGACGUCUUCCCGCGACAUUUUCCCUUCUUCGUGGAACAUCCCUGUUUUACGAUGACCUCCUUCAUGAUGAUUUGGGCAAGUUCACGCUGGAUGUGAUAGAACUCAGCUCGAAGUAUGUGAUCCGGGAUAUCUCUGUGACAUCCUCAGCUUUUGCUACAGUAAUGUAUGUAAUUAAGCUACAGUGAUCCCAUGCUAAUGAUGCCACAUCAUCGUGAUUUCUAUCGUUGAUCUCAUGUAAAUCGAAACCGAGUAAAAUUCAAAAUUUAAAAAUAAGUCGACGAGAAAAGUUUUCAAAUGUUAAAAUAAAAAUGUGAGAUGAGUUACAAAUAUUUCUUAAUAAGNNNNNNNNNNNNNNNNNNNNNNNNNNNNNNNNNNNNNNNNNNNNNNNNNNNNNNNNNNNNNNNNNNNNNNNNNNNNNNNNNNNNNNNNNNNNNNNNNNNNAAAAAAAGACGCCAAAGAGCCGACCAAAAAAAUGAGAGAAAAAGAGAGAAGGGACAACGCUACCACUUUUUCCACACUUGCGCAUAAUCUUCAUGAUUGAGAGUCUCUCGUUUUGUCACCACCAUAUAGCUAGUGGGAAAUCUUCAUUAUAUAACUUGGAUUGUAUAUUCCAAUGAUAGGAUUCCUCAAAAUUGCCUUAGGCCUUCGUUAGCAAGCAAGUUGGAUGCACACCCACUAGUUUUCUUUAAGAGCUUUCACUUACUCAUAGCUCUAGUGCAUCAUUUGUAUGGUAAUCCCUACUCAUUCACAUUGAUAUCUAUUGAUGAGCAUCUCCACAGCUCAUUGAUAUGCCUAGUUAAUGAUAACUAUCUUCUCCUUUUUUGUCUUGCAACCUCCACCACACUCCACACCAUCUAUACUUCUAUAACCAUGGCUCACGCUCAUGUAUUGCUCGAGAGUUGAAAAGGUCUGAGAAAGUAAAGGUGUGAAACAAUUACUUGGCCAAUAUCGGGGUUGUGCAUGAUUUAAAUUCGUUGUGCAAUGAUGAUAGAGCAUAGCCAGACUAUAUGCUUUUGUAGGGAUAACUUUCUUUUGGCCUUGUUAUUUUGAAAGUUCAUGAUUACCUUGCUAGUUUGCUUGAAUUAUUAUUGUUUCCACGUCAAUAGCAAACUAUUGUUUUGAAUCUAAUGGAUCUGAACAUUCACGUCACAUAAGAGGAGUUACAAAGGACAUCUAUGCUAGGUAGCAUGAAAGCAUCAAAAAUUGAUUGUUUUUCACUUCCCUACUCGAGGACGAGUAGGAGUUAAGCUUGGGGAUGCUUGAUACGUCUCAAACGUAUCUAUAAUUUUUGAUGGUUUCACGUUGUUAUCUUGUCACCUUUGGAUGUUUUAUGUAACUUUUAUAUCUUUUUUGGGACUAACUUAUUAAUUCAGUGCCAAGUGCCAGUUCCUGUUUUUUCUGUGUUUUUGGCUCUUUUCAGAUCUGAUUUUGGAAUGGAGUCCAAACGGAAUAAAAUCCCCGAAAUGUUUUUUCCCGAACGGAAGAAGAUCAGGGGGCCUGUGGGCCAGCCCACAAGCCCCCACCACGCCACCAGGGGGGAGGCGGCGGUGUCAGUGCUUGUGGCCUCCCUGGCCGCCCCCUGACCUAAAUCUUUGGCCUAUAUAUUCCCUAAAAUACAGCAAAAAAUGAGGGGAGCCUCGAAAAUACUUUUCCGCCGCCGCAAGCUUCCGUUUCCACGAGAUCUCAUUUGGAGACCCUUCGCGGCGCCCUGCCGGAGGGGAGUUUGGAGUUGGAGGGCUUCUUCAUCAUCAUCAUCGCCCCUCCAAUGACUCGUGAGUAGUUCACUUCAGACCUACGUGUCCAUAGUUAGUAGCUAGAUGGCUUCUUCUCUCUCUUGAAUCUUCAAUCCAAAGUUCUCCAUGAUCUUCAUGGAGAUCUAUCCGAUGUAAUCUUCUUUGGCGGUGUGUUUGUCGAGAUCCGAUGAAUUGUGGAUUUGUGAUCAUAUUAUCUAUGAUAUAUAUUUGAGUCUUUGCUAAUUUCUUAUUUGCAUGAUUUGAUAUCCUUGUAAGUCUGUGUGAGUCUUUUGUUUUGUUUGGCCAACUAGAUCUAUGAUUCUUGCAAUGGGAGAAGUGCUUGGUUUUGGGUUCUGCCAUGUGGUGACCUUUCCCAGUAAGACUAGGGGCACGAAGGCACACAUUAAGUAGUUGCCCUCAAGGGUAACAAGAUGGGCUCUGUGGUUGAUAUGAGAUUGUCCAUCUACAUCAUGUCAUCUUGCUUAAGGCGUUACUCUGUUCUUUUGGACUUAAUACACUACAUGCAUGCUGGAUAGCGGUCGACGUGUGGAGUAAUAGUAGUAGAUGCAGAAAGUAUCGGUCUACUUGUUUUGUACGUGAUGACUAUAGAUAUAAUCAUUGCCAUAGAUAUCGUCACGACUUUGUGCGGUUCUAUCAAUUGCUCGACAGUAAUUUGUUUACCAACCGUCUACUUGCUUUCAUGAGAGAAGCCACUAGUAAACACUACGGUCCCCGGGUCUAUUCACAUCCCUCGUAUACACCUCCGCUUUUACUUUGCUUUGUUACUUUGUUGCUUUCAGUUCUCACUUGGCGAACAAUCUAUAAGGGAUUGACAACCCCUUCAUAGCGUUGGGAGCAAGCUUUUGUGUUUGUGCAGGAUCUUGUGAUACUCCUCCACUAGGUUGAUACCUUGGUUCUCAAACCGAGAGAAAUACUUACCACCGCUGUGCUACAUCACACUUUCCGCUUCGAGGGAACACCAACGUAAGGCUCCAAGGCCAUGGGGGGAAUCCUUUGCAUAUUUUCCUAGGAAGUCCCUUAAGACGUAGCCGCAGCAGAAGGAUUCCUGGUGCCAUCGACACGACUAUUUCUGGCACCGUUGCAACGGAAGCACAGCUGAUAUCAGAAGUAUUUCUGGCGCCGUUGCUGGGGAGGAGAGAUCAAGAUCUAUCCAAGUAGGUCUCACAAACUCAUCUCUUGCAUUUACUUUUGUUGCCAGUUGCCUCUCAUUUUCCUCUCCCCCACUUCACAUUUGCUGUUUUCAUUUGCCUUUCUCCGUUGCCUUUCUCUUUUGCCGUUUUCUUUUGCCUGUUUCACUCUCUCUUCCUGCUCGUUUGUGUGUGGAAUAGUCCAUCAAUGGAUAGACCCACCACUCCAAACGACACCCCUGAAAAUGGAGUUCUCAAUUUCAGAUAAAAUGAGGAAGAAAAUUUGAAGGACGCUUGGUACAGGAUUUGCAAUGCUCACAGUAGAUAUACUCGUAAGCAAUCCACUACCGUCCUCCUUGGCAGUUUCUAUGUUGGAAUUUCUCCUUGGAAUAGGUAUAUCCUUGAUAACAUUGUAGGAGGGAACUUUUUGGGGAGCCAUACUGUUGACUCCUAUAGAGCUAUCAUGAAUUUGGUAGGCUCACGCCGCUCAUGGUUAAUGGAACAAUCUUGAAUUUGGAACACGUGAUGCAAAGGCUUGACGCUAUUGAAAACAAAAUUGCCAUAGUUAAACUUAUUGAGGGUUUGGAUAGAAAGAUCCACAAUCAAAUUACUCAGUACGGAUCCAAAGUGGGAAAUUUUUUUGAAAAAUUUAAGGGAGAAGGAACUUAUAGUUAAUGAUUCUUCUAGAAUUGGCAAAUUAGAAGAUGUCAUAACCAACUUGGGUUCCGCUUUUGCCACUGUGCAAAAUACUCCAAAUCUCACUCUCAAAAAGACCGUCAAGCAUGUUUUCGUUCCUAAAGCUAGUGGUAAGUCAUCCAAUAAACAUGAAGAUCUUAAGACGAUAAAUGAUCACACUACCUAUGGUUUGAGCACCAAAGAUGACUAUACGUGAUUCCAUCACUUUUUGCCUAGCUAAGGGCGUUAAACAAAAGUGCUUGUUGGGAGGCAACCCAACGAAUCUAUCAUUUUUCUUUCUGUUUUGUGUUUUCCACACUUUCAUAAUUCUGUUAUGAUUGUGUUUUUUGUGUUUCUUUUUUGCGUUUGUGCCAAGGAAAACCGUUAUGAUUAGUCUUGGGGAUGAUCGUUUGGUCAUGCUGAAACUGAUAGAAACUUUCUUCUCACGAAAAGAAUUUUUCAUUUUUUUCUGUAAGAGAUUUUGAGUUGAUUAUUUUUUAUGCUCAUUGCUACGCAAAGUUUUCAGACUGUAGUAAUUGUUCAGAAUUUUUGAAGUACCAGAGGUAUACGAAAUAUACAGAUUGCUAUAGACUGGUCUGCUGUUAACAGAUUCUGUUUUUUGUUGUGUUGGUUGCUUAUGUUGACGAAACUAUGGAUAGUAUCGGGGGGUAUUAGCCAUGGAAGAUUGAAAAUACAGUAACCCAACAUCAGCACAAGUGGAAUUUAAGUUUGCUACAGUACCUAAGGAAGUGGUGGUUUGCUUUCUCAUACUAAUGUUAUCACGAGUUUCUGUUUAAGUUAUGUGUUGUGAAGUUUUCAAGUUUUGGGUGAAGUUCUUAUGGACAAAAAGAUAAAGAGUGGCAAGAUCUCAAGAUUGGGGAUUCCCAAGGCACCCCAAGAGAUUCAAGGAUGCCUUAAAAGCCUAAGCUUGGGGAUGCCCCGGGAAGGCAUCCCCUCUCUCGUCUUCAAUCCAUCGGUAACGUUACUUGGCGUUAUAUUUUUAUUCACCACAUGUUAUGUGUUUUUGCUUGGAGCGUCUUGUAUCGUAGGAGUCUUUUAUUUUUGUUGUGUCACAAUCAUCGUUGCUGCACACCUAGAGUGAGAGACAUGCACUCACCGUGAUUUUGUCGAGCUUCACUUAUAUCCCUUGGUAGACAAUUGAGCUCACAUGUGCUUCACUUGUAUCUUUUGAGAUAGAUACUUUUCCUCUAUGUGCUUCACUUGUAUCUGAUUCAUCUCAAUUAGUUUUGAGUUGUGGUUAUGGUAAUAUUAAAGUCAUGCUAGUAAGGUGUUGUGGAUCUAGAAAUACUUGUUUUGAAGUUAUUGAUUCCCGUAGCAUGCACGUAUGGUGAACCACUAUGUGAUGAAAUUUGAGCAUGAUUAGUCUAUUGAUUGUCAUCUUUGCGUGGCAGUCGGGAUCACGCGAUGGUUUAUACCUACCAACCCUUCCCCUAGGAGUAUGCGUUGAAUGCUUUGUUUUGAUUACUAAUAAAACUUUUGCAAGAAAGUAUAUGAGUUCUUCAUGACUAAUGUUGAGUCCAUGGUUUAGAUGCACUUUCACCUUCCACCAUCACUAUCUUCUUAGUGCCGUGCAACUUUCGCCGGUGCACAAAACCAACCAUUAGCCUCCCUCAAAACAGCCACCAUACCUACCUACUAUGGCUUUUUCAAAGUCAUUCCGAGAUAUAUUGCCAUGCAACUACCACCAUGACAUGUUCCACCAUGUUUACAUUGCCAUUGCAUGAUCGUAAGAUAGCUAGCAUGAUGUUUCCAUUAAUGUCUAUGCCAUGCUAGAUCGUUUCCACGGUACACUACCGAAGGCAUUCCAUAUAGAGUCAUAGUUGCUCUACGUUUUGAGUUGAAAGUGUGAUGAUCAUCAUUAAUGGAGCAUUGUCCCAUGUGAGGAAAUAAAAGAGGCCAAAGAAGCCCACCAAAAUAAAAAAAAGAGGCCAAAGAGCCCACUAAAAAAUGAGAGAAAAAGACAGAAGGGACAAUGCUACCAAUUUUUCCACACUUGUGCAUAAUCUUCAUGAUUGAGAGUCUCUCGUUUUGUCACCACCAUAUAGCUAGUGUGAAAUCUUCAUUAUAUAACUUGGAUUGUAUAUUCCAAUGAUAGGCUUCCUCAAAAUUGCCUUAGGUCUUCGUGAGCAAGCAAGUUGGAUGCACACCCACUAGUUUUAUUCAAGAGCUUUCACUUACUCGUAGCUCUAGUGCAUCAUUUGUAUGGCAAUCCCUACUCGUUCACAUUGAUACCUAUUGAUGAGCAUCUCCACAGCUCAUUGAUAUGCCUAGUUAAUGUGACUAUCUUCUCCUUUUUUGUCUUGCAACCUCCACCACACUCCACACCAUCUAUAGUGCUAUAACCAUGGCCAAUACCGGGGUUGUGCAUGAUUUAAAUUGCAUGAGAUUUGAAAAGGUUUGAGGAAGUAAAGGUGUGAAACAAUUACUUGGCCAAUACCGGGGUUGUGCAUGAUUUAAAUUCGUUGUCCAAUGAUGAUAGAGCAUAGCGAGACUAUAUUUUUUCGUAGGGAUAACAUUCUUUUGGCCUUGUUAUUUCGAAAGUUCAUGAUUACCUUGCUAGUUUGUUUGAAUUAUUAUUCUUUCCACGUCAAUAGCAAACUAUUGUUUUGAAUCUAAUGGAUCUGAACAUUCACGUCACAUAAGAGGAGUUACAAAGGACAUCUAUGCUAGGUACCAUGAAAGCAUAAAAAAUUCAUUCUUUAUCACAUCCCUACUCGCGGACGAGCAGGAGUUAAGCUUGGGGAUGCUUGAUACGUCUCAAACGUAUCUAUAAUUGUUUAUGGUUUCACUCUGUUAUCUUGUCAUCUUUGCAUGUUUUAUGUACCUUUUAUAUCUUUUUUGGGACUAACUAAUUAAUUCAGUGCCAAGUGCCAGUUCCUGUUUUUUCUGUGUUUUUGGCUCUUUUCAGAUCUGAUUUUGGAACGGAGUCCAAAGGGAAUAAAAUCCCCGAAAUGAUUUUUUCCUGAACGGGAGAAGAUCAAGGGGCCUGUGGGCCAAGCCAGGAGGGCUCCAGGGAGCCCACAAGCCCCCACCACGCCUCCAGGGUGGAGGCAGUGGUCUCAGGGCUUGUGGCCUCCCUGGCCGCCCCCUGACCUAGAUCUUUGGCCUAUAUAUUCCCUAAAAUAUAGCAAAAAAUCAGGGGAGCCUCAAAAAUACUUUUCCGCCGCUGCAAGCUUCCGUUUCCGCGAGAUCUCAUGUGGAGACCCUUCCCGGCGCCCUGCCGGAGGGGACUUUGGAGUUGGAGGGCUUUUUCAUCAUCAUCAUCGCCCCUCCAGUGACUCGUGAGUACACUUUAGACCUACGGGUCAGUAGUUAGUAGCUAGAUGGCUUCUUCUCUCUCUUGGAUCUUCAAUACAAAGUUCUCCAUGAUCUUCAUGGAGAUAUAUGCGAUGUAAUCUUCUUUGGCGGUGUGUUUGUCGAGAUCCGAUGAAUUGUGGAUUUGUGAUCAGAUUAUCUAUGAUAUAUAUUUGAGUCUUUGCUGAUUUCUUAUUUGCAUGAUUUGAUAUCCUUGUAAGUCUCUCCGAGUCUUGGGAUUUGUUUGGCCAACUAGAUCUAUGAUUCUUGCAAUGGGACAAGUGCUUGGUUUUGGGUUCUGCCAUGUGGUAACCUUUCCCAGUGACAGUAGGGGUAGCAAGGCACACAUUAAGUAGUUGCCAUCAAGGGUAACAAGAUGGGCUCUAUCGUUGAUAUGAGAUUGUCCAUCUACAUCAUGUCAUCUUGCUUAAGGCGUUACUCGGUUCUUUUGGACUUAUUACAGUCGAUGCAUGCUGGAUAGCAUCGACGUGUGGAGUAAUAGUAGUAGAUGCAGAAAGUAUCGGUCUACUUGUUUUGGACGUGAUGCCUAUAGAUAUAAUCAUUGCCAUAGAUACCGUCACGACUUUGCAGGGUUCUAUCAAUUGCUUGACAAUAAUUUGUUCACCCACCGUCUAUUUGCUUUCAUGAGAGAAGCCACUAGUAAACACUACGGCCCUCGGGUCUAUUCACAUCCAUCGUUUACACCUCCGCUUUUACUUUACUUUGUUACCUUGUUGCUUUCAGUUCUCACUUGGCUAACAAUCUAUAAGGGAUUGGCAACCCCUUCAUAGCGUUGGGAGCAAGCUUUUGUGUUUGUGCAUGAUCUUGUGAUACUCCUCCACUGGAUUGAUACCUUGGUUCUCAAACUGAGGGAAAUACUUACCAUCGAUGUGCUACAUCACCCUUUCUGCUUCAAGGGAACACCGACACAAGGCUCCAAGGCCACGGAGGAAAUCCUUUGCAUAUUUGCCUAGGAAGUCCCUUAAGGCUUAGCCGCAGCAGAAGGAUUCCUUGUGCCGUCGACACGACUAUUUCUGGCGCCGUUGGAAGGGAGGCACAGCUGACAUCACAGCCAUACCCCUCCUCCUCGCCCUCCGCAUAGCUUGGCGAAGCCCUCUUGGAGUACAACGUAGCUCCAUCGUCACCACGCCGUCGUGCUGCCGGAGCUCUCCCUCAACCUCUCCUCCAUCCUUGUUGGAUCAAGGCGUUGGAGACGUCACGGGGAUGCACAUGUGCUGAACGUGGAGGCGCCGAUGUUCGGGCACAGAUCGGAAUCCAUCGCGAUCUGAAUCGCUGCGAGUAUGACUCCAUCAACCGCGUUCUAGCAAUGCUUCCUCUUAGAGAUCUGUCAGGACCCCGAUCCUAAGCCAUAGGAAUCCAGCGUGUAACGCACCGCAUCCCUUUGCGGUCUCACGCACGGUUAACUCCAUGGCUGCAGCCUUACCUUAGCCGGGACCGUUUGCGCCUUUUGACUCACGUAUGCAAUUGUGUCGCUAGCAGUCCAAUGUCAAAGAACCCGGAUCGAUAAGUCUAGUCAUAAACCAAAGUGGCAGUACAGCACAAGGACAGGCAUACAUGACCCAACAAUGCAGGUGUCGGUCACCAGCGAGUGUAGACGAGUCGUAGCAAGGUACAAGGACUCCAUUACAUCGUGAGACAUUUCCCCAAAGGGAACAGACACAGCAGCUAAGAAGGACACAUGCCGGUCAACCAAUGUGUCCGGAGCAGUAGCGAGCUACCAUGGCUCGUUGGAUCACAAAGGGGCAUUUCCCUGUAAGGAGUCCUACUAAAGUUCACGGCUAGGUAAUCGAACCCCAUACAUAUCAAGUACGACACACAUAUGCAUGGCAUACCGAUAUGUAUAGAUACAUCGAUGGCAUCACAACAUAACCAUAAACAUACAAGCUUUAUUUAAGAGGCUCAGAAGAGCCACACACAUAAUAUUACACAGUAAGGGUCUCACGACCCGUAAUAGCAGUCAUUCAGUUACAAGCCAGCGAAAGUGUUUAAAACUGUCUGAGUACAGACAGGUGCAACUAGAAGGCACAUGGCCUGACUAUACUAUAGACCCAACCUAGGGCCAGAUCGUAGCUGGGACACCAGCUACUCGUCGUCGUCGAUGUCUAUGAAGAACCCUCCGUUAGGGUCAUUAGCAACCUCUGCAACAUUUAUUAAGCAAACAUGAGUACGGAGGUACUUAGCAAGACUUUAGGAUAACUAUCUACUCAUGCAAUGUAUCAAUAAGGUAUUGUGGGGUUUCAUGCGGAAAGCCAGCAUUUGACUCGUGGCUAGACAACUUGCAAUUUUAAAUAAUUUUGACAACUUGAUUUCUCGCACACAAGUCCACUAACACCACAACAAUACUCCAUCGUGGAAUCAUUCCGUCUCCAUACGGAAAUGCCGUCCACGACACUCACGCUUAUCUUGACAAUUUUAUGAGUAGCCAUUGAAGUUAUCUACGAACAACAUAUAUCUCCAAGUAGUCCAUAUCCGCGGACGCGGCUAUUCGAAUAGAUCAUAACCCUGCACGGGUGUACUUCGUCACACACGCUCUCGCCACUUAUUGCCAUGUGCACGUCAUGCACCUCGGCAACCUUCAAGCGGAAGCCCAACGAGGGAGUCGGCCACGACCGUUAACCAUACUAGUACCUAGUCCAGGUUUAUCGCCUAUCUCAGAAUAACCCGUACGGAAGUCCGGCCGAGGUUUCCGCCACGGCCUGAAACGAUGUGCGCAGGGUUCCCAAGUCCACCAUCCGGGUGCCACUUGGUACACCGUGCCACUGCCUACCGCAUCACCGCCGACCUCUCAGGUCAACGCUAUGCACGGCCUCCAGCAUGACUAUAAACACUAGAAACUACUUGCAACUCCUGGACCAAAUACUAAGCGAUUAAUAAGUCGAGAGGGUCAAUUAAGUAUCCCAACGUGUGGUAGUAUCUAGUCUUGGAUUACAUACACGGAACUCAGUUCCUAAGGACGGUUCCAAUGAAACAACCCGCCAUGUACUCCUACACAGCCUUUCACCGGUACCUUUACCAAAUCAGGUUCAACACACAACCUUUGCUUACCGAACACAUUCUCACAAUUCUGUUCAUCUCCCAGAUGACAGACCAUACACAACUCUAAGCAUAGCAUGCAUAGCAGGAUAAGGCACAUCAUGGCUCAAGCAACUACCAGGUAUGCUAGGUUGCAAGGUUCAACUAUUUACUGUGAUAAGGAUAGGUCAUGCAAAGGAAGUGGGUUCAACUAAUGUGGCAAAAGCAUUUGAAGCAUUUGAUCCUAAUGCAAUAAGUAAGUGCAGGAGCAAGAACAUAGGAUUUAUCGGGAUGAUAAAAAAUGGUUGCUUGCCUUGUUGCUCAGAGGAGUGACAAUAUCCGUCAGACGGAUAUUCGGUGGAAUCCGGGGGAGCGGAGCCUACCAAAAGGAAUGACAACAACCAAUAUCAAACAUAUGCAACCAAGAUGAUGUAUGAGCAUGGCAUGAGAAUGCAAGAUGGUAACUAUUAUAGCUAACGUGUAUUAGGUUUGAAGUUGAUUUGAAUCAAAUUCAAAUACCACUUCAAACGAGGUAUUCUCGGAUACCAUUUUAAUUGAUUCGACCUGAUGCUCAGAUCAACUUGCUUUUAACAUGCAUGGGAUGACAUGUUAGGUUGCUGGUUUGUAAUUAGGACAGUGUUUGAUCAACUCAUUUAUAGUGAAAUUUAAAUAUUUUCCAAAUUUCAUCUACAAAGUAUUUAUAAGGAUUAACUUAUUCAUUAAUCUACAUGUUUGGGUUCUGUAACAUUUUCAAACAUGUUUGAAAAUGACAUAUUCAGAUUCCUUGAAUUUUUCUGAUACUUUUUCAUAUAUAAAUUAUUUUCAUUGGAGUUACCGAUUAAUUUCUAUGAAUUUUAUAAGUUUUGUCAUUUUUCUAGAAUUCUUUUAAAUCAGAAAACUCUUUAUUGCAUCAGCAUGACAUCAGCAGGUCCAACUGGCCGUUGAAAGUCAAACCUGACCAGUGGGACCCACUGGUCAGUGACUCUGGUCUGUUUGAGAUUAGAAUUAAUCUUAAUUAGCUAAUUAAUCUCACUGGACCCACAUGUCAGUGACUUAUUAAAUUAUUUGGUUUUAUUUUUAUUAUUCCAGAUUAUCCAGAGGCUGGCCCCACACGUUAGUGGCUCAGGCCAGCUGAGAUCCACCGGCGGCGAGGUCGUCCUCAGCGGCGGGGAGCCUCCGGCGACCACCAGUACGGUGGAGGGCAUCGGAAACUCGCCUCCGACGACCAAACUCACGGCAGAGGCCACGGGGAGAACGACCACUCGAUGGCACGGACGAUGGGACAAACCCCACGGGCUGGGGUGGCCGGAAUCAACGCCGGCGACGAGCUUCGCGGCGACCAGGUUCGGCCAUAAUCGAAGCCAUCGAUUACAGGGUCAAAACGCGCGGGGCUGGGCUCCUAAAGCAUCUACGUGAUGUCCUGAGGCUGCUGGUGGCCUCAGACGGACCAACCCUUCACCGGAGGGUUACCGGCGACGAGCUGCAGCGGCGUUCCUCGUCGGGCUCCGAUGGAACUAGGCCUAGAGGAGGGUAUCGAUGGGGAGAUCUUAGGGGAAAGAUGCGCAAGCUCACGAGGAGUGCAGAGGAGGGCUUAGAAGGAUCGGGGAAGCACUGAGGGCGACGAAUCGAGCAGAGCUCGCCGGCGGCCGAAGGUUGAAGACGACGAUGCCGUAGGCGUUGCAGGGCUCGGGGAGGCUUCGGCUUCUGUAGGGAGGACCGGUUCGUCGAGGCAGAGCUAACGGCACACUCAGAAUGAAGAUCCUAUGGCUAGGGGCACGGGCAGCUCGAGCUCGAGCUCCUGUCAAUGGCGGCAGAGGGGAUCGGGAGAACCCAGAGGAGAGGGGAAAGAAUGAGCAUGGGAAUGGAUAGCUACGAGCUCGGGGAGGUUAUCCCCGUGCUUGCCAGCGCGAAGCGGCGGCCAGACAGGCAGGGAGUUGCGUGGAGGCGCGCGGCGACGCGGCGGCCACCUCCUGCUGCUACUGGCGAGGAGGAAGACGGCAGUGCUACUGGGCCGGGCUGAGGUGAGCGACAGGUAGUUCUUUUCUCUUUUUUUCUGUUUUGUUUCUGUUUUGCUAUUUCAUUGAUUUACUAUUUAUUUCAUCUCCCAAAUAGUUUGUAAAAACUAUUUUGAACACACCAAAAUAUUAGUUGGAAUGUAUCCAAUCAUUCCUAAAGUUUUCAACAUUUUUGAAAACUUAAAGUUUCUGAUUUCAAAUUUUAAACUUGAAACCAGUAGCUUUUGCAUUUAUUUAAAAUGCCAAGAGUAUAAAAUAAAUGGUUUCCUUUAUUUCUUAUUUGUUUUCAAGAAUUAUCAGAAAGAUUGAACUUUUCUUGAGGCCAUUUUGGGUUCAUUGAUUUUAACUAGUUUGAAUUUUCCUUUAUUUUGAAAAGUGGCUAGGGUUUUAGAAUUUUCCUUCACCACUUGCUUUGUUCUUGUUGAAAAUUUCCUAGAUGCAAUGCAAAGAAAACAUGAGCACAAAGCUAACUUGAUUAAGGUGUCAGGGAUGUGACAAGAUCUUCAAAGGAUGAAGAUGCUCUAGGACCUCUCUCGUUUCAGGUUUCUCCAUAGAUAGAUCCUUGCAUGGCGUAGGAAAAUUUGGAAAUUACUACGAUCCCCAAUAGUGGCAUCCGAGCCAAGGUUGUAUGCGUAGAUUCUAUGCACGAGUAGAACACAAAAGUUGUGGGCGCUGGUUUGUCAAUUUUCUUGCCGUUACUAGUCUUAUCUUGAUUCAGAGGCAUCGUGGGAUGAAGCAGCCCGGACCGACUUUAUACGUACUCUUACGUGAGACUCGUUCCACCGACCAACGUGCACUAGUUACAUAAGGUGGCUAGCGGGUGUCUCUCUCUCCCACUUUAGUCAAAUCAGAUUCAAUGAAGAGGGUCCUUAUGAAGGGUAAAUAUCAUUGGCAAAUCAAUGUUGUGGCUGUCACGUAGGUAAGAAGCGUUCUUGGUAGAAACCCUAACCAGCCACAUAAAACUUGCAACAACAAUUAGAGGACGUCCAACUUGUUUUUGCAGGGUAUGCUAUGUGAUGUGAUAUGGCCAAAAGGAUGUGAUGUUACAUAUGUGAUGUAUGAGAUUGAUCAUGUUCUUGUAAUAGGAUUCACGACUUGCAUGUAGAUGAGCAUGACAACCGACAUGAGCCAUAGGAGUUGCCUUAAUUUAUUGUAUGAGAUGCAACGCCAUGUUGAUUACUCUACUCUAUCACUAACAGUUAGCUUUAGUAGUAGAAGUAAUAGUUGGCGUGACGACUUCACGGAGACAUAAUGAUGGAGAUCAUGGUGUCAUGCCGGUGGCAAUGAUGAUCAUGAUGCCCCGAAGAUGGAGAUCAAAGGAGCAAGAUGAUAUUGGCCAUAUCAUAUUUUUCAUUUUAUUGCUUAGAACGACGGUAGCAAAGAUAAGAUGAUCCCUCAUUAAAAUUUCGAGAUAAGUAUUCCCCUAAGUGUGCACCAUUGCGAAGGUUCGUUGUCUCGAAGCACCAUGUGAUGAUCGGGUAUGAUAGAUUCUAACAUUCUCAUAUAACGGGUGUAAGCGAGUUUACACACGCAAAACACUUAGGUUGACUUGACGAGCCUAGCAUGUAAAGACAUGGCCUCGAAUAUGGGAGACCGAAAGGUCAAACAUGAUCUGUAUGGUUGAUACGAUCAGCAUGGAGAUGCUCACCAUUGAUGACUAGUCUGUCUCAUGUAAUGAUCGGACACGGGCUAGUCGACGUGGAUCAUGUAACACUUGGAUGACUAGAGGGAUGUCGCCCUAAGUAGGAAUUCAUUAGUAAUUUGAUUGGAUGAACUUAAUUAUCAUGAAUUUAGUCUAAAAUUGUCUUUACAAAUAUUGUAGAUCCAAUGGCCAAUGCAGAUGUCCCAUUCAACUUCAACGCGUUCCUAGACAAAAGCAAGCUGAAAGACGAUGGGAGCAACUAUGCGGACUGGGCUCGUAACUUAAUGAUCAUCCUCAAGUCUUUCAAGGAGACAUAUGUCCUUGAUGCCCAACUAGCUGAUCCUCCCGUUCCCGCGGCAGACCAGGACGCUAGGAACGCGUGGCAGUCGUGGAGUGUUGACUACUCUCUCGUUCAGUGUGUCAUGCUUUACAGUUUAGAACCGGGCUCCAAAGGAGUUUUGAGCAACACGGAGCAUAUGAGAUGUUCGAGGAGCUGAAACUUGUUUUUCAAGCUCAUGCCCGGGUCGAUAGAUAUGAAGUCUCCAACAAGUUCUUCAGCUGUAAGAUGGAGGUGGAUAGUUCUGUCAGUGAGCACAUACUAAGAAUGUCUUGGUUGCACAACCGUUGACUCAGCUGAGAAUGGAACUUCCAGAUGAUGUGGUCAAUGACACAAUCCUCCAGUUGCUUCCACCUUGAUAUAAAGGCUUUGUGAUGAAUUACAACAUGCAAGGGAUGGAAAAGACUAUUCCCGAAUUAUAUUCAAUGCUGAAAUCUGCGGAGGUAGAAAUCAAGAAAGAGCAUCAAGUGUUGAUGGUCAAUAAGACCACCAGUUUCAAGAAGGGAAGGGUGAGAAAAGCUUCAAGAAAGACGGCAAAGCAGUUUCCACGCUCGGUAAACCAGUUGCCGGGAAGAAGUCAAAGAAAUGACCCAAGCCUGAGACUCGGUGCUAUUACUGCAAGGGAACCGGUCACUGGAAGCGGAAGUGCUCCAAGUACUUAGCGGACAAGAAGGCCGGCAGCAUCAAAGUUAUAUGUGAUAUACUUGUUACUGAUGUGUACCUUACCAGCGCUUGUAGUAGCUCCUGGUUAUUUGAUACCGGUGCUUUUGCUCACAUUUGCAAGUCUAAGAAGGAACUGCGGAACAAGCAUAGGCUGGCUAAGGACGAGGUGACGAUGCACGUUGGAAAUGGUUCGAAGGUUGAUGUGAUCACCAUCGACAUGCUACCUCUACAUCUACCUUCGAGAUUAUUUUUAAACCUUAAUAAUUGAUAUUUAGUACCAACUUUGAGCAUGAACAGUGUAUCGGGAUCUCGCUUGAUGCAAGAUGGCUACUCAUUUAAAUCUGAGAAUAAUGGUUGUUCUAUUUAUAUGAAUGGUAUGUUUUAUGGUCAUGCCCCGCUGGUCAAUGGUUUAUUCCUGAUGAAUCUCGAUCGUGAUGUUACACAUAUUCAUAGUGUGAGUACCAAAAUAUGUAAGGUUGAUAAUGAUAGUCCCACAUACUUGUGGCACUGCCGCCUUGGUCAUAUCAGCGUAAAGCGCAUGAAGAAACUUCAUACAAAUGGACUUUUGGAGUCACUUGAUUUUGAAUCAUUUGACACAUGCGAACCGUGCCUCAUGGGCAAUAUGACCAAGACUCUGUUCUCCGGAACAAUGGAGCGAGCAACCAACUUAUUGGAAAUAAAACAUAACGAUUUGUGCGGUCCAAUGAGCGUUCAAGCUCGUGGUGUCUAUCGUUAUGUUCUCACCCUCACUGAUGAUUUAAGUAGAUAUUGGUAUGUCUACUUAAUGAAGCACAAGUCUGAAACCUUUCAAAAGUUCAAGGAGUUUCAGAGUGAGGUGGAGAAUCAAGGUGAUAAGAAAAUAAAGUUUCUACGAUAUGAUCGUGGAGGAGAAUAUUCGAGUCACGAGUUUGGCACGCACCUAAGGAAAUGUGAAAUUGUAUCACAACUCACGCCGCCUGGCACAUCGCAGUGUAACGGUGUGUGUGAACGUCGCAAUCGCACUUUACUAGAUAUGGUGCAAUCUAUGAUGUCUCUUACCGAUUUACCGCUAUCAUUUUGGGGAUAUACAUUGGAAACUAUCUCAUUCACUUUAAAUAGGGCACCGUCUAAAUCCGUUGAGAUGGCACCGUAUGAAUUAUGAUUUGCCAAGAAACCUAAGGUGUCGUUUCUUAAAGUUUGGGGCUGUGAUGCUUAUGUGAAGAAACUUCAACCAGAGAAGCUCGUACCCAAAGCGAAAAAAUGAGUCUUCAUAGGAUACCCUAAGGAAACUAUUGGGUACACCUUCUAUCUUAGAUCCAAAGGCAAGAUCUUUGUUGCCAAGAACGGAUCCUUUCUGGAGAAAGAGUUUCUCUCGAAAGAAGUAAGUGGGAGGAAAAUAGAACUUGAUGAGGUAAUUGUACCUCCUCUCGAAAUGGAGAAUAGCACAACACAAGAAAAUGUUUCUAAGGCGCCUGAACCAGCUAGAGAAGAAGUUAAUGAUGAUGAUCAUGAAACUUCAGAUCAAAUUGCUAUUGAACCUCAAAGGUCGACAAGGGUACGUUCAGCACCACAGUGGUACGACAACCCUAUCAUAGAAAUCAUGUUGUUGGACAACAGUGAACCUUCGAACUGUGAAGAAGCGAUGGCGGGCCCGGAUUCCAACAAAUGGCAUUAGGCCAUGAAAUCCGAGAUAGAAUCCAUGUAUGAGAACAAAGUGUGGACUUUGGUGGACUUGCCCAAUGAUCAGCGAGCCAUAGAAAAUAAAUGGAUUUUUAAGAAGAAGACUGACGCGGAUGGUAAUGUUACCAUCUAUAAGGCUCGACUUGUCACUAAGGGUUAUCGACAAGUUCAAUGGAUUGACCAUGAUGAGACCUUCUCACCCAUAGCGUUGCUGAAGUCAGUCCGAAUCCCGUUAGCAAUUGCCGCAUUUUAUGAUUAUGAAAUCUGGCCAAUGGAUGUCAAAACAGCAUUCCUGAACGGCUUUCUUAAAGAAGAAUUAUAUAUGAUACAGCUGGAAGGUUUUGUCGAUCCUAGCAAUGCUAACAAGAUAUGCAAGCUCGAGUGCUCCAUCUAUGGGCUGGUGCAAGCAUCUCGGAGUUGAAAUAUUCGCUUUGAUGAGGUGAUCAAAGCUUUUGGGUUUAUACAGACUUAUGGAGAAGCCUGUAUUUACAAGAAAGUGAGUGGGAGCUAUGUAGUAUUUCUCAUAUUAUAUGUGGAUGACAUAUUGAUGGGAAAUGAUAUAGAACUAUUGGAAAGCAUCAAGGCCUAUUUGAAUAAGAGUUUUUCAAUGAAGGACCUCGGAGAAGCUGCUUACAUAUUGGGCAUCAAGAUCUAUAGAGAUAGAUCGAGACGCCUCAUAAGUCUUUCACAAAGCACAUACCUUGAAAAGAUAUUGAAGAAGUUCAAUAUGGAUAAGGCUAAGAAGGAGUUCUUGCCUGUAUUACAAGGUGUGAGGUUGAGAACGACUCAAUGCCUAACCACGACAGAAGAUAGAUAAAAGAUGAGUACCGCCCCCUAUGCUUCAGCCAUAGGCUAUAUCAUGUAUGCCAUGCUGUGUACCGGACCUGAUGUGAACCUUGCCAUAAGUUUGGUAGGGAUGUACGAGAGUGAUCUAGGAUUGGAUCGCUGGACAACGGUUAAGAACAUCCUUAAGUACCUGAAAAGGACUAAAGAUAUGUUUCUCGUCUAUGGAUGUGCCGAAGAGCUCGUCGUAAAGGGUUACGUCGAUGCUAGCUUCGACACAGAUCUGGAUGAAUCUAAGUGAGAAACCGAAUACAUGUAUAUUUUGAAUAAUGGGGCAGUUAGCUGGCGCAGUUGCAAUCAAAGCUUCCUGGCGGCAUCAACAUGUGAAGCGGAGUACAUAGCUGCUUCGGAAGCAGCAGAUGAAGGAGUCUGGAUGAAGGAGUUCAUCACCGACCUUGGAGUGAUUCCGAGUACGUCGGGCCCGAUGACUCUGUUCUGUGACAACACUAGAUCUAUUUCUAUUACAAAGGAGCCCAGGUUUCACAAGAAGACCAAGCACAUCAAGCGCCGCUUCAACUCCAUUCGUGGAUACAUCUAGGAUGGAGAUAUAGAUAUUUGUAAAGUACAUACGGCUCUGAAUGUCACUGGCCCAUUGAUUAAACCUCUUCCACGGGAAAGCAUGAUCAGCACCAAAACUCUAUGUGUGUUCGAUUUAUCACAAUGUAACUAGAUUAUUGAUUCUAGUGCAAGUGGGAGACUAUUGGAAAUAUGCCCUAGAGGCAAUAAUAAAGUUGUUAUUACUAUAUUUCCAGUUGAUGAUAAUUGUCUAUUAUGCAUGCUAUAAUUGUAUUAACCAGAAACCGUAAUACAUGUGUGAAUAUAUAGAUCACAAUGUGUCCCUAGUGAGCCUCUAGUUGGCUAUCUCGUUGAUCAAUAGAUGAUCAUGGUUUCUUAAUCAUGGACAUUGGAUGUCAUUGAUAACGGGAUCACAUCAUUGGGGAAUGAUGUGAUGGACAAGACCCAAUCCUAAGCAUAGCACUAGAUCGCGUUGUUUGUCUGCUAAAGCUUUUCUAAUGUCAAGUAUCGUUUCCUUAGACCAUGAGAAUGUGCAACUGCCAGAUACCGUAGCAGUCCUUUGGGUGUAUCAAACGUCACAACGUAACUGGGUCAUUAUAAAGGUGCACUACAGGUAUCUCGGAAAGUGUUUGUUGGGUUGUACGAAUUGAGACUGGGAUUUGUCACUCCGUGUGACAGAGAGGUAUCUCUGGGCCCACUCGGUAAUGUUGGAAAUAUGCCCUAGAGGCAAUGAUAAAAUAGUUAUCAUUGUAUUUCUUGUUUCAAGAUAAUCGUUUAUUAUCUAUGUUAUAAUUGUAUUGAAUGAAACCAUAAGUACAUGUGUGGAUAUAUAGACAAAACAAUGUCCCUAGUAAGCCUCUAGUUGACUAGCCAGUUGAUCAAGGAUGGUCAUGGUUUUCUGACCAUAUGCAAGUGUUGUCACUUGAUGACUGGAUCACAUCGUUAGGAGAAUGAUGUCAUGGACAAGACCGAAAUUAUAAACGUAGCAUGUGAUCGUGUCAUUUUGUUGCUAUUGUUUUCUGCGUGUUAAGUAUUCAUUCCUAUGAGCUUGAGAUCAUGUAACUCACUGACACCGGAGGAAUUCCUUGUGUGUAUCAAACAUUGCAACAUUACUGGGUGACAUAAAGGUGCUCUACAGGUAUCUCCGAAGGUGUCCGUUGAGUUAGCAUGGAUCAAAACUGGGAUUUGUCACUCCUUGUGAUGCAGAGGUAUCUCAGGGCCCACCCGCUAAUACAACAUCAGAUAGAAGCCUUGCAAGCAAUGUGACUAAAGUGUUAGUCACGGGAUCUUCUAUUACGGAAAAAGCAAAUAGACUUCCCGGUAACGAGAUUGAAAUAGGUAUAGGAUACCGACGAUCAAAUCUCGAGCAAGUAACAUACCCAAGGACAAAGGGAAUGGUAUACGGGAUUAUAUUAAUCCUUGGCACAGAGGUUCAACCGAUAAGAUCUUUGUAGAAUAUGUAGGAUCCAAUAUGGACAUCUAGGUCCCGCUAUUGGAUAUUGGCCGAGGAGUGUCUCAGGUCAUGUCUGCAUAGUUCUCGAAUGCGCAGGGUCUGCACACUUAAGGUUCGGUGACGUUUCGGUAUAGUUGAGUUAUAGGUGUUUGUGAUCGAAGGUUGUUCGGUGUCCUAGAUGAGAUCACGGACGUCACGAGGGUUUCCGAAAUGGUCCGGAAAUGAAGAUUGAUAUAUAGGAUGGUUUCAUUGGGUCUCCGGAAAGAUUUUGUGCAUUACCGGCAGUGUACCGGGAGUGACGUAUGGGUUUCGGGUCUUCACCGGGAGGGGCCCACCCACCCGGGAGUGAGCCCAAUAGUCCAAGGGUGGCGCACCAGCCCUUAGUGGUCUGGUGAAGCCAGCCCAAGUGGGCUAAAAGAAAAACCAUAAGAAAAAAAAGAGGGAGGUGGGAAGGAAGAGGGGGACUCCUCCUUCCCCAAACCGAAUUGGAGUUGGAGUCCUCCUCCUCCUUUGGGCCGGCUCCCUAGGGGCUCCCUUGAGCCCCAAGGCUAGCCCCUCCCCUCCUACUAUAUAUAUACUAUUGGUUUUAGAGUUUUUGGGACACAACUUUGCCACGUGCAACUCAAACCUCUACUUCGUAGUUCCUCCUCUAGAUCGGUUUUCUGUGGAGCUCGGGCGGAGCUCUGCAGGAAUAGAUCAUCACCAUCACCAGCGCGCCGUCACACUGCCGGAGAACUCAUCUACUUCCACGUCUCUCUUGCCGGAUCAACAAGGCGGCGAUCGUUAUCGAGCUCUACGUGUGCUGAAAGGGGAGGUGCCGUCCGUUCGGCGCUAGAUCGGAACGGAUCGUGGGACGACGGUGCUUUGAAUCAUGAAGCUGUACCACUACAUCAACCUCAUUUCUUAACGCUUCCUGCUGAGCGAUCUACAAGGGUAUGACGAACCGAUCUCCCUCUCGUAGAGGAACAUCACCAUGAUAGGUCUUCGUGUGUGUAGGAAUUUUUUUGUUUCCCAUGCAACGAUCCCCAACAGUGGCAUCACGAGCUAGGUUCAUGCGUAGAUGUAAUCUUGAGUAGAACACAAAAGUUUUUGUGGGCGUUGAUGUAUGAUUUGCUGCCCUCCUUGGUCUUUCUCGAUUCGAUGGUAUUGUUGGAUUGAAGCGGCCCGGACCAACAUUACUCGUACGCUUAUGAGAGACCGGUUUCAUCGACUAACAUGCAACUCGUUGCAUAAUGAUGACUGGCGGGUGCCUGUUCCUUCAACUUUAGUUGAAUUGGAUUUGACCGAGGCGGUCCUUGGAGAGAGGUUAAAUAUAAAUUUGCACAUCUCCGUUGUAGUUUGUGCAUAAGUAAGAUGCGAUCAUACUAGAUACCCAUAGCAGCCACGUAAAACAUGCAACAACAAAUUCGAGGACGUCUAACUUGUCGUUGUAGGGUAUGCUUGUGAUGUGAUGUCACAUCCCUGACACUUUAAGCAAGUUAGUCUUGUGCACAUGUCUUCUUUGCAUUUGCAUCUAAGAAUUUUUCAACAAGAACAAGAAAGUCGCAAAGGAAAAACUCAAAACCCUAGCCACUACUUUAAAUAAAGAAAAUCUCAAACUAGUUGAAAUCAAUGAACCCAAAAUGGCCUCAAGAAAUGUUCAAACUUUCUGAUAAAUCAUGAAAGUAAAUGAGCAAUGGAGAAAACUAUUUUCUUGACACUUUAAGCAUUUUAAAUUAAUGCAAAAAGCCACUGGUUCAAAUUUUAAAUUUGAAAUCAGAAACUAUAAAUUUUCAAAAAUGUUGAAAACUUUGGAAAUGGUUGGGAAUAUUAUAACAAUAUUUCAGGAGGUCUAAAAUAGUUUUUACUUUUUGUUUUGGAGCUGAAAUAAAUAGCAAAACAAUAGUUAGCAAAACAGAAAAACAAAAACAGAAAAAAAUGCGAAACUCUUACCUGUCGCCUAGCCUGGCCCGGCCCAUCUCCCUGGCUCGUCCCCUCCCUCUCGCCAGUAGGAGCAGGAGGUGGCCGCCGCCUCCUCCGGCGCGGCCACGCACCUGUGCGCCUGCCUGGCCGCCGCCUCGCGCUGGCAAGGCCAGGGAUAAGCUCCCCGAGGCCUCCUCUAUCCAUUCCCAGCGCUAACUCUCUCCCUCCUCUCGGAUCUUGCCCUCCUUCCUGCUGCCGCCAUUGGAGCCGAGCUCGAGCUCGAGCCGCAGCACCUCUAGCCAUGGGAACCCUCCUCCGAGUAGUCUGUUAGCUCCGCCUCGUCGCCCUGGUCAUCUCUGCAGAAGCCGAAGCUUCCCCGAGCUCUGCAUCGCCCCCAACGCCAUCGUAUUCCACCUCCGGCCGUCAGACCUCUCCCGUCGAUUCGCUCCCUCCGGCGCAUCCCCGAGCCCCUCAACAGCACCAUCGGAACCGCCGUGAGCUCGUCGUCAUUUCCCCUCUCGCCCCACGCUCUCCCGUGCAUCGUAGCCUCGUUCCCCACCAAGGCCGAGAGCUUCUCGCCGCCGGUCAUGUCGUCGCCGUCGCUGUGGUGUUUGAUCCACGCGCUCGAGCUAGGGUUCGAGCUCCUGGAGCCUCCAGGAGCGUGAUGAGCCCUCCAGCUGCCCUCCCUGUGCCCUAGAGCCAUCGCUCGUAGAAGGCCGAGCUUCGGCCGCCGCUCCGGCUCGUCGCCGGCGCCUCUCCCGGCGACCCUAGCCUCCCCUGAUGCACCUACCAGAUCGGCCACUUCACCAGCGUUCCGUAGCUGCAAACCGCGUUCAAAUUGGUGCUGUGCAGCGCCGAUUAGGUCGUCUCCAGCGAGCCCUCCGCCGCGGGCUUGGUCGCCGGCGACCACCCUCCAGUGGGCGUCGACGUGGCCGACCAUUAGGGCGUAAUUGCCCUCCCCUCAGUCGCUGCCAGAGGGCCCCACGCCUGGUCAAACCCCAAUUAGGGGCUGGUCAGCGUGGGAUUAGUCCCAGAGAGGCUGACCAGUGGGGCCCCCCUGUCAGGUUUGACAUGAACAGGUCGGCUGACCUGCUGAUGUCAGCCUGAUGCAAUAAAUAGAAUUUCCAGUAUAGAAAUAAUUCUAGUUAAUUGCCAAAACUUGUAAAAAUCAUAGAAAUUAAUCUGUAACUCCAAUGAAAAUAAUUUAUAUAUGAAAACGUAUCAGAAAAAUUCAAGGAUUCUGAUUAUGCUGUUUUAAACCAUGUUUGAAAAAGUUACAGAACCCUAAAAUGUGGAAUAAGGAAUAAUUCAAUUCUUAUAAUUACUUUUAAAUGGAAUUUGGAAAAAUAUUCAAAUUUCAUUAUGAAUGCAAUGAUCACACACUAUCCUAGUUACAAAUCAGUACCAUAACAUGACAUCUCAUGCAAGCUAACAUCAAGUUGAUCUGAGCAUCAGGUCGAAUCAAUUAAAUCGGUAACCGUGAAUACCCCGUUUGAAGUAAUACCGAAUAUGAUUCAAAUCAACUCUAAACCUAAUACAUGUUGAUUAUAAUAACUUAUCACCUUGAAUUCUCAUGCCAUGCUCAUGCAUCAUUUUGAUUGCAUGUGAUUGUUAUUGAAUGUUGCCAUUUAUUUCGGUAGGCUCCGCAACCCCGGAUUCCACCGAAUAUCCGUCUGACGGAUAUCGUUCCUCCUCUGAGCAACAAGGCAAGCAACCCUUUUGAUCAUCCUGAUAAUUCCCAUGUUCUUGCUCCUGCACUUAUUUAUUGCAUUAGGAUCAAAUGCUUCAACUGCUUUUGCCACGAUAGUUGAACCCACUUCCUUUGCAUGACCUAACCUUGUCACAGUAAAUAGCCGAACCUUGCAACCUAGCAUACCUGGUAGUUGCUUGAGCUAUGAUGUGCCUUAUCCUGCUAAGCAUGCUAUGCUUAGAGUUGGGCAUGGUCUGUCAUCUGGGAGAUGAACAGAAUUGUGGAAUGUGUUUGGUGAGCAAAGGUUGUGUGCUGAACUUGAUUUGGUAAAGGUACCGGUGAAAGGCUGUGUAGGAGUACAUGGCGGGUUGUUUCAUUGGAACCGUCCUUGGGAACUGAGUUCCGUGUAUGUAANNNNNNNNNNNNNNNNNNNNNNNNNNNNNNNNNNNNNNNNNNNNNNNNNNNNNNNNNNNNNNNNNNNNNNNNNNNNNNNNNNNNNNNNNNNNNNNNNNNNNNNNNNNNNNNNNNNNNNNNNNNNNNNNNNNNNNNNNNNNNNNNNNNNNNNNNNNNNNNNNNNNNNNNNNNNNNNNNNNNNNNNNNNNNNNNNNNNNNNNNNNNNNNNNNNNNNNNNNNNNNNNNNNNNNNNNNNNNNNNNNNNNNNNNNNNNNNNNNNNNNNNNNNNNNNNNNNNNNNNNNNNNNNNNNNNNNNNNNNNNNNNNNNNNNNNNNNNNNNNNNNNNNNNNNNNNNNNNNNNNNNNNNNNNNNNNNNNNNNNNNNNNNNNNNNNNNNNNNNNNNNNNNNNNNNNNNNNNNNNNNNNNNNNNNNNNNNNNNNNNNNNNNNNNNNNNNNNNNNNNNNNNNNNNNNNNNNNNNNNNNNNNNNNNNNNNNNNNNNNNNNNNNNNNNNNNNNNNNNNNNNNNNNNNNNNNNNNNNNNNNNNNNNNNNNNNNNNNNNNNNNNNNNNNNNNNNNNNNNNNNNNNNNNNNNNNNNNNNNNNNNNNNNNNNNNNNNNNNNNNNNNNNNNNNNNNNNNNNNNNNNNNNNNNNNNNNNNNNNNNNNNNNNNNNNNNNNNNNNNNNNNNNNNNNNNNNNNNNNNNNNNNNNNNNNNNNNNNNNNNNNNNNNNNNNNNNNNNNNNNNNNNNNNNNNNNNNNNNNNNNNNNNNNNNNNNNNNNNNNNNNNNNNNNNNNNNNNNNNNNNNNNNNNNNNNNNNNNNNNNNNNNNNNNNNNNNNNNNNNNNNNNNNNNNNNNNNNNNNNNNNNNNNNNNNNNNNNNNNNNNNNNNNNNNNNNNNNNNNNNNNNNNNNNNNNNNNNNNNNNNNNNNNNNNNNNNNNNNNNNNNNNNNNNNNNNNNNNNNNNNNGAUAUGUAUGGGGUUCGAUUACCUAGUCGUGAACUUUAGUAGCACUCCUUACAAGGAAAUGCACCUUUGUGAUCCAACGAGCCUUGGUAGUUCGCUACUGCUCCGGACAAAUUGGUUGACCGGCAUGUGUCCUUCUUAGCUGCUGUGUCUGCCCCCUUUGGGGAAAUGUCACGCGAUGUAAUGGAGUCCUUGUAGCUUGCUACGACUCAUCUACAUUCGCUGAUGACCGACACCUGCUUUGUCGGGUCAUGUAUGUCUGUCCAUGUGCGGUACUGCCACUUUGGUUUAUGACUAGACAUGUCGAUCCGGGUUCUUUGACAUUGGAUUGCUAGUGACACUAUCGCAUACGUGAGUCAAAAGACGCAAACGGUCCCGGCUAAGGUAAGGCUGCAGCCGUGGAGUUAACCGUGCGUGAGACCACAAAGCAAUGUGAUGUGUUACAGGCUGGAUUCCUAUGGCUUAGCAUCGGGGUCCCGACAGCGUUGGUAUCAGAGCCUGACUGACUGUAGGAUUACUAAGCCAAACUGGUCGAAGUUGAGUCUAGAAUUUAUUUAGUUAUAUAUAAGGGAAUUGUUUGUGGAAGGGAACGUAAGACUCUUGUUCUCUUCUCAAGAUAUUAUAUUCUGGUCAUCCUCGUCUUUUCUGCGGGAAUUAAGGACUAGGUUACUCAUCUUCUCAUAGGCUCAUGUUUCUGAUCGGUAGAUUAUAGGACUACGGGUCGAGAGAUAUUGGGUUUCUUUUAUUCCUAGGAAGCAAGAAGUAAGUUUGAUGAUCAGAGAGUUGAACUAGAUAGUUGAGUGGUUACGCUAUUCCAUUUUGGGUUGUCUCAAAAUUUGUUUUGAGCAUUUAUAGCCGUUAUGCUGCCCAAUUUUGCAUUCGGAGCUCUAAUGCUUUUGCAUUACUCUCUAUUACAGAUGCCUGGCCGUCCUUCUCGUCAGGUGGUAUGUCUGACCAGGUGCAUUGAUGUACCGGGUCAUACGGCCAUGCUGGUCAGGGUGAUGUCGGUGUGCGGUUACCGCUGGUACCCCGAGUACACAGUGGACGAACACUACCGAGACUUCAACCAGAGCCAGUACAUCUGCACUGUUAGGGUAUUUCCAGACUACCCUGGAGCGGAGAAGCCAAUCCAUUGGUCCUAUGGGUUGGGGGUCACUGUUGACAUGGAAGUACAGGAUGCUGCCUACUCAAUGCUGACCAUUAUGAGAGCAAGACAUGCACUGCUGCAGAAUUCAGAGUUCUGCUAUGUUCCGGCCUCUCAGCCUGGUGAAGAGGGAUACCUCAGUGGAGUCUAUUUUGAUUCUUCUAUGGAGGAUCCACUACUGCAUUCCACUGUUGAGAUGCUAGAGAAUAGAGACAGGUAUGCUCGUGCUCUCCGCAUGGAGCUUUAUGCUACCCGUGCCCGUCUGUGGACAGCUUUGACGCAGCUGGCACCGGUAGUCCAGACAGGGUAUGGAGAGAUGGAGAUGCUGAACCCUGUUAGGACCCAUCUUCCGGCCCACGUUGACUGGCCAGCUAUAGGAGGAGUCUCACCUCUUCGGGGACCCCUCGUACCACCAGUCAGGGGACCAAGGCCACAUCCGUGUCCUUAUGGAUCCCAGGGAUCUCAGGCUAGAGUGUUCCCUGAUCCGCAGGUUGAGCUUCCAUGCCAUGGAGGUAAUCUCUAUGAGAUGUUCUAUGCGGAUGCCUGAGCUGUGAGCGGAAGGAUAGUUUGGUAGUAGCCGUACGUUCACAGUCCUGCGUGACUUGUGAAGUAUGUAUGUAAUGUGAAAUGAAUUCCGGAGGCCUAGAUAAAUAAUGUAUAGGAAGCUUGUAAGCCUCUGAUGAGUAGUUCCAUAAUUUCAGUAGUUUGCUCUUCGAGUAAGUUUGUACUGAACUAUGUAAGGGUGUGUAUGAACCAUGGUGUAUAUAUAGCAGUUGCUUGUUACCAUGCUGUUCGGAUAUUCAUUUCCGCAUUCCGUGUGUUCAGUACAUUCUUAAUCCAUAGCUAGUAUUGAUAUGAUAUUGGUCUAAGCUAUGAGUUUGUUUGUCAGGAUGGUGUUCACCAGGUUGAACCAUGCCCCUGCUCAUGAGCAAGGCGAGGGUAGUCAAGCGUUGCAGGAAGACCUGCCUCACCCGCCUUCUCUGGUGGAAGUGAUGCUUGAGGCAGAGAGAAAUAAAAGAGAGACCAACCGACUGUUAGACCGUAUUGAGCAGAAUACGACUCGACAGCCUAGGAAUGCCGCAGUGUCCCUCAAUGACUUUGUGAAGUUGAAUCCUCCAAAGUUUCAUCAUGCCGUCGAUCCCCUCGACGCUGAUGACUGGCUGUGCAGCAUCUCACGCAAGAUUCGCUCUGCGAAUGUGUCUGAGGCCGACAAGGUGACCUUUGCGGCGUAUUUCCUGGAAGGACCCGCCAAUCUCUGGUGGGAGAAUUUUGAAGCUAUGCGUCCUGCUGAACCAGUGGCCACAUGGGCAGACUUCACUGCAGCUUUUCGUCUGCACCAUAUUCCAGAGGGCCUGAUGGACAGAAAGAGAGAGGAGUUAUGUGCCUUCACUCAGGGCAAGUUGUCUGUGGAUGCCUAUAGCCGCGAGUUCGGUAACCUCGCCCGCUAUGCAACAGAGGAGGUGUCUACUGAUGCCAAGAAGCAAGCAAGGUUUCGUAAGGGUCUGAGCCCUGAGCUCCGUCGUGAUCUGCGCCUCCAUGAGUGUGCAAGUUUUCAAGCCCUGGUCAACAAAGCGAUCAGUGCCGAGACUGGUCAUACUGACUGCGAGGCCACAAGGAAGCACUCCCAUGACUUUGGCUCAUCUUCUCGUUCCGCGUUUCCAAAACGCAGGCUGUGGGUUCCAAACAGUUCUCUGCCGCCAAGAUACACUCCGAGGCCGUCCUACGUGGCGCCUCAGACGAAUCAGGCCAACCCUCUAGCAAAAGCUUAUGGUGGUUCAGCUAACAAUGCUGCACCACGUGCCAACCAGGUGAUAUGCUACAAGUGUGGAGGACCAGGGCACUAUUCCCGUGAGUGUCCUCAGAAUGUGGGUGCCAAGCAACCCGGAAAGUCCGUCGGGCAAGCCAAGUCGGGAAAAGCUUUUUAUGUGAAGCCAACUCCUGCACGUGGCCGUGUGAACUAUGUGUCAGCAGAAGAAGCUGCAGAGGAUCCCGACGUCAUGCUGGGUACGCUUCUUGUUAAUCAUCACCCAGCGUCCAUUCUCUUUGACACUGGGUCUUCUCAUUCCUUCAUUUCAGUUAUGCACAGUUGCAUAACAUGUCUUUUUGUGAUAUGCCAAUCCCAUUGGUUGUCCAAACCCCUGGUAGUAAAUGGCAAACCUCUAGGAUAACCUAUGACAAUGAAAUUCUAGUAGACAGACUAGUUUUUCUAGCCUCAUUGAUAGCAUUGAAAUCUUCGGAUAUUAAUAUCAUCUUGGGCAUGGACUGGAUGUCAGCUCACUAUGCCAAGAUUGAUACUCAUUCUAGAAAUGUCCAGCUUACCCAUCCCUCGGGUGAGAUAGUAAAUGUCUCUACUCGAGUUGCCAAAUGCCAACUCUAUUCUCUAAAUGCCAACCCUCUUCCGGAACUUGAAGACAUUCCGGUAGUCCGUGACUUCCCAGAUGUUUUUCCAGAGGAACUGCCAGGAAUCCCACCUGACAGAGAUGUAGAGUUUGUAAUAGAUCUUGUUCCGGGAACUGUCCCAAUAGCCAGAAGACCUUAUAAGAUGGCACCCCUGGAGCUAGCCGAACUUAAGAAGCAAUUAGAUGAGGCUUUGAACAAAGGUUUCAUUCGUCCUAUCUCUUCUCCUUCGGCUUGCCCCGUCCUCUACGUCAAGAAGAAAGACGGAACGGAUCGGAUGGUUGUAGAUUACCGACCAGUUAAUCUGGUCACCAUAAAGAACAAGUAUCCGCUCCCUAGGAUCAACGAUCUGUACGAUCAGCUCGCUGGAUCCUCAGUCUUCUCCAAAAUGGAUUUGAGGUUGUGAUACCAUCAAAUCAAGAUUAAGAACGGGGACAUUCCAAAAACGGCUUUUGUUACUCGUUAUGGCCAAUAUGAGUACACCGUUAUGUCCUUCGGUUUAACCAAUGCCCCAGCCACCUUCUCUCGUCUGAUGAAUUCAAUCUUCAUGGAGUAUUUGGAUAAAUUCGUCGUAGUAUACCUUGAUGAUAUUCUCAUCUACUCGAAGAAUGAACAAGAACAUGUCGAGCAUCUAAGGCUGGUAUUGAUGAAACUUCGAGAGCAUCGCCUUUAUGCCAAAUUUUCAAAAUGUGAAUUCUGGUUACCAGAAGUGACCUAUCUAGGCCACGUAAUCUCUGGUAAGGGUAUUGCUGUCAAUCCCGAGAGAGUUCAAGCUGUCCUUGAUUGGACUCAACCUGAAUUGGUUAAGCAAGUUAGGAGUUUUCUUGGUCUAGCGAGCUAUUGUCGCCGCUUUGUCGAGAAUUUCUCCAAGGUUGCAAAGCCUCUAACUGAACUCCUCAAGAAAGAUAAAAAGUUCGAGUGGACACCACAGUGUGAGCAUAGUUUUCAGGACCUGAAAAGACGCCUGACUUCCGCACCUGUGUUGCUACCACCAGAUUUCUCUAAGGACUUCGUUAUCUACUGCGACGCCUCGCGACAAGGAUUAGGUUGCAUCCUCAUGCAAGAUCGUCAUGUGAUCGCAUACGCAUCUCGACAGUUGCGUCCACAUGAGGAUAAUUAUCCCACACAUGACCUUGAGCUUGCAGCUGUGGUCCAUGCACUAAAAACCUGGCGACAUUACCUUCUGGGUAAUCAUUGCGAAAUUUUCACUGAUCACCAAAGUCUGAAGUAUAUCUUCACCCAGCCGGAUUUGAAUCUCAGGCAAAGACGGUGGGUUGAGUUGAUCUCGGAUUACGACUUAGGGAUAACUUACACCCCGGGGAAGGCCAAUGUUAUGGCCGAUGCGCUAAGUCGUAAAUCUUAUUGUAACAAUUUGAUGCUACAACAAGGUCAACCACAUCUCCAUGAGGACUUUCGGAAGUUGAAUCUUCAUAUUGUUUCUCAAGGAUUCUUUUCUACCCUGGUGGCGAAGCCUACACUUAAGGAUCAAAUUAUAGCUGGCAAAAGCGUGACAAGGGUAUAUCAUGGAUCAAGGAGAAUAUUUUUAGCGGAAACGCUAAAGAAUUUUCCAUGAACGAUCAAGGUGUUGUGUUCUUCCAGAAUCGUUUAGUGGUUCCUAAGAAUCCACAUCUAAGGCAGUUAAUCCUUAAGGAGGCUCAUGAUUCUCCUCUCACCAUUCAUCCCGGUAGUACUAAGAUGUAUCAGGACCUACGCCAGAGGUUCUGGUGGACUCGGAUGAAGAGAGAAAUUGCUGAGUUCGUUGCUAACUGCGACGUUUGUCGUCGAUUUAAGGCAGAACAUCAAAGGCCUGCUGGCACCCUUCAACCUCUAGCUAUUCCUGAAUGGAAAUGGGAUAAAGUUAGCAUGGAUUUUAUUACCGGAUUUCCCUAGACCAAGAAAGGGAAUAAUGCUAUCUUUGUGGUCAUUGACCGUCUUUCCAAAGUGGCUCAUUUUCUUCCCGUUCGUGAGAGUAUAACAGCUAGCCAGCUAGCAGAGUUAUAUAUCUCUCGAAUAGUGUCUCUUCAUGGUGUUCCCCUGGAGAUUAACUCAGACCGUGGAAGUAUCUUUACUUCUCGCUUCUGGGAAAGUUUUCAGAAUGCCAUGGGGACUCACCUAUCUUUUAGCACUGCUUUCCAUCCCCAAUCAAGUCGUCAAGUAGAAAGAGUGAAUCAAAUCCUAGAAGAUAUGCUCCGAGCUUGUGUUAUAUCGUUCGGGAAGAAUUGGGAGAAGUGUCUUCCAUUCGCUGAAUUCCCUUAUAACAAUAGUUACCAAUCAAGCUUGGGCAAAGCCCCUUUUGAAGUUCUCUAUGGACGAAGAUGUCGAACACCUCUAAAUUGGUCAGAAACCGGAGAGAGGCAACUCUUUGGCCCGAAUAUGAUCCAGGAUGCAGAAGAGCAGGUUCGCAUUAUUCGUGAAAAGUUGAAAACAGCCCAGUCUGGUCAAAGGAGCCAAUAUGAUCGUCGUCAUAAGGCUGUGACCUUUGACGUUGAUGAGAAGGCUUACCUUCGGGUUACACCUUUUAAGGGUACCCCUCGAUUCGGUAUCAAGGGAAAAUUGGCUCCUCAUUACAUUGGUCCUUUUCGCAUUCUUUCCAAACGAGGAGAAGUUUCCUACCAGUUGGAACUUCCUCCGCAUCUUUCCAAGGUUCAUGAUGUUUUCCACGUCUCGCAACUCAGGCGUUGCUUUUUGGAUCCUAUCCGUGAAGUGGACCACGAAACGCUUGAUCUCCAAGAUAACCUGUCAUACCGAGAAUACCCCGUGCGUAUUCUUGAUCAAGCUGAGCGUACCACUCGACGUCGAAACCUCAAGUUUCUUAAAGUUCAAUGGACAAAUCAUUCUGAAAAGGAGGCAACUUGGGAAAGAGAGGAUCGUCUCCGACUUGAGUAUCCUGCGUUAUUCCCGACGACUUCUAAAUCUCGGGACGAGAUUCUUUUGAGUGGGGGUGAGUUGUCACUUCCCUGACACUUUAAGCAAGUUAGUCUUGUGCUCAUGUCUUCUUUGCAUUUGCAUCUAUGAAUUUUUCAACAAGAACAAUAAAGUGGCAAAGGAAAAACUCAAAACCCUAGCCACUACUUUAAAUAAAGAAAAUCUCAAACUAGUUGAAAUCAAUGAACCCAAAAUGGCCUCAAGAAAUGUUCAAACUUUCUGAUAAAUCAUGAAAGUAAAUGAGCAUUGGAGAAAACUAUUUUCUUGACACUUUAAGCAUUUUAAAUUAAUGCAAAAAGCCACUGGUUUCAAAUUUUAAAUUUGAAAUCAGAAACUAUAAGUUUUCAAAAAUGUUGAAAACUUUGGAAAUGGUUGGGAAUAUUUUAACAAUAUUUCAGGAGGUCUAAAAUAUUUUUUAAUUUUUGUUUUGGAGAUGAAAUAAAUAGCAAAACAAUAGUUAGCAAAACAGAAAAACAAAAACAAAAAAAAAUGGGAAACUCUUACCUGUCGCCUAGCCUGGCCCGGCCCAUCUCCCUGGCUCGUCCCCUCCCUCGCGCCAGUAGGAGCACGAGGUGGCCGCCGCCUCCUCCGGCACGGCCACGCACCUGUGCGCCUGCCUGGCCGCCGCCUCGCGCUGGCAAGGCCGGGGAUAAGCUCCCCGAGGCCUCCUCUAUCCAUUCCCAGCGCUAACUCUCUCCCUCCUCUCGGAUCUUUCCCUCCUUCUUGCUGCCGCCAUUGGAUCCGAGCUCGAGCUCGAGCCGGAGCACCUCUAGCCAUGGGAACCCUCCUCCGAGUAGUCUGUUAGCUCCGCCUCGUCGCCCUGGUCAUCUCUGCAGAAGCCGAAGCUUCCCCGAGCUCUGCAUCGCCCCCAACGCCAUCGUCUUCCACCUCCGGCCGCCGGACCUCUCCCGUCGAUUCGCUCCCUCCGGCGCAUCCCCGAGCCCCUCAACAACACCAUCGGAACCACCGUGAGCUCGUCGUCGUUUCCCCUCUCGCCCCACGCUCUCCCGUGCAUCGUAGCCUCGUUCCCCACCAAGGCCGAGAGCUUCUCGCUGCCGGUCAUGUCGUCGACGUCGUUGUGGUGUUUGAUCCACGCGCUCGAGCUAGGGUUCGAGCUCCUGGAGCCUCCAGGAGCGUGAUGAGCCCUCCAGCUGCCCUCCCCGUGCCCUAGAGCCAUCGCUCGUAGAAGGCCGAGCUUCGGCCGCCGCUCUGGCUCGUCGCCGGCGCCUCUCCCGGCGACCCUAGCCUCCCCUGAUGCCCCUACCAGAUCGUCCACUUCACCAGCGUUCCGUAGCUGCAAACCGCGUUCAAAUUGGUGCUGUGCAGCGCCGAUUAGGUCGUCUCCGGCGAGCCCUCCGCCGCGGGCUUGGUCGCCGGCGACCACCCUCCGGUGGGCGUUGACGUGGCCGACCAUUAGGGCGUAAUUGCCCUCCCCUCAGUCGCUGCGAGAGGGCCCCACGCUUGGUCAAACCCCAAUUAGGGGCUGGUCAGCGCGGGAUUAGUCCCAGAGAGGCUGACCAGUGGGGCCCCCCUGUCAGGUUUGACCUGAACAGGUCGGCUGACCUGCUGACGUCAGCCUGAUGCAAUAAAUAGAAUUUCCAGUAUAGAAAUAAUUCCAGUAAAUUGCUAAAACUUUUAAAAAUCAUAGAAAUUAAUCUGUAACUCCAAUGAAAAUAAUUUAUAUAUGAAAAAGUAUCAGAAAAAUUCAAGGAUUCUGAUUAUGCUAUUUUCAACCAUGUUUGAAAAAGUUACAGAACCCUAAAAUGUGGAAUAAGGAAUAAUUCAAUUCUUAUAAUUACUUUUAAAUGGAAUUUGGAAAAAUAUUCAAAUUUCAUUAUGAAUGCAAUGAUCACACACUAUCCUAGUUACAAAUCAGUACCAUAACAUGACAUCUCAUGCAAGCUAACAUCAAGUUGAUCUGAGCAUCAGGUCGAAUCAAUUAAAUCGGUAACCAUGAAUACCCCGUUUGAAGUGAUACCAAAUAUGAUUCAAAUCAACUCUAAACCUAAUACAUCUUGAUUAUAAUAACUUAUCACCUUGCAUUCUCAUGCCAUGCUCAUGCAUCAUUUUGAUUGCAUGUGAUUGUUAUUGAAUGUUGCCAUUUAUUUCGGUAGGCUCCGCAACCCCGGAUUCCACCGAAUAUCCGUCUGACGGAUAUCGUUCCUCCUCUGAGCAACAAGCAAGCAACCCUUUUGUUCAUCCCGAUAAUUCCCAUGUUCUUGUUCCUGCACUUAUUUAUUGCAUUAGGAUCAAAUGCUUCAACUGCUUUUCCCACGAUAGUUGAACCCACUUCAUUUGCAUGACCUAACCUUGUCACAGUAAAUAGCCGAACCUUGCAACCUAGCAUACCUGGUAGUUGCUUGAGCUAUGAUGUGCCUUAUCCUACUAUGCAUGCUAUGCUUAGAGUUGUGGAUGGUCUGUCAUCUCGGAGAUGAACAGAAUUGUGGAAUGUGUUUGGUGAGCAAAGGUUGUGUGUUGAACUUGAUUUGGUAAAGGUACCGGUGAAAGGCUGUGUAGGAGUACAUGGCGGGUUGUUUCAUUGGAACCGUCCUNNNNNNNNNNNNNNNNNNNNNNNNNNNNNNNNNNNNNNNNNNNNNNNNNNNNNNNNNNNNNNNNNNNNNNNNNNNNNNNNNNNNNNNNNNNNNNNNNNNNNNNNNNNNNNNNNNNNNNNNNNNNNNNNNNNNNNNNNNNNNNNNNNNNNNNNNNNNNNNNNNNNNNNNNNNNNNNNNNNNNNNNNNNNNNNNNNNNNNNNNNNNNNNNNNNNNNNNNNNNNNNNNNNNNNNNNNNNNNNNNNNNNNNNNNNNNNNNNNNNNNNNNNNNNNNNNNNNNNNNNNNNNNNNNNNNNNNNNNNNNNNNNNNNNNNNNNNNNNNNNNNNNNNNNNNNNNNNNNNNNNNNNNNNNNNNNNNNNNNNNNNNNNNNNNNNNNNNNNNNNNNNNNNNNNNNNNNNNNNNNNNNNNNNNNNNNNNNNNNNNNNNNNNNNNNNNNNNNNNNNNNNNNNNNNNNNNNNNNNNNNNNNNNNNNNNNNNNNNNNNNNNNNNNNNNNNNNNNNNNNNNNNNNNNNNNNNNNNNNNNNNNNNNNNNNNNNNNNNNNNNNNNNNNNNNNNNNNNNNNNNNNNNNNNNNNNNNNNNNNNNNNNNNNNNNNNNNNNNNNNNNNNNNNNNNNNNNNNNNNNNNNNNNNNNNNNNNNNNNNNNNNNNNNNNNNNNNNNNNNNNNNNNNNNNNNNNNNNNNNNNNNNNNNNNNNNNNNNNNNNNNNNNNNNNNNNNNNNNNNNNNNNNNNNNNNNNNNNNNNNNNNNNNNNNNNNNNNNNNNNNNNNNNNNNNNNNNNNNNNNNNNNNNNNNNNNNNNNNNNNNNNNNNNNNNNNNNNNNNNNNNNNNNNNNNNNNNNNNNNNNNNNNNNNNNNNNNNNNNNNNNNNNNNNNNNNNNNNNNNNNNNNNNNNNNNNNNNNNNNNNNNNNNNNNNNNNNNNNNNNNNNNNNNNNNNNNNGAUUACCUAGUCGUGAACUUUAGUAGCACUCCUUACAAGGAAAUGCCCCUUUGUGAUCCAACGAGCCUUGGUAGUUCGCUACUGCUCCGGACACAUUGGUUGACCGGCAUGUGUCCUUCUUAGCUGCUGUGUCUGUCCCCUUUGGGGAAAUGUCACGCAAUUUAAUGGGGUCCUUGUAGCUUGCUACGACUCGUCUAUAUUCGCUGAUGACCGACACCUGCUUUGUUGGGUCAUGUAUGCCUGUCCUUGUGCGGUACUGCCACUUUGGUUUAUGACUAGACAUGUCGAUCCGGGUUCUUUGACAUUGGAUUGCUAGCGACACUAUCGCAUACGUGAGUCAAAAGACGCAAACGGUCCCGGCUAAGGUAAGGCUGCAGCCAUGGAGUUAACCGUGCGUGAGACCACAAAGCAAUGCGAUGUGUUACAGGCUGGAUUCCUAUGGCUUAGGAUUGGGGUCCCGACAUGUGAUAUGGACAAAUACAUGAUGUGAUAUAUUGGAUGUAUGAGAUGAUCAUGUUGUAAUAGUUAAUAUCGACUUGCACGUCGAUGCUACAGCAACCGAGAGGGGCCAUAGGGUUGUCUUUAAACAAUCGUUUGUGUUUGCAAAUGCGUUUACUAUAUUGCUAGGUUGUAGCUUUAGUAGUAAUAGCAUAGAUAGCACGACAACCUCGAUGGCGACACGAUGAUGGAGAUCAUGGUGUGGCGCCAGUGACGAUGAAGAUCAUGCCGGUGCUUUGGUGAUGGAGAUCAAGAAGCACAAGAUCAUGGCCAUAUCAUGUCACUUAUGAAUUGCAUGUGAUGUUAAUCCUUUUAUGCACCUUAUCUUUCUUAGAACGACGGUAACAUUAUAAGGUGAUCCCUCACUAAAUUGUGUUCUCCCCGACUGUGCACCGUUGCGACACUUCGUCGUUUCGUGACACCACGUGAUGAUCGGGUGUGAUAGACUCAACGUUCACAUACAACUGGUGCAAAACAGUUGCACACAUGGAACACUCGGGUUAAACUUGACUAUCCUAGCAUGUGCAUACAUGGCCUCGGAACACGAGAGACCGAAAGGUCAAGCAUGAAUCGUAUAGUUGAUAUGAUUAGCAUAGAGAUGUUUACCACUGAAGCUACGCUCAACUCACGUGAUGAUCGGAUUUGAGUUAGUGAAUUUGGAUCAUGCCACACUCAAGUAACUAGAGGGAUUUCUAUUUGAGUGGGAGUUUAUUAGUAAUUUGAUUAGUUAAACUUUAAUUAUCUUGAACAUAGUUUAAGUCCUCUUUGCAAUAUUUUAUGUUGUAGACCAAUGGCUCACGCAGUAGUGACCCGGAAUUUCAAUACAUUCCUAGAGAAAGCUAAGAUGAAAGAUAAUGGUAGCAACUUUAUAGACUGGGCUCGUAAUCUUAGGCUCAUCCUACAAGCUGGGAAAAAGAAUUAUGUCCUUGAUGGUGCGCUAGGAGAUGAACUACCCGCUACGUCUGACCAAGAUGUUUUGAACGCUUGGCAAUCACGUAAGGAGGACUACUCAGUAGUUCAAUGUGCAGUCUUGUAUGGCUUGGAACCGGGACUUCAAUGACGCUUUGAAUGUCAUGGAGCAUAUGAGAUGUUCCGAGAGUUGAAGUUUAUCUUUCAGAAGAACGCCCGGACCGAGAGGUAUGAGACCUCCGAUAAAUUCUAUGAUUGCAAGAUGGAGGAUAAUUUGUUUGUCAGUGAACAUGUACUCAAAAUGUCAGGGUACUGAAAAUGUCUAGCUGAGCUGGGGAUUGAACUCCCACAAGAGGCCAUCACUGACAGAAUUCUUCAAAUACUGCCACCUAGCUACAAGAGCUUUGUGUUGAACUAUAACAUGCAAGGGAUGAACAAGUCACCCGGCGAGUUAUUCGCGAUGCUGAAAGUCGCAGAGUGAGAACUCCGGAAAGAGCAUCAAGUGUUGAUGGUCAAUAAGACCACUGGCUCAAGAUAAACGGCAAAAGCAAGAAGGGUAACUCCAAGAAGAGCAGCAAGACUGUUGCCAAUCCGACAAACAAACCCAAGGCUGGACCUAAGCCGGAAACAGAGUGCUAUUAUUGCAAGGGGAUGGGUCACUAGAAGCGCAACUGCCCCAAGUAUUUGGAUGAUAAGAAGGCGGCCAACGCCAAACCAGGUAUACAUGUGAUAUACAUGAUAUUGAUGUGUACCUAACCAACUCUGGUAGUAGUGCCUGGGUAUUUGAUACCGGUUCUGUUUCUCAUAUUUGCAACUCGAAGCAGGGACUGCGGAAUAAAUGAAGGCUGACGAAGGAUGAAGUGACGAUGCGAGUGGGAAAUGGUUCCAAGGUUGAUGCAGUCGCCGUCGGCACAGUCUCACUUCCGUUACCAUCACGAUUAGUUAUGAACUUAAAUAAUUGUUAUUUAGUGUAUGUGUUAAGCAUGAACAUUAUAUCUGGAUCUUAUUUAUUGCGAUACAAUUACUCAUUUAAGUCAUAGAAUAAUGGUUGUUCUAUUUUUAUGAGUAAUAUCUUUUAUGGUCAUGCACCCAAUGUGAGGGGUUUGUUCAUAUUGAAUCUUGAUUGUGAUGACACACAUAUACAAAACAUUGAGACCAAAAGAUGUAGAGUUCACAAUGAUAGCGCCACGUUUUUGUGGCACUGCCGCUUAGGUCAUAUUGGUGUAAAGCGCAUGAAGUAACUCCAUACCGAUGGGCUUUUGGAGUCACUUGAUUUUGAAUCACUUGACACGUGCGAACCAUGCCUCAUGGACAAGAUGACUAAGACUCCGUUCCCCGGAACAAUGGAGCGUGCAAGUAACUUGUUGGAGAUCAUACAUACUGAUGUGUGCGGUCCAAAUGAGUGUGGAUGCGCGCGGCAGAUAUCGUUAUUUUCUCACCUUCAUUAAUGAUUUGAGUAGGUAUGGAUAUAUCUACUUGAUGAAACACAAGUUUGAAACGUUUGAAAAGUUCAAGCAAUUUCAGAGUGAAGUUGAAAAUCAUCGUAACAAGAAGAUCAAGUUCCUACGAUCUGAUCGAGGGGUUGAAUAUCUGAGUUUCGAGUUUGGUGCUCACUUAAGACAAUGUGGAAUCGUUUCAUAGUUGACACCGCCUGGAACACCACAGCGUAAUGGUGUGUCCGAACGUCAUAAUCGUACUUUGUUAGAUAUGGUGCGAUCUAUGAUGUCUCUUACCGAUUUUCCGUUAUUGUUUUGGGGUUAUGCAUUAGAGACAGCUGCAUUCACUUUAAAUAGGGCACCGGCAAAAUCCGUUGAGACGACGCCAUAUGAGCUAUGGUAUGGCAAGAGGCCAAAGUUAUCGUUUCUUAAAGUUUGGGGAUGCGAUGCUUAUGUCAAAAAGCUUUAUCCUCAAAAGCUGGAACCCAAAGCGAAAAAGUGCGUCUUCAUUGGUUUCCCAAAAGAGACAGUUGGUUACACCUUCUAUCUCAGAUCCGAGGGCAAAGUGUUUGUUGCUAAGAAUGGAGCUUUUCUUAAGGAGUUUCUCUCGAAAGAAUUUAGUGGGAGGAAGAUAGAACUUGAUAAGGUUGUAGAACCUAUGCUCCCUCUAGAUGGUGUCGCGGGGCAGAGGGAAACCACUGUCGAGGCAACACCGGUUGAGGAGGAAGCUAAUAAUGAUGAUCAUGAAGCUUCAGAUCAAGUUACUAUCGGACCUGGCAGGUCGACAAGAUCACGUACUGCUCCUGAGUGGUACGGUAAUCCUGUCUUAUCUAUCAUGUUGUUAGACAACAAUGAGCCUGCAAAUUAUGAAGAAGCAGUGGUGGGCCCGGAUUCCAACAAAUGGCUGGAGGCCAUGAAGUCCGAGAUAGGAUCUAUGUAUGAAAACAAAGUCUGGCCUUUGGCAGUAUUACUUGAAGGUCGCAAGGAUAUUCAGAAAAAAUGGAUCUUUAAGAAGAAGACGGAUGCGGAAGGUAAUGUGACCAUUUAUAAAGCUCGACUUGUGGCAAAGGGUUUUUCACAAGUUCAAGGAGUUGACUAUAAUUAGACGUUCUCACCCGUAGCGAUGCUUAAGUCCGUCCGAAUCAUGUAAGCAAUAGCUGCAUUUUUCAAUUAUGAAAUCUGGCAGAUGGAUGUCAAAAGGGUGUUCCUUAAUGGUUUUCUUAAGGAAGAGUUGUAUAUGAUGCAACCCGAAGGUUUUGUCGAUCCAAAGAAUGUUAACAAAGUAUGCAAGCUCCAGCGAUCCACUUAUGGACUGGUGCACGCAUCUUGGAGUUGGAAUAAGCGCUUUGAUUAGGUGAUCAAAGCAUUUGGGUUUAUACAAGUUGUUGGAGAAUCUUGUAUUUACAAGAAAGUGAGUGGGAGCUCUGUGGCGUUUCUAAUAUUAUAUGUGGAUGACAUAUUGCUGAUUGGAAACGAUGUGGAAUUUUUAGAGAGUGUAAAGGAUUACUUGAACAAAUGUUUUUCAAUGAAAGACCUAGCAGAAGUUGCUUACAUAUUAGGCAUUAAGAUCUAUAGGGAUAGAUCGAGGCGCCUAAUAGGACUUUCAAAAAGCACAUACCUUGAUAAAGUUUCAAAGAACUUCAAAAUGGAGCAGUCCAAGAAGGGGUUCUUGCUGGUAUUACAAGGUAUAAAGUUCAGUAAGUCUCAGUGUCUAGUAACUGCGGAAGAUAGAGAAAAGAUGAGUACUGUCCCCUAUGCUUCAGCCAUAGGGUCUAUCAUGUAUGCAAUGUUGUGCAUAAGACCGGACGUCAGCCUGGCCAUAAGUAUGGCAGGUAGGUUUCAAAGUAAACCAGGAGUGGAUCACUGGACGGCGGUCAAGAAUAUUCUGAAGUACCUGAAAAGGACUAAGGAAUUGUUUCUCGUUUAUGGAGGCGACAAAGAUCUCGUCAUAAAAGGUUACGUCGAUGCAAGCUUUGGCACUGAUCCGGAUGACUCUAAGUCCCAAACCAGAUACGUAUUUAUUCUUAAUGGGGGUGCGGUAAGCUGGUGCAGUUCCAAGCAAAGCGUUGUAGCAGAUUCUACAUGUGAAGCGGAGUACAUGGCUGCCUCAGAGGCAGCUAAGGAGGGUGUCUGGAUGAAGCAGUUCAUGACGGAUCUUGGAGUUGUGCCGAGCACACAAAAUCCAAUAACUUUGUUCGGUGACAACACUGGUGCCAUUGCUCUAGCAAAGGAACAAAGGUUUCAUAAGAAGACGAGACACAUCAAACGACGCUUCAACCUCAUCCGCGACUAGGUCGAAGGAGAUGACGUAAAUAUUUGCAAAGUGCACACGGAUCUGAAUGUUGCAGAUCCGCUGACUAAACCUCUUCCACGAGCAAAGCAUGAUCAACACCAGAACUGUAUGGGUGUUAGAUUCAUUCCAAUGUAAAUCGCAUAGCAAUGUGAGACUAGAUUUAUGACAUAGUGCAAGUGGGAGACUGUUGGAAAUAUGCCCUAGAGGCAAUGAUAAAAUAGUUAUUACUAUAUUUCCUGUUUCAAGAUAAUCGUUUAUUAUCCAUGCUAUAAUUGUAUUGAAUGAAAGCAUAGAUACAUGUGUGGAUAUAUAGACAAAACAAUGUCCCUAGUAAGCCCCUGGUUGACAAGCCAGUUGAUCAAGGGAUGGUUAAGGUUUUGUGACCAUAUGCUAGUGUUGUCACUUGAUGACUGGAUAACAUCAUUAGGAGAAUGAUGUGAUGGACAAGACCCAAAUUAUAAACGUAGCAUGUGAUUGUGUCAUUUUGUUGCUAUUGUUUUCUACGUGUCAAGUAUUCAUUCCUAUGACCAUGAGAUCAUGUAACUCACUGACACUAGAGGAAUACCUUGUGUAUAUCGAACGUCGCAACAUUACUGGGUGACUAUAAAGGUGCUCUACAGGUAUCUACGAAGGUGUCCCUUGAGUUAGCAUGGAUCAUGACUGGGAUUUGUCACUCCGUGUGACGGAGAGGUAUAUCGAGGCCCACUCGGUAAUACAACAUCACAUAUAAGCCUUGCAAGCAAUGUGACUAAAGUGUUAGUCACGGGAUCUUGUAUUACGGAACGAGUAAAGAGACUUGCCGGUAACGAGAUUGAAAUAGGUAUGGGAUACCGACGAUCAAAUCUCGGGCAAGUAACAUACCGAAGGACAAUGGGAAUGGUAUGCGGGAUUAUAUGAAUCCUUGGCACAGAGGUUCAACCGAUAAGAUCUUUGUAGAAUAUGUAGGAUCCAAUAUGGACAUCCAGGUCCCGCUAUUGGAUAUUGGCCGGGGAGUGUGUCAGGUCAUGUCUGCAUAGUUCUCGAACGGGCAGCGUCUGCACACUUAAGGUUCGGUCACAUUUCGGUAUAGUUGAGUUAUAGGUGUUGGUGACCGGAGGUUGUUGGUUACUGGUAGACAAAGGGAAUUGCAUACGAGAUUGAUUGAAUCCUUCACAUCGUGAUUCAUCCGAUGAGAUCAUCGAGGAACAUGCGGGAACCAACAUGGAUAUCCAGACCCUCCUAUUGGUUAUUGACCGGAGAGGUGUCUCGGUCAUGUCUGCAUGUCUCCUGAAUCUGUAGGGUCAACACACUUAAAUUUCGGUGCCGCUAGGGUUAUAGGGAAAUAGUGUACGUGGUUACCGAAGGUUGUUUGGGGUCCCGGAUGAGAUCCCGGACAUCACGAGGGGCUCCAGAAUGGUUCAGAGGUAAAGAUUGAUAUAUAGGAAGUGUGGAUUUGGACACCGGAAUUGUUUUGGACAACACCGGUAAUGUACCGGGACCACUGGAAGGGUUUCGGGGGUCCACCGGCAAGGGGCACCAAUCCCAAAAGGGUACUUGGGCCAAACGGUGGAAGGGAACCAGCCCAAAGUGGGCUGGUGUGCCUCCCUCUCGCAGCCUAAGGCGCACAAGGGUGGGGAGGGCAAACCCUAGGCGUGGGAGGGCACCCUUUGGCCUCCGGCCCUUGCCCUAGAUGGGGCUGCUGCACCCCUUAGGGUGGGAAACCCUAAGGUUGGGCACCUCCUCCCUCUCCUCCUAUAUAUAGUGGAGGGUUUUGGCCUUUUGGAGACACACAAUUCAUCUCUCCACGGCGCAGCCAUACCCCUCCUCCUCCUCGCCCUCCGCAUAGCUUGGCGAAGCCCUGCCGAAGUACCACGUAGCUCCAUCGUCACCACGUCAUCGUGCUGUCGGAGCUCUCCUUCAACCUCUCCUCCAUCCUUGCUGGAUCAAGGUGUUGGAGACGUCACCGGGCUGCACGUGUGUUGAACGCGGAGGCGCCGACGUUCGGCGCAAAGAUCGAAAUCCACCGCGAUCUGAAUCACGGCGAGUACGACUCCAUCAACCGCGUUCUAGCAACGCUUCCGCUUAGCGGUCUUCAAAGGUAUGAGGAUGCUCUACAACCUAUCUGGUUACUGGUUUCUCCAUAGAUAGAUGCUUGCAAGGCGUAGGAAAAUUUUGAAAUUACUACGGUCCCCAACAUUGCAUGCCCCCUCCCCCAAAUAGGGAUGGUAGGUGCUUCCAGCCACAAUGGUAUAAGGACAUUAAUUGGUUGGAAUAUAGUGUAACAAAGCAUAAGGCCUAUUGCUUCUAUUGUUAUCCUUUUAAGCAUGACCGAAUGGAUGAUAAAUUUGGGCAUGAUGUUUUCUCCAAAUUGGGUUGUUGCACGACUGUGAGGGCAAGGGUAUGAUGGGGUAUCUAAUAUGCGAGGGUAAUUCAAUGGCCUGCAGAAGUUAAUUCGAGAUGAGAACCCAUGCAUUUUCUAUAUCCAUUGCUUUGCCCACCAAUUGCACUUGGUAGUUGCUGUUUCGAGAUGCUGCAAGGGUGUUGAGGCUUUUUUUGAACAUGUUACCAUGAUUGCUAAUAUUAUUACUUCAUCUUGCAAGAGGAAGGAUAAAUUGCUAAACAAGCAAAAAACAAGUUCUUUUGGAUAAGAUUGAGAGAGGUGAGAUGCCCACGGGAAGAGGGAGAAAUGAAGAAACAUCCUUGGUCAGACCUGGAGAUACAAGAUGGGGCUCUCGUUACACAACCUUAUCUUGCACUGAAUCAAUGUGGGAUGCAGUCAUAGAAGUUCUAGGCAUUGUGGAGGAUGAUGUGCGUGUUCCAUGUAGGGCAGGAGGUUUGGUUAAUCAAAUGGGUACUUUUAGCUUGAUGCUAAAAAUCCUUCGUAUGACAAAUGAUUUAUUUCUUCUAUUGCAAAAGAAGGAUCAAAAUGUUGUUCAGGCAUGUGAUAUUGUGAUGGAUCUUGUUAUAUGUAGACACCUUCUAUGAUAUAUUUCAUUCAUGUAAACAAACAUGCGCCUAAAACUGUAAUUAUCUCAUUUCAGGCAAUUCCAUUGGUUACACAUGUGAAAAUAUGUUUGAUCGAGUGGAGAAAUGAUGGUUGGGUGCCACUCUUCGAAGAUGUCAAAGCCUUUUGCACCAAAAAUGACAUUCCAAUACCAAAAAUGGAUGACAUCUUUACAAAGUGGGGAAAGUCAAGAAAAGGUGAACGAAAGAAUGUUACACCUGAUCAUUUUUUCGGUGUGGACACCUUCUAUGCUCCUAUAGACUCCAUCACCAUAGAGUUUGAUCAUCGUUUUAAUGAGGUAUCUUCAGAGCUGCUCCAGAACUUCUCUUGUCUUGACCCAAGAAAUUCUUUUUCUAGGUUCAAUGUGAAUAAGCUUGCUAGACUCACAGAGAUUUAUCAUGAGGUUUUCUCAGAUUAUGAACGUGAACAUGUAGUUAAUAAUCUUGAGCUAUUCAUUAUCCAUAUGAGAAGAACUGAAGAUUUAGAGCUUGUCAUGAUAUUGCAAGCCUAGCCAAAAGGAUGGCUAGACUUGAAAGGCAUGUCAUGUUUCAUGUUGUUUAUUGCCUCAUUGAGUUGACAUUGCUACUACGAGUAGCGAUGACAACAGUUGAAAGAGCCUUCUUAUCCAUGAAAAUCAUCAAGACUGAGUUGCGCAAUAAGAUAUCUGAUGGCUGGCUUAAUGAAUUGAUGGUGUGUUACUUUGAGCAAGGAAUCUUCAAAAGUAUUUAUCUUCGUAAAAUUAAGGAAGAUUUUCGUAAGGAGGGUAGGGUACUGCCUUUGCCAGGGCCUUCUAGACGUCAUUAAAAGCUUCAUUACCGGUAUGUUUUAGGUUUUUUUAAUUAAAACAUGUCUAAACUUUUAUUAUAUUUGGUUAUUCGUUUGUAGUGUGCAUUGUUAAUGUGUAUUGAAUCUUUUGAUUCACAUAAAAAAACAUAGUGAGACUUCGCCCCACCUUAAAAAAAUCGUGGUCCGCCUCUAGGAUGGCUGGUGAAUACUCAUGGAUCCAUGGGGUGACUAACAUAGCACGCCUCAAGCCCUGUGAUCCACCAGAUCGAGUGUCCAUUUCGGACCGGUGACUAUGAAAGAGGAUGACUCCAACGACAAUGGCAGUGCCGCCUAUGAUGAUGUUCUGCGGUAAACCUAGAUGCUGGUGGGGGAGACAACGGGGCUCUCUUUGUGAACGACACCCACCCAAAGCAGGUUGAUGGGGAUUCUAUGAACCAUGCGGCGGCGAAAGCACUAGCUACCAUUGUCGCUGAGCACUGGAGUGCUAACAUGACAAGUAUCUUACAACAUCAAUUUCAGCAAGAAGAUGGAGCAAAUAACUUGUGUGUGUGUGGUGGAUACGAGUGGAUACGCUAUUAGAAUUACGUUUUGUCUCGAGUUUCAAUUCUUCGCCGAGUGUAUACUUUCAGACACUCAAAUUUUUGUUCGUGUUUGAUUUAAGCUUAAACUCAGCAGUAAUUUGUAAUUUUGUAGAGAAGUGUUGUUUGCUAGAUUCUCACGAAAAACCACUAGGUGAACAAAAAAAAUUCGGCGAACAAAAUAGUUCAGCCAAUUGCCGACAGAAACAACUCGAUAAACACUGACAUAUGGGCCAUGCCUGGCAGCAAUGGACGGAGCCGUGACCGCGGCUAUCAUUUGCCGGCAAACAUUUUCCGAUUUUUAUUUUCUUAAUUGAAAUGUCAAAAGUCGUAUAUUUGCUUGGGUAGCUCGUGUGCCUUGGGUAGCAGCUAGGGCUCCGGCUUCGGCGGAAGCUCGCCUGUAGGAAGAGGCGGCAAAACCGGCUUUGGUGGGAUCUCACCUAUUGGCAGCGGUGGCAGAUCCGGCUUCGGUGGCUCCUCACCAUUGGGCACGGGUGACAGCUCUGGCUUCGGCUCCACGUCAGGUUUAGGCAGCGGCUGCAGCUCCGGCCUUGGCAGCUCCUCAGGUGUAGGCAGCGGCGGCAGCUCCGGCACCGGCAGUGCGGGCAACAACGGCUUUGGCAACAUGUCCGGUGUGGGCAACGGUGGAAGCUCCGGCUUUGGCAACACGUCCGCUGUUGGCAACGGCGGCAGCUCUGGCUUUGGCAGCACCUCCGGUGCGAGCAGCGGCGGCAGCAGGUCCGGCCUGGGCAGAGGUGCCGUGAGGUCAGGCGGCACGAGCGGGUACUCCGCGUCCUCCAGGUGCCGCGCGGCGUUGCCGACGCCGCUGCGGGAGAGCACCAGCACGCCGAGGAGGAGGACCACAAGAGAGGAUGACAUGACAGCGAUCCUGGAAGUCAUCGCUGGCUCCACUGACUGAACUAGUAGUAGUAACUAAGAACAAUGUCGGCUCUCUUUGCUGGGGUGAAGACUGAAGAGGCAGGUGUAUUUAUAGCAGGGAUUUCAUCGGACGGAGCCGAUCGAUGGCGUGGCGACGCGUUACACCCAAUUCACUGCGUGCGUUGGGUACUUGGGUGGCAGAAGAUGAAUCGCCUGCGUAAGUGCGUUGCGUUUCUUCUUGGCACUUUUUUUUUAAAGCCAUCACGGUGCACUUUAUUACAGCCAGGAUAAUAAAUCUUAGCUGAGAAAUAAAUUGGUCUUUUUUUGUUGUGCAGAGUAAAUCGAAGUCGUUCACAUACAAGAACGUACACUCAUUCCUAUAAAUACAUGCAUGCACACGUUACCCUUAUGAGCACCUUCAAAAGACUAAACCAACACAUCAUCUUAAAAUUAACGAAGUUGCCAGUAAGGGCUUCUUUGUCGACAGAAACGUAUGCAAACACCAACGUUAAGUCUAUGACUUAAACUCUGAUGAACAAGAGAUACCAGAGUCCUCCUAACCAUCUAACCACGGAUUGACUCGCAGAAAUAGAUUGGUCUUGGUCACAACCCUCUGCGUUCGAUUUGUACUGUUUUUUCUCUUUACCUGAACGGGUCAUACAGCAACGUGCGUGCAACCUAUUGUCUCACUCGUCUUGUCUCACUCGUCGGCCCAUUUGUCCACGUUCACAGUUACGCACCAGUAUCUAUCACAGUCCAGAUUCCUACAAAAUUAUACAGUCCACACUCAUGCCUUUUUGUCAGCUUUUUUUAGUGUUUGCAUGAGGCUGCUAUACAUCACGUCGGGUUAAUAUACGAAAAGCGAUCCUUCAAUUCUCCAUUCCCAUCACUCAUCUUUCUUGCUUUCUGGCUAUGUUUUCUUUUUUGUUGUUAUUGUAUUUGGUUUCCUUUUCAUUUCUUUUUCUUUUUACCAUAUUUUAAAUUAUUUCUUUUUUGCAUUCUUAUAUGUAAAUGUAAUCACUUCAUGAUUAAUUCUAUUUGGAUGAUAUUUAGUUAAUUUUAAUUGUACUAGUACAUACAUCUUUUUUCUUCAUUUUAUUUUUUCGUUUAAAAGGGUCACAAUUGCAAGCUUCAAAUGAAGUCGCAUCUCCAUCUUUUAAAAUCCGUUUACAACUGUAGUUUUCCAAGAGAGUUUUCAAUGGUGUGGCGACUACAACUUUUCAAUGUGAAAUGUAUUUUUUUCACUUAUAUCUGCAUCACUAGACAUGCAACUGCAAUCGUUGUAGCCCGGUCGCAAUUGCACAUGCCCCAAUGCGACAAUAGUUGGGUAUGAGAGAGUGGUUGUACAUGCUAUGACGAGUUUUAACCCAACCGCAAUUGCAUGUGCCACAAUGCGACCACAGUUGGGCUUGAGAGGGGAUUUGUCAAGGGGGUUUGCAACUACAGUCGUUUUAACCCGGCCGCAACUGCAUUCGUCACAAUGCAACUGGGUAUGAGAGGGGGGUUUUACAUGCAACUGCAAGUGUUGUAACCCAAUCGCAAUUGCACGUGGUAUAAUGCGACUGCAACUGGGUUCGAGAGAGGAUUUGUCAAGGUGAGUUUGUCGGGGUUGUCAUGGAGGGGGGGGGGGGCUGGAGUUGCAUGUCAAACACUAGAGAUGCAACUGCAAUCGUUGUCACCCGGUCGCAAAUGCAUGCGCCACAAUGCGACCGCAACCGGGUACGGGAGGGCGGUUGUGCAUGCAACUGCAAGUGUUGUAAUACAACCACAAUUGCAUGUGCCACAAUGCGACUGCUACUAGGUUCGAGAGGAAAGUUGUUGUGGGAGUUUGUUAGGUUUGUCGGAUGGUGGGGUCGAGGGGCAGUGGCGAAUCUAUAGUGAUAGUAGAAGGUAGGCUCAAAACAUCAAUUUACUAAGCCUAAUUAGCAAAUACAUUGAAAUUGUUGCAUGUAAAGCACCUUGAUAUAACUGACAUAUGGUAUAUUGAACUCAAAUAGGAUUUCGGAGGGCAGGCUUCGGCCUAUUAAAUUCUCCCUACUAGAUUCGCCACUGGCGAGGGGAGUUGCAUGUCAACCACUAGACAUGCAAAUGCAACCGUUGUAAUCCAGCCGCAACUGCGUGCACCAUAAUGCGGCUGCAACUGGAUACGAGAGGGGGUCUCGGAGGGGGAGGGCUAGUUGUAUGCCAAUAACUUAACUUGAUUUGAGAUGUGAUAAACAACGAGAAAUAAAUCUACAUCUAUGUUAUAGCUCGGAACCUAUAUCUUUACCUUUUUGUAAUGUUGUAGGUCGAUAUUCAUUUAUACACGUGGGAAAUAUUAUAGUAUUUUUGCUAAAGGUAUGCUCUUUCUAAAGUGCAUUUUAACUUCAAAAUACACCCGUGUUAAAAAACACUACACAUAUACCUUACAAAAAAAUUAGUUAACUCACAAUUAGCAAAAUGAGUUUUUUUCAGGUAGUAUUAUGUUAUUUUUAGACACAACAAGUAAUACUCUCUCCGUCUCAAAAUAAGUGGCUGAAAAUGAUUCAACUUUAUACUAACUUUAAUUUGGUACAAAGUUGAAUCACUUCUGAGUCACUUAUUUUGAGACGGAGGGAGUAUUAUGUUGCAGCGGAUAACUGUGUGGGUAGUCAACUAGCUAGUUUUCAAAAAGCCAAAGUAUGUACUUCACGGUUAGGGUCACGGUUAAGUGAAUGCAUGUGAGCGGUACCAAUCAAUCAACCACGUUUCUAGCGAAUCAUCGAACUUGAGGAGGCCUACCUAACCGUAGCCACCGCCAAAAAAAAGCCACGGCUCCAACGCCACCCGCCGGCGGCGGCGCUGGUCCGCCCCGUCUCGGGUGGCCUUAGGGCCAUGGAGGUGGAGUGGAUCUCACCCCUUCCCGGCGAGAGGCUCCCUUUUUAGAUUAUUCUUUGAGUUUUGUUACGGUUUGUGUUUUGUCGAGGAAGGUGAGACGAUGGCGGCUCCCUGAAGAUGAAAUAAAUGUCUCAUCGCCUGACCCUCGUUCGAGUGAUGCUUCUAGCAUCAUUGGUGGGCGUGUGGAGGUGUGUCUCCCGUGGAUCGGUCUUUGAUGGAUUUUCUCGGAUUUGUUUGUCGUUUGUCUUUGUUCAUGUGUUUUUAGGUGUGUUGGUCCGCGCCCGUCAGUGACCAGACAAGAGAGAGAAGGAAAAAGGCGACCCAACCGGACUCCUCAUAUCAUCCCCAUAUGCCCGGGCUGUCCACGAAUCUUCAUAUCCAUCUCAAAUAUGGGAAUGAUAUGAGGGCACGUGGAGAUGCCCGGACGCUCCUGGUCAGUCCGUCACAUAGGACGCGACCCCACUGUCGGUGUCAAAACUCGCGGAUCUCAGGUAGCGGGUCCCGAACUGUGGACCUUCGAUCGGUGGGUUGCAAGAGACGAAGGAGACAUUAUUUACCUAGGUUUGGGCCCUCUUGAGGAGGUAAAAUCCUACAUAUUUCUUGAUUAUAUUGAUGGGUAUGCGGAUUACACAUUUGAUCUACCAUGAGAUUGUAUGAGCUAAAACCCUAUAUGAGUCAACCUGCCUAUACAGAUGAAACCCUCUGGUUUAUAUAGACACCAGGGGUUCCUAGGGUCACAUACAAUCGACCUCGAGUCGGGGUGGACGUGCCGACGUAGACUACAAGACUUGGAUGAUACGCGAGCCUUCGGGUCUUUCCUUCUUGAAUACGAGGUUGUCGCGCAGUCUGGUCUUCAACAGUACGUCCCAUUAGGUCGGUCGCUAAGAGAUGGGUCGACCGUCCAAGGACCCUUUAGUCCCGGACUCCCUUAGUAGCCUCCGAACUAGCAUCCAAUGCCGAUGUAAAUGGACUUCGGCACCUUCUGGUAUCCGAAGUAAUUGGCUUGCGAGGCGAGUUCCUCUAUCCCCUUUGAUUCGUAGAAUGGGGAUUUGGUCAUUGACCAGUUCUCGAUUAUCGAAGCAUUGCGAGGACCACAACCUCCAACCUUUCCGCUUGAAGAUCGAUAGCAACACUCGAUUCAUGUGCGCAUUAAUGAAGACAAUCAAUCUAGCAGUCCCUCAUGGAACAACUUCGUGUAACCGAGGGGGAAAUUGUUAGAAAUAUGCCCUACAGGCAAUAAUAAAGUGGUUAUUAUUAUAUUUCCUGUUUCAUGAUAAUUGCCUAUUAUUCAUGCUAUAAUUGUAUUAACCGGAAACCAUAAUACAUAUGUGAAUAUAUAGAUCACAAUAUGUCCCUAGUGAGCCUCUAGUUGGCUAGCUCGUUGAUCGAUAGAUGAUCAUGGUUUCCUGAUCAUGGACAUUGGAUGUCAUUGAUAAUGGGAUCACAUAAUUGGGGAAUGAUGUGAUGGACAACACCCAAUCCUAAGCAUAGCACUAGAUCAUGUUGUUCGUCUGCUAAAGCUUUUCUAAUGUCAAGUAUCAUUCCUUUGACCAUGAGAUUGUGCAACUCCCGGAUACCGUAGGAAUGCUUUGGUUGUAUCAAAGUCACAACGUAACUGGGUGAUUAUAAAGGUGCACUACAUGUAUCUACGAAAGUGUCUGUUGGGUUGUACGAAUCGAGACUGGGAUUUGUCACUCCGUGUGACAGAGAGGUAUCUCUGGGCCCACUCGGUAAUACAUCAUCAUACUAAGCUCAACGUGACUAAGGAGUUAGCCACAGGAUGAUGUGUUACGGAAAGACUAAAGAGACUUGUCGGUAACGAGAUUGAAAAAGGUAUAGGGAUACUGACGAUGGAAUCUCGGGCAAGUAUCAUACCUGUAGACAAAGGAUAUUGCAUACGGGAUUGAUCGAAUCCCCGACAUCAUGGUUCAUCUGAUGAGAUCAUCGUGGAACAUGUGGGAACCAACAUCGAUAUCCAUACCCCGUUGUUGGUUAUUGACCGGAGAGGUGUCUCUAUCAUGUCUUCUUGGUUCCCGAACCCAUAGGGUCUACACACUUAAGGUUCGAUGACGCUAGGGUUAUAUGGGAAUAGUAUACGUGGUUACCGAAGGUUGUUCGGAGUCACGAAUGAGAUCCCGGACGUCAACAGGAGUUCCAGAAUGGUCCGGAGGUAAAGAUUCAUAUAUAUGAAGUGAGGAUUUGAUCGCCGGAAGUGUUUUGGGCGUCACCGGUAAUGUACCGGGACCACCGAAAGAGUUUUGGGGGUCCACCGGGAAGGGCCACCAGCCCCAAAGUGCUACAUGGUCCAAAAGGUGGAUGGGAACCAGCCCCUAAGUGGGCUGGUGUGCCACCACCAUUAGCCCAAGGCGCACAAGGGGUGGAGGGGGCGAAACCCUAGGCGUGAAGGGGCAACCUUGGCCUCCAAGCCAACCCUAGGGGGCCACCUCCUCCACCCUUGGCCGCCGCCCCUUGCCCAUCUAGGGUUGCCGCACCCACUAGGGUGGAAACCCUAGGGGUGGGCACCCUCCUCCCUCUCCUCCUAUAUAUAGUGGAGGGUUUUGGGGCUGCAACACACAAGUUCUUCCACCUCCACGGCAUAGCCCUACUCCUCCUCCUCCUCGUCCUCCGUAGUGCUUGGCGAAGCCCUGCCAGAGUACCAUGCGGCUCUACCGUCACCACGCCGUCAUCCUAUCGGAGCUAUCCCUCAACCUCUCCUCCCUCCUUGCUUGAUCAAGGCAUUGGACACAUCACUGGUCUGCAUGUGUGUUGAACGCGGAGGCACCGUUGUUUGGCGCAUGGAUCGGAAUCCACCGCGAUGUGAAUCACUGCGAGUACGACUCCAUCAACCGUGUUCUAGCAACGCUUGCUCUUAGCAAUCUUCAAAGUUAUGAAGAUGCUCUACCCCUUUGCUCGUUGCUGGUUUCUCCAUAGAUAGAUCCUUGUGUGACUUAGGAUUUGUUUUGAAAUUAUUACGUUCCUGAUAUGUCCAAAAUGCAUCACUAUUUUGUAUCAUAAUUUUCCUUUAUUCAUUGAUAUAUUUCACUUUAUGAUGAUGUACUUGUAGAGUUUUGGCUUAUUUUACACAGUUUACAACUUUCCGACGCCGAAACAGCAGACGCAGGAUUCAGCGGAGAAAAUAGCAUGAAGAGUUACAAUAUCAGAACAUCUCCAACUGCGCUAAAAACCAGAGGGAAGAAGUUUCCGAACGAAUCCCGAUGAGAGGCAAAAGAAGAGCUGGAGGGGGCCACCAGUUACCCAGGCGACCUGCUGGCGCGAGCUCCCCUAGGCCGCGCCAGGAGGCUGUCUGGGAGGUGGGUCCCACCUCCGGUCCUUUCCUUUGUUCUAUAUGUCCCUCUAGGCCUAAAUAUUAGGGGGACAGAAGAGUUUUAGCGAUUCCGCUGCCGCUCCGCGGCAGAAAUCUACACAGAAGAAAAGACCUUUCCGGAAAGGGAGAUCGUUCUCACUGUCAUCACCAUCGUCACGGGCAUCAUCGAGAUCAUCAUCGCCAUCAUCACCAACACCAGCAUCAUCUCCACCUUCAUCCCAUCUACUUCACCAUUGCAAUCGGAGUUGUACCUUGCACUAUUCAGCCCCUCUACUCUACCGUUGCUGAUUACUCUUUUGUGGUGAAUGCUAUUGAGUUUUGUUGGACGAUUAUUGUUAUGACCAGAUUUUUAAUCAUAUUUUCAUCACCUCCGAUCAUGAUCUCUUUUAUGUCGUGUGAGUAGUUCCAUUAGUUCUUGAGGACAUCGGAAAAGUCUAGAUGCUAGUAGUCAUAUGAUGUUGAAGGAAUAUGUAUUGAUUGAUAUUUAUGUUAUGGUGUUAUUCUUCUAGUGGUUUUAUGUGAACAUCCACUACAUAACACUUCGCCUUUUUAAGGAACUAGGGGAAUGCAUCGUGUAUAAAGAAUGCUUAUGGUGGGUUGCCGGAGUGACAGAAACCUGAACUCCAGUUCGCAUACUUUUGCAUGAGGGAGUAUUGGAUCCUAAAGCUUAUUGCUAUGGUUAGUCUUAGCCUUAAUUCAUCUCUUAUAUUUGCAGAUGCUUGGAAGAGGGAUUAAUCAUACGAGUGUACUUGUCUUAGCCUAGACGGUGCGCUAGUUAAGAUCCACCCACAUAACACUUAUAAUUACAAAACAUAGUACUAGACAGAGUAUGGCGAAAGCAAUUGACUAUCUCUCCCGUGUGUCCUCAGGAACGACUUAGUCUUUAUAAGUUUAGUCCCUCGGCUUAUCCAUUGAGUUUAAAAGGAUUGGGCCACUUGCUGCACCUCGGCACGAUUUACAUUACUUGCAUUUAAUUCCUUGUUGCUUAUACUACAAAACCCAUAAAAGUUACCUUUGAGGACUUGCAGUUAUUCCUUGCUCAAGAUCACUUGUCAUUACCUCCUGCUCCUCGUUGGGUUUGACACUCUUACUUAUCAAAAAGGCUACGACAAAUCCCCUACACUUGUGGGUCAUCAAGACCAUUUUCUGGCGCUGUUGCCGGGGAGUGUAGAGCUAUUGGUAAGUGAAAUUGGUAAGGAAACCUUUACACUGUACGUGUUGUUUUUGUUUUACUGUUUCCACCUUUUUUUCCCUAUGGACCACUCUACUCUUGGUUUUUUGCUUGUGGGGAACCGCCCCAACGCUAUUGUGGUGGAGAAGCCUCCCCCACCUACUGACAUUGCGCCUUUUAAAAUACCAACUAGUAUUAUUGAUUGUGUUUUGGCUAAUCGAUAUGCAGGAGAUAGACAUCCAGGUGAACACUUGCUAUAUUUUUCACAACUAUGCUCCUUAUUUAAGCUUGCAGGUAUAUCGAUGGAUUUUGUUAUGAGAAAGCUAUUCUCUCUAUCAUUAAAAGAUAAGGCUUUGGAUUGGUAUGGGCUUCUUGAUGACUCUCAUUUACUAAAUUGGCAAGAUCUUAUGCCUCUCUUUUAUUUAAAGUUUUAUCCUCUUCAUGAAAUACAUCGAGACAGGAAUUAUAUUUAUAACUUUUGGUCUUGUGACGGAGAAAGCAUUGCUCAAGCUUGGGGGAGACUGAAGUCCUUAAUGCUCAAAUGUUCCAAUCAUCAGCUCUCCAAAGAAAUUAUUCUCACAAAUUUUUAUGCAAGGCUUUCUCGUCAAGAUAAAGAGAUGCUUGAUGCUUCCUCUAGUGGGGCAUUCUCCAACAAAAACACUGAAGCUAAGUGGGAUCUUAUUGAAAGGAUCCAGAAGAACACUGAAGACUGGGAGAUUGAUAAAGGUAUUGAACCCGUUAUAAAUUAUGAGCGUGAUUACAUUGAGAGCUAUGUGAAAACUGAUUACUUCAAUACCUUUUGUGCUAAGAUUGGUCUUGAUUCCCAGCUUCUAUUUGAUUUUUGCAAAGACGUUGCCCCUCAUAUUGACUCUUCUGAGAAGAAGCAGGAUCAACAUCAUAAACCUUUUAAGGAAUUACCUGUUGAUAUUAAUGUUGUUGACCCUAUCUUGCCUGCAGUUGAAUACGAAAAGCCCCCUUUUCCCACAGGGAUGAAGGAUCAUUCUUUUGUCACCGGAUCCUGAAUAAAAGUGAAAGAACGACCGAUGAGCAUGAGGACCUGAUUAAAGUCGAUCCUCAAGUUGCAUUAGUCAAGGAGCUUGUUACUGGUAAUAUUGAGGAUUCUAAUAUAAAUUUUUGUGUUGUUUCCACUAACCUUGUUACAGCCAAGAAUAAAGGCCCAAUUUCAGGUACUCUAGUUGUAUCUGUUAAAAUAGGAGAUCAUAAUUAUUAUGGGCUAUGUGAUUUGGGAUCCAGUGCUAGUGCUAUUCCUUUUUCACUUUAUCAAGAGAUUAUGAAUGAUAUUAUACCAUGUGAAAUUGAAGAAGUUGAUGUUACUAUUCAUCUCGCAAACAAAGAAACUAUCUCUCCUAUUGGAAUUGUGCAAGAUGUUGAAGUUCUAUGUGGAAAGGUAAAAUAUCCUACCGACUUUCUAGUACUUGCUUCAGUACAAGAUAGUUUUACCCUAUUAUCUUUGGUAGGCCUUUUCUCAAAACUUGUGGAGCUAUUAUACAUUGCAGGAAAGGAAAAGUAUCUGUUGAAUUUAUUGGUGAGCUAUAUGAAUUUAACUUUUCUAAAUUCUCGAAGGAAACUCGUGAUACUGAUCUACCUAGUAAUGAUAAAAUUAUUGAAGAGAUUGCUUCUAUUGCUAUUCCUCUUAAUGAUCCUUUGCAACAAUUUAUGGAAAACCACGAGAAUGAUAUGCAUGUGCAGUUAAGGAAUGAGCUAGAUGAAAUGUUCUUGAGACAACCUGCUAUCCUGAAGCACAACCUUCCGGUUGAGCCUUUGGGAAUUUUAUCAAAACCAAAAGAAGACCCGGUGCUUGACCUCAAACCUCUUACCAGUACACUCAAGUAUGCUUAUUUAGAUGAAAAGAAAGUAUAUCAUGUUAUUAUCAAUUCUAACCUUUCAGGAUAUGAAGAAGAGCGAUUAUUGGAAGUCCUUCGUAAACACCGAGGCGCUAUUGGGUAUACCCUUGAUGAUCUUAAGGGGAUUAGUCCAUCUAUUUGUCAGCAUACUAUCAAUCUUGAGCCUGAUGCUAAACCGGUUGUUGAUCAUCAACGACGGUUAAACCCGAAGAUGAAGGAUGUUGUGAGGACUGAUGACCCACAAGUGUAGGGGACCUAUCGUAGUUCUUUCGAUAAGUAAGAGUGUCGAACCCAACGAGGAGCAGAAGGAACUGACAAGUGGUUUCCAUCAAGGUAUUCUCUGCAGGCACUGAAAUUAUCGGUAACAGAUAGUUGUGUGAAAAGAUACUUCAUAGCAAGUAGCAAGUAACAAAGGUGCAACAAAGUGGCCCAAUCCCUUUUGUAGCAAGGGACAAGCCUAGACAAACUCUUAUAGGAGGUGAAGCGCUCCCGAGGACACAUGGGAAUUUCUGUCAAGCUAGUUUUCAUCAUGUUCAUAUGAUUCGCGUUCGCUACUUUGAUAGUUUGAUAUGUGGGGGGACCGGUGCUUGGGUGCUGCCAUUACUUGGACAAACAUCCCACUUAUGAUUAACUCCUCUCGCAAGAAUCCGCAACUAAGAAAGAAGAAUUAAGACAAAGUCUAACCAUAGCAUUAAACUAGUGGAUCGAAAUUAGCCCCUUACGAAGCAAUGCAUAAACUAGGGUUUAAGCUUCUCUCACUCUAGCAACCCAUCAUCUACUUAUUACUUCCCAAUGCCUUCCUCUAGGCCCAAAUAAUGGUGAAGUGUUAUGCAGUCUACGUUCACAUAACACCACUAGAGCAAAGACAACAUCCAUCGCAUCAAAAUAUCGAACGAAUACCAAAUUCACGUGACUACUUAUAGCAAGACUUAUCCCAUGUUCUCAGGAACAAAAGUAACUACUCACAAAGCAUAAUCAUAUUCAUGACCAGAGAGGUAAUGAGUAGCAUCAAGGAUCUGAACAUAAACUCUUCCACCAAGUAAUCCAACUAGCAUCAACUACAAAGAGUAAUUAACACUACUAGCAACCUUACAAGUACCAAUCGGAGUCGCGAGACGGAGAUUGGUUACAAGUGAUGAAGUACGGUUUGGAGAUGAGAUGGUGUUGAUGAAGUUGUUGACGGUGACGAGUCCCCUCCGAUGAGAGGAGUGUUGGUGAUGACGAUGGCGAUGAUUUCCCCCUGUGGGAGGGAAGUUUCCCCGACAGGAUCUUCCUGCUGGAGCUCUAGAUUGGUUCUGCUCAAGUUCCGCCUCGUGGCGGCGGCGAAACCACGAAAAAGCUCCUCCCUAAUUAUUUCCUGGACGAAACCCUUAAUAUAGCAAAAGAGGGGGGCAAGUGGGCCAGCAGGGUGCCCACAAGCCCCCAUGGCGCGGCCUGGCGGGUGGCCGCGCCGUGCAGGCUUGUGGCCACCUGCACGCCCCCCUCUGGGACUUCUUUGGCCUAGUAUUUUUGAUAAAUCGGGAAAAUAUUCCUCGUUGAUUUUUACAGCAUUUGGAGUUUCACAGAAUAGGUAUCUCAAAUUUGCUCCACUUUCAGGCCAGAAUUCCAGUUGCCGACAUUCUCCCUCUUCAUGUAAACCUUGCAAAAUAAGAGUGAAAAGGCAUAAGAAUAGUACCGUGAAGUGAAAUAACAGCCAAAGAAGUGAUAAAUAUCAACAUGAAAACAUGAUGCAAAAUGGACGUAUCAACUCCCCCAAGCUUAGACCUCGCUUGUCCUCAAGCGAAAGCCGAGCUCAAUAAAUAUGUCCACAUGUUUAGGGAGAGAGGUCUCGACAAAACAAGAUACGAACAUGCAUGCAUCAUGAUCAAGAUCAGAACAACAAUACCAACAUAUAAUCUCUCAUGCUAAAGUGAUAAUUCCUUCACAAAGUAAAGAAUGGAUCAAGAACCUUACCGAGAAGUAACAACCUAUAGCCUUUAGUCACUGAAGAAAUUGCAAUUUAUCACAACAUCAGAAAGAGUCAAAUAAGAGCUUGUAAAGAAAAUCCACAUACUCAAUCAUUCUUUCGUUCUCUACAAUUGCUACAACUCACGUGGUACUCAUGAGAUCAAAGUUUCAGCUGGACAUAGAGAUAGAUAGGGGCUUAUAGUUUUGCCUCCCAACUGCUUGUUGCUACUGCAACAAAAGACCUUCCAAUGGCGCUAGAAAUAAGCGUGAUGACGGGAGACUAUUCUUGUUUUGAUACUCCUCGGCAACGGCACCAGGAAUCCUUAUUCUACGGCUACGCCUUUAGGGACUUCCUUGGCAAAUAUGCAAAGGAUUCCCCCGUGGCCAUGGAGCCUUGCGUUGGUGUUCCCUCGAAGCGGAAAGGGUGAUGCAGCACAGCGGCGGUAAGUAUUUCCCUCAGUUUUGAGAACCAAGGUAUCGAUCCAGAGGGAGGAUCGCGUCAAGUCACAAGUACCUGCACAAACACAAAGAGCUUGCACCCAACGCUAUGGAGGGGUUGUCAAUCCCUUAUAGAUUGUUUGCAAAGCGAGAACUGAAAGCAAAAAGUAAACAAAGCAAAGUAAAAGUGAAAGUGGAAACGAUAGAUGUGAAUAGACCCGGGGGACGUAGUGUUCACAAGUGGCUUCUCUCAUGAAAGCAAGUAGACGGUGGGUGAACGAAUUACUGUCGAGCAAUUGACAGAACCACGCAAAGUCGUGACAUUAUCUAUGGCAAUGAUUAUAUCUAUUGGCAUCACGUCCAAAACAAGUAGACCGAUACUUUCUGCAUGUACUACUAUUACUCCACACGUCGACCGCUAUCCAGCAUGCAUCUAGUGUAUUAAGUUCAUAAGAACAGAGUAACGCCUUAAGAAAGAUGACAUGAUGUAUAUGGACAAUCUCAUAUCUAAGAUAAAAGCCCAUCUUGUUACCCUUGAUGGCAACAACACGAUGCGUGCCUUGCUGCCCCUUCUGUCACUGGGAAAGGUCACCACACGGUAUGAACCCAAAACCAAGCACUUCUCCCAUUGCAAGAAUCAUAGAUCUAGUUGGCCAAACAAAACCCAAGACUCGGAGAGACCUACAAGGAUAUCAAAACAUGCAUAUAAGAAAUAAGCAAGGACUCAAAUAUAAAUCAUAGAUAAUCUGAUCACAAAUCCACAAUUCAUCGGAUCUCGACAAACACACCGCCACAGAGGAUUUCAUCGGAUAGAUCUCCAUGAGGAUCAUGGAGAACUUUGUAUUGAAGAUCCAAGAGAGAGAAGAAUCCAUCUAGAUACUGACUACGGACCCGUAUGUCUGAAGUGGACUACUCACGAGUUAUUGGAGAGGCGAUGAUGUUGAUGUAGAAGCCCUCCAACUCCAAAGUCUCCUCCGACAGGGCACCGGGAAGGGUCUCCAGAUGAGAUCUCGCGGAAACGGAAGCUUGCGGCGGCGGAAAAGUGUUUUCGUGGAUGCCCUGAUUUUUUUUGUAUUUUUAGGGAAUUUAUAGGCCAAAGAGCUAGGGCAGGGGAGCUCCAGGGAGGCCACAAGCCUGGUAGCCGCCUUCCCCCCUGGUGGUGGCUAUAGGGCUUGUGGGCCCCCUGUGGCUCUCCUGACUUGGUCCUUAAGUCCCCCGAUCUUCUUUUGUUCUGGAAAAAUUUAUUUCGGGGAUUUUAUUCCGUUUGGACUCUGUUCCAAAAUCAGAUCUGAAAAGAGUCAAAAACACAGAAAAAACAGGAACUGGCACUUGGCACUAAAUUAAUAAGUUAGUCCCAAAAAAUAUAAAAAAGGUACAUAAAACAUCCAAAGUUGACAAGAUAACAACAUGAAACCAUCAAAAAUUAUAGAUACGUUUGAGACGUAUCAAGCAUCCGCAAGCUUAACUCCUGGUCGUCCUCGAGUAGGGAAGUGAUAAAGAAUGAAUUUUUUAUGCUUUCAUGCUACCUAGCAUAGAUGUCCUUUGUAACUCCUCUUAUGUGACGUGAAUGUUCAAAUCCAUUAGAUUCAAAAAAAUAGUUUGAUAUUGAUGUGGAGACAAUAAUACUUCAAGAAAACUAGCAAGGUAAUCAUGAACUUUCAAAAUAACGAGGCCAAAAAAAGUUAUCCCUACAAAAUCAUAUAAUCUGGCUAUGCUCUAUCAUCCUUGCAGAACGAAUUUAAAUCAUGCACAACCUCGAUAUUGGCCAAGUAAUUGUUUUCACACUUUUACUUUCUCAAACCUUUUCAACUCUCACGCAAUACAUGAGCGUGAGCCAUGGUUUUAGCACUAUAAGUGGAAUGGAGUGUGGUGGAGGUUGCAAGACAAACAAGGAGAAGAUGGUCACAUUAACUAGGCAUAUCAAUGAGCUAUGGAGAUGCUCAUCAAUAGAUAUCAAUGUGAAUGAGUAGGGAUUGCCAUACAAAUGAUGCACUAGAUCUAAGAGUAUGUGAAAGCUCUUAAAGAAAACUAGUGGGUGUGCAUCCAACUUGCUUGCUCACGAAGACCUAAGGCAAAUUUGAGGAAGCCUAUCAUUGGAAUAUACAAGCCAAGUUAUAUAAUGAAAAUUUCCCACUAGCUAUAUGGUGGUGACAAAACGAGAGACUCUCAAUCAUGAAGAUCAUGGUGCUUAAUAAGCACAAGUGUGGAAGGAUAGUAGCAUUGUCCCUUCUCUCUUUUUCUCUCAUCAUUUUUUUGGUGGGCUCUUUGGCCUCCUUUUUUUCAUAAUUUUUAAUUUUAUUUUGGUGGGCAUCUUUGGCCUCUUUUUGUAAAUGGGCUUCACUGGCCUCUUUUAUUUCCUCACAUGGGACAAUGCUCCAGCAAUGAUGAUCAUCACACUUACAACUCAAAACUUAGAGCAAUAAUGACUCUAUAUGGAAUGCCUUCGGUAGUGUACCGUGACAAUGAUCUAUCAUGGCAUAGACAUCAGUGGAAACAUCAUGCUAGCUAUCUUAUGAUCAUGCAAUGGUAAAGUAGAAGUGGUGGCACAUGUCAUGGUGGUAGUUGCAUGGCAAUAUAUCUCGGAAUAGCUUUGAAAAAGCCAUAGUAGGUAGGUAUGGUGGCUGUUUUUAGGGAGGCUAUAUGAUGGGUUUUGUGCACCGGCGAAAGUUGCACGGCACUAAAGAAGAUAGUGAUGGUGAAAGGUGAAAGUGCAUCUAAACCAUGGACUCAACAUUAGUUAUUAAUAACUCAUAUACUUGUUGCAAAAGUUUUAGUAGUAAUCGAAAGAAAGCAUUCAACGCAUACUCCUAGGGGAAGGGUUGGUAGGUAUAAACCAUCGCGCGAUCCCGACCGCCACACAAAGGAUGACAAUCAAUAGACUAAUCAUGCUCAGACUUCAUCACAUAGUCUUUCACCAUUCGUACAUGCUACGGGAAUUACUAAAUUCAACACAAGUAUUUCUAGACCCACAACACCUUACUAAUAUAACUUCAAUAUUACCACAACCAGAUCUCAAAACUAAUUGAGAGGAAUCAAUCUUCUCUAACUAUUCAAUGCACAUGGAGAUGGAUGUUUUCAUAUCCCUUUGGAUAACUACACCUUUUGAGACUACUUUCAUAGCAUAGAUCAACUACCAAGCCACGCGCAUCCGUUCUCUAAAAGAUAUAAGUGAAGCACAUAGAGCAAAAUCAACUAGCUCAAAAGAUAUAAGUGAAUCUCGAAAAAAUCACGGUGAGUGCAUGUCUCUCUCUCUAGGUGUGCAGCAAGGAAGAUUGUGACAAAACAAAAAUAAAAGACUCCUAUGAUACAAGACGCUCCAAGAAAAACACAUAACAUGUGUUGAAUAAAAAUAUAGCCCCAAGUAACGUUACCGAUGGUUUGAACACGAAAGAGGGGAUGCCUUCCCGAGGCAUCCCCAAGCUUAGGCUUUUACGGCAUCCUUGAAUCAUCUUGGGGUGCCUUGGGCAUCCCCAAGCUUGAGCUCUUGCCACUCUUUAUCUCUUUGUCCAUAAGAACUUCACCCAAAACUUGAAAACUUCACAACACGAAACUUAAACAGAAACUCGUGAUAUCAUUAGUAUAAGAAAGCAAAUCACCAAUUCCUUAGGUACUCUAGCAAACUUUGAUUCUACUUAUGUUGAUGUUGGGUUACUAUAUUUUCAAUCUUCCAUGGCUAGUACCCCCCGAUACUAUCCAUAGUUUCAUCAAAAUAAGCAACCAACUCAACAAAAACAGAAUCUGUUAACAGCAGACCAGUCUGUAGCAAUCUGUAUGCUUAGUAUACUUCUGGUAGUUCACAAAUUCUGAAAAAUUACGACAGUCUGAAGAAUUGGCGUAGGAAUCAGUAGCAAAAAGAAUCAACUCAAAAGAUCUUAUAGAAAGAAAAUGAAAAUUCUUUUUGUGAUCAGAAAGUUUCUGUCUUUUGCAGCAUGACCAAAUGAUCAUCCCCAAGAGUAAUCAUAACGGUUUUACUUGGCACAAACGCAAAAAGAAACACAAAAAAACACAAUCAUAACAGAAUUAUGAAAGUGUGGAAAACACAAAACAGAAAGAAAAAGGAUUGAUUCAUUGGGUUGCCUCCCAACAAGCGCUAUUGUCUAACGCCAUUAGCUAGGAAAAACUUGAUGGAAUCACGUAUAGUCAUCUUUGGUGCUCAAACCAUAAGUAGCCCUCAUCAUAGAUUCAUAUGGAAAUCUUAUUUUCUUUCUAGGAAAAUGCUCCAUGCCCUUCUUUAGAGGAAAUUGAAAUCUAAUAUUUCCUUCCUUCAUAUCGAUGAUAGCACCAAUAGUCCUUAGGAAAGGUAUACCAAGAAUAAUGGGACACGAAGGAUUGCAAUCUAUGUCAAGUACAAUGAAAUCCAUGGGUACAUAGUUCUUAUUUGCAACAAUGAGAACAUCAUCGAUCCUUCCCAUGGGUUUCUUGACAGUAGAAUCCGCAAGAUGCAAAUUAAGAGAACACUCUUCAAUCUCAUGAAAACCAAGAAUAUCACAUAAAGACUUUGGAAUCGCGGAAACACUAGCACCCAAAUCACACAAAGCAUUGCAUUCAUAGUUUUUGAUUUUGAUUUUUAUAGUAGGUUCCCACUCAUCAUGAAGUUUUCUAGGUAUAGGGACUUCUAAUUCGAGCUUCUCUUCAAGAGAUUUCAUCAUAGCAUCUACGAUAUGAGCGGUAAAGGCUUUGCUUUGGCUAUAAGCAUGUGGAGAGUUUGCAAUGGAUUGCAUCAAAGAAAUGCAUUCAAACAAGGAGAAACUAUCAUCAUUGAAUUCCUUGAAAUCCAAAGUGGGAGUGUCAUUACUACCAAAUAUUUUGAUUUCUUCUACUCCACUCUCCACACCUUUAUCAUCAAGAUAGGUGGACUCCGAAUCAUUGGGGCAUUUUUCAACCAAAGUGGAUUCAUAUCCAGCCCCUUCAUCAAUAGGUUUGACACGCGAAAACAAAGAUUCAAGAGGAGUCACACCAAGCACUUAUUGACUAAGGUAGCCUGCUUGUGAGAAAUUUGGCCCACCAAUUUCUCAAGGUGAGCAAACUGAGAAUUUAGUGCAAGGAAUUCUUUGGUCAUAUCAUCAACUUCUUUAUUCAAACGUGCCAUAAAAUAAUUUUGCUCUUUUAAUUCCCUACGGAAGUAACUAUUUUGGUCAAACUGAGAAGACAUGAAACCUUUGACACUAGUUUCAAUCUCUUCCAACUUUCUGAAAUAGUUUGGUUUGGGCAUGAGGAAAGGUCUCUCACAAACAAGCCCAAGAGCAAGUGAGGAAAACGGGCGGAAAAAGAAGGCAAAAUACAAAAGAAAACGAAAAACGAGAAAGGCAAAUGAAAACGACAAAGGAGAAAGGCUAAUGAAAACGGCAAAUGUGAAGUCGGGGAGAGGAAAACGAGAGGCAACUCGCAAAAAAGGUAAAUGCAAGAGAUGAGUUUGUGACACCUACUUGGAUAGAUCUUGACUUGAUCUCUCUUUCCUCGGCAACGGCGCCAAAAAUACUUCUGCUACAGCAACAAAAGACCUUCCAACGGCGCCAGAAAUAAGCAUGAUAACGGGAGACUAUUCUUGUCUUGAUACUCCUCGACAACGGCGCGAGGAAUCCUUCUGCUACGGCUACGCCUUUAGGGACUUCCUUGGAAAAUAUGCACAGGAUUCCCCCGUGGUGUUGGAGCCUUGCGUUGGUGUUUCCUCGAAGCGGAAAGGGUGAUGUAGCACAGCGGUGGUAAGUAUUUCCCUCAAUUUUGAGAACCAAGGCAUCGAUCCAGAGGGAGGAUCGCGUCAAGUCACAAGUACCUGCACAAACACAAAGAGCUUGCACCCAACGCUAUGAAGGGGUUGUCAAUCCAUUAUAGAUUGUUUGCAAAGUGAGAACUGAAAGCAAAAAGUAAACAAAGAAAAGUAAAAGUGAAAGUGGAAACGAUAGUUGUGAAUAGACCCGGGGGCCGUAGUGUUCACUAGUGGCUUCUCUCAUGAAAGCAAGUAGACGGUGGGUGAACGAAUUACUGUCGAGCAAUUGAUAGAACCGCGCAAAGUCGUGACGUUAUCUAUGGCAAUGAUUAUAUCUAUAGGCAUGAUGUCCAAAACAAGUAGACCGAUACUUUCUGCAUCUACUACUAUUACGCCACACGUCGACUGCUAUCCAGCAUGCAUCUAGUGUAUUAAGUUCAUAAGAACAGAGUAAUGCCUUAAGCAAGAUGACAUGAUGUAGAUGGACAAUCUCAUAUCUACGAUAAAAGCCCAUCUUGUUACCUUUGAUGGCAACAACACGAUGCGUGCCUUGCUUCCCCUUCUGUCACUGGGAAAGGUCACCACACGGUAUGAACCCAAAACCAAGCACUUCUCCCAUUGCAAGAAUCAUAGAUCUAAUUGGACAAACAAACCCAAGACUCAGAGAGAUUUACAAGGAUAUAAAAUCAUGCAUAUAAGAAAUCAGCAAAGACUCAAAUAUAAAUCAUAGAUAAUCUGAUCACAAAUCCACAAUUCAUCGGAUCUCGACAAACACACCGCCAAAGAGGAUUACAUCAGAUAGAUCUCCAUGAGGAUCAUGGAGAACUUUGUAUAGAAGAUCCAAGAGAGAGAAGAAGCCAUCUAGCUACUAACUACGGACCCGUAGGUCUGAAGUGGACUACUCACGAGUCAUUGGAGAGGCGAUGAUGUUGAUGUAGAAGCCCUCCAACGCCAAAGUCCCCUCCGGCAGGGCACCGGGAAGGGUCUCCAGAUGAGAUCUCGCGGAAACGGAAGCUUGCGGUGGCGGAAAAGUGUUUUCGUGGAUGCCCUUAUUUUUUCUGGAUUUUUAGGGAAUUUAUAGGCCAAAGAGCUAGGGCAGGGGAGCGUGAGGGAGGCCACAAGACCGGUAGCCGCCGCCCCCCAGGUGGCGGCUACAGGGCUUGUGGGCUCCCUGUGGCUCUCCUGCCUUGGCCCUCAAGUCCCCCGAUCUUAUUCUGUUCUGGAUAAAUUUAUUUAGGGGAUUUUAUUCUGUUUGGACUCCGUUCCAAAAUCAUAUCUGAAAAGAGUCAAAAACACAGAAAAAACAGGAACUGGCACUUGUCACUGAAUUAAUAAGUUAGUCCCAGAAAAGAUAAAAAAAGGUACAUAAAACAUCCAAAGUUGACAAGAUAACAUCAUGAAACCAUCAAAAAUUAUAGAUACGUUUGAGACUUAUCACUUACCUCAAGGGUAAUAUCAACAAUAAUAAUUCAUGAAUACUCACCUCCAAGUUGACAUAUGAAUAUAGAUCUUUCCCAAGCAUAUGACGUUAGCCAAGAGAAAGGCGAAAUAAGGAAUUGGUGAAGAUCACCAUGGCUCUUUCAAGGUUAAAAAGUAAUGGUACAAGGUAGGCCCUUCGCAGAGGGAAGCAGAGGUUGUCAGGCGCUUUUGAGGUUUGGAUGCGUGUCCUCUUAGUGCGGAGGAACGUCACUUUAUAUUGCCUCCUGUGAUAAAGAACUUUAUUAUGCAGUCUGUCGCUUUUAUGUCUUCCUCAUCACAGGUUCGUACAAAGCUUAUUUUCCACACACUAAUAGAUCAUACAUAUUAGAGAGCAAUUUUUAUUGCUUGCACCGAUGACAACUUACGUGAGGGAUCUUAUUCAAUCCAUAGGUAGGUAUGCUGGACACUCAUGGCAAAACUGGGUUGAUGGUUUAUGGAUGCACAAGUAGUAUCUCUACUUAGUGCGGGAGGUUUGGGUAAUAUGAGGUGGAAGCAAUCAUCACAUGCUAAUGGAUCUCUAAUCAUAUAACAUUGUUCAGAGCCAAGCAAACACAAUUCAUUAUGUUGUCUUCCUUGUCCAAUAUCUACUUCUAGGCAUGUAAUAGUUGUUGGAAUUAUGCCCUAGAGGCAAUAAUAAAUAUAGUUAUUAUUAUAAUUCCUGUAUCAAGAUAAUCGUUUAUUAUCCAUGCUAUAAUUGUAUUGAAUGAAGACUCAUUUACAUGUGUGGAUACAUAGACAAAACACCGUCCCUAGCAAGCCUCUAGUUGGCUAGCCAGUUGAUCAAAGAUAGUCAGUGUCUUCUGAUUAUGAACAAGGUGUUGUUGCUUGAUAACUGGAUCACGUCAUUAGGAGAAUCACGUGAUGGACUAGACCCAAACUAAUAGACGUAGCAUGUUGAUCGUGUCAUUUUGUUGCUACUGUUUUCUGCGUGUCAAGUAUUUGUUCCUAUGACCAUGAGAUCAUAUAACUCACUGACACCGGAGGACUACUUUGUGUGUAUCAAACAUCGCAAUGUAACUGGGUGACUAUAAAGAUGCUCUACAGGUAUCUCCGAAGGUGUUAGUUGAGUUAGUAUGGAUCAAGACUGGGAUUUGUCACUCCGUGUGACGGAGAGGUAUCUCGGGGCCCACUCGGUAAUACAACAUCACACACAAGCCUUGCAAGCAAUGUAACUUAGUGUAAGUUGCGGGAUCUUGUAUUACGGAACGAGUAAAGAGACUUGCCGGUAAACGAGAUUGAAAUAGGUAUACAGAUACUGACGAUCAAAUCUCGGGCAAGUAACAUACCGAAGGACAAAGGGAAUGACAUACGGGGUUGUAUGAAUCCUUGGCACUGAGGUUCAAAUGAUAAUAUCUUCAUAGAAUAUGUAGGAUCCAAUAUGGGCAUCCAGGUCCCGCUAUUGGAUAUUGACCGAGGAGUCUCUCGGGUCAUGUCUACAUAGUUCUCGAACCCGUAGGGUCUGCACACUUAAGGUUCGACGUUGUUUUAUGCGUAUUUGAGUUAUAUGGUUGGUUACCGAAUGUUGUUCGGAGUCCCGGAUGAGAUCACGGAUGUCACGAUGGUUUCCGGAAUGGUCCAGAAACGAAGAUUGAUAUAUAGGAUGACCUCAUUUGAUUACCGGAAGGUUUUCGGAGUUACCGGGAAUGUACCGGGAAUGACGAAUGGGUUCCCGGAGUUCACCGGGGGGGGCAACCCACCCCGGGGAAGCCCAUAGGCCUUGAGGGUGGCGCACCAGCCCUUAGUGGGCUGGUGGGACAGCCUAAAAGGGCUCUAUGCGCCAAGAAGAGAAAAUCAAGAGAAAAGAAAAAAAAGAGGAGGUGGGAAGGAAGGGAAGGACUCCCUCCCACCAAACCAAGUCCAACUCGGUUUGGGGGGGGCAGUCUUCCCCCCUUGGCUCGGCCGACACCCUUGGGGCUCUUGAGCCCCAAGGCAAGGUCCCCUCCCUCCCACCUAUAUAUACGGAGGUUUUAGGGCUGAUUUGAGACGACUUUUCCACGGCAGCCCGACCACAUACCUCCACGGUUUUUCCUCUAGAUCGCGUUUCUGCGGAGCUCGGGCGGAGCCCUGCUGAGACAAGGUCAUCACCAACCUCCGGAGCGCCGUCACGCUGCCGGAGAACUCUUCUACCUCUCCGUCUCUCUUGCUGGAUCAAGAAGGCCGAGAUCAUCGUCGAGCUGUACGUGUGCUGAACGCGGAGGUGCCGUCCGUUCGGUACUAGAUCGUGGGACUGAUCGCGGGAUUGUUCGCGGGGCGGAUCGAGGGACGUGAGGACGUUCCACUACAUCAACCGCGUUCACUAACGCUUCUGCUGUACGAUCUACAAGGGUACGUAGAUCAGUCAUCCCCUCUCGUAGAUGGACAUCACCAUGAUAGGUCUUCGUGCGCGUAGGAAAUUUUUUGUUUCCCAUGCGACGUUCCCCAACAGUGGCAUCAUGAGCUAGGUUCAUGCGUAGAUGUCUUCUCGAGUAGAACACAAAAGUUUUUGUGGGCGGUGAUGUGCGUUUUGCUGCCCUCCUUAGUCUUUUCUUGAUUCCGCGGUAUUGUUGGAUUGAAGCGGCUUGGACCGACAUUACUCAUACGGUUACGAGAGACUGGUUUCAUCGUUACGAGUAACCCCGUUGCUCAAAGAUGACUGGCAAGUGUCGGUUUCUCCAACUUUAGUUGAACCGGAUUUGACCGAGGAGGUCCUUGGAUGAGGUUAAAUAGCAACUCAUAUAUCUCCGUUGUGGUGUUUGCGUAAGUAAGAUGCGAUCCUACUAGAUACCCUUGGUCACCACGUAAAACAUGCAACAACAAAAUUAGAGGACGUCUAACUUGUUUUUGCAGGGUAUGCUUGUGAUGUGAUAUGGCCAACGAUGUGAUGUGAUAUAUUGGAUGUAUGAGAUGAUCAUGUUGUAAUGGAAAAUAUCGACUUGCACGUCGAUGGUACGGCAACCGGCAGGAGCCAUAGGGUUGUCUUUAUACUAACGUUUGUGCUUGCAGAUGCGUUUACUAUUUUGCUAGGAUGUAGCUUUAGUAGUAAUAGCAUGAGUAGCACGACAACCCCGAUGGCAACACGUUGAUGGAGGAUCAUGGUGUGGCGCCGGUGACAAGAAGAUCGUGCCGGUGCUUUGGUGAUGGAGAUCAAGAAGCACGUGAUGAUGGCCAUAUCAUGUCACUUAUGAAUUGCAUGUGAUGUUAAUCCUUUUAUGCACCUUAUUUUUCUUAGAACGACGGUAGCAUUAUGAGGUGAUCUCUCACUAAAAUUUCAAGACGAAAUUGUGUUCUCCCCGACUGUGCACCGUUGCUACAGUUCGUCGUUUCGAGACACCACGUGAUGAUCGGGUGUGAUAGACUCAACAUUCACAUACAACGGGUGCAAAACAGUUGCGCACGAGGAACACUCGGGUUAAGCUUGACGAGCCUAGCAUGUGCAGACAUGGCCUCGGAACACAUGAGACCGAAAGGUCGAUCAUGAAUCAUAUAGAUGAUAUGAUUAGCAUAGGGAUGCUUACCACUGAAACUAUACUCAACUCACGUGAUGACCGGACUUGAGAUAGUGUAGGUGGAUCAUGAACCACUCAAAUGACUAGAGAGAUGUACUUUUUGAGUGGGAGUUUAGCAAAUAAUUUGAUUAAGUUGAACUCUAAUUAUCUUGAACAUAGUCUUAGUCCACUUUGAAUAUAUUUGUGUUGUAGAUCAUGGCUCACGCGACAGUCAUCCUGAAUUUUAAUACGUUCCUAGAGAAAGCUAAGGUGAAAGAUGAUGGAAGCAACUUUGUAGACUGGGCUCGUAAUCUUAAGCUAAUCUUACAAGAUGGGAAGAAGGACUAUGUCCUUAAUGCUGUGCUAGGAGAUGAACCACCCGUUACGGCUGAUCAGGAUGUUAAGAACGCUUGGUUAGCACGUAAGGAGGACUACUCAAUAGUUCAAUGUGCAGUCUUGUAUGGCUUAGAACCGGGACUUCAACGUCGCUUUGAGCGUCAUGGAGCAUUUGAGAUGUUCCAGGAGUUGAAGUUUACCUUUCAGAAGAACGCCCGGAUCGAGAGGUAUGAGACCUCCGAUAAAUUCUAUGCUUGCAAGAUGGAGGAAAACUCGUUUGUCAGUGAACAUGUGCUCAAAAUGUCUGGGUACUCAAACCGUCUAGCUGAGCUGGGGACUGAACUCCCGCAAGAGGCUAUCACUGACAGAAUCCUUCAAUCACUGCCGCCAAGCUAUAAAGGCUUUGUGUUGAACUACAACAUGCAAGGGAUGAACAAGUCACCCGGCGAGUUGUUUGCGAUGUUGAAAGUCGCAGAGUCUGAACUCCGUAAAGAGCAUCAAGUGUUGAUGGUGAAUAAGACCACUAGUUUCAAGAGAAACGGGAAAGGCAAGAAGGGUAAUUUGAAGAAGAGCGGCAAGCCUGUUGCCAAUCCGCUGAAGAAACCCAAAGCUGGACCUAAGCCUGAAAGGGAGUGUUACUAUUGCAAGGGUAUGGGUCACUGGAAGCGCAAUUGCCCCAAGUAUCUGGCAGAUAAGAAGGCGGCCAAAGAAAAAUCAGGUAUAUUUGAUAUACAUGUUAUUGAUGUGUACUUAACCGGCUCUCGUAGUAGUGCCUGGGUAUUCGAUACCGGUUCUGUUGCUCAUAUUUGCAACUCGAAACAGGAACUGCAGAAUAGACGAAGGCUGGCGAAAGAUGAAGUGACGAUGCGUGUAGGAAAUGGUUCCAAGGUUGAUGCAAUCACCGUCGGCACAGUGUCACUUCAGUUACCGUCAGGAUUAGUGAUGAACUUAAAUUAUUGUUAUUUAGUGCCUGCGUUGAGCAUGAACAUUAUAUCUGGAUCUUGUUUAUUGCGAGACGGUUACUCUUUUAAGUCAGAGAAUAAUGGUUGUUCUAUUUCUAUGAGUAACAUCUUUUAUGGUCAUGCACCGAAUGUGAGAGGAUUGUUCAUAUUGAAUCUUGAUAGCGAUACACAUAUACAUAACAUUGAGACCAAAAGAGUUAGAGUUAACAAUGAUAGCACCAUAUUUUUGUGGCACUGCCGUUUAGGUCAUAUUGGUGUAAAGCACAUGAAGAAACUCCAUGCUGAUGGACUUUUGGAGUCACUUGACUUUGAUUCACUUGACACGUGCGAACCAUGCCUCAUGGGCAAGAUGACUAAGACUCCGUUCUCCGGAACAAUGGAGCGUGCAAGUGACUUGUUGGAAAUCAUACAUACCGAUGUGUGUGGUCCGAUGAGCGUGGAGGCACGUGGCGGAUAUCGUUAUUUUCUCACCUUCACUGACGAUUUAAGUAGAUAUGGUUAUGUCUACUUGAUGAAGCACAUGUCUGAAACAUUUGAAAAGUUCAAGCAAUUUCAGAGUGAAGUGGAAAAUCAUCGUAACAAGAAGAUCAAGUUCCUACGGUCUGAUCGUGGGGGUGAAUAUCUUUGUUUCGAGUUUGGUACUCACUUAAGACAAUGUGGAAUUGUUUCACAGUUAACACCGCCUGGAACACCACAGGGUAAAGGUGUGUCCGAACGUCGUAAUCGUACUCUAUUAGAGAUGGUGCGAUCUAUGAUGUCUCUUAGUGAUUUGCCGUUAUCGUUUUGGGGUUAUGCAUUAGAAACAGCUGCAUUCACUUUAAAUAGGGCACCAUCAAAAUCCGUUGAGAUGACACCAUACGAACUGUGGUAUGGCAAAAGGCCAAAGUUGUCGUUUCUUAAAGUUUGGGGAUGUGAUGCUUAUGUCAAAAAGCUUCAGCCUGAAAAGCUGGAACCCAAAGCGGAAAGGUGCGUCUUCAUAGGUUACCCAAAAGAGACAAUUGGGUACACCUUCUAUCUCAAAUCUGAGGGCAAAGUGUUUGUUGCUAAAAACGGAGCUUUUCUCGAGAAGGAGUUUCUCUUGAGAGAAUUGAGUGGGAGGAAGAUAGAACUUGACGAGGUUGUCGAACCUCUCAUCCCUCUGGAUGGUGGCGCAGGGCAAGGGGAAACCUCUGUCAUUGCGACGCCGGUUGAGGAGGAAGUUAAUGAUGAUGAUCAUGAAACUCCAGUUCAAGUUUCUGUCGAACCACGCAGGUCGACGAGACCACGUGGUGCUCCAGAGUGGUACGGUAAUCCCGUCUUAUCAAUCAUGUUGUUAGACAACAAUGAACCUGCGAAUUAUGAAGAAGCAAUGGUGUGCCCAGAUUCCAACAAAUGGCUAGAAGCCAUGAAAUCCGAGAUAGGAUCCAUGUAUGAGAACAAAGUGUGGACUUUGGAGGUACUACCUGAGGGUCGCUAGGCUAUUCAGAACAAAUGGAUCUUUAAGAGGAAGACGGACGCUGACGGCAAUGUGACCGUUUAUAAAGCUCGACUUGUGGCAAAGGGUUUUUCACAAGUUCAAGGAAUUGACUACGAUGAGACAUUCUCACCCGUAGCGAUGCUUAAGUCCGUCAGAAUCAUGUUAGCAAUAGCUGCAUUUUUCGAUUAUGAAAUCUGGCAGAUGGAUGUCAAAACGGCGUUCCUUAACGGUUUCCUUAAGGAAGAGUUGUAUAUGAUACAACCCGAAGGUUUUGUCGAUCCUAAGAAUGCUAACAAGGUGUGCAAGCUCCAGCGAUCCAUUUAUGGACUGGUGCAAGCAUCUCGGAGUUGGAACAAACGCUUUGAUGAGGUGAUCAAAGCAUUUGGGUUUAUACAAGUGGUUGGAGAAUCUUGUAUUUACAAGAAAGUGAGUGGGAGCUUUGUGGCGUUUCUAAUAUUAUAUGUGGAUGACAUAUUACUGAUUGGAAACAACGUAGAGUUUUUGGAGAGCAUAAAAGGUUACUUGAAUAAAAGUUUCUCUAUGAAGGACCUAGGAGAAGCUGCUUACAUUCUAGGCAUUAAGAUCUAUAGGGAUAGAUCAAAACGCUUGAUAGGACUUUCACAAAGCACAUACCUUGAUAAAGUUUUGAAGAGGUUCAAAAUGGAACAGUCCAAGAAAGGGUUCUUGCCAGUUUUACAAGGUGCGAGAUUGAGUAAGACUCAGUGCCCAGCAACUGAUGAAGAUAGAGAGCAUAUGCGCUCCGUCCCCUAUGCUUCAGCCAUAGGUUCUAUCAUGUAUGUAAUGCUGUGCACUAGACCGGAUGUUAGCCUGGCCAUAAGUAUGGCAGGUAGGUUCCAGAGUAAUCCAGGAGUGGAUCAUUGGACAUCGGUCAAGAAUAUCCUGAAGUACCUGAAAAGGACUAAGGAGAUGUUUCUCGUGUAUGGAGGUGACGAAGAGCUCGCCGUAAAAGGUUACGUCGAUGCAAGCUUUGACAAAGAUCCGGACAACUCUAAGUCGCAAACCGGAUACGUAUUUAUUCUUAAUGGGGGUGCGGUAAGCUGGUGCAGUUCCAAGCAAAGCGUCGGAGCAGAUUCUACAUGUGAAGCGGAGUACAUGGCUGCCUCGGAGGCGGCUAAAGAGGGUGUAUGGAUGAAGCAGUUCAUGAUGGAUCUUGGAGUUGUGACAAGCGCACUGAAUCCAAUAACCUUGUUCUGUGACAACACGGGUGCCAUUGCCUUAGCAAAGGAACCACGGUUUCACAAGAAGAUCAGACACAUCAAACGACGCUUCAACCUCAUCCGCGACUACGUCGAGGGAGAGGACAUAAAUAUAUGCAAAGUGCACACGGAUCUGAAUGUAGAAGACCCGCUGACUAAACCUCUUCCACGGCCAAAGCAUGAUCAACACCAGAACUGUAUGGGUGUUAGAUUUAUUACAAUGUAAUUCACAUGAUGAUGUGAGGGCCAGAUUAUUGACUGUAGUGCAUGUGGGAGAUUGUCUGAAUUAUGCCCUAGAGGCAAUAAUAAAUAUAGUUCUUAUUAUAAUUCCUGUAUCAAGAUAAUCGUUUAUGAUCCAUGCUAUAAUUUUAUUGAAUGAAGACUCAUUUACAUGUGUGGAUACAUAGACAAAACACCGUCCCUAGCAAGCCUCUAGUUGGCUAGCCAGUUGAUCAAAGAUAGUCAGUGUCUUCUGAUUAUGAACAAGGUGUUGUUGCUUGAUAACUGGAUCACGUCAUUAGGAGAAUCACGUGAUGGACUAGACCCAAACUAAUAGACGUAGCAUGUUGAUCGUGUCAUUUUGUUGCUACUGUUUUCUGCGUGUCAAGUAUUUAUUCCUAUGACCAUGAGAUCAUAUAACUCACUGACACCGGAGGACUACUUUGUGUGUAUCAAACAUCGCAAUGUAACUGGGUGACUAUAAAGAUGCUCUACAGGUAUCUCCGAAGGUGUUAGUUGAGUUAGUAUGGAUCAAGACUGGGAUUUGUCACUCCGUGUGACGGAGAGGUAUCUCGGGGCCCACUCGGUAAUACAACAUCACACACAAGCCUUGCAAGCAAUGUAACUUAGUGUAAGUUGCGGGAUCUUGUAUUACGGAACGAGUAAAGAGACUUGCCGGUAAACGAGAUUGAAAUAGGUAUACGGAUACUGAUGAUCAAAUCUCGGGCAAGUAACAUACCGAAGGACAAAGGGAAUGACAUACGGGGUUAUAUGAAUCCUAGGCACUGAGGUUCAAACGAUAAGUUCUUCGUAGAAUAUGUAGGAUCCAAUAUGGGCAUCCAGGUCCUGCUAUUGGAUAUUGACCGAGGAGUCUCUCGGGUCAUGUCUACAUAGUUCUCGAACCCGCAGGGUCUGCACACUUAAGGUUCAACGUUGUUUUAUGCGUAUUUGAGUUAUAUGGUUGGUUACCGAAUGUUGUUCGGAGUCCCCGAUGAGAUCACGGACGUCACGAGGGUUUCCGGAAUGGUCCGCAAACGAAGAUUGAUAUAUAGGAUGACCUCAUUUGAUUAUCGUAAGGUUUUCGGAGUUACCGGGAAUGUACCGGGAAUGACGAAUGGGUUCCGGGAGUUCACCGGGGGGGGGGGGGCAACCCACCCCGGUGAAGCCCAUAGGCCUUGAGGGUGGCACACCAGGCCUUAGUGGGCUGGUGGGACAGCCUAAAAGGGCUCUAUGCGCCAAGAAGAGAAAAUCAAGAGAAAAGAAAAAAAAGAGGAGGUGGGAAGGAAGGGAAGGACUCCCUCCCACCAAACCAAGUCCAACUGGGUUUGGGGGGGGAGUCUUCCCCCCUUGGCUCGGCCGACCCCCUUGGGGCUCCUUGAGCCCCAAGGCAAGGUCCCCUCCCUCCCACCUAUAUAUACGGAGGUUUUAGGGCUGAUUUGAGACGACUUUUCCACGGCAGCCCGACCACAUACCUCCACGGUUUUUCCUCUAGAUCGCGUUUCUGCGGAGCUCGGGCGGAGCCCUGCUGAGACAAGGUCAUCACCAACCUCCGGAGCGCCGUCACGCUGCCGGAGAACUCUUCUACCUCUCCAUCUCUCUUGCUGGAUCAAGAAGGCCGAGAUCAUCGUCGAGCUGUACGUGUGCUGAACGCGGAGGUGCCGUCCGUUCGGUACUAGAUCGUGGGACUGAUCGCGGGAUUGUUUGCGGGGCGGAUCUAGGGACGUGAGGACGUUCCACUACAUCAACCGCGUUCACUAACGCUUGUGCUGUACGAUCUACAAGGGUACGUAGAUCACUCAUCCCCUCUCGUAGAUGGACAUCACCAUGAUAGGUCUUCGUGCGCGUAGGAAAUUUUUUGUUUCCCAUGCGACGUUCCCCAACAAUAGUUUAGUGAGUGUUCACAAUCAUAGAUGGUGUCAGAGAUGAUAUAUUUAUAUGUGAACCUCUCCUUUUUAUCACUUCCUAUUAAUUGCAACAAUGACCAAGGUCUAUGUUUUCCUACCCUCAACAAGUUUCAGUCCUCAUUCUUUUUAAAAUGUGAAGCCAUCACUUCCCAUAAGAUCAUUACAUGAUCUUUCAUGCUUUUGUUCUAUUCUCACUCUUUUGAUCAUGGCAAGAGGCAAAGCCCUUCAACUAAGACACUCUUUAUUAGCUCACAAGCAAGAAUACAUCAGGGGUGACACAAAGCAAAACUCAAGACUAAAACACUAAGACUUUUAAACUACUAGAGAAAAAGCAAACUAAAAAGGAAAACUAAAAAAAGGUAAAGGCAAAAGAUGUGAUGGUGAUACGAUACCGGGGCAACUCCCCCAACCUUGGCACAAGCCAAGCGGAUUGCCCAUACCAAUGCUUAGUUGUCUUCCUUUGGUGGUGAAGGUGGAGGAGCUAUUGCAAUCUUUGACUCCAAGAGGGCCAUUAAUCUUUGAUUUAUACCUUGGAGAUCUUCGAUAUGUUUUUCCAGCAAAACAACUUCACGAGUGAGACAAGUAUUGCGAGCACGAGUUGUUUCACAGAACCUCAAGAGUUCAAUCAAAGAUGGAGAAAGUAGGUGGAGGUAGGGUUGGAGGAAAUCCACUUCUUCAACUUCUUCCUUGUUGAGCACAGAUUGCACUUCGUCCCAUGCCUGAUCCUUCUCCUUAGCUUUGCCCUUGGUUUCUUUAGGUAGCCUUUCCUUAGCCUCCAUGACCUCCAUCCUUUACAGAUCAGCAUGAACUUCUCCAUAGAUUUGACGGAGGUUGUUCUCCCCCACAGAUUCCUGGGAUGACAUCUUGACCUAGAUCUGCGGCAGAAAACAGGCUUGAAACGAAAAACAGAGGAAAUCUGCGUGAUGCACGGGUCAGACCAAACGGGAGUAUAUAUAAUGAUUUUUUUCAGACCAAAAGGAGUACCCUGAAUGAAAAUGUAGUCCGGGAAGCGCACGAGGUGGCCACAAGCCCUCACGGUGCGGCCAGGGGGUGGGCCCGCGCUGUGCAGGCUUGUCGCCUCCUCGAGCACUUUUCGGACUACUUCCAAUUUUUGUAUUUUUGCAAAUAUUCCAAAACGGAGAAAAAUUCCUAUUGGAAAAGUUUUGGACCCUGUUUUCUUACCGAAUCACAUACCUCUUCGUUUUCGGAGUCUGAAACAGGCUGAUAAAUACCCCUUUGGUAUUCUUCCGGAGUUAUUGUAUUGAUGAUAUUGCUUUCAACAUUUAUGGGAGUACCUCAAAUAUAAUGCUUGAUUCUCUACCCAUUUACAACUCUCGGACAAUUACCUUCCGUGUUGUUGAUCUUGAUAGCACCGGAACGAUAUACUUCCUCAACAACAUAGGGACCUUCCCAUUUAGAGAGAAGCUUGCGUGCAAAGAAUCUUAAACGAGAGUUAUAUAGCAAGACAUAAUCACCUACAUUGAACUCACACUUUUGUAUCCUCUUAUCAUGCCACCUCUUAACCUUCUCUUUGACCAACUUGGCAUUCUCAUAUGCCCGAGUUCUCCAUUCAUCAAGCGAGCUAAUAUCAAAUAACCUCUUCUCACCGGCAAGUUUGAAAUCAAAGUUGAGCUCUUUGAUUGCCCAAUAAGCUUUAUGCUCUAGCUCGAGAGGUAAAUGACAUGCUUUACCAUACAACAUUUUGUACGGAGACAUGCCCAUGGGAUUCUUAUAGGCAGUUCUAUAAGCCCCAGUGCAUCAUCGAGCUGCUUAGACCAAUUCUUUCUAGACCUGUUGACAAUAUUUUGCAGAAUCAGUUUAAUCUCUCUAUUACUUAGCUACAUUUGACCACUGGACUGAGGGUGAUAUGGAGACGCAAUUCUAUGGUUGACAUCGUACUUAGCAAGCGUUUUACGAAAAGCACCAUGAAUGAAGUGUGAACCACCUUCGGUCAUUAGAUAUCUAGGGACUCCAAAUCUAGGGAAGAUAACUUCUCUCAGCAUCCUCAUAGAGGUGUUGUGAUCAACACUACUAGUGGGGAUAGCUUAUACCCACUUAGUGACGUAAUCAACAACAACUAGGUUAUGAGUAUACCCGUUGGAUUUUGGAAAAGGUCCCAUAUAAUCAAAGCCCCAAACAUCAAAUGGUUCAAUGACAAGUGAAUAGUUCAUAUGCAUUUCGUGACGUUUGCUAAUAUUACCUAUUCUUUGACAUUCGUCACAAGACAAGACAAACUUACGGGCAUCCUUGAAGAGAGUGGGCCAAUAGAAACCUGAUUGCAAUACCUUGUGUGCAGUUCUAUCUCCCGCAUGGUGUCCUCCGUAGGCCUCAGAGUGACACUUCUGUAGGAUCUGUCCCUGUUCAUGUUCAGGUAGACAACGUCUAAUAACACCAUCUACUCCUUCCUUAUAAAGGUGAGGAUCAUCCCAAAAGUAGUGUCUCAAGUCAAAGAAGAAUUUCUUCUUUUGCUGGUACGUGAAACUAGGUGGUAUAUAUUUGGCAACGAUAUAGUUCGCAUAAUCAGCAUACCAUGGUGCACUACGUGAAGCAUUGAUGACAGUCAAUUUCUCAUCGGGAAAGCUAUCAUCAGUAGGUUGUGGGUCAUCAAGAACGUUCUCCAACCUAGACAAGUUAUCUGCUAUGGGGUUAUCAGCACCCUUUUUGUCGACAACGUGCAAAUCAAACUCUUGUAGCAAGAGAACCCAUCUGACAAGUCUAGGUUUCGCGUCCUUCUUCUCCUUGAGGUACUUAAUAGCAGCUUGAUCAGUGUGAAUAGUGACUUUGGAAUAAACUAUGUAAGACCUGAACUUUUCACAUGCAAACAUGACUGCUAAAAACUCUUUAAUGAACCUUCUUAUACCUUUGAUAUCUGUGGGGUAUGGCAUUUUCUCGAUUGCAUCAACCUUAGCCUUAUCGACUUCAAUACCUCUUUCAGAAAUUUUAUAUCCUAAGACGAUGCCUUCAUUAACCAUAAAGUGGCACUUCUCCCAAUUCAAGAUAAGAUUGGUGUCUUUACAUCUCUGUAAGACUCGAUCAAGGUUGCUGAGGAAAUCAUCAAAGGAAGAUCCAUAAACAGAAAAGUCAUCCAUGAAAACCUCAACAAUCUUUUCACAAAAGUCAGAGAAUAUAGCCAUCAUACAUCCUUGAAAGGUGGCAGGUGCAUUACAUAAGGCAAAAGGCAUACGUCUAUAAGCAAAGGUACCGAAAGGGCAAGUGAAAGUGGUUUUCUCCUCAUCAGAUUGUGCAACUGGUAUUUGGGAGAAACCAGAAUAACCGUCUAGAAAGCAGAAGUGUGUGUGUUUAGACAGCCUUUCUAGCAUUUUGUCCAUAAAAGGCAAAGGGUAAUGAUCUUUCCUAGUGGCCUUAUUCAAUUUCCUAAAGUCGAUCACCAUCCUAUAGCCAGUAAUAAUCCUUUGUAGGAUCAAUUCAUCCUUAUCAUUAGGGACAACGGUAAUGCCUCCUUUCUUAGGGACGCAAUGCACCACACUCACCCAAUCGCUAUGAGCAACAGGAUAGGUAACACCCGCUUCCAGGAGCUUUAGUAUUUCUUUUCUUACUACUUCUUUCAUCUUAGGAUUUAAUCUCCUUUGAUAAUCAGCAACUGGUUUGAAAUCAGGAUCAGUUUUAAUCUUGUGCUGGCAUAGAGUGGGACUAAUGCCCUUAAGAUCAUCAAGAGUAUAUCCAAUAGCAGCAUGGUGCUUUCUCAAAGUUUUUAGUAACUUCUUUUCUUCGUGCUCUGAGAGGCUAGCACUAAUAAUGACAGGAUAUAUCUCUUUUUCAGCAAGAUAGGCAUACUUCAGAGUAUGAGGCAACUGUUUAAGCUCGAACACAGGAUCACCCUUUGGUGGAGGUGGAUCCCCAAGAAGUUCAACAGGCAAGUUAUUCUUAAGGAUAGGAUAUUGUUCUAACACAACUCUAUCUAUCUCAUCCCUUUCAUCCAUAUGCAUAUCAUUUUCAAGCUCAAGCAAGUACUGCUCUAAGGGAUCAGUAGGAGGCACGACAAUAGAAGCUAAGGCAAUAGUUUCAUCCCUACUAGGCAACUCCUUUUCAUGAGGUUGUCUACCAAACUUAGAGAAAUUGAACUCAUGUGACACACCUUCAAAGCCAACAGUGGCAGUUUGCUUCUCACAAUCAAUAUGAGCAUUGACAAUAUUGAGGAAGGGUCUGCCAAAUAUGAUCAUACAAAAGCUAUCUUGUGCGGUAGCAAGAACGAGGAAAUCAGCAGGAUACUUCGUUUUACCACACAAGACUUCAACAUCCCUAACAAUUCCCACAGGGUAGAUAGUAUCUCUAUUGGCAAGCUGAAUAGUGACAUCUAUAGGUUCUAUCUCAACAGGUGCAAUCUCAUCUUUGAUUUCAUCGUAUAAGGACCGAGGUAUUGCACUAACACUAGCACCCACGUCACAUAAGCCAUGAUAACAAUGAUCUCCUAUCUUAACAGAAACCACAGGCAUGCCAACAACAGGCCUGUGUUUGUCUCUAACGUGAGGUUUAGCAAUUCUAGCAGCAUCUUCACAGAAGUUAAUAUUAUGUCCCUCAACAUCGUCGGACAGAAGAUAUUUGAUAAUAGCAAUGCUAGGUUCAACUCUAACUUUCUCAGGCGGUGUAGGUGUUCUAAUAUAGCCUCUACGUAUCACAGUUGAAGCUUUAGAAUGAUCCUUUAUCCUAACAGGGAAAGGUGGUUUCUCAAUGUAAGCACUGGGAACAACAGUAUCAUUAUAGGCAAUUUCUUUCUCUUCAACUGGAGUGGGUUUAACUACAUUGACUUCUAAAGGAGGAUGAAAUUUAAACCACUUCACUUUGGGAAGAUCGAUAUGAGCAGCAAAGGAUUCACACAAUGAAGCUACUAUCUGAGAGUCAAGUCCAUACUUAGCGCUAAAAUCACUAAAGGUAUUUGUCUCAACAAAGGAUUUAACGCAAUCAAACGUGAAAUUCAUACCUGACUCCUUACCUUCUUCAAGCUCCCAAUCUUCAGAGUUGCGUUUAAUUCUCUCCAAUAAAUUCCAUUUGAAGUCAAUAUCUCUCUUCAUAAAAGAACCGGUAGAAGAAGUGUCAAGCAUGGUGCGAUCAUCAUGAGAAAGCCGAGCAUAGAAGUUCUGAAUGAUAAUUUCUUUCGAGAGCUCAUGAUUGGGGCAUGAAUAUAACAUUGAUUUAAGCCUCCCCCAAGCUUGAGUGAUGAUUUCUCUGUCACGAGGCCAAAAAUUGUAAAUAUAAUUCCUAUCACGAUGUACUAAAUGCAUAGGAUAAAACUUUUGAUGAAAUUCCAAUUUCAACUGAUUGUAGUCCCAUGAUCUAGUAUCAUCACACUAGUGGAAUUUGCUGGUUUGCCGACAGCCAGAGCUGACGGCAAAGGACAGUUUAACUGAUGGCAAAGGCUUUGCCGUCAGUGAGCUGUCGGCAAAGGUGUCGGCCAAGAUUUUAUCGGCAAUCACCUUCUUUGCCGACAACCGGAGCUCCACUGACGGCAAAGACUUUGCCAUCAGCUUUGUGGCACGGGCUGACGGCAAAGAGCAGUGGCGGCAACGGCGCAGGCCGAGCUCCGUUAGAAGGUUAACGGCAGGCUUUGCCCACAGCCAUAGCAAAGCUGAUGGCAAAGCCUCCCCUCUUUGCACACAGCCGUAGCAGAGCUGACGACAAAGCCCAAACACCUGGGUCCCCUUGGCCGCCUCUUUGCCGACAGCUAGAGCCCAGCUGACGGCAAAGCCUACCCCUGGGUCCCCUUGGCCGCCUCUUUGCCAACAGCUUUGUCCCAGCUGACGGCAAAGCCGAAAAAUUGGUAUUCCCAGAGUUGCCAGAAUGCACAGGCUGCCGCCACGUGUCUUCUUUGCCGACAGCCCACCGAUGGCAAAACCUUUGCCGUCAGUGAGCUGUAGGCAAAGACCCUCUUUGCUUUUUUUUCAUAUUUGUUUUCUGUUAAUUCCCUGCAUUUGCAAAACAUAGAUACAAACAACAACAUAUAUAUAUUGAAUCUGCCCCUAAAGAGCACCACAAGUGCAUCACAAAGUGCAAACAGCACAACACAAGUGCAAACAACACGAAUAUAUGUCAUUAAAGUGCAAACAAGAUCACAAAGUAUUACAAAGCAUCACAAGUGCAUCCACAAAUACAAUUGCAUUACAAAGUUCAUCUAGGACUACACAAGUGCAUUACAAAGUCUCGAGCAUCCAUCCAUAUGCCAUGCUGCUUUAUCAAAAUCUGCAUAAUGAGAAAGAAUUGAGAAGAAGAAUACAAUAAGAAAGAAGUUAUCUAAAUUAAGCCAGGCAAUUAGAAGAAGAAGUGGAAGAAGAAGAAGAAGAAAAUAGAGAAAAAGAAAGAAGAAAAGUUAUCUUUUUCUCCUCUUUCUUCUUCUCUUAUUUCUCCAUCUCUUGUUUGUUCUUCUCUUCUCGUUUCUUUUAAAACUUUCUAAACUACUUAUGUCAUUUUUGAGCUCUAAUAUCAAAUAGAAUUUACUAAGCUAACUAAACCAUGGCUAAUAUGAACUAGAAUUUACUAAGCUAACUAAAGCCUGGCAUAACCUAAGUUGAUCUAAACAAUAAGAAGAAUAAGAAGGAGAGGAAUAACUUACCAAAUGCCAGGAAACAAAGGAGAAGCUGCAUCUCCGUUGGUCGCUGGGUUGCUAGGGAUCUCACCAGGAGAAGUACAGGGAUCGUGGGAUUCAACUCUUGAAUGAUGCUGCAACAAGGCAAGAGUUAAAAUAUGUGGUUAGCACGGCAACAGACAAUGGUAUAAGACCGUGCAAGGUUGGUCAUUGAAAGGGAACUCACCAUUCCCACCGGAGAAGGCAUCGGCGGAGGGGGCGGAAAACCUUGCUUCUCACACAUAGCCUGCAAAUUAGUUUUCGAGGAGUCAAAGAAAUAGCCUUGUUGCGUAUCACACAUGGCCUUGCUUCUCACACAACUGACUUACCGCAACGAAGUCGUGCAUGGCCUUCGCAUGGGCAUUAUUGCGUGCCCUCUCCUCGUCAAGCAACCUCUGCGUAUUCCGGUCCCUCUCCUCCAACAAGAGCCUGGUGGCCUCCCUCUCCUUCAUAAGUGCGGCCUGCAACCACUCCUCAAAAGGAAUUUUCAUCAUCCAUCCAGGGACAAAAGAACGAAAGAACUAAUGAAGAAAACUAACCUCGAUGGCAAGAUCAACUGGCCUCGCGCGUUGCCGUAUUGCAGGAGCGGAGCUCGUUUGCCUCGACUUGAUCUGAGAUAGAGUCUCAGUGAUAGGGACGAAGCCAUCACACAUGGCCAGCGUGCCAUGACUCUUACCGCCACCAGAGAUCAUUAACGCCUCUGGAUCGAUAGGAUUCUGGCUCGGGUCAAAGUCAGGCCCGCGCAGCUGUUUGACCACCUCAGAAUAAGACGUCAUCUUGUUGUAGGUGGACAGGCUUGUGUAUGCCGACGGCCCGCCCCCCUCAGAAUAUGCCUUCCCGUCUCGUACGAGCCCUUAUGGGCCAUGCUAAACGCGGCGUAUCCCUCAGGCUCGGGCUGGUUAUUGUGUUUGGCCUACACAAAAAGACAAAGAAUUAGUACAACAAAAAUCAUGAACGAACGAAUUAUUGAUGAAACAAAACAAGGCGCACAUACCCAUUUUUUGGCGUAUUGCUUGAUGUUGGCAUUGCCUUGGUGGUGUGGCACACCAACCAAUUGGGCACGACGGUCCUUGGCCAUAGUGUGGGUGCUCAACCAAGCCUCUGUGCACCACCUGUCCGCUAUCAUCUCCCAACAAUCCAUCUUAUCGGCCAACCAUCUCGGGGGCACCUAUGAAUGUAAGUUAAUGAAGAAUGAAACUAAGUAUUAUAACUAAAUAGACCUAACUAGCCCUAAGAAUUGAUCUUUGGAAUGUACAUACCUCCAUGUACUCGGUCUUAUCAUGGAAAAUCUUCCGACAUUCAGUCUUUGUCUUCGGCUCCCCUUGCUUGGCGUACCAAUCUCGAACAGCCUGAACACGCAUUUCGUGCCUCGUGUUAUUCAAUAAACUCUUGCACUCUUUAACGAGGUUCUUCUUGGCCGCCUCCUCCGUCCCCUCCUCGACCCUAAAGUGACUCUGCAAUUAAGCCAAAUAGAUGCACACAUGAAUAGUGAAAUGAUUUGGAAGGAAAUAACAAUAUAUAACAUUGUAUACUUUUUAUUGGGUAAAAUAAUAGUUACCCAAAAAUCAGCCAACACCUUGUCGACCACGCUCAAGCAAACAACACCAUUGACAUGUGUUUUUUCCGGGAGCAGAGCGGCUUGGUAGUGCUCCCAGUUGAGUCCUGGCUCGGGAACCAUACCCUCACCGGGCAACUGCACUAUCCCGGGGAAGUGCUCCCUAAGUAAAGCACCAAGGAGGCAGUUUGGAUUCCGGGUAUUCUGCGGGUAAUCCCACCCCCUACAUAAUGAUAAGGCAAAGACAUUAGCUACUUGGUGAAAUAUAAUGAUAUAAGGUACACAAUAUAUAUCAACUUACUUCUCGCCUUCUGGCUUAAUUAACGGCCUGUGCUGCAAGUCCAAUCGGUCUGGAACUCGUGUCAUACCACGUUGGUAGACCGACUUGCUGGCAGCCACCUCAGCCUCCGCCUCAGCACCCUCCGCCUCAGCCUCCGCCUCAGCACCCUCCGCCUCAGCACCCUCCGCCUCAGCCUCCCCCUCAGCACCCUCCGCCUCCGCCUCCGCCUCAGCCCCCUGCAUCGGUGUCACCUCCUGGAUGGUAGGAUCCCGCACCGGCGACACCCUCGUCUGCAAGGGUGAAGUGGCCGAGGGUGGUGGCGACUGGCUCCUAUCAUGCAGCCUCCCUCUCCCACGACCAUGUCCUCUGCCUCUCUUCUUUCCUACGCCUCUCCCACGGGGCUCCUCGGCAAAGCUCUGCAACAAAGUUCUCCGUAGCUGCCCAGGUGCUAUCCUCAACUUAAACCCGCCUGCCAUGUCUCACCACCUGUAACGAUAAAUAGUUAAAUAAUUAGUACAAAUUAAGGACAAUAAUUAAGUGAACAAUGAUAAAUACAUGAAUAAUUCAACUAAUAAUUGAAUAAUUAAACAACAAUGUUUGGAUGCAUACAAAGUACUAAUAGUCUGGAUCAUCUGUCUCUUCUCCAUGGUCAAUUGAAGAAAAAUCAUCAUCAAUAUCACACGUGUCGUCAUGACUGUUAUCGUCAUCGGGUUCAAGGACAUCAUGUGGAAGGCCUUUUUGUAACUGAUCAAGCAUUGAUAGCUCAUCGGCAUUGGUAACUUCUUCUACUUCCACUUCUUCCUCAUCAUCACGUGAGUCUUGUUCCAACGUGUUCAGGGUGGACGUAGAGCAGUUUCGGAUACGACGUCUGACACCACGUGAUUCUUGGAAAAAUUCUCCAUCAUAUGUUAUUGGGUCAAUUUGAGGUUCAUAAUCGUCUUCAUUUUGGGGAGGUGGUCUAAGAUGUGGCAUCAUAGUGUGCUGUUACGAAAUUUGCCGCCUCCUCGGUAAUGAACGCCUCGGCCAUCGAUGCUUCAAUUCUACGUUUAUUUUUACAUUUUCCUCGAAGUGUCUUCUGCAUUCUUUCAGUUGCGUAGCACCAACGAUUUUGCACGGGGCCACCCAAUCUUGCCUCGGUUGGGAGAUGCAAAAUCAUGUGUUGCAUCGGAUUAAAGAAGCCCGGUGGAAAAAUCUUCUCUAACUUGCACAGAAACUCAGGCGCCAACUCUUCCAUGUCAUCUAUCAAGGCACGCGACAACUCUUUAGCACAAAGAACAUGGAAGAAAUAGCUCAACUCGGCCAAUACUAGCCAUUCAGCCUCGGGGAUAUAGCCACGAACAUCACCGGCAUUAUCCGCUCAAGCCAUAUGUGCCAAUCAUGACUCUUGAGCCCAAAAAUUUUCAUUUUUUCAAUGCUCGCUCCCCUCGCUAGAUUCGCAGCAUACCCAUCGGGGAACAACAACUUUUUUUGCACCCAUAAGAGGAUUUCCCUUAUUGCUCCCUUCUCAAGAUUGUACGAGGCAGGUGGUUUGGACCAAUUUUUUCUUCCUUUCGGUUCUCGCAUGUUUAGUGAUGGCCUAUCACACAGAGUCUCCUGGUCAACUCUAGCCUUUGUAUUAUCUUUGCCCUUAUUAGUGCCAAAAAAUGUGCCAAGAAGGGCCUCGGCAAUAUUCUUUUCAGUGUGCAUCAUGUCAAUGUUGUGUGGAAGUAAGAGGUCUUCGAAGUAGGGGAGAUCCCAGAUGCAUGGCUUGUGGGUCCAGGCGUGUUCCUCAUUAUAACCCACGAAAUACCCUGGACGGUUUGGAUCAGGCUCCAUAGAUUUUAACUGUUCAUUAAUUUGUGCCCCCAUCAACGCAGGUGGUGAAGAGUGUUUGACAACUUUACCUUUCAUGAAAUUCUUCUUGUCUUUUCUAAAUGGAUGGUCCAUAGGCAAGAACUGUCUAUGCAAGUCAAAGCAGGAAUACUUCCCACCCGCCGUCAACCAAUGAAACUUAAGAGCUGCCUUGCAUUGUGGGCAUGGGAACCUUCCAUGCACACACCAGGCAACGAAAAGCGCAAAUGCUGGCAGAUCAUGCAAUGAGUAUUGGUACCAAACAUACAUUUGAAAGUUCUCUUUCUUAGCUGCGUCAUAUGUGUUGACCCCAUUCACCCAAGCUUCUUUCAAGUCAUCCAUCAGCGGUUGCAUGUACACACUCAUAUUCUUCCCCGGGUAUUUUGGCCCUGGAACUAUCAACGUCAGAAAUAUGUGCUUUCUUUGCAUAAUGGAUGAUGGUGGAAGAUUAAGGGGAAUGACAAAUACAGGCCAACAACUAUAUUGGGUAGCCGUCAUACUAAAAGGAUUGAACCCAUCGAGGCUGACGGCGAUUCGACAAUUCCUUGGUUCUUUAGCUUUUUCCUUAUGUAUACUAUCGAAUGCCUUCCAUGUGUCACCAUCUAAAAGGUGUACCAACAUCGGAACUCCGUGUUCAUCUAAUUCUUUCCUAAUUCCAUAUUUGUGCCAUGUCAUAUGUUUUGUUGUUUCUUCGAGCAUGUAAAGUCGUUGAAGUCUUGGUAGGAUCGGCAGAUACCGUAGGACACUCACGGGGAUUUUUCUCUGCUUCUUCUCACCUUCACCGUUUUCUACCUCAACAUAUCUGGAGGACUUGCAAAAUGGACAAUAUGUUUCCUCCGCAUACUUUUUCCUAAAUAAGGCACAUCCCUUCUCACAAGCAUGUAUCUGCUCAUACGGCAUCUUGAGUGCACUAAGGAUUUUGUUUGACUCAUAUAGGUUUGAAGGCAUAAUAUGACCUUCUGGUAGAAAGCGCCCAAAUAGGGUCAUCACUGAGUCAAACAGAUCUCUUCCAAUGUUGAACUGGGCUUUCAGAGCCAUUACUUGUGCGAUGGCAUCUAGCUGAGAAAUCUUAGUGUGCUCGUGAAGAGGACGUUUUGAAGACUCCAACAUGGCAUAGAAGGCUUUCGCGGAUUCCUCCAUCUCUUCGUCCUUGUUCCGAGCAUCAUCAAAGUCAUUCACCAUGUCUUCAAUCCCUGUACCAUGAUCAUCGGUGCGCCGACGCAACACCUCGUCUCUGUUACGUUGGGCCGACUCACCAUGAAAUGUCCACAAGGUAUAGCCGGGAGUAAAACCACGCAUCUGCAGGUGUUUACCCAUUGCAUCCUUUGUCUGUUGCGAAUAAUUCUUGCACUUAGUGCAGGGGCACCAUGUUUUUGGCUGGCCUUUAGAAAACGCCGUUUCCACGAAUUCAUAGGUUUUGCUCAACCAUUCAUCGGUCAUAUCUCUCUGACUAUGGUGACCGGUGUACAUCCAUUCACGAUCAGUCAUUCUGGCAAGCUAGCUACAUAGUAUCCACAUAUAAAACAAUAUAAAAUAUCAAUUCAUCAAGUAUGUUAAAUUAAUUAUGGCCAUUUUUUAAUCAUGGUUAAUACAUUGGGAUGCACGGCAUGCACACCUACCAGCUACUAGGUAAAGAUGGGUCCUAAUCCCACUCGAGUAUGUGUAGAUUGGGUCAUUUCCCACUGCUCUGCUCCCGACCCAACGCAAAAUUUCGGCAGCACCUCCGCGCUGUUCUCCUGAUACACGUCUCGGCAACUAACCGAGAGGAUGUGUACCCGGAGAACAACAAGGAGGAGCUGUCGAAACUCUGCAUGGGAUCAGGAGCAAAGCGUGGGAAACGACCCAAUCUACACAUACCCAGGCUGUCCAUGGAUAACGUUGGACAAUUCGAAAGAAUCACCGUUAUAAAUAUGCAAAUGCAUGCAUAUUUAUGACAGGAACCCUUUUGAACGGGAGACGCAUAUUGGUUACGCAACACCUUUGCAUUUUAAUACUAAAAAUACCUAGCUAGAUAGUGUCAUCAGCACGAAGGCCGGAACAGAGCAAAACAGAGGGGGCUGAGGAGGAGUUAACAAAUGUGCUCACUUUCGAAUGCAGGGGAGGUCGUCGAAAACCAAUCCCUCGCGGAGAAGCUACUGCAUAUUUAAAUGCACUCAAUCAACACAAAUACGCACUCGCGGUAAUUAAGCUAACUAAUACUAACAUCUAUCAUUUAAAUGCAUUUUUCUAAAACUCUGAAUCUCCAUAUCUUUACAUGCGAAAUACUUAAAUUUCAUUGCUAAAUUGUGAUCUUCGGGGGCAUAAUUCAUAGAGUUCUCCAAAACUACUUUGAGUGUGAUGCAUUCAGGUUUGUUGUGUAGAGCUAAUAUUACUUCCCCUAUUUUGUAGAUUAAUAAAGUUCUUCGAGUAAUCUAUACUUAUACUAAUUAGGGGCUCCCAAGAAAUUCCUACAUUAAUUAGAAAUUAGGAGCCGUUAAUCUGGUGGGACCAAGUUAUUACGGUGUAGAUUACUCUAUAUAAUAUGAAGUUUGCAAUAUAUAUUAUGUUAUUUUUAUACUAUGGAAAUACCAGAUAUUUCCAAUUCAAUCUCUCACAUAUCCGUUUUUGUCAGUUACACAUCCCUCACGUAUCUCUGUCUCAAAAAAUAAUAUCUCUAACGUAUCUCUCUCUCUCUUAACAUAUAGUCCAAGUUUUUCUACAACUGCACCACGUUCUACAUCAAACAUAGUCCAGCCAGUACAAUAGCGCCUUCUCACUCCUGGAAACAAAUAUAGGCUGCUCUGAUCCUCUGCCUCACGCACUCCUCUCCAGCACACAUUCUAUCCUAGGCCGGCUGUCACCUUGGGAUAGGGAAAGAUUGAUCCAGGUUUGAUCUACUUAUAAUUUUAUCCUUGCUUUAUUCCUAUUUAGAUGAUUAGACACACUUCAUACUGCAUGGAUGCGAAUUUCGGCAAUUCGAUCAUUGAUGCGUUGUGCUCUACUAUGAUGUAGAUCAUAUAUGCGACAUGUGAGCAUGUACGCUGGGUAGGCUCUCAAAGCUAAUUAUUUCUUCAUCUCAGUAGUACCAGGAAACAAAAUUAAUUACCUUCUGUUCUCUGAAUUUGUUCCCCUCUCAGUCAAUCUUCUCUAUUUUGCCACGGCCAUAGCUUUUACAUAAUGUAUAGUAGUGAAUGCGAGUAUAAUAUGGAACGACCAGCUCAUCCUUCAUAUUAAAAACCUUGAUUUUAAUUAACUAUUAUCUCAAUCAAUCUAAAACUUCCCAUAUAUUAGCUUAAUUUUUUUUUGAUUUGUUCGAUCAACCUACGUUAACUGUCCCGAUUUAAUAUACCAAUUUUGGUAUACAGAAAAUAGUAAGAACAAAUUCUAACCUGAGAUUUUAUACUCCAAAAUAAAAUCUAACCUAACUUCAUAUAUUCCGUUUCCCUGCAUAUUCACGUACAAGUAUUAUACCGAACCUGGCGCGGACGGACCGGCAGGANNNNNNNNNNNNNNNNNGCACGGGACGGUGAGACAGAGAAGGCGCGGGGAGAGAGAGAAGGCACGGGGGGAUAAGGCAGGUAUAUGGGGUUAGCCUCUUUGCCCUCAGCCAGCUGUCGGCAAAGACAGCCGUUAGUCUUUGCCCUCAGCUGGCUGUCGGCAAAGAAGGCCCCCUUUUUUUUUCUGGCCGAGGCGGCGACUGGGUUAGCCCCUAUGCCGUCAGCCUUCCUAUGCCGACCGCUUUUUUGUCCUUUGCCGUCAGCUGGCUACCGGCUUAGAUAAACCGGACGGCAUAGAUUUUAUUUGCCGUCAGCCCCUCCUAUGUCGUCAGCAUUUAUUUUGGCUGAGGGCAAAGUCUCUUUGCCGUCAGCCCCGUAAAAUUGCUGACGACAAAGCUUAAAGCUGUCGGCAAACUAGCAGAUUCCAGUAGUGUCACAUAACCUAUACCAUGUCAACGCCUUAUCCUUCAAAGAUAAAGGAAAGACCUUCUUCUUGACCUCAUCCUCGGGCACCCCUGCAAGCUUAAAUAAACCACAAACUUCAUCUACAUAGAUCAGAUGCAAGUCUGGAUGUCAUGUUCCAUCUCCUGUAAAAGGAUUAGCCAGCAGUUUCUCAAGCAUACCCGAAGGAAAUUCAAAGCAAAUAUUUUUAGUAGGUGCAGCAGGUUGAGGAGCAACUAUCUGUGCUUCCGUUCAAGGUGAAGAUACCCCAAACAAGCCCCUCAAAGGCUUAGUAUCCAUAGUGACAAGUGACAAUAAAUUUCAGCACACUAUAUGAAUGUUUCCUUACCAAGUUCCACUUACCAAAGGCGCUUCACCUCCCGGCAACGGCGCUAGAAAAGAGUCUUGAUGACGCACAAGUAUAGGGGAUCAAUCAUAGUCCUAUCAAUAAGUAAGAGUGUCGAACACAACGAGGAGCAGAAGGAUCUGACAAGUGGUUUUCAGCAAGGUAAAAUCUACAGGCACUGAAAUUGUCGGUAACAAGUGAUUGUGUGGUGAGAUGAUUCGUAGCGACAAACAAGUACCAAAAGUAGCAAAGGUGCAUAAAAGGGGCCCAAUCCCUUCUGUAGCAAGGGACAAGCCCGAACAAAGUCUUAUAGGAGGAAAAACGCUCCCGAGGACACACGGGAAUUUCUGUCAUGCUAGUUUCAUCAUGUUCAUAUGAUUCGCGUUCGUUACUUUGAUAGUUUGAUAUGUGGGUGGACCGGUGCUUGGGUACUGCCCUUACUUGGACAAGAAUCGCACUUAUGAUUAACCCCUCUCGUAAGCAUCCGCAACUACGAAAGAAGAAUGAAGACAAAGUCUAACCAUAGCAUUAAACUAGUGGAUCCAAAUCAACCCCUUAUGUAGUAACGAAUAAACUAGGGUUUAAGCUUCUGUUACUCUAGCAACCCAUCAUCUACUUACUACUUCCCAAUGCCUUCCUCUAGGCCCAAAUAAUGGUGAAGUUCUAUGUAGUCGACGUUCACAUAACACCACUAGAGGAAAAACAACAUACAACAUAUCAAAUUACCGAACGAAUACCAAAUUCACAUGACUACUAUUAGCAUGACUUACCCCAUGUCCUCAGGAACAAAAGUAACUACUCACAAAGCAUAAUCAUAUUCAUGACCAGAGAGGUAAUGAGUAGCAUCAAGGAUCUGAACAUAAACUCUUCAACCAAGUAAUCCAACUAACAUCAACUACAAAGAGUAAUUAACACUACUAGCAACCUUACAAGUACCAAUCGGAGUCGGGAGACGGAGAUUGGUUACAAGUGAUGAAAUAGGGUUUGGAGAUGAGAUGGUGCUGAUGAAGAUGUUGAUGGUGACCAGUCCCCUCCGAUGAGAGGAGUGUUGGUGAUGACGAUGGCGACGAUUUCCCCCUCCGUGAGGGAAGUUUCCCCGGCAGGAUCGUCCUACAGGAGCUCUAGAUUGGUUCUUCUCAAGUUCCACCUCGUCGCCGCGGAGAAACCACGAAAAAGCUCCUCCGUGAUUUUUUCCUAGAAGAAACCCUUCAUAUAGCAAAAGAGGGGGCAAGUGGGCCUGCAGGGUGCCCACAAGCCCCCAUGGCGCGGCCUAGGGGUGGUCGCGCCGUGCAGGCUUGUGGCCACCUGCACACCCCCCUCUGGCACUUCCUCGGCCCAGUAUUUUUGAUAAACCAGGAAAAAAAUCCUCAUUGAUUUUUACGGCGUUUGGAGUUGCGCAGAAUAGGUAUCUCAACUUUGCUCCACUUUCAGGCCAGGAUUCGAGUUGCCGGCAUUCUCCCUCUUCAUGUAAUCCUUGCAAAAUAAGAGAGAAAAGGCAUAAGAAUAGUACCGCGAAGUGAAAUAACAGCCAAAUAAGCGAUAAAUAUCAACAUGAAAACAUGAUGCAAAAUGGACGUAUCAACAACUUACUUGAGGGAUCUUAUUCAAUCCAUAGGUAGGUAUCGUGGACUCUCAUGGCAAAACUGGGUUGAAGUUUUAUGGAUGCACAAGUAAUAUCUCUACUUAGUGCGAAAGUUUUGGCUGAUAUGAGGUGGAAGCAAGCGUCACAUGUUAACGGAUCUCUAGUCAUAUAACAUUGCUCGGAAAAAAGCAAACAUAAUUCAUUAUGUUGUCUUCCUUGUCCAACAUCUACUUCUAAGCAUGUAAUAGUUUAAUGAGUGUUCAGAAUCAUAGAUGGUGCCCAAGAUGAUAUAUUUAUAUGUGAACCUCUCCUUCUUUUUUCCUUCCUAUUAAUUGCAACAAUGACCAAGGUCUACGUUUGUCCACCCACAACAAGUUUCAAUCAACAUUCUUUUUAUAUGUGAAGCCAUCACUUCCCAUAAGAUCAUUACAUGAUCUUUCAUGCUUUUGUUCUUUUAUUAUCUUUUGUUUAGAUCAUGGCAUGAGGCAAGGCCCUUGACUUAAACACUCUUUAUUAUAUGACUCACGAACUCGAUUAUAUUAGGGGUGACACAAAGCAAAACUCAAGCCUAGAUCAUACUAAGAACUUUAUUCUACUAGAGAAACAUAAAACCAAAAAGGAUCGAACUAAGAAAAAGGUAAAGGAAAAAGAUGUGAAGGUGAUACGAUAUUGGGGCAAUUCCCCCAAGCUUGGCACACGCCAAGGGGAAUGCCCAUACCCGUGCUUAAUUGUUUUCCUUCGAAGGUGAUGGUGGUGGAGUUGUUGCAAUCUGGGGUUGAUUCGCCGUCUUCCAAGGCAUAGGCGCUCCAUCAUGGAAAGAUGAUCGUGUCUCCGGAAUCCUCAAAUCUGCAGUGAACUGUAUUGAUUUAAAUCUAUACUCAUACUCACAGUUUUGGUUCUGCAGGUCGUAGAUCUGGGCUUGGAGGUGAUCAAUUCUGUCAUAGAGCCUCGAGAGGUGCUUCCCGAUGUCAUUGGCAUCGAUCUUGUGCUUGUUGGUGAACUCCGUGCUCAUCAUGUGGUUGGCGUUGAGUCCGCGUUCCACCAUUCCUUAGCACUUGAAGACUUGCUUCUCCAUUGCUUCGAGCCUCGCCUCCAUGCUUCCGGUCUUCAUGGGCCCCUCAACAUCACGGAUGUGCAGCACCCCCUCAUGCAUCUCCAUAGAUUGAGGGUGUUGCAGCACGCCCGCGAGGUAGGGAUUGAUGACCUUCUCCAAGAACUUGUCCUUCGAAACUUUUGGGGUCGCCAUAGCGAUCUAGAUCUGCCUGCACAGUAGCUCGAAAUGAAAACAGAGGAUCUUUGCGUGAUACGAGGGUCAGACCUUUCGGGAGAAUAUGUAAUGAAUUUUUCCCGACCCAAAUGAGUACUACGCAAGAAAACAGAGUCUGGGAGGCACAAGAGGUGCCCAGAAGCCACCCAGGCGCGGCCAGGGGGUAGGCCACGCCUGGUAGGCUUGUCGCCUCCUCGUGUGCUUUCCGGACUACUUUAAUUUUUUCUAUUUUUCUAAAAAUUCCAAAACGGAGAAAAUUGCUACUGGAAAAGUUUUGGAGUCGGUUUAUGCUACUUCUCAAACAACAGCGCCAGAAUUUGACACUUUGACGGAGACUUGCUUGUGUUGGUUUUUCCCUUGAAGAGGAAAGGGUGAUGCAGCACAGGAGCAGUAAGUAUUUCCCUUAGUUUGAGAACCAAGGUAUUAAUCCAGUAGGAGAAUCUCAUCAAGUCCAGACUACCUGAGCAAACACAAAAGAGCUUGCACCCAACACUAUAAAGGGUUGUCAAUCCCUUCAAGAUUGAUUGCAAAGUGAGAUCUGAAGGCGGAACGUGCAACGAAGAAAAAGAGUAAGGCUGAAAAUAUGGUGUGCAGUAGACCCAGGGGCCAUAGUGUUCAGUAGAGGCUUCUCUCAAAAUAGCAAAUAUUACGGUGGGUGAACAAAUUACUGUCGAGCAAUUGAUAGAACCGCGCAAAGUCAUGACGAUAUCUAAGGCAAUGAUCAUACAUAUAGGCAUCACGUCCGAGACAAGUAGACCGAUACUUUCUGCAUCUACUACUAUUACUCCACACAUCGACCGCUAUCCAGCAUGCAUCUAGUGUAUUGAGUUCAUGACGAACAGAGUAACGCCUUAAGCAAGAUGACAUGAUGAAGAGGGAUAAACUCAAACCAAUGAUGAAAACCCCAUCUUUUUACCCUUGAUGGCAACAACACGAUGCGUGCCUCGCUACCCCUUCUGUCACUGGGUGAGGUCACCGCACGGUAUGAACCCAAAACCAAGCACUUCUCCCAUUGCAAGAAUCAUAGAUCAAGCUGGCCAAACAAAACCCACAACUCAAAGAGAAUUACAAGGAUAUGAAAUCAUGCAUAUAAGAGAUCAGAAGAAACUCAAAUAAGAUUCAUAGAUAAUCUGAUUAUAAAUCCACAAUUCAUCGGAUCUCGACAAACACACCGCAAAAGAAGAUUACAUCGGAUAGAUCUCCAUGAAGAUCAUGGAGAACUUUGUAUUGAAGAUCCAACAGAGAGAAGAAGCCAUCUAGCUACUAGCUAUGGACCCGUAGGUCUAUGGUGAACUACUCACGCAUCAUCAGAGAGAUCAUGGUGUUGAUGAAGAAGCAUUCCGUAUCCGAAUCCCCCCUCUGACAGGGCACCAGAACGUUCCCCAGAUGGGAUCUUGCGGAGAGAGAAACUUGCGGCGGCGGAAAAGUACUUUCGAUGAUCUCCUGAUAUUUUUUGGGAUUUUAGGGAAUAUAUAGGCGAAAGACCUAGGGCAGAGGUGGCCGAGGGAGCCCACAAGCCUGGGAGGCGCGGGCCCCCUUGGCCGCGGCUAGGCAGCCAGAUUCUCAGGCUUCCCGAUCUUCUUCUGUUUUGGAAAAAAUAUUUUUGGAAGUUUCGUUCCGUUUGGACUGUGUUUAAAAUCUUCCUCUGACAGGGGUCAAAAACAUGGGAAAAGAGGAACUGGCACUUGGCACUGAGUUAAUAACUUAGUCCCAAAAAAAGGUAUAAAAGGCAUACACAACAUCCAAAGUUUGAAACUAGUAGAAGACAGGGCUACCGUUCGGCCCUGGCCAGCCCAUUAGUCCCGGUUCUUCAAGAACCGGGACCAAUGGGGGGGUAUUAGACCCAAUUCGUGAGCCCAGGGGGCCGCCCAGGGCCUCGUGGGCAUUGGUCCCGGUUCGUGUGGAACCAUUUGUCCUGGUUCGAGCCACGAACCGGGACCAAUGGUCCUCGCGGCUGGCACACAACCUUUAGUCCCAGUUCAUGCCACGAAUCGGGACAAAUGACUUGCCUACAUAUAUAAGCACCGCCGCGGCAGAGCACUCCACAGUUCUCUGUUUUUGUCGAGCCGGCGAGGGGAGGGCAUUUGGGUGCUAUAGGUCACCUCCUAUGCACAUGAGGUGUUCGAUGAAAUGCACGAGCCACACUAGUUAAGCUUUCUCCUCUUGAAACUCGACAUCCGAGCUCCAUUUUCAACGAGACUUGUCUAGAUUCAACGGUCCGUCACGCCCCGUCUCCACCCCGUCUUCACCGCCGUCGAUCACCCACGCCGAUCUCGUUGCGGACACCACCUUGGUGAGCCUCUUGUUCUUAUCUUCUUUCUGAAAGAAAAAAAUUCUGACUUGAGAUAGAUACUUGUCGAAUUUUCUUACUUUUAUUAUUCCUUGUUAUUAUAUAGUGCGAUGGUUUUGGUAUCCGCUCCCGUCGGCCCUCGUCCUGUCUAUGAUUCAGAUGUGGUAUAUAUUAUCUUUUCAUAACUAUUUGGUUCAUUUAUUGUUUAUGACAAUUAUGAUGACCAACGUGACAUAUAUUUUUAAUCUAGGAGGUAUGUGAACCAGAAAUUCCAGCCCACCUAGAAAUGCUUCUUGAGAACUUAACUUUGGUUGAAAAAGAAAAAAAAUACUUGAAGGAAAAAUUGAAAAUAAUUGAGGAUAAAAAUAUGGAAAUGGAGUUGCAUGUUGCCGAGGUCAUUGACGAUCGCAAGAUGAAGAUCGAUGCGAUGCGGUUGUUGAUGGAUGCAAUGCGCUUGAAGAUGGAUGAAACGCGCUUGAAGAUUAUGAAUAUUAGAAAAUAUGCCAUUGAUAAAGAGGCUUGGUAUCAUUAUGCUGUUGGGUCAAUUGUUACCUUACUUGCAAGAUUGAUCGCGUUUGUUGUUGCAUUUAAAUGUUUUACAUAGUUGUAUGUUGUUUUAUGAGAGAACUUUAUGUAUUUAUUUUUCAAUAAUAACAUUUGAUCACUAUUGUGCGUUGGUUUUAAUGUGAUGAUGAACUUGUAUUAAUUUUGUAAUUUCUCUAUUCAUUUUGUUCUGCAAUGGUUUUUUGAUUAUAUACUUAAUUUCAUAAUAGAGAUGAAACGCCAAUGGAUGUACGGUGACCGACGCACUUUGGAGUACAUUAUGAACCGGGACUAAUGCCCGAGUCGAAAAGGGUUGUAAAUUGAUGAUGUGGCUUUGAAUGGUGCAUUUUGAAUACAGAAAACUAUGGAGUUCAAAUAAGUUCAAAAAAAUGUAAUCCCUUUGUAACAAACGAGUUUCCGUAUGAAACCGUGAUACUUCGAAAGAGAUUGUCCGUUUUGUACACGAAGUGCAUCCAGUUUUUUCCGUAACCCUCUCAACUUUCUCGCACAUGCUAUGUGGGUGAAAGGAUGAUACCAUGCCAACUUGGAACCUUUUCAGAGUUCAUUUCAAAAGCUUUUCUAUUUCAUGGUCUUAUAGCUCAAAAUAAUCAGCAAAUACAUGAAAAAUAACAAAUGAAGUCAGAAAGGGUUGUAAAUUGAUGAUGUGGCUUUGAAUGGUGCAUUUUGAACAUAGAAAAACUAUGGAGUUCAAAUAAGUUCAAAAAAAUGAAAUCCCUUUGUAACAAACGAGUUUCUGUAUGAAACCCUCAUACUACGAAAGAGAUUGUCCGUUUUGUACACGAAGUGAAUCCAAUUUUUGCCCUAACCCUCUGAACUUUCUCGCACAUGCUAUGUGGGUGAAAUUAUGAUACCAUGCCAACUUGGAACCUUUUCAGAGUUCAUUUCAAAUGCUUUUCAAUUUCAUGGUCUUAUAGCUCAUAAUAAUCAGUAAAUGCAUGAAAAAUAACAAAUGAAGUCAGAAAGGGUUGUAAAUUGAUGAUGUGGCUUUGAAUGGUGCAUUUUGAACACAGAAAAACUAUGGAGUUCAAAUAAGUUCAAAAAAAUGAAAUCCCUUUGUAACAGACGAGUUUUCGUGUGAAACCGUGAUACUUUGAAAGAGAUUGUCCGUUUUGUAGAUGAAGUGCAUCCAGUUUUUGCCGUAACCCUCUCAAGUGUCUCACACAUGCUAUGUGGGUGAAAUAAUGAUACCAUGCCAACUUGGAAACUUUUCAGAGUUUAUUUCAAAUGCUUUUCAAUUUCAUGGUCUUAUAGCUCAUAAUAAUCAGUAAAUGCAUGAAAAAUAACAAAUGAAGUCAGAAGGGGUUGUAAAUUGAUGAUGUGGCUUUGAAUGGUGCAUUUUGAACACAGAAAAACUAUGGAGUUCAAAUAAGUUCAAAAAAAUGAAAUCCCUUUGUAACAGACGAGUUUCCGUAUGAAACCCUGAUACUUCGAAAGAGAUUGUCCGUUUUGUACACGAAUUGCAUCCAGUUUUUGCCGUAACCCUCUCAACUUUCUCGCACAUGCUAUGUGGGUGAAAUGAUGAUACCAUGCCAACUUGGAACCUUUUCAGAGUUCAUUUGAAAUGCUUUUCAAUUUGAUGGUCUUAUAGCUCAAAAUAAUCAGUAGAUGCAUGAAAAAAAACAAAUGAAGUCAGAAAGGGUUGUAAAUUGAUGAUUUGGCUUUGAAUGGUGCAUUUUGAACACAGAAAAACUAUGGAGUUCAAAUAAGUUCAAAAAAAUGAAAUCCCUUUGUAACAGACGAGUUUCCGUAUGAAACCCUGAUACUUCGAAAGAGAUUGUCCGUUUUGUACACGAAGUGCAUCCAGUUUUUAAUGUAACCCUCUCAACUUUCUCGCACAUGCUAUGUGGGUGAAAGAUGAUACCAUGCCAACUUGGAACUUUUUCAGAGUUUAUUUCAAAUCCUUUUCAAUUUCAUGGUCUUAUAGCUCAAAAUUAUCAGUAAAUGCAUGAAAAAUAACAAAUGAAGUUAGAAAGGGUUGUAAAUUGAUGAUGUGGCUUUGAAUGGUGCAUUUUGAACACAAAAAAACUAUGGAGUUCAAAAAAGUUAAAAAAAAUGAAAUCCCGUUGUAACAGACGAGUUUCUGUAUGAAACUGUGAUACUUCGAAAGAGAUUGUCCGUUUUGUACACGAAGUGCAUCUAGUUUUUGCCGUAACCCUCUCAACUUUCUCGCACCUGCUAUGUGGGUGAAAUGAUGAUACCAUGCCACCUUGGAACCUUUUAAGAGUUCAUUUGAAAUGCUUUUCAAUUUCAUGGUCUUAUAGCUCAAAAUAAUCAUUAAAUGCAUGAAAAAUAACAAAUGAAGUCAGAAAGGGUUGAAAAUGUAUGAUGUGGCUUUGAAUGUUGCAUUUUGAACACAGAAAAACUAUGGAGUUCAAAUAAGUUCAAAAAAAUAAAAUUCCUUUGUAACAGACGAGUUUCCGAGACUAAAGAUCCAGCGAAACCACGUGGCGUGACGCGCAAACACGUGGCGUGCCGUAUAUGUUAUUAGUCCCGGUUCAGGACAAAAACCGGGACAAAAUAAGCUAACUAGCACUUUGAAUUUAAGUAGAAACAAAACAAAAUAAACAAUACAAGAAAUAAAAGAAAAAAUAAUCAGUAAAUGCAACUAAAAUUAUCAAAGUAUUUUCUGUUAAAAAUCAUUAAAAGCAAAAAGAAUUUCAUAAAGAACUUUUUUUGUUAGAAACUUUAAUGGCAAAAAGAAUUAUCAUAAAAUAAAAAAAAUAAGUAAUUAGAAGCAAAAAAAUAAAAAAAAAGUAUUUUGUUGUAAGGAGAAACAAAACAAAAUAAGCUAACUAAAAAAUAAACAAAACAAAAAUAAUGGAAAAAAAUUAAAAAAUAGAUGUUGCUCUCCACGUUGCAGCCGCGGCGGAGCUUAUAAACAGGCUCGGAAGCCCUUCGCUUGGCGAGGUGGGACUAAAUACUCAACCGCACCACGGGUGUGGCAGGCAACCGGUACCAAUGCAAUAAAUAGAUAAAAUAAAUAAAGCAAAAAAGAAAACAACAAAAACUAGGAAAAAAAUAGCCACCAACUCGGCCACCACGGCGUGAAUACCACUAGAAACCCAUCUAUGGGCUAGGAUUCAGGCCCGCAGUAGGCCCAGAAGGCUCAUCACGCAAAGCAUUAGCAAGUAGGCCCGUAAGCCUGCAGUGGAGAGGAGCUCGAGAGGGGUGCGGCAGUGGGGCUUAUAAACCAGUGCGCUCCCCUCUCAACUAGCGAGGUUGGACUAAACUUUGGCCGCGACGCGGGCAGCACAAGGGCCUUUGGUACCGGUUUGUGGCACCAACCGGUACCAAUGCCCCCUUUAGUCCCGGUACCAAUGGAUUUGCUAUAUAACCAAUAGUUGUGACAUUUUUGUCAGUUUCUUCGAUUCGUCCGACGACGCCGCCAGGCUGCCCGAGCUCGCCGUCGUCGCCCUGCCCCCGACCAUGCCGCCGUUGCCCGGCCCGACCACGCCGUCGUCGCCCCUGCCCCCCGACCACACCGCGCGCCCUCGCCAUGCCUGUACCGCGCCCCUACCCGCCUCGUCGACCCCGUUGCCGCCCUUUGCCCCGUCGAUCGCCAUCGCCCCUGCCCCGACCACACCGCCGUCGUGGCCCUCUACACCGACGCCGGCGCCGUGCCUCUCCUUGGUCAGGCUGGCGCCGCCCACCCUGUCCUCUCCUUUGUUCAUAUAAAUGAUGAUUUGUUUUUUGCAUUUUUAUAAAUAUGUAUAUAUGUAUGUAUGUUCUCUGUGCAUAUAAAAGUUACAUUUUUAGUACAUUUGGGUACAUUUUAGGUUAAUUUUAUGUAUGUAUGUUCUUUGUUCAUAUAUGUUCUGUGAUUUAGUACAUUUUAGGUUAGUUUCAUUUUUAGAAAAGUUUUAUAUAUUUAGGAAAAGAAGGAAGAGAAGGAAGAAGGAAGAAGAAGAAAAAGUUUUAUAUAUGCAAAAGUUACAUUUUUAGAAAAGUAUUAUAUAUAGCUAGGAAGAUAACGAAGAAGAAGAAAAAGAAUGAGAGGAGAAAAAGGAAAAUAAGAAGAGGAAAAAGGAAGAAAAAGAAGAGGAGAAGAAGAAAAGAAUAGAGGAGAAAGAAGAAAAAAAUAGAAAUUUUCUAUUUUUUUUCUUCUUUCUCCUCUAUUCCUUUCUUCUUCUCCUUUUUUUCUUAUUUUUUUCUUCGAUUGCUUCUCUUCUAUCCCUUUCUUCUUGUCCUCUUUUUAUUUCUUCUUUUGUCUUCUUAUUUUUUAUCGGGUAUGUCGUUGUCGAUAUACCCCCUCCCGAUCGAACUUCAACACGAGGGGGCGGGGUACCGAUAUACCCCCUCCCCGAUAACAUUAUUUUCCCAUGUAUAUGUAUGUGGCAUCGUUGUCGAUAUAACCCCCUCCCGGAUAACUUCGACAUGAGGGGCGGUUGAUAUAUAUACCCACUCUCGACCAUGAUAACUUAUACCACGAGAGCACCCCCCUCGGCCCUCUCGCUCGACUAAUACUCUCGAGGACACCCAAACCCUAGAGAAAAAACGAUGUUGGUCUCCUAUCCCCUCCCGCCGCGCCCCUACCCGACAAACUCUCUCGAGGCCACCAAAAUUUACCAAGUUAAAAGAGCGUUGUCGUCGAGGCCACCCCAAACCCUUGAAGCGUUGUGUCGAGGCCACCCCAAACCCUUGAAGCGUUGUCUAGGCCACCCCAAACCCUAGAGAAGCAGCGUCGAGGCCACUAACAUGAUUCCUUAUUGUGAUUAGCUAGCUAGUUCUACGUUUGCCACUAAUAUAUAUCCAUCUGUACCAUGUUUGAAUAAUAAUUGACAUGUUGUAAAUAUUUGCAGAAACUAUGGAUCACUCCCGAGAUGAAGAGGAAGAAAUGAUGUUCGGGGAGAUAAUCGCACAAGGAAGUGAUGUCAUUGCGUCGUUUCUCAGAGACACCGAUGGCCUGGAAGGACCGGGUGAAGAAGAGGGCUAUGUUCAUGAUGAUUUGGAAGGACCGGGUGAAGAAGACGGCUCCGUUGACCGAACCGAGUCCGCCAGGUAUAUAUAUAUAAGUUAAGCCCGUGCUGACUAGUUAAUUGAUGCAUUCAUUGUUUUCAUAUGUACACAUAUUAAUUAACUCUCAUAUUUCUUAUUUUUUCUCUAGCCCUCCGGAUCGACGUCAACCUCGGUAAAGAAACGAGGCCCAAAGAAAAAGUUGCGCUCGGAUGAAAGGUUGGAGAUCACAGCAAUCGCGCGCGAUGGCAAGCCGAUUGAACCCAUCCGGACAAGGGAUGCAUUUCGUGCUCAGUGCGGGGUUCUUGUUAGGGACAAGAUCCCGAUCAGUAUCCAGCAAUGGUUAAAGCCAAAGAAGGAAGACCCUGAGGUGCCGACGUCUUAUGUCUCCGAUAAACAGAAAGAAGAUCUUUGGACAACGCAUAAGGAAAAUUUCACCCUACCGCCAGAGGAGGAUGCAGAGAAGCCAGUUAAAGAGGAAUUGAUCAAGUCUCAUGCUCUUAAGAAGAUGGCAGAACUAUUCAGGAAGUGGAAGAAUGAGCUGAAAACGUUUGUCGACAAAGAAGAGACAGCAGAAUUCAGCCGCCGGUUUGACAAGAUCAGAGAUCAAUGGCCCGCAUUUGUGGCCCACAAGACAUCAGAAAAGAGUAAGAAGAUGUCAGCGACAAACAAGAAAAAUGCUGCGAAGAAUAAGCAUCACCAUCGCACGGGGUCAGGUGGUUACCUCAAAGCCCGACCUUUGUGGGACAAGGCUGAGAAUGACCUGAUUGCUAAAGGGGUCGAACCAGAGACAUUGAGAUGUCCAGACCGUUGCCGGACUUGGUUCUUCGGAGUUGGCGGAACCUUGGACCCUAUAUCAAGGGAGUGCGUUUGGACGGAAGACCAACUGCGAAUACCCAUCAGGAACCUUCAGCACUAUAUCGUCGCAGCACAGGAAGGGGCGUUCAUUCCAAACACAGAGAAUGAUGAGCUCACAAUAGCCCUAGGGAAUCCUGAGCACCCUGGACGGACACGAGGCACACCAGGCUCCCUUCCUUGCAAGGAUGGGUUUCCGGACGCAUGGGGUUACAAAACCCAGGAGAGGAGGAAGAAAGCGGAGCAUAGCCAACUGCAGGCGCUGCACGAAAGGGUACAAGGGCUAGAGGAACGACAAGUAGAUCGCAGCAAACGACCUGCCGAAGCUUCCCCUGAAGUUACCCCGCCAUCUCAGCGGAGAAGCAGCGUGGCUUCCACCAAGCAGACUCAGCAGCUGGAGCCUGUCUUCACGUGCUACCCCGUGGAUGCUAUCACAGAGUCUCAACAUUUCUUCCUUAUGAUGCAAUGGAUGACAUUCAAUGUCAAGGCGACUGUUGUCUCUGUUAUACCUAAUGAACCUAGCUCAACCUACCACGGCCAGACGAUUCCAGAAGGAUAUGCUAGGGUGAUGGUGGAUCAAAUAACGGAAGGAUUUGAGGACCUUGAGCUUGACCACCCUACGGGUGAAGGGGAGAUUCGGCUGGGUUCUUCUCUGAAGACUCCAUGCCUAUGGUGGAAGGAUCUCAUCCACCUUCCAAACUGGACGUCUCCGCCUCCUCCUCCUCCGGUGAGUCAGGGCCCGCCUCCUCCGGCGAGUGAUCAGGGCACUCAGCCUCCUUCUCUGGCGCGUGACGGCACUCCGCCUCCUUCUCCGCCUGCGCCGGCGCACUCGAGCAGCCAGCUGCCUCCUCCUUCUCCGCCUCGUCAACAAGGGCCGAAGAGACCCGCCGCCGCUCCGGCUCCUCUGGCGCGUAGUCCUUGUCCUCUGCCCGGUAAGAAAGAAAAGACAAUCGCAACCGCUCCUUCUGCUCCGACGUGUAGUAGUACAGCCAGAGGCACGCAAUACAAAUACGGUCCUUCUCUGAAGCCUGUAGAGAAGUUACCAUACGAGAGGAGCACGGAGGAAAACGAGAAGAUCGUGGAAGCCGAAGUGAAGAAUUUCUUUGAAGGGGUGAAAGCAAAAAAACAUCUACCUCCGGAGGAGAAGAUAGAUCUGGUAAAAGCAAAGCGUACUCUGGCUGCCCUGAAGAAACCACCAAGGUCUCCGACAAAAGGCAACUAUGAGCGCAUUAUUACAAAGUCAUUUAUCGAAGCGCAGCGGUCGGGAAGUACUGUCAGUGAUCGAAGGUUAGCAGAACGACGAGCUGGGAAAAAAGUUGCCCAGCUCGGCGAACAAGCGAACCAAUCGUUCCCCCCGCUCAAGGUGUCUAGCGAUAUCGUCGCUAAUCAUCCGGGGAUCUUGUUGCCCGGUACCAAUCCUGCAGAUUACCUGCCGAUGAUGCACAUUUUGAUUUAUUGGAGGUGGACGAACACAAAUACGUGUACGGGAAGCCUCUCAUCAAAGAUGAAAGAUCUCUAACAACGGUGAUGCGAAGAUUCCAUGAUUGGUACAUGAAAACUUGCAAAGUGUCUGGGGGAGUAAUAUUUUGACGUUGGGAGUUAGAAAGGAGCAUGACCUCGUUGGACUUGAACUGUUGAUGGUUCCAUUUGAGGAGUUCUUCCCGUUUUUCAAUCUAAAGGCCCUCGAUAAAUUAAUGAUCACUUGCUACUGCCUAUAAGUAGUACUACUUCUGUCAUUAAGUCUCUAUAUAUACAUCAUCUCUUUCGUUGCAUGUAUUUUUAAUUAUUCUCACUAUAUUAUAUGCAGAUUGAAGAUCAUCGAAUUGAAGAAAAGACAAAUCGAUGAUAUUGGAUUCAUUAACACAAAUCUCGUAGAUGCAUUUAUGAUUAAAUCUCACGCCAAAGAUACCGAGGCCAACCUGCUACAAUCAUUUGUAUUGAAUCAAAACAAAGCUAUAAUACUCUUCCCUUACGAAUUCCAGUGAGUGUUACUGUCUUGUGCAUAUUCGGUUUCCCUUAUUAGUCAAGGUUAUAGUAAUGUAAUUGAUGAGGUAUGCAUGCGUGCGCAGCUUCCACUAUAUUCUCCUAGAGAUUAAGCUUGAGCAGGGACUAGUAACCGUCUUAGACUCGAGACGAAAAGAUCCCAACGAGUAUGCAGACAUGACUAAAAUUCUAGAGAAGUAAGUUAAAUCGAUCAUUAUCGCACCAUAUCGGCAACUUUGUUCAUUUCCUGAUAUCAAGUAAUUGUUUUCUUUGUCUGACAGGGUUUGGAAAAAAUUCACCGCAAAAACUCCGGGACUACCGAAGAAGCUGCAAUUUAGACACCGGAAAGUAAGUACUAUAGUAGCCUGUUCCACGCAUCUCGUAGUGAUUCAAGCGCUAGUUUCAUCAAUACCAUUGAGCAUGCUUGCUAACUAUCAGUUUGAUUGACCUCUAUUUCUUGUAAAGUGGUUGUGGCAGGAACCAGGGAAUGAUUACUAUGGAUACUACAUUUGCGAGUCCAUCCGCCACGUGACCUGCGAGCGGGGCUCCUCUGACAAACAAUAUGACGUGCGUAAAUAAUAAUAUUCACAAUUUUAUUUUAUUACCAUCAUUUGUGUUCAGUUUUAUUUAUACAUAUAUGUAUUGACCCCCUUCUUCAAAUUAGAUAUAUCGGAUGCGGAAUGAACUCCUACCAGUAGAUCGUAUGCGAGGAAUUCAAGAGGAAUUGGCGGCAUUCUUUCUUGACCAUGUGAUCGCUAAGGACGGAGAAUACCAUGUGAACCCUAAUGAGUUGAAUUUUAAUUAGGUGAUUAUAUUGUAAGAGAUAAUUAUAUUGUAUAUAUGUAGCCAGUAGCGUCUGAUAGAUAUAGGAGAACUUGUUGUUCGACCAAUCUCUCACAGAAGGAGAGGUGGUCGAUAUCACUUCUCUUUGUAUGCAUAUGUUCAUGACGAUCUUCUGUUUCCUUCAUUUGCUUACUAGCUAGCGUGUCUAGUCCUCUCUAUACGUAUAGUAUGCAGCAUCGACCAAGCACAGAGAUAAGAGAGGACACUUUUCUCUAUUCAUUAGCUAGCUAACACAAUAUAUGAAACACCUAAAUUAACCCCCCAAAACCCCCUACCCCCCCCCCUUCAAAAAAACACAUCACCUGAAAUGCUGACGCGUGGAUGCCUUUUGGUCCCGGUUGGUGUCACCAACCGAGACUAAAGGCCCCCCUGCCCGGGCUAGCCGCACCGGCCACGUGGAGGCCCAUCUGUCUCGGUUCGUGUAAGAACCGGGACUAAAGGCCAAGGGCAUUAGUAACGACCUUUUAGUCCCGGUUCCGAAACCGGGACAGAAGGCCCUUACGAACUGGGACAAAAGGCCGUUUUUCUACUAGUGUGACAAGAUAAUAGCAUGAAACCAUCAAAAAUUAUAGAUACGUUGGAGACGUAUCAAGCAUCCCCAAGCUUAACUCCUGCUCAUCCUCGAGUAGGUAAGUGAUAAAGACUGAAUUUUUGAUGUGGAAUGCUACCUAGUAUAGUUUUCCUUUGCAACUUCUUUCGUGUGAUAUGAAUGUUCAGAUCCGUAAUAUUCAAAACAAUAGUUUGCUAUUGACAUGAAAACAAUAAUACUUCAAGCAAACUAGCAAGGUAAUCAUGAACUUUCAAAAUAACAAGGCCAAAGAAAGUUAUCCCUACAAAAUCAUAUAGUAGAGCCAUGCUCCAUCAUCCUCACACAACUAAUGCAAAUCAUGCACAACCCCGGUAUUGGCCAAGUAAUUGUUUUCGCACUCUUACUUUCUAAAAACUUUUUAUAACUGUCACACAAUACAUGAGCGUGAGCCAUGGCUAUAGCACUAUAGGUGGAAUAGAGUGUGGUGGUGGUUGUGAGACAAAAAGGAGGAGAUGGUCACAUUGACUCGGCGUAUCAAAGGGCUAUGGAGAUGCCCAUUAAUAGAUAUCAAUGUGAAUGAGUAGGGAUUGCCAUUCAAAUGAUGCACUAGAGCUAUAAGUAUGUGAAAGCUCAAAAGGAUAACUAGUGGGUGUGCAUCCAACUUGCUUGCUCACGAAGACGUAGGGAAAUUUUGAGGAAGCCCAUCAUUGCAAUAUACAAGCCAAGUUAUAAAAUGAAGAUUCACACUAGCAUAUGGUGAUGACGAAACGAGAGGCUCUCAAUCAUGAAGAACAUGGUGCUAUUAUGAAGCACAAGUGUGGAAAAAGAUAGUAGCAUUGUCCCUUCUCUCCUUUUCUCUCUUUCUUUUUUUAUUAUUUUUUAUGGGCUCUUGGGCCUUUUUUUAUUUGGGCUCUUUGGCCUAUUUUUUUAUUUCCUAACAUGGGACAAUUCUCUAAUAAUGAUGUUCAUCGCACUUUUAUUUACUCGCAGCUCAAAGCUUGGAAAUGACUCUAUAGGAAAUGCCUCCGGUAGUGUACCGGGAUGUGCAAUGAUCUAGCUUGGCGUAUGACGUUGAAACAUCUCGCUAGCUAUCUUACGAUCAUGCAAUGACAAUAUGAGAGUGACGGCACAACUCAUGAGACGAAACGAUGGGAGUUGCAUGGUAAUAUAUCUCGGAAUGGCUAUGAAAAUGCCAUAGUAGGUAGGUAUGAUGGCUGUUUUGAGGAAGGCAUAUGUGGGGUUUGUGUACCGGCGAGAAUUGCGCGGCACUAGAGAGGUUAGCAAUGGUGGAAGGUGAAAGUGCAUCUAUACCAUGGGCUCACAUUAGUCAUGAAGAACUCACAUACUUGUUGUGAAAGUUUUUAUUGGUAAUCGAAACAAAGUGCUAAACGCAUACUCCUAGGGGAAGGGUUGGUAGGUGUUAACCAUCGCGCGAUCCCGACCUCAACACAAAGGAUGACAAUCAAUAGAUCAAUUAUGCUCCAACUUCCUAACAUAGCGGUUCACCAUCCGUGCAUGAUGCGGGAAUCACUAACUUCAACACAAGUAUUUCUAGAUUCACAACACCCUACUAACAUAACUGUUAAUAUUACUAAAUCCACGUCUCAAAACUAAUUGAGAGGAAUCAAGACUUCUCUUUCUACUCAAUGCACAUGAAGAUGGAGGUUUUUCUAUCCUCUUUGGGUACCUAUCACCUUUGGGACUACUUUCAUAGAAUAAGCCAACUACCAAGUCACGCACUGCCGUGCUCUAAAAGAUCUAAGUGAAGCACAUAGAGCAAAAUUAUCUACCUCAAAAGAUAUAAGUGAAGCACGAUGAGCAUUCUAGAAAAAUCACGAUGAGUGCAUGUCUUUCUCUAAAGGUGUGCAGCAAGGAUGAUUGUGACACAACAAAAAGAAAAUACUCCUACAAUACAAGACGCUCCAAGCAAAACACAUAUCAUGUGGUGAAUAAAAAUAUAGCUCCAAGUAAUGUUACCGAUGGAUUGAAGACGAAAGAGGGGAUGCCUUCCCGGGGCAUCCCCAAGCUUAGGCUUUUUGAUGUCCUUGAAUUUGGCUUGGGAUGCCUUGGUCAUCCCCAAGCUUGAGCUCUUUCCACUCCUUAUCUCUUUGUCCAUGAGAACAUCACCCAAAACUUGAAAACUUCACAACACAAAACAUAAACAGAAACUCGUGAUAACAUUAGCACAAGAAAACAAACUACCACCACUUUAGGUACUGUAGAAAUCUUGAUUCCUAUUUAUAUUGGUGUUAGAUUACUGUAUUAUCACUUUUUCAUGGCUAGUACCCCCUGAUACUAUCCAUAGCUUCAUCAAAACAAGCAACCAACUCAACAAAAAAACAUAAUCUGUCAAAAACAGACUAGUGUGUAGCAAUAUGUAUACUUUGUAUACUUCUGGUACCUCAAAAAUUCUGACAAAUUACUACUGCCUGGGAAAAAGGCAUUUAAACCAGCAAAAAAAGAAUCAACUCUAAAUAUCUUUCUGAAUACAAAUGAAAAAUCAUCUCAUGAGAGAAAAGUUUUUGUCAUUUUCCAUCAGGAUCAAACAACCAUCACCAAGACUAGUCAUAAAGGUUUUGCUUGGCUCAAACAAAAAAAUAAACACAAAAUACACAAUCAUAAGAAAAUUAUGAUGUUGUGGACGCAACAAAAUAGAAAGAAAAAGAAAUAAAUUCAUUGGGUUGCCUCCCAACAAGCGCUAUUGUUUAACGCCCUUAGCUACGCAUAAGGCGAUAGAAUCACGUAUCGUCGUCUUUGGUGCUCAAACCAUAAGUAGCCCUCAUCAUGGAUUCAUAAGGCAAUCUUAUUUUCUUUAUAGGAAAGUGCUCCAUGCCCUUCUUUAGAGGAAAUUGAAAUAUAAUAUUCCCUUCCUUCAUAUCGAUGAUAGCACCGAUAGUUCUUAGGAAAGGUCUACCAAGAAUAAUAGGGCAUGUAGGAUUGUAAGCAAUGUCAAGCACAAUGAAAUCCAUGGGUACAUAGUUCCUAUUUGCAAUAAUAAGAACAUAAUUGGUCCUUCCCAUGGGUUUCUUGACAGUAGAAUCCACAAGAUGCAAAUUAGGAGAACACUCUUCAAUCUCAUUAAAACCCAGAACAUCACAUAAAGACUUUGGAAUCGCGGAAACACUAGCACCCAAAUCACACAAAGCAUUGCAUUCAUAGUUUUUUAUUUUGAUUUUGAUAGUAGGUUCCCACUCAUCAUGAAGCUUUCUAGGGAUAGAGACUUCCAAUUCAAGUUUCUCUUCAAGAGAUUUUAUCAUAGCUUCGACGAUAUGAUCGGUAAAGUCCUUGUUUUGGCUAUAAGCGUGUGGAGAGUUUAGGAUGGAUUACAUCAAGUAAAUGCAUUCCACCAAGGAGCAACUAUCAUAAUUGAAUUCCUUGAAAUCCAUAGUAGUAAUUUCAUUACUACUCAAAGUUUUAAUAUUUUCUACUCCACUUUCAACGCUUUUAGCAUCAAGAUAGAUGGACUCCGAAUCAUUGGGGCGUUUUUCAACCAAAGUGGAUUCAUAUCCAGCCCCAUCAUCAUUAGGUUUGGCACAAUAAAACAAAGAUUCAAUGGGAGUCACACCAAGGACUUUAAGAUCUCCGUGAUUCUUAUCACGAGAACAUGCCUUUUUAAGCCAUUCAUGUAUAUCACAAAUUUGGGCGGUUCUUUCUUUGCUCUCACUCAUGGAAACACGCAUAGCUUUCAAAGUUUCAUCCAUAUUGAUCUUGGGAGGAGCACAUCUAACUUCCAAAGCAUCAAUAUCACUAGACAUUCUAUCAACGCUCUUAGCGAAAUCGUCAAUUUUGAGUAGUUUUUCCUCUAUGGACGCAUUGAAAAUCUUUUGCGAGUUGAUAAACUCUUUGAUAUUACUCUCUAGAUCAGAGGGUAAUCUAUUGUAAUUUCCAUGAUUAUUGUUGUAGGAGUUGCCAAAGUUAUUAGCGGAGUUACUAGGAAAAGGCUUAGGAACAUAGUUUCCUCUAAAAGCAUUAUUGUUGCCAAAAUUAUUCCUACCAACAAAAUUAAAGUCCAAGUUAGAGUUGCUACUCUCAAUCAAUGAAGACAAGGGCAUAUCAUUAGGAUCUAAAGGAGCACUUCCACUAGCAACCAAAUUCAUUAACUCAUCCAUCUUAACACUCAACGAGUUAAUUUCUUCUAUAGUGUGUAGCUUCUCACUAGUAGGUGACCUUUUAGUGUGCCACUGAGAGUAGUUCGUCAUGAUAUUGUCUAGGAGUUUCGUGGCUUCUCCUAACGUGAUUUACAUGAACGUUCCACCUCAGGCGGAGUCCAAGAUACUUCUAUACGCGAAAUUCAAGCGAGCGUAGAAGAUUUGUAUAAUCAUCCAAAGACUCAAGCCAUGAGCGGGACAAUUUCUAAUCAUCAAUUUCAUUCUCUCCCAAGAUUGUGCAACAUGUUGAUGAUCCAGUUGCUUAAAAUUAAUGAUAUCAUUACGGAGAGAGAUAAUCUUAGCCGGCGGAAAAUACUUGGAUAUAUAAGCAUAUUUGCACUUAUCCCAAGAAUCGAUACUAUUUUUGGGCAAAGACGAAAACCAAGUUUUUGCUCGAUCUCGCAACGAGAAAGGAAAAAGCUCCAAUUUAAUCACAUCAUUAUUCACAUCUUUCUUCUUUUGCAUAUUGCAAAGCUCUAUGAAGGUAUUAAGAUGGGAUGCGACAUCUUCACUAGGAAGGCUGGAAAAUUGCUCUUUCAUAACAAGAUUCAACAAAGCGGCAUUGAUUUCAUAUGACUCCGCACUAGUGGCGGGAGCAAUCACAGUACUAAUAAAAUCUUUAUUAUUAGUAUUCAAGAAGUCACAAAGUUUGGUGUUUUCAGUCAUGGUGACUUCGGCAAGCAAGCAAGCACACAAGCGAACAUAGAGAAAGCGAGAGAAAAGGACGAAAGAAAAGGCAAACGAAAAAGGCAAAUAUUUUUUUGUAAUUUUUUGUUUUUCAGAAGUGGGGGAGAGGAAAACGAGAGGCAAAAAAGUAAAUGCAAGAGAUGAGAUUGCGACACUUACUUGGAUGAGUUCUUGAUUUGAUCCUCCCCGGCAACGGCGCCAGAAAUCCUUCUGCUACUUCUCAAACAACAGCCCCAGAAUUUGACACGUUGACGGAGACUUGCUUGCGUUGGUUUUUCCCUUGAAGAGGAAAGGGUGAUGCAGCACAGGAGCAGUAAGUAUUUCCCGCAGUUUGAGAACCAAGGUAUCAAUCCAGUAGGAGAAUCUCGUCAAGUCCAAAGUACCUGAGCAAAUACAAAAGAGCUUGCACCCAACGCUAUAAAGGGGUUGUCAAUCCCUUCAAGAUUGAUUGCAAAAUGAGAUCUGAAUGUGGAAAGUGCAACGAAGGAAAAGUGUAAGGCUGAAAAUAUGGUGUGGAGUACACCCGGGGGCCAUAGUGUUCACUAGAGGCUUCUCUCAAAAUAGCAAAUAUUACGGUGGGUGAACAAAUUACUGUCGAGCAAUUGAUAGAACCUCGCAAAGUCAUGAAGAUAUAUAAGGCAAUGAUCAUACAUAUAGGCAUCACGUCCGAGACAAGUAGACCGAUACUUUCUGCAUCUACUACUAUUACUCCACACAUCGACCGCUAUCCAGCAUGCAUCUAGUGUAUUGAGUUCAUGACGAACAGAGUCACGCCUUAAGCAAGAUGACAUGAUGUAGAGGGAUAAACUCAAACCAAUGAUGAAAACCCCAUCUUUUUUACCCUUGAUGUCAACAACAUGAUGCGUGCCUCGCUACCCCUUCUAUCACUGGGUGAGUUCACCGCACGGUAUGAACCCAAAACCAAGCACUUCUCCCAUUGCAAGAAUCAUAGAUCAAGCUGGCCAAACNACGCCUUAAGCAAGAUGACAUGAUGUAGAGGGAUAAACUCAAACCAAUGAUGAAAACCCCAUCUUUUUUACCCUUGAUGUCAACAACAUGAUGCGUGCCUCGCUACCCCUUCUAUCACUGGGUGAGUUCACCGCACGGUAUGAACCCAAAACCAAGCACUUCUCCCAUUGCAAGAAUCAUAGAUCAAGCUGGCCAAACAAAACCCACAACUCGAAGAGAAUUACAAGGAUAUGAAAUCAUGCCUAUAAGAGAUCAGAAGAAACUCAAAUAAGAUUCAUGGAUAAUCUGAUCAUAAAUCCACAAUUCAUCGGAUCUCGACAAACACACCGCAAAAGAAGAUUACAUCGGAUAGAUCUCCAUGAAGAUCAUGGAGAACUUUGUAUUGAAGAUCUAAGAGAGAGAAGAGCCAUCUAGGUACUAGCUAUGGACCCGUAGGUCUAUGGUGAACUACUCACGCAUCAUCUGCGAGGUCAUGGUGUUGAUGAAGAAACCCUUCGUAUCCGAAUCCCCCCUCCGGCAGGGCACCAGAACGUGCCCCAGAUGUGAUCUUGCGGAGACAGAAGCUUGCGGCGGCGGAAAAGUACUUUCGAUGAUCUCCUGAUUUUUUCUAGGAUUUUAGGGAAUAUAUAGGCGAAAGACCUAGGGAAAAGGUGGCCCAGGGAGCCCACAAGCUUGGAAGGCACGGGCCCCCUGGUCGCGGCUAGGGGGCUUGUGGGAUCCCUGGUGGCCCCUGCCCUGAUUCUCAGGCUUCCCGAUCUUCUUCUGUUCCGGAAAAAUCUUUUUGGAAGUUUCGUUCCGUUUGCACUUCAUUUAAAAUGCUCCUCUGAAAGGGGUAAAAACAUGGAAAAAACAAGAACUGGCACUUGGCACUGAGUUAAUAAGUUAGUCCCAAAAAUUAUAUAAAAGGCAUACAAAGCAUCCAAAGUUUGACAAGACAAUAGCAUGAAACCAUAAAAAAUAAUAGAUACGUUAGAGACGUAUCAGUUUACUUACGAAUCACAUACCUCUUCGUUUCUGGAGUCUGAAACAGGGUGAUAAAUAUCCCUUAUGUACUCUUUCGGAGUUAUGGUAUUAAUAAUAUUGCUUUCAACAUUUAUGAGAGUACGUGAGAUAUAAUGCUUGAUUUUUUCCCAUUUACCACUCUCGGAAAAUUACCUUCCGUGUUGUUGAUCUUGAUGGCACCGGAACGAUAUACUUCCUCAACAAUGUAAGGAACUUCCCAUUUAGAGAGAAGCUUGCCUGCAAAAAUCUUAAACGAGAAUUGUAUAGUAAGACAUAAUCACCUACAUUGAACUCACAUUUUUGUAUCCUUUUAUCAUGCCAACUCUUAACUUUUUCUUUGAACAACUUGGCAUUUUCAUAUGCCUGAGUUCUCCAUUCAUCAAGUGAGCUAAUAUCAAAUAACCUCUUCUCACCAGCAAGUUUGAAAUCAAAGUUGAGCUCUUUGAUUGCCCAAUAAGCGUUAUGCUCUAGCUCAAGAGGUAAAUGACAUGCUUUACUAUAAACCAUUUUGUACGGAGACAUGCCCUUGGCAUUCUUAUAAGCAUUUCUUUAAGCCCACAGUGCAUCACCAAGCUUCUUAGACAAAUUAUUUCUAGACCUAUUAACAGUCUUUUGCAGAAUAAGUUUAAUCAAUCUAUUACUUAGCUCUACUUGACCACUGGACUGAGGAUGAUAGGGUGAUGAAAUUCUAUGGUUGACAUCAUACUUAGCAAGCGUUUUACGGAAAGCACCAUGAAUAAAAUGUGAACCACCAUCAGUCAUUAAAUAUCAAGGGACUCCAAAUCUAUGGAAUAGAACUUCUUUAAGCAUCCCAAUAGAGGUGUUGUGAUCAGCACUACUAGUUGGGAUAUCUUCUACCCACUUAGUAACGUAAUCAACAACAACUAGGAUAUGAGUAUACCCGUUGGACUUUUUAAAAGGUCCCAUAUAAUCAAAACCCCAAACAUCAAAUGGUUCAAUGAAAAGUGAAUAAUUCAUAGGCAUUUCCUAACAUUUACUGAUAUUACCUAUUCUUUGACAUUGAUCACAAGACAAGACAAACUUAUGGGCAUCCUUGAAGAGGGUAGGCCAAUAGAAACUAGAUUGCAAUAAGUUAUGUGCAGUUCUAUCUCCCGCAUGGUGGCCUCCGUAAGCCUCAGAGUGAAACUUCUGUAGGAUCUGUCCCUGUUCAAGCUCAGGUACACAACGUCUAAUAACACCAACUACUCCUUCUUUAUAAAGGUGAGGAUCAUCCCAAAAGUAAUGUCUCAAAUCAAAGAAGAAUUUCUUCUUUUGCUGGUAUGUGAAAUUAGGUGGUAUAUAUUUGGCAACAAUAUAAUUCGCAUAAUCAGCAUACAACGGUGUACUACGUGAAGCAUUGAUGAUAUUCAAUUGCUCAUGAGGAAAGCUAUCAUCAAUAGGUUGUGGGUCAUCAAGAACAUUCUCCAACCUAGACAAGUUAUCUGCUACGGGGUUCUCAGCACCCUUCCUAUCAACAACAUGCCAAUCAAAUUCUUGUAGCAAGAGAACCCAUCUGAUAAGUCUAGGUUUAGCAUCUUUCUUUUCCAUGAGAUACUUAAUAGCAGCAGGAUCAGUAUGAAUAGUAACCUUGGAGUCAACAAUGUAAGAUCUGAACUUUUCACAUGCAAACACGACUGCUAAAAGUUCCUUUUUAGCAGUAGCAUAGUUUCUUUGGGCACUAUCAAGAGUUUUACUAUCAUAAUGAAUAACAUUCAACUUCUUAUCAGCUCUUUGUCCUAGAACAGCGCCAAUAGCAUAAUCACUAGCAUCACACAUAAUCUCAAAAGGUAAGUUCCAAUCAGGUGGUUGAACAAUAAGUGCAGUUAUCAAGGCCUUCUUAAGUAUUUCAAUGGCUUCCUCACAAUCAUCGUCAAAAACAAAAGGAAUAUCCUUUUGCAAGAGAUUGGUAAGAGGCCUAGAAAUCUUAGAAAAGUCCUUAAUGAACCUUCUAUAGAAACCAGCAUGACCAAGGAAACUUCUUAUACCUUUAAUGUUUGUAGGGCAUGGCAUUUUCUUGAUCGGAUCAACCUUAGCCUUAACGACUUCAAUACCUCUUUUAGAAAUUUUAUGUCCUAAGACGAUGCCUUCAUUAACCAUAAAGUGGCACUUCUCCCAAUUCAGGACAAGGUUGGUAUUUUACAUCUCUGCAAAACUCGAUCAAGGUUGCUGAGGCAAUCAUCCAAAAAAGACACGUAAACGGAGAAGUCAUCCACGAAAACAUCAAUAAUCUUUUCACAAUAGUCAGAGAAUGUAGCCAUCAUACAUCUUUGAAAGGUAGCAGGUGCAUUAGAUAAGCCAAAAGGCAUACGUCUGCAAGCAAAGGUACCAAAAGGGCAGGUAAAAGUGGUUUUCUCCUGAUGAAAUUGUGCAACAGGUAUUUGGGAGAAACCAGAAUAACCAUCUAGAAAGCAGAAGUGUGUGUGUUUAGGCAAUCUUUCUAGCAUUUGGUCAAUAAAAGGCAAAGGGUAAUGAUCUUUCUUAGUGGCUUUAUUCAAUUUCCUAAAUUCAAUCACCAUCCUAUAGCCAGUAAUAAUCCUGUGUGGGAUCAAUUCAUCUUUAUCAUUAGGGACAACGGUAAUACCUCCCUUCUUGGGGACGCAAUGCACCAGACUUACCCAAUCACUAUGAGCAACAGGAUCGAUAAUACCUGCUUCCAGGAGCUUUAGUAUUUCUUUUCUUACUACCUCUUUAAUCUUAGGAUUUAAUCUCCGUUGAUGAUCGGCAACUGGUUUGGAAUCAGGAUCGGUUUUAAUUUUGUGCUGGCAUAGAGUGGGACUAAUGCCCUUAAGAUCAUCAAGGGUAUAUCCAAUAGUAGCACGGUGCUUCCUCAGAGUUUUCAAUAAUUUCUUUUCUUCAUACUCUGAAAGGCUAGCACUAAUAACAACAUCAUAUAUCUAUUUUUCAUCAAGAUAAGCAUACUUAAGAGUAUCAGGUAACUGUUUAAGCUCGAACACAGGAUCAGCCUUUGGUGGGGUUGGAUCUCCAAGCAGUUCAACAGGCAAAUUAUUCUGAAGGAUAGGAUGUUGUUCAAAGAUAACUCAAUCUAUCUCAUUCCUUUCACCCAUAUCACUACUGAAAUUCAUAAAUUUACCGUCCGCCAAAGCGGACGGCAAAGGGUGCAACCACGGACGGCAAAGGCUUUGCCGUCGGUCAGCAGACGACAAAGUAGACGGUAAAAAAAAUCGGUGAAGAGGUUCUUUGCCCUCUGCUUUCCCAAAGCGGACGACAAAGAAACUUUGCCAUGAGGGGGCAUACGGAAAAUUAACUGGGAUGUCAGAUAUUGCAACAUCCCCGUUAAGUGUUAACGGCAGGCCUCCUCCCUUUGCCGUCUGCCUCCCCCCUUUGCCAUGUGGGGGCAGACGGCAAAGAGGGGAGAAAGAGGGGGCAGAUUCCCCCCUUUUCCGUCUGCCUCCCCCCCUUUGCCAUGUGGGGGCAGACGGCAAAGAGGGGAGAGAGAGGGGGCAAAUUCCCCCCUUUGCCGUCUGCCUCCCCCCUUUGCCAUGUGGGGGCAGACGGCAAAGAGGGGAACCAGCCCCUUUUUAUUUAUUUUUUGUUAUAUCCAGCAUUUUUAACAAUAAUCAGGAUAUAUAUAUAUAUCCUGAUUAUUGUUAAAAAUGCUGGAUAUAACAAAAAAUAAAUAAAGAGGGGCUGGUUCCCAUCCNGAUGCAACUUGAAAGCUGGAUAUAAGAGGUUAUUUUAAUAUGGUUAUGAGUACGGAAAGAAAUUUAUGUAUGUCAAAUAUAUAUAUAUAUAUUUGACAUACAUAAAUUUCUUUCCGUACUCAUAACCAUAUUAAAAUAACCUCUUAUAUCCAGCUUUCAAGUUGCAUCCACGUGCAUACAAAUUUUCAUAUAUUACACCAAUUUCAUCCACGUGCAUACAAAGUUUCAUAUAUUCAUAUACUACAAUAGUUACAAUACAACCCAUGGUACAAGAAAUCAUCUUCAAGCAUUCCAUCAAUAUUUUCCAUGCUUCCCGUGAAGUGAAGGUAAUCUGCAAAAUGACAAAUAGGAAAGUUAGAAGAAUAAUACUAGAUGAAGUAGUGUAUAUAUAGGUUAUUUCGGAGAGAAAUUAGCUAAGUAUAGACCAUUUAGGAGCUAACUAAGCUAAUUAUGUCAUUUAGGUGGAACCCUAGCUAACUAUAGGUCGUUUCGGAGCUAACUUGGGUAAAAUAGGUCAUUCCGGAGCAAACUAUGCUUAUUAAGCCAUUUUUGAUCUAGCUAGGCUAAUUAUAGGCCAUUUAAUACCUAAGUUAGGGGGAACAGGUCAUGUUGCAGCUACGUAAGCCUUAUUAUGUCAUUUAGGAGAGAACUUAGCUAAGUAUAGGUCAUGUUUUAUUAAAUAGACCAUUUAGGAGCUAACUAAGCUAAUUAUGUCAUUUAAAUGGAUAAUUAGCCAAUUUAGGCUUUCUUGGAUGACUCUAAGCUAUGUAGAAGAAGAGAAAGAGAAGAAGAAGUAAAAGAAGGAGGAGGAGGAGGANNNNNNNNNNNNNNNNNNNNNNNNNNNNNNNNNNNNNNNNNNNNNNNNNNNNNNNNNNNNNNNNNNNNNNNNNNNNNNNNNNNNNNNNNNNNNNNNUUCCUCUCCUUCUUCUUAUCCUCCUCCCUCUCCUUCUUCUUCUUCUGCUCUUCUUCUUCUUCCUUCCUUUCAUUUUUCCUCUUUCUUCUCCUCUCGUCCCCUUCUUCGGGCUAAAUUGGCUAAGAAUGCCUUUUUGGAGCUAAUUAUGUCAUUUCGAGGAUAAUUAGCUAACCAUAGUGUUGGAAUUAUGCCCAAGAGGCAAUAAUAAAUAUAGUUAUUAUUAUAAUUCCUGUAUCAAGAUAAUCGUUUAUUAUCCAUGCUAUAAUUGUAUUGAAUGAAGACUCAUUUACAUGUGUGGAUACAUAGACGAAACACUGUCCCUAGCAAGCCUCUAGUUGGCUAGCCAGUUGAUCAAAGAUAGUCAGUGUCUUCUGAUUAUGAACAAGGUGUUGUUGCUUGAUAACUGGAUCACGUCAUUAGGAGAAUCACAUGAUGGACUAGACCCAAACUAAUAGACGUAGCAUGUUGAUCGUGUCAUUUUGUUGCUACUGUUUUCUGCGUGUCAAGUAUUUAUUCCUAUGACCAUGAGAUCAUAUAACUCACUGACAUCGGAGGAAUACUUUGUGUGUAUCAAACGUCGCAACGUAACUGGGUGACUAUAAAGAUGCUCUACAGGUAUCUCCGAAGGUGUUAGUUGAGUUAGUAUGGAUCAAGACUGGGAUUUGUCACUCCGUGUGACGGAGAGGUAUCUCGGGGCCCACUCGGUAAUACAACAUCACACACAAGCCUUGCAAGCAAUGUAACUUAGUGUAAGUUGCGGGAUCUUGUAUUACGGAACGAGUAAAGAGACUUGCCGGUAAACGAGAUUGAAAUAGCUAUGCGGAUACUGACGAUCGAAUCUCGGGCAAGUAACAUACCGAAGGACAAAGGGAAUGACAUACGGGAUUAUAUGAAUCCUUGACACUGAGGUUCAAACGAUAAGUUCUUCGUAGAAUAUGUAGGAUCCAAUAUGGGCAUCCUGGUCCCGCUAUUGGAUAUUGACCGAGGAGUCUCUCGGGUCAUGUCUACAUAGUUCUCGAACCCGCAGGGUCUGCACACUUAAGGUUCGACGUUGUUUUAUGCGUAUUUGAGUUAUAUGGUUGGUUACCGAAUGUUGUUCGGAGUCCCGGAUGAGAUCACGGAGGUCACGAGGGUUUCCAGAAUGGUCCGGAAACGAAGAUUGAUAUAUAGGAUGACCUCAUUUGAUUACCGGAAGGUUUUCGGAGUUACCGGGAAUGGCGAAUGGGUUCCGGGAGUUCCCCGGGGGGGGGGCAACCCACCCCGGGGAAGCCCAUAGGCCUUGAGGGUGGCGCACCAGCCCUUAGUGGGCUGGUGGGACAGCCCAAAAGGGGCCCUAUGCGCAUUGGAAGAAAAAUCAAAGAGAAAGAAAAAAAAGGAGGUGGGAAGGGAAGGAAGGACUCCCACCCACCAAACCAAGUCCAACUCGGUUUGGGGGGGGGGGGAGACCUUCCCCCCUUGGCUCGGCCGACCCCCUUGGGGCUCCUUGAGCCCCAAGGAAAGGACCCCCUCUCCCACCUAUAUAUACGGAGGUUUUAGGGCUGAUUUGAGACGACUUUUCCACGGCAGCCCGACCACAUACCUCCACGGUUUUCCCUCUAGAUCGCGUUUCUGCAGAGCUCGGGCGGAGCCCUGCUGAGACGAGAUCAUCACAAACCUCCGGAGCGCUGUCACGCUGCCGGAGAACUCUUCUACCUCUCCGUCUCUCUUGUUGAAUCAAGAAGGCCGAGAUCAUCGUCGAGCUAUAUGUGUGCUGAACGCGGAGGUGCCGUCCGUUCGGUACUAGAUCGUGGGACUGAUCGCGGGAUUGUUCGCGGGGCGGAUCGAGGGACGUGAAGACGAUCCACUACAUCAACCGCGUUCACUAACGCUUCUGCUGUACGGUCUACAAGGGUACGUAGAUCACUCAUCCCUCUUGUAGAUGGAUAUCACCAUGAUAGGUGUUCGUGCGCGUAGGAAAAGUUUUGUUUCCCAUGCGACGUUCACCAACAGUGGCAUCAUGAGCUAGGUUCAUGCGUAGAUGUCUUCUCGAGUAGAACACAAAAGUUUUUGUGGGCGGUGAUGUGCGUUUUUCUGCCCUCCUUAGUCUUUUCUUGAUUCCACGGUAUUGUUGGAUUGAAGCGGCUUGGACCGACAUUACUCGUACGCUUACGAGAGACUGGUUUCAUCGCUACGAGUAACCCCGUUGCUCAAAGAUGACUAGCAAGUGUCGGUUUCUCCAACUUUAGUUGAAUCGGAUUGCACCGAGGAGGUCCUUGGGUGAGGUUAAAUAGCAACUCAUAUAUCUUCGUUGUGGUGUUUGCGUAAGUAAGAUGCGAUCCUACUAGAUACCCAUGGUCACCACGUAAAACAUGCAACAACAAAAUUAGAGGACGUCUAACUUGUUUUUGCAGGGUAUGCUUGUGAUGUGAUAUGGCCGAUGAUGUGAUGUGAUAUAUUGGAUGUAUGAGAUGAUCAUGUUGUAAUAGAUAAUACCGACUUGCACGUCGAUGGUACGGCAACCGGCAGGAGCCAUAGGGUUGUCUUUAUACUAAUGUUUGUGCUUGCAGAUGCGUUUACUAUUUUGCUAGGAUGUAGCUUUAGUAGUAAUAGCAUGAGUAGCAUAACAACCCCGAUGGCGACACGUUGAUGGAGAUCAUGGUGUGGCGCCGGUGACAAGAAGAUCGUGCCGGUGCUUUGGUGAUGGAGAUCAAGAAGCACGUGCUGAUGGCCAUAUCAUGUCACUUAUGAAUUGCAUGUGAUGUUAAUCCUUUUAUGCACCUUAUUUUUCUUAGAACGACGGUAGCAUUAUGAGGUGAUCUCUCACUAAAAUUUCAAGACGAAAUUGUGUUCUCCCCGACUGUGCACCGUUGCUACAAUUCGUCGUUUCAAGACACCACGUGAUGAUCGGGUGUGAUAGACUCAACGUUCACAUACAACGGGUGCAAAACAGUUGCGCACGCGAAACACUCGGGUUAAGCUUGACGAGCGUAGCAUGUGCAGACAUGGCCUCGGAACACAUGAGACCGAAAGGUCGAUCAUGAAUCAUAUAGAUGAUAUGAUUAGUAUAGGGAUGCUUACCACUGAAACUAUACUCAACUCACGUGAUGAUCGGACUUGAGCUAGUGUAAGUGGAUCAUGAACCACUCAAAUGACUAGAGAGAUGUACUUUUUGAGUGGGAGUUUAGCGAAUAAUUUGAUUAAGUUAAACUCUAAUUAUCUUGAACAUAGUCUAAGUCCACUUUGAAUAUAUUUGUGCUGUAGAUCAUGGCUCACGUGACAGUCACCCUGAAUUUUAAUACGUUCCUAGAGAAAGCUAAGUUGAAAGAUGAUGGAAGCAACUUUGUAGACUGGGCUCGUAAUCUUAAGCUAAUCUUACAAGCUGGGAAGAAGGAUUAUGUCCUUAAUGCUGCGCUAGGAGAUGAACCACCGCUACGGCUGAUCAGGAUGUUAAGAACGCUUGGUUAGCAAGUAAGGAGGACUACCCAGUAGUUCAAUGUGCAGUCUUGUAUGGCUUAUAACCGGGACUUCAACGUCGCUUUGAGCGUCAUGGAGCAUUUGAGAUGUUCCAGGAGUUGAAGUUUAUCUUUCAGAAGAACGCCCGGAUCGAGAGGUAUGAGACGUCCGAUAAAUUCUAUGCUUGCAAGAUGGAGGAAAACUCGUCUGUCAGUGAACAUGUGCUCAAAAUGUCUGGGUACUCAAACCGUCUGGCUGAGCUGGGGAUUGAACUCCCGCAAGAGGCUAUCACUGACAGAAUCCUUCAAUCGCUGCCGCCAUGCUAUAAAGGCUUUGUGUUGAACUACAACAUGCAAGGGAUGAACAAGUCUCCCGGCGACUUGUUUGCGAUGCUGAAAGUCGCAGAGUCUGAACUCCGUAAAGAGCAUCAAGUGUUGAUGGUGAAUAAGACCACUAGUUUCAAGAGAAAUAGCAAAGGCAAGAAGGGUAAUUCAAAGAAGAGCGGCAAGCAUGUUGCCAAUCCGACAAAGAAACCCAAAGCUGGACCUAAGCCUGAACGGAGUGUUACUAUUGCAAGGGUAUGGGUCACUGGAAGCGCAAUUGCCCCAAGUAUCUGGCAGAUAAGAAGGAGGCCAAAGAAAAAUCAGGUAUAUUUGAUAUACAAGUUAUUGAUGUGUACUUAACCGACUCUCGUAGUAGUGCCUGGGUAUUCGAUACCGGUUCUGUUUCUCAUAUUUGCAACUCGAAACAGGAACUGCGGAAUAGACGAAGGCUGGCGAAAGAUGAAGUGACGAUGCGCGUAGGAAAUGGUUCCAAGGUUGAUGCAAUCACCGUCGGCACAGUUUCACUUCAGUUACCAUCAGGAUUAGUUAUGAACUUAAAUCAUUGUUAUUUAGUGCCUGCGUUGAGCAUGAACAUUAUAUCUGGAUCUUGUUUAUUGCGAGACGGUUACUCUUUUAAGUCAGAGAAUAAUGGUUGUUCUAUUUCUAUGAGUAACAUCUUUUAUGGUCAUGCACCCAAUGUGAGAGGAUUGUUCAUAUUGAAUCUUGAUAGCGAUACACCCAUACAUAACAUUGAGACCAAAAGAGUUAGAGUUAACAAUGAUAGCGCCAUAUUUUUGUGACACUGCCGCUUAGGUCAUAUUGGUGUAAAGCGCAUGAAGAAACUCCAUGCCGAUGGACUUUUGGAGUCACUUGACUUUGAUUCACUUGACACGUGCGAACCAUGCCUCAUGGGCAAGAUGACUAAAACUCCGUUCUCCGGAACAAUGGAGUGUGCAAGUGACUUGUUGGAAAUCAUACAUACCGAUGUGUGUGGUCCGAUCAGCGUGGAGGCACGCAGCGGAUAUCGUUAUUUUCUCACCUUCACUGACGAUUUGAGUAGAUAUGGUUAUGUCUACUUAAUGAAGCACAAGUCUGAAACAUUUGAAAAGUUCAAGCAAUUUCAGAGUGAAGUUGAAAAUCGUCGUAACAAGAAGAUCAAGUUCCUACGGUGUGAUCGUGGGGGUGAAUAACUGAGUUUCGAGUUUGGUGCUCACUUAAGACAAUGUGGAAUUGUUUCACAGUUGACACCGCCUGGAACACCACAGCGUAAUGGUGUGUCCGAACGUCGUAAUAGUACUUUAUUAGAGAUGAUGCGAUCUAUGAUGUCUCUUACCGAUUUGCCGUUAUCGUUUUUGGGGUUAUGCAUUAGAAACAACUGCAUUCACUUUAAAUAGGGCACCAUCAAAAUCCAUUGAGACGACACCAUACGAACUGUGGUAUGGCAAAAGGCCAAAGUUGUCGUUUCUUAAAGUUUGGGGAUGUGAUGCUUAUGUCAAAAAGCUUCAGCCUAAAAAGCUGGAACCCAAAGCGGAAAAGUGCAUCUUCAUAGGUUACCCGAAAGAGACAGUUGGGUACACCUUCUAUCUCAAAUCCGAGGGCAAAGUGUUUGUUGCUGAAAACGGAGCUUUUCUCGAGAAGGAGUUUCUCUCGAGGGAAUUGAGUGGGAGGAAGAUAGAACUUGACGAGGUUGUCGAACCUCUCAUCCCUCUGGAUGGUGGCGCAGGGCAAGGGGAAACCUCUGUCGCUACGACGCCGGUUGAGGAGGAAGUUAAUGAUGAUGAUCAUGAAACUCCGGUUCAAGUUUCUGUCGAACCACGCAGGUCGACGAGACCACGUGCUGCUCUAGAGUGGUACGGUAAUCCCGUCUUGUCAAUCAUGUUGUUGAACAACAAUGAACCUGCAAAUUAUGAAGAAGCAAUGGUGGGCCCAGAUUCCAACAAAUGGCUAGAAGCCAUGAAGUCCGAGAUACGAUCCAUGUAUGAGAACAAAGUGUGGACUUUGGAGGUACUGCCUGAGGGCCGCAAGGCUAUUCAGAACAAAUGGAUCAUUAAGAGGAAGACGGACGCUGACGGCAAUGUGAACGUUUAUAAAGCUCGACUUGUGGCAAAGGGUUUUUCACAAGUUCAAGGAGUUGACUACGAUGAGACAUUGUCACCCGUAGCGAUGCUUAAGUCCGUCAGAAUCAUGUUAGCAAUAGCUGCAUUUUUUGAUUAUGAAAUCUGGCAGAUGGAUGUCAAAACAGCGUUCCUUAACGGUUUCCUUAAGGAAGAAUUGUAUAUGAUGCAACCCGAAGGUUUUGUCGAUCCUAAGAAUGCUAACAAGGUGUGCAAGCUCCAGCGAUCCAUUUAUGGAAUGGUGCAAGCAUCUCGGAGUUGGAACAAACGUUUUGAUGAGGUGAUCAAAGCAUUUGGGUUUAUACAAGUGGUUGGAGAAUCUUGUAUUUACAAGAAAGUGAGUGGGAGCUCUGUGGCGUUUCUAAUAUUAUAUGUGGAUGACAUAUUGCUGAUUGGAAACAACGUGGAGUUUUUGGAGAGCAUAAAGGAUUACUUGAAUAAAAGUUUCUCUAUGAAGGACCUAGGAGAAGCUGCUUACAUUCUAGGCAUUAAGAUCUAUAGGGAUAGAUCAAAACGCCUGAUAGGACUUCCACAAAGCACAUACCUUGAUAAAGUUUUGAAGAGGUUCAAAAUGGAACAGUCCAAGAAGGGGUUCUUGCCAGUUUUACAAGGUACGAGAUUGAGUAAGACUCAGUGCCCAGCAACUGAUGAAGAUAGAGAGCAUAUGCGCUCCGUCCCCUAUGCUUCAGCCAUAGGAUCUAUCAUGUAUGCAAUGCUGUGCACUAGACCGGACGUUAGCCUGGCCAUAAGUAUGGCAGGUAGGUUCCAGAGUAAUCCAGGAGUGGAUCACUGGACGGCGGUCAAGAAUAUCCUAAAGUAUCUGAAAAGGACUAAGGUGAUGUUUCUUGUAUAUGGAGGUGACGAAGAGCUCGGCGUAAAAGGUUACGUCGAUGCAAGCUUUGACACAGAUCCGGACGACUCUAAGUCGCAAACCGGAUACGUAUUUAUUCUUAAUGGGGGUUCGGUAAGCUGGUGCAGUUCCAAGCAAAGCGUCGUAGCAGAUUCUACAUGUGAAGCGGAGUACAUGGCUGCCUCGAAGGCGGCUAAGGAGGGUGUCUGGAUGAAGCAGUUCAUGACAGAUCUAGGAGUGGUGCCAAGCGCACUGAAUCCAAUAACCUUGUUCUGUGACAACACGGGUGCCAUUGCCUUAGCAAAGGAACCACGGUUUCACAAGAAGUCCAGACACAUCAAACGACGCUUCAACCUCAUCCGCGACUACGUCGAAGGGGAGGACGUAAAUAUAUGCAAAGUGCACACGGAUCUGAAUGUAGCAGACCCGCUGACUAAACCUCUUCCACGGCCAAAGCAUGAUCAACACCAGAACUGUAUGGGUGUUAGAUUUAUUACAAUGUAAUUCACAUGAUGAUGUGAGGGCUAGAUUAUUGACUCUAGUGCAAGUGGGAUACUGUUGGAAUUAUGCCCUAGAGGCAAUAAUAAAUAUAGUUAUUAUUAUAAUUCCUAUAUCAAGAUAAUCGUUUAUUAUCCAUGCUAUAAUUGUAUUGAAUGAAGACUCAUUUACAUGUGUGGAUACAUAGACAAAACACUGUCCCUAGCAAGCCUCUAGUUGGCUAGCCAGUUGAUCAAAGAUAGUUAGUGUCUUCUGAUUAUGAACAAGGUGUUGUUGCUUGAUAACUGGAUCACGUCAUUAGGAGAAUCAGGUGAUGGACUAGACCCAAACUAAUAGACGUAGCAUGUUGAUCGUGUCAUUUUGUUGCUACUGUUUUCUGCGUGUCAAGUAUUUGUUCCUAUGACCAUGAGAUCAUAUAACUCACUGACACAGGAGGAAUACUUUGUGUGUAUCAAACGUCGCAACGUAACUGGGUGACUAUAAAGAUGCUCUACAGGUAUCUCCGAAGGUGUAGUUGAGUUAGUAUGGAUCAAGACUGGGAUUUGUCACUCCGUGUGACGGAGAGGUAUCUCGGGGCCCACUCGGUAAUACCACAUCACACCCAAGCCUUGCAAGCAAUGUAACUUAGUGUAAGUUGCGGGAUCUUCUAUUACGGAACGAGUAAAGAGGCUUGCCGGUAAACGAGAUUGAAAUAGGUAUGCGGAUACUGACUAUCGAAUCUCAGGCAAGUAACAUACCGAAGGACAAAGGGAAUGACAUACAGGAUUAUAUGAAUCCUUGACAUUGAGGUUCAAACGAUAAGUUCUUCGUAGAAUAUGUAGGAUCCAAUAUGGGCAUCCAGGUCCCACUAUUGGAUAUUGACCGAGGAGUCUCUCGGGUCAUGUCUACAUAGUUCUCGAACCCGCAGGGUCUGCACACUUAAGGUUCGAUGUUGUUUUAUGCGUAUUUGAGUUAUAUGGUUGGUUACCGAAUGUUUUUCGGAGUCCCGGAUGAGAUCACGGACGUCGCGAGGGUUUCCGGAAUGGUCCGGAAACGAAGAUUGAUAUAUAGGAUGACCUCAUUUGAUUACCGGAAGGUUUUCGGAGUUACCGGGAAUGUACCGGGAAUGACGAAUGGGUUCCGGGAGUUCACCGGGGGGGGGCAACCCAUCCCGGGGAAGCCCAUAGGCCUUGAGGGUGGCGCACCAGCCCUUAGUUGGCUGGUGGGACAGCCCAAAAGGGGCCCUAUGCGCAUUGGAAGAAAAAUCAAAAAGAAAGAAAAAAAGGAGGUGGGAAGGGAAGGAAGGACUCCCACCCACCAAACCAAGUCCAACUCGGUUUGGGGGGGGGAGACCUUCCCCCCUUCGCUUGGCCGACCCCCUUGGGGCUCCUUGAGCCCCAUGGCAAGGCCCCCCUCUCCCACCUAUAUAUACGGAGGUUUUAGGGCUGAUUUGAGACGACUUUUCCACGGCAGCCCAACCACAUACCUCCACGGUUUUCCCUAUAGAUCGCGUUUUUGCGGAGCUCGGGCGGAGCCCUGCUGAGACGAAAUCAUCACCAACCUCCGGAGCGCCGUCACGCUGCCGGAGAACUCUUCUACCUCUCCGUCUCUCUUGCUGGAUCAGGAAGGCCGAGAUCAUCGUCGAGCUGUACGUGUGCUGAACGCGGAGGUGCCGUCCGUUCGGUACUAGAUCGUGGGACUGAUCGCGGGAUUGUUCGCGGAGCGGAUCGAGGGACGUGAAGACGUUCCACUACAUCAACCGCGUUCACUAACGCUUCUACAGUACGGUCUACAAGGGUACGUAGAUCACUCAUCCCUCUCGUAGAUGGACAUCACGAUGAUAGGUCUUCGUGCGCGUAGGAAAUUUUUUGUUUCCCAUGCGACGUUCACCAACACAUAGGUCAUGUUUUAUUAAAUAGACCAUUUAGGAGCUACCUAAGCUUAUUAUGUCAUUUAGAUGGAUAAUUAGCCAAUUUAGGCUUUCUUGGAUGAGUCUAAGCUACGUAGAAGUAGAGAAAGAGAAGAAGAAGUAAAAGAAGGAGGAGGAGGACUCCUUUCAUUUUUCCUUAUUCUUCUCCUCUCGUCCCCUUCUUCGGGCUAAAUUGGCUAAGAAUGACUUUUUGGAGCUAAUUAUGUCAUUUCGAGGAUAGCAUAGGUCAUGUUUUAUUAAAUAGACCAUUUAGGAGCUAACUAAGCUAAUUAUGUCAUUUAGAUGGAUAAUUAGCCAAUUUAGGCUUUGUUGGAUGAGUCUAAGCUACGUAGAAGAAGAGAAAGAGAAGAAGAAGUAAAAGAAGGAGGAGGAGGAGGAGGAGGAGAAGNNNNNNNNNNNNNNNNNNNNNNNNNNNNNNNNNNNNNNNNNNNNNNNNNNNNNNNNNNNNNNNNNNNNNNNNNNNNNNNNNNNNNNNNNNNNNNNNNNNNCUCUUCUUCUUCUUCCUUCCUUUCAUUUUUCCUCUUUCUUGUCCUCUCGUCCCCUUCUUCGGGCUAAAUUGGCUAAGAAUGCCUUUUUGGAGCUAACUAUGUCAUUUCGAGGAUAAUUAGCUAAGUAUAGGUCAUUUUUUAGUAAAUAGGUCAUUUUGGAGCUAACUAAGCUAAUUAUGUCAUCUAGCUAUCUUUUAUUAAAACACUAGAAAUAACAUACCUAAGUUAGGGUCAAGCACGGUGGCUCUGGCUUGUUUCACCUGGAGAAGGCUGCCCUAGAGAAGGCUCGAUUGUAGAAGGCUCGACUACAGAAGGCUUGACUCUCUCAACUCGGCGUCCAUAGACUCUGCAUCACCCUACAAGUUUAAUACGAAAGAAUGGAUGCAUUAGCCGCAAAUUAGACCAUUAAAUCAAAUGGGCCGUUAAUGGUAAUUAAUUACCCUUUGUUUGAACCAAGAGAUGAAACCGGGAUAGUCGCCUCCAUGCUUUGCGAGAAGCUCAUACUCUUCGACGGAAUCCUUUUCGAUGACCGCUCCAUCCGAGAAUUCGGCGACGUAUCGACUAUAUCAAAUAUCCGGGAAUAAGAGUAGUUCAAAGCAAUUAGAAGUUGCGAAACAAUAAAUUACCGAGAACUUACUCGAUGUACGGCCGCACUACUGUUAGGUUGGUGAAGAUAUACAAUGAAAUGGUCCGCCAUUCUUCGACAUCCAACGAUUUCCCUUUCGAAGCACCGGAUGGUGCGAGCUUACCUUUGAAUAGGCUGAGGUUGGAUCGAACUUUUUCUCGAUCGCCAUCAUUGUACCGAGGCUUCGGGUUAUGCAAAUGAUGAUUUUUGGCUUCGUAGUGUGCUGUCACGAAGUUUGCCGCCUCCUCAGUAAUGAAUGCCUCGGCCAUCGAUGCUUCAAUUCUACAUUUAUUUUUACACUUAGCUCGAAGCGUCUUCUGCAUCCUCUCAGUUGAGUAGCACCAUCGAUUUUGAACAGGCCCCCCCAUUCUUGCCUCGGUCGGGAGAUGCAAAAUCAAAUGUUGCAUUGGAUUAAAGAAGCCCGGUGGAAAGAUCUUUUCUAAUUUGCAGAUCAACUCCGGCGCCAACUCUUCCAUUUCAUCUAGCACGCCAGGCGAUAGUUAUUUCGCACAAAGAGAAUGGAAGAAAUAGCUCAGCUCUGCCAGUACUAGCCAUUCAUCCUCAGGGAUAAAGCCACGCAACAUCACCGGCAUUACCCGCUCAAUCCAUAUGUGCCAAUCAUGACUCUUGAGCCUAAAUAUUUUCAAUUUCUCAAGACUCGCUCCCCUCUUUAGAUUCGCACCAUACCCAUCGGGGAACAUCAACCGUAUUUUCACCCACAAUAGCAUUUCCCUCAUAGUUGGCCUUUCAAGAUUGAACCAUGCCUUUGGCUUCGCUAUGCUUUGCUUUCCUUUCCAUUGUCGCAAGUUUUGCAACGGUCUAUCACAUAGAGCCUCCAGGUCGAUUCUAGCCUUAGGAUUAUCUUUUGACUUCCCCUCUAUGCCGAACAAUGUACCAAAAAUGGCCUCCGCAAUAUUCUUUUCAGUGUGCAUCACGUCAAUGUUGUGUGGGGAAAGGAGGUCUUUGAAGUAAGGGGGAUCCCAUAAGCAUGACUUGUGAGUCCAGGCGUGUUCCGUAUUAUACCCUUUGAAGUAUCCUGGACGCAAAGGAUCAGGCUCGAGAGCGUUUAACUGAUCAAGGGUCUGUUGGCCUGUCAACGCAGCUGGUGCAGUGUUUUUGACAACUCUACCUUUGAUGAAAUUCUUCUUGUCUUUUCUGAACUUAUGGUCAAGAUCCAGGAAUUGUCUAUGAAUGUCGAAGCAAGAAUACUUGCGACCAGCCUGCAGCCAACGGAACUGAAGAGCUGCCUUGGAUGUGGUGCACGGGAACCUUCCGUGCACACACCAGCCAGCGAAUAGCGCAAACGCCAGAUAAUCAUGCGUCGAGUACAUGUACCACACAUGCAUUUUGAAAUUUGUUUUGGUAGCCGCAUCGUAGGUCUUGAUCCCAUUAUCCCAGGCUUCUUCCAACUCAUCCUUAAGUGGCUGCAUGUACACAUUCAUAUUCUUACCCGGAUAGUUGGGCCCUGGAAUUAUCAACGUCAGGAAAAUGUUCUUUCUUUUCAUAAUCUCUCCGGGUGGCAAAUUUAGUGGAGUGACAGAUACAGGCCAACAACUGUAUUGUGCUGCCGUCAUACCAUACACAUUGAACCCAUCCGUGCUGAUGGCAACUCUAGGUUGCCUUGGAUCUUCCGAUUUAUCCUUAUGUAAUGCAUCGAAGUGCCUCCACGCAAAACCAGCACCUUGUUCCCAUCCGCAUCUAGUUCGGUUCUUUUGCCCAAUUUGUGCCAUGUCACCUGUCUAGCCAUCUCUUCGACCAUGAAAAGACGUUGAAGUCUUGGUACGAUUGGCAGAUAUCGAAGAACACUAAUGGGGAUUUUGGUCUGAGUCUUCUCACUCAUGCCGUUGUCUACCACAAUAUACCUGGAAGAAUUCCAAAUGGGGCAAUAGUUCAAGGCCGCAUACUCAAGCCUAAACAAGGCACAUCCAUUCUCAUAGGCAUGUAUCUUCUCAUAGGGCAUCUUAAGUACACGGAGGAUUUUCUCUGACUCGUACAGGUUUGCAGGCAGUACAUGGCCUUUGGGUAGAAAGCGUCCAAAUAUCGUCAUCAUCGCGUCGUAGCAUUCUCUGCCUAGGUUGAAUUGAGCCUUCAGAGCCAUUACUUGCGCGAUGGCAUCCAGCUGACAAAGCUCAGUCUGGUCGUGGAGAGGACGUUUUGAAGACUCCAGCAUUUCAUAGAAGGCCUUUGCAGAUUCCUCCAUCUCAUCGUCCGAAUCACGAGCAUCAUCAAAGUCUUGCACCAUGUCUUCAAUCCCGGUACCAUGCUCGUCGGUGCGACAAUGAAUCACCUCAGCUCUGGCACGUUGGUCAGACUCACCAUGAAAAGUCCACACCGUAUAAUUAGGCGUAAAACCCCACUUCUGCAGGUGUUUACCCAUUUCAAACUCUGUCUGCUUUUUCCAGUUGUUGCAGUUGGGACAGGGGCACCAUGUUUUAUGCUGGCCAUUUGCAAAUGCGGCUCUCACAAACCCCCUGGUUUUUGUUAGCCAUUCAUGGGUCAUGUCUUUCUGACUAGGGUGACCAGUGUACAUCCAAGCACGAUCACUCAUGUUGCCUAGCUACCUAUGGGGGCACAAGAAAUAAAUAUAUAAUUCAUCAUCUAUAUUCAUACGCUAAUCAAGUUUGUCAGUUUUAUUGCGUCCAUGCAACCUACGCGCUAAUAGGUAAAGAUAGGUCCAAAUACCACCCGAGUAUGUGUAGACUGGGUUCGUUUUCCCAUGCUCUGCUCCAGAUGCGAUGCAGAAUUUCGGCAGCACUUCCCCGAUGUUCUCCUGAUACACGUCUCGGCAAUAAGCAGAGAGGAUGUCUAGCCGGAGAACAACAUGGGAGGCACUGACGAAAUUCCGCAUCGGAUCCGGAGCACAGCAUACAGGAAAACAAACCCAAUCUACACAUACUCGGGCUGUCCAUGGAUAAUGUUGGACAAUUCGAAAGGAUGGCGGUUAUAAAUAUGCAAACAAAUGCAUAUUUAUAGAUGUCGUCCUUUCGAACAGGAGACGCAUACUGGUCACGCAUACUCAUGAUUGAAGAAACCUAUAGCUAGCAAGUUUCAUCGGCACGAAGACCGGGACAGAGCAAAUUAAGGGGGUAGGAGGACAAGUCAUUUGUGCUCACGAACAAACGCAAGGGCGGAGCUCGUCCAACGCACGUGGAGGUCGUCGAACCACCGCACAUUGAAAUUCACACGAUCAACACAAAUACGAUGUUUUAUAAUUAACAUAAUCGGAAAAUAUGUCACCUAACUCAUAAUUUACAAAAUUAUGACCCCGUGGGCCUCUAGAAGGCCGAAAAGCACCUUCUCGUUCAACAGAAGGCAGAAAAGGUGUCGGGGGUCGGGGCUUAGUGGCGUCGGGAGUCAGUGCCGUCGAGGGCCGGUGAUGUCGGGUGUCGCUGGUCGGGAGUCGGGUUAAAUGCGUCGAUGGUCGGGGGUCAGUGUCAUCAGGGGUCGAGGGUCACUAGCAUCGGGGGUUGGGAUCUUUUCGAUCAACAAGAAGCCAAAGAGGUGUCGGGGGCCCGGGGUUGGGGGUUAGUGGCGUCGGGGGUCGGGUGUAGGGGUCGGGGGUCGAGGGUCAGUGGCGUCGGGGGUCGGGGGUCGAGGGUCGGGGGUUGGUGGCGUCGGGCGUCGGGGGUCCAGACUCGGGUGUCGGGGGUCAGUGGUGUCGGGUGUCGAGGGUCGGGAGUCGGGUGUCAGUGGCGUUGGAGGUAGGGGGUCGAGGGUCGGGGGUUGGUGGCGUCGAGCGCCGGUGGUCGGGGGCCGCGGAUCGGGGGUCAGGGUCCUCUUCUUUCUUCUUCUCCUCUCUCCUCCUUUUCUUCUUCUACUUGGCCGAAAUAGGUCUUAUUCCGCUGGCCGCACCAGCCCACUAGGGGCUGGUGUGCCACCUUUAGGACUACUAGGUCCCCUCUCGGGUGGGUGGCCCCUCCCGGUAAAACCCCGGAACCCCAUUCGUCACUCCCNUUCUUCUUUUUUCUUCUAGUUUAUUAUUCUCUUAUUUUCUUCUAAGUUUUUUUUCUAUCUAUUUUUUUCUUUUCUAUCUACUUUUUCUACCUUUUCUACUUUUUCUAUUUACUAGGACAUAUGCUCGUGCAUUGCAACGGGUCAAUAAAAGUUGUCACAUACUCUGACAGAACCUUUAAUACUCCAUGUUAUGACAUGUGCUUGGCUACGAACAAAACAUUACUUGCCCCAUCCACCAUAAUAAGCACAUGAGAUAGUCUAGAGAAGAAAUUUGUAUUCAACAGUGUUUUAAACCAAUUAUACCUAUAUACAUUAUAGUAUACAAUUUCAUUUAAUUAGAGCUGUUACACACACAAAAAUUGAGGGGUAGCUAUACCACCAAUGAAAUGCAUAAUGCAGUUAGGCUGGUACCAUGUUAGGUGGGUCGGCCAGAUUGGACCGGCUAAGGCCAAUUGGGUGUCAUUGGGUGAAAAAGUAACUGAAUAGUCUUUGAGUGAAAAAAAUAUGUCGAACUGUUACGUAGUCUUCGAGAGUUUAAUAAUUCAUUCUAAGGAUUUUUAAAGAAAUUCAUCCAUCAGAACUUCAUUACAAAUAAGAAGAAAACCACUCAGGUUGUUUGCUGCUCGCACUUCACAAACACGGUAUAUGCCAUCACAAUAAUGAGUAUAUGACUGAUUUGUGCGCCAUAUAACAGUCAUACGUAAUCACAAUUCCUAUGAAAACUACUACACAUGCGAAAACCCUCUAUAUCUACAUCAUUGUUCUAAUAUAUGCAAACCUUCCUCUCACAAUUUGCUAAUUUUAAAUAAAUAAUUUCAUCUUUAUAUUUGUUUGCUGGAAUUUUGAAGCUUGGAGCUAAUUUCUAAGAUCUUGAAAUUAUCUCAAAUGACAUGGUACACACCAGUAAACAUAUAGCCAAACUUACCGGAGGGGAGGGCGUCGGGGUCGCCGGCACAGGGGAGGUGAGGCAGGGGCGGAGACCGGGAGGGAGGUGGGAGGGGGGUGGCGGCCGGGAAGUAGGUGGGAGGGGCGGCAUCGGCCGGGAGGGAGGUGGGAGGGGGUCGGGAGGGAGGUGGGAGGGGAAGGAAGGNNNNNNNNNNNNNNNNNNNNNNNNNNNNNNNNNNNNNNNNNNNNNNNNNNNNNNNNNNNNNNNNNNNNNNNNNNNNNNNNNNNNNNNNNNNNNNNNNNNNNNNNNNNNNNNNNNGCGGGGUGGUAGCCGUUAGAGGCGCCGGAGCCGUUAGGGCCAUGCCCCCUUUGCCGUUUGCAAAGGGAGGGUGGCGGACGGCAAAGGGGCGGGGUGGGUGGGGGUGUGGGUUCGGUCGUUGGGGGGGCUUUGCCGUCCACAUUGGGCUCCUUUGCCGUCCGCCAGCAGACGGCAAAGAGGUGGCCGACGGCAAAUAAAACCUUUGCCAUUAGCCACCUCUUUGCCGUGAGCACUGUGCCAACUGACGGCAAAGAGUGCCUUUGCCAUGCGUCAGCAAACGGCAAAGGCAAGGCAGAAGGCAAAAUUCUCAAUUCCAGUAGUGUACGCGUAUCGUUUUGAUGAUCAAGCAAGUAUUGCUCUAAAGGAUCAGUAGGAGGCACAACAAUAGAAGCUAGGGAAAUAAUUUCAUCCCUACUAGACAAUUCUUUUUCACGAGGUUGUCUACCAAACAUGGAGAAAUUGAAAUCAUGUGACACACCUUCAAAGCCAACAGUGAAAGUUUGCUUCUGACAGUCAAUAUGAGCAUUGACAGUAUUGAGGAAAUGUCUGCCAAAUAUGAUGGGAUAAAAGCUAUCUUGUGGGGUAGCAAGAACAAGAAAAUCAGCAGGAUACCUAGUUUUACCACACAAGACUUUAACAUCUCUAACAAUUUCCAAAGGGCAGAUAGUAUCUCUAUUGGCAAGCUGAAUAGUGACAUCAAUAGGUUCCAUCUCGACAAGCGCAAUCUCGUCUUUAAUUUCAUCAUAUCAAGAUUGAGGUAUUGCACUAACACUAGCACCCACGUCACAUAAACCAUGAUAACAAUGAGCUCCUAUCUUAACAGAAACAAGAGGCAUGCCAACAACAAGCGUAUGUUUGUCUCUAGCAUGAGGUUUAGCAAUUCUAGCAACAUCUUCACAUAAGUGAAUAUCAUGGCCAUCAACAUUAUCCGACAGGAGAUCUUUGAUAAUUGCAAUGCUACGUUCAACUCUAAUUUGCUCACGGGGUGUAGGUGUUCUAAUGUAGCCCCGACGUAUCACAGUUGAAGCUUUAGAAUGAUCCUUUAUUCUAACAGGGAAAGGUGGUUUCUCAAUGUAAGCACUAGGAAGAAUAGGAUCAUUAUAAGCAAUGACUUUCUCUUCAACUGGAUUGGGUUUAACCACAUUGACUUCUAAGGGAGGAUGGUAUUUAAACCACGUCUCUUUAGGGAGAUUCAUAUGAGCAGCAAAUGAUUCACAUAAUGAAGCUACUAUCUGAGAGUCAAGUCCAUGUUUAGCGCUAAAAUCACAAAAAGUAUGUGUUUCAACAAAGAUUUAACGCAAUCGAUCUUAAGAUUCAUACCUGACUCCUUACCUUCAUCAAACUCCCAAUCUUCAGAGUUGUGUUUAAUUCUUUCCAAUAAAUUCCAUUUGAAGUCAAUAUCUCUCUUCAUAAAAGAACCGGUACAAGAAGUGUCAAGCAUGGUACGGUUAUCAUGAGAAAGCCGAGCAUAAAAGUUCUGAAUAAUAAUUUCUCUCGAGAGCUCAUGGUUGGGGUAUGAAUAUAACAUUGACUUAAGCCUCCCCGAAGCUUGAGCGAUACUUUCUCUAUCACGAGGCGAAAAGUUAUAGAUAUAAUUCCAAUCACGAUGUACCAAAUGCAUAGGAUAAAACUUUUGAUGAAAUUCCAAUUUCAAUCGGUUGUAGUUCCAUGAUCCAGUAUCAUCACAUAGCCAAUACCAUGUCAAUGAUUUAUCCCUCAAAGAUAAGGGAAAGACCUUCUUCUUGACCUCAUACUCGGGCAAACCUGCAAGCUUAAAUAAACCACAAACUUCAUCUACAUAGAUUAGAUGCAAGUCGGGAUGUGAUGUUCCAUCUCCUGUAAAAGGAUUAGCCAACAGUUUCUGUAGAAUACCCAAAGGAAUUUCAUAACAAAUAUUUUCAGUAGGGGCAGGAGGUUGAGGAGCAACUCCUUUUGCUUCCGUUCGUGGUGAAGAUACCCCGAACAAGCUCCUCAAAGGAUUAGUUUCCAUAGUGACAAGUGACAAUAAAUUUCAGCACACUAUAUAAAUGUUUCCUUACCAAAUUCCACUUACCAAAGGCGCUUCACUCCCCGGCAACGGCGCCAGAAAAGAGUCUUGAUGACCCACAAGUGUAGGGGAUCUAUCAUAGUCCUUUCGAUAAGUAAGAGUGUCGAACCCAACGAGGAGCAGAAGGAACUGACAAGUGGUUUCCAGCAAGGUAUUCUGUGCGGGCACUGAAAUUAUCGGUAACAGAUAGUUGUGUGAUAGGAUACUCCGUAGCAAGUAGCAAGUAACAAAGGUGCAGCAAAGUGUCCCAAUCCCUUUUGUAGCAAGGUAAAAGCCUGGACAAACUCUUAUAGGAGGUGAAGCGCUCCCGAGGACACAUGGGAAUUUCUGUCAAGCUAGUUUUCAUCAUGUUCAUAUGAUUCGCGUUCGCUACUUUGAUAGUUUGAUAUGUGGGUGGACCGGUGAUUGGGUGCUGCCCUUACUUGGACAAACAUCCCACUUAUGAUUAACCCCUCUCGCAAGCAUCCGCAACUACGAAACAAGAAUUAAGACAAAGUCUAACCAUAGCAUUAAACUAGUGGAUCCAAAUCAGCCCCUUACGAAGCAACGCAUAAACUAGGGUUUAAGCUUGUGUCACUCUAGCAACCCAUCAUCUACUUAUUAAUUCCCAAUGCCUUCCUCUAGGCCCAAAUAAUCGUGAAGUGUUAUGUAGUCGACAUUCACAUAACACCACUAGAAGAAAGACAACAUACAUCGCAUCAAAACAUCGAACGAAUACCAAAUUCACAUGACUACUUAUAGCAAAACUUAUCCCAUGUCCUCAGGAACAAAAGUGACUACUCACAAAGCAUAAUUAUGUUCAUGGCCAGAGAGGUAUUGAAUAGAAUUAAGGAUCUGAACAUAUGAUCUUCCACCGAGUAAUCCAACUAGCAUCAACUACAAAGAGUAAUUAACACUACUAGCAACCUUACAAGUACCAAUCGGAGUUGCGAGACGGAGAUUGGUUACAAGAGAUGAACUACGGUUUGAAGAUGAGAUGGUGUUGAUGAACAUGUUGAUGGUGAUGAGUCCCGUCCAAUGAGAGGAGUGUUGGUGAUGACGAUUACGACGAUUUCCCCCUCCAGGAGGGAAGUUUCCCCGGCAGGACGGCCCUGCCGGAGCUCUAGAUUGGUUCUGCUCAAAUUCCGCCUUGUGGCGACAGCAAUUCCUCCCGAAAGCCUCGUUAUGAUUAUUUCUAGAACGAAACCCUCCUUAUAGAAAAAGAUGGGAGCCAGAGGGGCAACAGGGGGCCCACAAGCCACCUAGGGGAGGCCAGGGGGGUAGGCCGUGCCUGGCACGCUUGUGGCCUCCUGGUGGCUCCCCUCUGGUACUUCUUCCGUCCAGUAUUUUUUAUAAAAUCCAAAAUAAUUCCUCGUUGUUUUCACGGCUUUUGGAGUUGCGCAGAAUAGGUAUCUCAAACUUGCUCCUUUUUCAGAUAAGAAUUCCAGCUGGCAUUCUCCCUCUUCAUGUAAACCUUAUAAAAUAAGAGAGAAAAGGCAUAAGUAUUGUACCGUGAAGUGUAAUAACAGCCCAUAAAGCGAUAAAUAUCAACAUAAAAGCAUGAUGCAAAAUGGACAUAUCAAGGACCGAAAUCCUCAAGCUUCUAGCCGCAGGUAUUAUCUACCCUAUAGCUCAUAGUAAGUGGGUAAGUCCAGUACAUUGUGUUUCCAAGAAAGGAGGUAUGACUGUGGUUCCUAAUGAUAAGAAGGAACUAAUACCUCAAAGAAUUAUUAUUGGAUAUAGAAUGUGUAUUGAUUACAGGAAGCUGAAAAAGGCAACCAGGAAGGACCAAUACCCGCUGCCGUUCAUCGACCUAAUGCUUGAAAGGUUAUCGAAAAACACUCAUUGUUGCUAUCUUGAUGGGUACUCUGGCUUCUCUCAUAUUCAUGUUAAUACUGUCGAUCAAGAGAAGAACACUUUUACUUGUCCCUUUGGUACUUAGGCUUAUAGAUGUAUGCCUUUUGGUUUAUGUAAUGCUCCUGCUACUUUUCAAAGGUGUAUGUCUGCUAUCUUUCAUGGGUUUUGUGAGUAAAUUGUGGAGGUCUUCAUGGACGAUUUCUCCUUCUAUGGAACCUCUUUUGACCAUUGUCUCCACAACCUUAGUAAAGUUUGGCUGAGAUGCGAGGAGACGAACUUGGUACUCAACUGGGAGAAGUGCCACUUCAUGGUCAAUGAGGGAAUUGUUCUUGGCCACAAGAUUUCUGAAAAAGGAAUCAAGGUGGACAGGGCAAAGGUUGAAGCAAUCGAGAGAAUGACUUAUCCAAAAUACAUCAGAGGUAUUCGUAGUUUACUCGGUCAUGCUAGAUUCUAUAGGAGAUUUAUUAAAGACUUUUCUAAAACUUCGAAACCCCUUACUAAUCUUCUUGAGAAGGAUAUUCCUUUUGUGUUUGAUUAAGAUUGUAAGGAAGCGUUCGAUGUUCUUAAGAAAUCCUUGAUAACCGCCCCUAUAGUCCAACCACCUGAUUGGAAUUUGCCUUUUGAAAUCAUGUGUGAUGCUAGUGAUUUUGCUAUUGGAUAUAUGUUAGGACAAAGGGUUGAUAAGAAAUUGAAUGUUAUUCAUUAUGCUAGAAAAACCCUUGACACUGUUCAAAAGAAUUACGCUACUACUGAGAAAGAAUUUUUAGUGGUAGUGUUUGCUUGUGAUAAGUUUAGGCCUUACAUUGUUGAUUCUAAAGUCAUCAUUCAUACUGAUCAUGCUGCUAUUAAGUAUCUUAUGGAAAAGAAGGAUGCCAAACCAAGGCUUAUCAGAUGGGUCCUUCUUCUUCAAGAAUUUGAUUUGCAUAUUGUUGAUAGGAAAGGAGCAGACAACCCUCUAGCAGACAACCUUUCCAGGAUGGAGGACAUUACACACGAUCCCAUUCCAGUCAACGAUAGUUUUCCUGACGAACAGUUAGUUGUUUUACAUGUGAAAUAUAAUUCAGAUCCAUGGUUGCAGAUUAUGCUAACUUUAUUGUUGCAAAGUUUUUGCCUCCAUGUUUAACAUUCCAACAACGGAAUAAGUUCUUCCAUGACUUGAGGUAUUACUUUUGGGAUGACCCACAUCUUUUUUGAGAAGGUGCGGAUGGAAUUGUGAGGAGAUGCAUACCGGAGCAUGAGGAGAAUGAUAUCUUGAGAUGACGUCAUAGCAAUCCUGAUGGAGGACAUCAUGCCGGUGAGAAGACCGCACACAAGGUUCUCCAAUCAGGUUUUUAUUGGCCUACUCUCUCUAAAGAUGCUAGAAAUUAUGUUUUAUCAUGUGAUAUGUGCCAGAGAGUUGGUAAUAUUAGUAGGUGGAAUGAGAUGCCUAUGAAUUAUUCGCUAGUCAUUGAGCCUUUUGUUUGCUGGAGUCUUGAUUUUAUGGGUCCUUUCCCUCCUUCACACAAGUACACUCACAUCUUAGUAGAUGUACAUUAUGUGACCAAGUGGGUUGAAGCAAUCCCCACCGAAAGUGUUGAUCACAAGACAUCUUUGAAAAUGCUCAAGGAUGUAAUCUUCCCUAGGUUUGGUGUACCUAGGUACCUCAUGACCGACGGAGGAUCACAUUUUACACACGGUGCUUUUAGAAAAGCUCUAUCCAAAUAUGAUGUUAAUCAUAAAACUAAUUCACCUUACCACCCUCAAACAAGUGGGCAAGUUGAGCUCACAAAUAGAGAGAUCAAGUUGAUCUUGAAAAAGACCAUGAAAAGUUCUAGAAAGGACUGGUCCAAUAAGCUAGGAUAUGCCUUGUGGGCGUAUAGAACUGCUUACAAAAAAUCCGAUGGGGAUGUCUCCAUAUAAUAUGGUUUAUGGCAAGGCAUGCCAUCUACCAUUAGAGUUACAUCACAAAGCUUUCUCUGCUGUUAGAGAGCUUAAUGUUGAUCCAAAGCUUGCUGGUGAAAAGCAUCUCAUGAACUUGACUUCUCUAGAUGAGUGGAGAAGUGAAGCUUACGAGAGCACAAAAAUGUUCAAAGAAAAGGUAAAGAAGUUGCAUGACAAGAGAAUUUUGAAAUGUGAAUUUAAUGUUGGUGACAAAGUUUUGUUGUAUAGAUCUCGUUUCAGGUUUUCUCGAGGUCAAUUACUUUCCAAGUGGGAAGGACCAUACCAUAUCGAAGAAGUCUACCACUCCGAAGCAAUAAAGAUUAAUAAUUUUGAAGGCACAAAACCACACGUUGUGAAUGUGCAAAUACUUAAGCUUUACAUGGAUGGAGACCCCAUCAAUGUAGAGGUGGAUGUGAUACAGGUAGCCACUCACGAAGAACAUAUUGCAACACUGUAUCACACACCGACAAAAGCAGAAUAAGAAAAGGUAUGAAAUACAGUAUGGAAACUUCACGAACAUCAAUAAAAGUUCUUUAUUAUGUGUUUUUGCAAAAAUAGGAAAAUUCUGAGCCAAAGCGGAGCCGGAGAGGAGCUCCAGGUCACCCAGGCAACCUGCUAGCACAGGCUAUCUCCUGGCCGCGCCAGGAGGCCGCCUGGACCACCCGGAGUCCGUCUCCGACACCACUUUGGCUAGUUACCUUCCUUUUGGUGCAGAAAUCUUUCCUAUAUAUUUUCCAGGAUCGUCCCGGCUUUGUAUCUUGCGAUUCCGUGCAUUUUCUUUUCGAUCUGUUUGUGCCAGGAAAAUUUUCAGGAAACUUAGGUGCCAUGGCUUCCCCAAAAUCUCCCAAGGACAAGUUCCUCGUCAACGUCAUCAACCCUUACCUCGCAGAGGUAAAAAGACACCCUCAAACACUUUGAGUGGAGGAUGGUGUCCUCCACAAAGAAGAUUCGAAGGGACCAUCAAGGAGGGGAGCACGAGGGCCAGGCUGGAAGAAGUGGAGCAAAUUGUUACCAAGUACAAGUUGACGAUCGAGCGUGGGGUCGAGGCCACCUACGAUAUCACCGCCGAGCUGGAGAGGGAACAUGAGGAGGAGAUGAAGAAAGUGCGAUUAAUCAUAUACGCAUUAGAAACCAAAGUGUUCGAGCUUCAAGGGCACAUAUAUGACCUUCAAAACCAGAGUUGUGAGUAUGAACUUAAGUUUUUGCGCAUAGGCUUAUCUACCGAAAGCAGGAUCUUGGAGACUGAAGAAUCAUGUGUGGAGGGAGGACCUCUGCCAUGGAAGCGUUUCCCUAAGGAUUACCCGAGGAACAAACCAAGGAUGAAGAGUGCAUUCUUCAUGGGUAAUGGCAUUCCCUUAGCUUGUUCCAAGCAUGGGGGAGUGCCGGGUAUCUUUAGUUUUUAUCAUUUACUCUUUAUGGUCAAGUUUAGUGUCGUAUCAUGUCUAGGUAAGUGAUACGUCUCCAACGUAUCUAUAAUUUUUGAUGGUUUCAUGCUAUUAUCUUGUCAAACUUUGGAUGUUUUGCAUGUCUUUUUUUAUUUUCUGGGACUAACCUAUUAACUCAGUGCCAAAUGCCAGUUCCUGUUUUUUCCAUGUUUUUGACCCCUUUCAGAGGAGAUUUUCUAACGAAGUCCAAACGGAAGAAAAUCCCCGAAAAGUUUUUUUCUCGAACGGAAGAAGAUCGGAGAGCUUGGGGGCCAAGCCAGAAGAGCCGCAGGGGCCCCACAAGUCCCCACCCGGCGGCCAGGGGGGCGCCAUGGAAGCUUGUGGCCCCACUGGAGGUCCCCUGACCUAGAUCUUGCGCCUAUAAAUUCCCAAAUAUUCCCAAAAAAUCAGGGGAGCAUCGUAAUCACUUUUCCACCGCCGCAAGCUUCUGUCUCCGCAAGAUCUCACCAGGGGCACGUCCUGGUGCCCUGCCGGAGGGGGGAUUCGGACACAGAAGGCUUCUCCAUCAACACCAUGACCUCUCCGAUGAUGCGUGAGUAGUUCACCAUAGACCUACGGGUCCAUAGCUAGUAACUAGAUGGCUUCUUCUCUCUCUUGGAUCUUCAAUACAAAGUUCUCCAUGAUCUUCAUGUAGCUCUAUCCGAUGUAAUCUUCUUUUGCGGUGUGUUUGUCGAGAUCCGAUGAAUUAUGGAUUUAUGAUAAGAUUAUCUAUGAAUCUUAUUUGAGUUUCUUCUGAUCUCUCUUAUGCAUGAUUUCAUAUCCUUGUAAUUCUCUUCGAGUUGUGGGUUUUGUUUGGCCAACUAGAUCAAUGAUUCUUGCCAUGGGAGAAGUGCUUGGUUUUGGCUUCAUACCGUGCGGUGACCUCACCCAGUGACAGAAGGGGUAGCGAGGCACGUAUCGUGUUGUUGCCAUCAAGGGUAAAAAGAUGGGGUUUUCAUCAUUGGUUUGAGAUUAUCCCUCUACAUCAUGUCAUCUUGCUUAAAGAAUUACUCUGUUCGUCAUGAACUCAAUACACUAGAUGCAUGCUGGAUAGCGGUCGAUGUGUGGAGUAAUAGUAGUAGAUGCAGAAAGUAUCGGUCUACUUGUCUCGGACGUGAUGCCUAUAUGCUAGAUCAUUGCCUUAGAUAUCGUCAUGACUUUGCGCGGUUCUAUCAAUUGCUCGAUAGUAAUUUGUUCACCCACCGUAAUACUUUCUAUUUUGAGAGAAGCCUCUAGUGAACACCAUGGCCCCCAGGGUCUACUCCAGACCAUAUUUUCAUCCUUACACUUUUUACUUUGUUGCACUUUCCGCCUUCAGAUCUCACUUCUGCAAACAAUCUUCAAGGGAUUGACAACCCCUUUGAAGCGUUGGGUGCAAGUUUGUUUGUGUUUGCGCAGGUACUCUGGACUUGACGAGAGCCUCCUUCUGGAUCGAUACCUUGGUUCUCAAACUGAGGGAAAUAGUUACUGCUCCUGUGCUGCAUCACCCUUUCCUCUUCAAGGGAAAAACCAACGCAAGCCCAAUCUCCGUCAACGUGUCAAUUUCUAGCGCUGUUGUUUGAGAAGUAGCAGAAGGAUUUCCGGCGCCGUUGCGAGGGAGGAAGAUCAAGUCAAGAACUCAUCCAAGUAAGUGUCGCAAAAUCAUCUCUUGCAUUUACUUUGUUUGCCAGUUGCCUCUCGUUUUCCUCUCCCCCACUUCACCAAUUUGCCUUUUUUCGUUCGCCUUUUUGUUCGCCCUUUUUCUCGCCCGCUUUUUGUUUGCUCGUGUGCUUGCUUGCUUGCUGAAGUCACCAUGAAUGAAAACACCAAACUUUGUGACUUCUCGAAUACUAAUAAUAAUGAUUUUAUUAGUACUCUGAUUGCUCCCGCCACUAGUGCGGAGUCAUACGAAAUCAAUGCUGCUUUGCUGAAUCUUGUUAUGAAAGAGAAAUUCUCUGGCCUUCCUAGUGAAGAUGCCACAUCCCAUCUCAAUACCUUCAUUGAGCUUUGCGAUACGCAAAAGAAAAGAGAUGUGGAUAAUGACGUGAUUAAAUUGAAGCAUUUUCCUUUCUCGUUGCGAGAUCGCACAAAAACUUGCUUUUCUUCUUUGCCCAAAAAUAGUAUCGAUUCUUAGGAUAAGUGCAAAGAUGCUUAUAUAUCCAAGUAUUUUCCGCCGGCUAAGAUCAUCUCUCUCCGUAAUGAUAUCAUGAAUUUCAAGCAACUUGAUCAUGAGCAUGUUGCACAAGCUUGGGAGAGAAUGAAAUUAAUGAUUAGAAAUUGUCCCGCUCAUGGCUUGAGCCUUUGGAUGAUUAUUCAAAUCUUUUACGCUGGCUUGAAUUUCGCUUCUAGAAAUAUCUUGGACUCUGCCUCAGGUGGAACGUUCAUGGAAAUCACGUUAGGAGAAUCCACAAAGCUCUUAGACAACAUCAUGACGAAUUACGCUCAGUGGCACACUGAAAGGUCACCUACUAGUAAGAAGGUACACGCUAUAGAAGAAAUUAACUCGUUCAGUGCUAAGAUGGAUGAGUUAAUGAAUUUGGUUGCUAGUAGAAGUGCUCCUUUGGAUCCUAAUUAUUUGCCUUUGUCUUCUUUGAUUGAGAGUAGCAACGCUAGCUUGGACGUAAAUUUUGUUGGUAGGAAUAACUUUGGCAACAACAAUGCUUUUAGAGGAAACUAUGUUCCUAGGCCUUUUCCUAGUAACUCCUCUAAUAACUUUGGCAACUCCUACAACAAUACCCAUGGAAAUUACAAUAGAUUACCCUCUCAUCUAGAGAGUAAUAUCAAAGAGUUCAUCAACUCUCAAAAGAUUUUCAAUGCGUCCAUAGAAGAAAAACUACUCAAAAUUGACGAUUUGGCUAAGAGUGUUGAUAGGAUUUCAUGUGAUAUUGAUGCUUUGAAAGUUAGAUGUGCUCCUCCCAAAAUCGACAUGGAUGAAACUUUGAAAGCUAUGCGUGUUUCCAUGAUUGACAGCCAAGAAAGAACCGCCCAAAUUCGUGCUACACAUGAAUGGCUUAAAAAGGCGUGUUCUCGUGAUGAGAAUCACAAAGAUCUUAAAGUGCUUGGUGUGACUCCCAUUGAAUCCUUGUUUUCCUGUGUCAAACCUAAUGAUUAUGGGGCUGGAUAUGAAUCCACUUUGGUUGAAAAGUGCCCCAAUGAUUCGGAGUCCAUCUAUCUUGAUGCUAAAAGCGUUAAAAGUGGAGUAGAAGAUGUUAAAACUUUGAGUAGUAAUUAAGUUACUACCAUGGAUUUCAAGGAAUUCAAUUAUGAUAGUUGCUCCUUGAUUGAAUGCAUUUCUUUGAUGCAAUCCAUGUUAAACUCUCCGCACGCUUAUAGCCAAAACAAAGCCUUUACCGAUCAUAUCGCCGAAGCUAUGAUAAAAGCUCUUGAAGAGAAACUUGAAUUGGAAGUCUCUAUCCCUAGAAAGCUUCAUGAUGAGUGGGAACCUACCAUCAAAAUCAAAAUAAAAAAACUAUGAUUGCAAUGCUUUGUGUGAUUUGGGUGCUUGUGUUUCUACGAUUCCAAAGUCUUUAUGUGAUAUUCUGGGUUUUAAUGAGAUUGAAGAGUGUUCUCUUAAUUUGCAUCUUGCUGAUUCUACUAUCAAGAAACCCAUGGGAAGGAUCAAUGAUGUUCCUAUUAUUGCAAAUAGGAACUAUGUACCCGUGGAUUUCAUUGUGCUUGACAUUGAUUGCAAUCCUACAUGCCCUAUUAUUCUUGGUAGACCUUUCCUAAGGACUAUCGGUGCUAUCAUCGAUAUGAAGGAAGGGAAUAUUAGAUUUCAAUUUGCUUUAUGGAAAGGCAUGGAACACUUUCCUAGAAAGAAAAUAAGAUUGCCUUAUGUAUCCAUGAUGAGGGCUACUUAUGGUUUAAGCACCAAAGACGACGAUACGUGAUUCUAUCCCUUCUAUGCCUAGCUAAGGGCGUUAAACAAUAGCACUUGUUGGGAGGAAACCCAAUGAAUUUAUCUUUUUCUUUCUAUUUUGUUGCGUCCACACUUUCACAAUUCUGUUGUGAUUAUGUUUUUUAUGUUUCUUUUUGUGUUUGAGCAAGCAAAGCCUUUAUGAUUGUUCUUGGUAAUGGUUGUUUGAUCCUGCUGGAAAAAGACCUAAACUUUUCUCUCACGAGAUGAUUUUUCGUUUUUAUUCAGAAAGAGAUUUUGAGUUGAUUAUUUUUGCUGCUGAUUGAUAUGGUUUUUCCCUAGACCGUCGUAAUUUUUCAGAUUUUUUAAGGUACGAGAAGUAUACGAAGUAUACAGAUUGCUACAGACUGGUCUGUUUUUUGACAGAUUCUGUUUUUGUUGAGUUGGUUGCUUGUUUUGAUGAAACUAUGGUUAGUAUCGGGGGGUACUAGCCAUGGGAAAGUGAGAAUACAGUAUCCCAUCAUCAAUAUAGAUGUAAUUCAAAUUUACUACAGUACCAAAAGAAGUGGUAGUUUGUUUUCUUGUACUAAUGUUAUCACAAGUUUCUGUUUAAGUUUUGUGUUGUGAUGUUUUCAAGUUUUGGGUGACGUUCUCAUGGACAAAGAGAUAAGGAGUGGAAAGAGAUCAAGCUUGGGGAUGCCCUAGGCCCCCAAGCCAAAUUCGACGACACCAAAAAUCCUAAGCUUGGGGAUGCCCCGGGAAGGCAUCCCCUCUUUCGUCUUCAAUCCAUCGUUAACAUUACUUGGAGAUAUAUUUUUAUUCACCACAUGAUAUGUGUUUUUCUUGGAGCGUGUUGUACCAUAGGAGGCUUUUCUUUUUGUUGUGUCACAAUCAUCCUUGUUGCACACCUUUUUUAGAGAGAGAAACAUGCACUCAUCGUGAUUUUGCUAGAAUGCUCAUAGUGCUUCACUUAUAUCUUUUGAGCUAGAUACUUUUGCUCAUAGUGCUUCACUUAUAUCUUUUGAGCUAGUUACUUUUGCUCUAAUGCUUCACUUAUAUCUUUGGAGCUAGAUACUUUUUCUCUAGUGCUUCACUUAUAUCUUUUGAGCUAGAUACUUUUUCUCUUGUGCUUCACUUAUAUAUUUUGAGCUAGAUACUUUUGCUCUUGUGCUUCACUUAUAUCUUUAGAGCACGACGGAGUGUGAUUUGGUAGUGGGCUUAUGCUAUGAAAGUAGUCCCAUGUGCUAGACACCCAAAGAGGAUGCAAAAACCUCCAUCUUCAAGUGCAUUGAGUAGAAAGAGAAGUUUUGAUUCCUCUCAAUUAGUUUUGAGACACGGAUUCGGUAAUAUUGAGAGUUAUGUUAGUAGGGUGUUGUGAAUCUAGAAAUACUUGUGUGGAAGUUAGUGCUUCCCGUAGCAUGCACGUAUGGUGAACCGCUAUGUUAGGAAGUCGGAGCACAAUUAAUCUAUUGAUUGUCAUCCUUUGUGUUGAGGUCGGGAUCGCGCGAUGGUUUACACCUACCAACCCUUCCCCUGGGAGUAUGCGUUUAGCACUUUGUUUCGAUUACUAAUAAAAACUUUUGCAACCAGUAUGUGAGUUCUUUAUGACUAAUGUUGAGUCCAUGGUAUGGAUGCACUUUCACCUUCCACCUUUGCUAGCCACUCUAGUGCCGCGAAAUUCUCGCAGUACUCAAACCCACCAAAUUCCUUCCUCAAAACAGCCACCAUACCUACCUACUAUGGCAUUUUUCAUAGCCGUUCCGAGAUAUAUUGCCAUGCAACUACCACCGUUCCAUCUCAUGACUUGUGCCGUCACUCUCAUAUUGCCAUUGCAUGAUCAUACUAGAUCGUUGCACAUCCCGAUACACUGCCGGAGGCAUGUCCUAUGGAGUCAUCAUCAUUGUGAUCUUUGAGCUUUGAGUAACUAGAAAGUGUGAUGAUCAUCAUUAUUAGAGCAUUGUCUCAUGUGAGGAAAUAAUAUAAAAAUAGGCCAAAGAGCCCAAAAACAAAAAAAGAGAAAAAAAGAGGACUAAGAGCCCAAAUAAAAAAUGAGAGAAAAAGAGAGAAGGUACAACGCUACUCUCUUUUUCCACACUUGUGCUUCAUAAUAGGACCAUGUUCUUCAUGAUUGAGAGCUUCUUGCUUUGUCACUACCAUAUGCUAGUGGGAAUCUUCGUUUUAUAACUUGGCUUGUAUAUUCCAAUGAUGGGCUUCCUCCAAAUUGCCCUAGGUCAUCGUGAGCAAGCAAGUUGGAUGCACACCCACUAGUUUUCCUCUUGAUCUUUCACAUACUUAUAGCUCUAGUGCAUCUCUUGUAUGGCAAUCCCUACUCAUUCACAUUGAUAUCUAUUAAUGGGCAUCUCCAUAGCCUAUUGAUAUGCCGAGUCAAUGUGACCAUCUCCUCCUUCUUGUCUCACAACCACCACCACACUCUAUUCCACCUAUAGUGCUAUAUCCAUGGCUCACGCUCAUGUAUUGCGUGAUAGUUAUAAAAAGUUUGAGAAAGUAAGAAUGCGAAAACAAUUACUUGGCCAAUUCCGGGGUUGUACAUGAUUUACAUUAGUUGUGUGAGGAUGAUGGAGCAUAGCCAGACUAUAUGAUUUUGUUUUGAAUCGUACGGAUCUGAACAUUCGUGCCACGUGAAAGAAGUUGCAAAGGACAACUAAGCUAGGCAGCAUUCCACAUCAAAAAAUCAUUCUUUAUCACUUCCCUACUCGAGGACAAGCAGGAGUUAAGCUUGGGGAUGCUCGAUACGUCUCCAACGUAUCUAUAAUUUUGAUGGUUUCAUGCUAUUAUCUUGUUAAACUUUGGAUGUUUUGCAUGCCUUUUAUUUAUUUUCUGGGACUAACCUAUUAACUCAGUACCAAGUGCUAGUUCCUCUAUUUUCCAUGUUUUUGAUCCCUUUCAGAGGAGAUUUUGAAACAGAGUCCAAACGGAAGAAAAUCCGCGAAAAGAUUUUUUCUGGAACGGAAAAAGAUCAGAGAGCUUGGGGGCCAAGCCAGAAGAGCCCUAGGGGCCCCCACAAGCCCCCACCCCGCGGCCAGGGGGGCACGCCAUGCAGGCUUGUGGGCCCCCUAGAGGUCCCCUGACCUAGAUCUCUCGCCUAUAAAUUCCCAAAUAUUCCCAAAAAAAUCAGGGGAGCAUCGUAAUCACUUUUCCGCCGCCGCAAGCUUCUGUCUCCGCAAGAUCCCAUCUGGGGCACGUCCUGGUGCCCUGCUGGAGGGGGGAUUCGGACACGGAAGGCUUCUCCAUCAACACCAUGACCUCUCUGAUGAUGCGUGAGUAGUUCACCACAAACCUACGGGUCCAUAGCUAGUAACUAGAUGGCUUCUUCUCUCUCUUGGAUAUUCAAUACAAAGUUCUCCAUGAUCUUCAUGGAGAUCUAUUCGAUGUAAUCUUCUUUUGCGGUGUGUUUGUCGAGAUCUGAUGAAUUGUGGAUUUAUGAUAAGAUUAUCUAUGAAUCUUAUUUAAGUUUCUUCUGAUCUCUCUUAUGCAUGAUUUCAUAUCCUUGUAAUUCUCUUCGAGUUGUGGGUUUUGUUUGGCCAACUAGAUCUAUGAUUCUUGCCAUUGGAGAAGUGCUUGGUUUUGGGUUAAUACCGUGCGGUGACCUCACCCAGUGACAGAAGGGGUAGCGAGGCACGUAUCGUGUUGUUGCCAUCAAGGGUAAAAAGAUGGGGUUUUCUUCAUUGGUUUGAGAUUAUCCCGCUACAUCAUGUCAUCUUGCUUAAAGCGUUACUCUUUUCAUCAUGAACUCAAUACACUAGAUGCAUGCUGGAUAGAGGUCGAUGUGUGGAGUAAUAGUAGUAGAUGCAGAAAGUAUCCAUCUACUUGUCUCGGACGUGAUGCCUAUAUGCUAGAUCAUUGCCUUAGAUAUCGUCAUGACUUUGCGCGGUUCUAUCAAUUGCUCUAUAGUAAUUUGAUCACCCACCGUAAUACUUGCUAUUUUGAGAGAAUCCUCUAGUGAACACUAUGGCCCCCAGGGUCUACUCCACACCCUAUUUUCAGCCUUACACUUUUUACUUUGUUGAACUUUCCGCCUUCAGAUCUCUCUUUUGCAAACAAUCUUGAAGGGAUUGAAAACCCCUUUGAAGCGUUGGGUGCAAGUUUGUUUGUGUUUGCGCAGAUACUCUGGACUUGACGAGACCCUCCUUCUGGAUUGAUACCUUGGUUCUCAAACUGAGGGAAAUACUUACUGCUCCUGUGUUGCAUCACCCUUUCCUCUUCAAGGGAAAAACCAACGCAAGCCCGAUCUCCGUCAACGUGUCACUUUCUGGCACUGUUGUUUGAGAACUAGCAGUAAGUUAUCUUAUGAAAUAGGUGUUUGCAUUGAUGCCUAUCACUCUUUUGUGGAGAGUUUAUAUUCGUGAGCGUGCAGUGUCUAUGAUGGAAUAUUAAUGAGAAGUCUAUUCGUUUCUUUGCUGCACUUGGUAUCCUCUUCAUGCAAUCGAUCUUAUAUGUUGAUUCUUAUGGGGGUAUUGAUAUUACACAUCAGGUAUGGCUUUGAAACUUUAUUUAACCUUGGCUAACAUAGCAUUGGUCAUAGCAACAAGCAUGACUUUUUCUAGUAGCGACAUAGCCAAAACCUUUGUGUUCUUAUGCUUGAAGUGUUAUGCUGACAAGGAAGACAACUUGAUGUUUUAUGUCAAUUCUUUAUGUUAAAAUUUAUAUUGUUUUGCAUCCAAGUCAACAUUAUUUGUCUGCUUUCAAAAGUAUUUGCUAGACAACCCUUGCACUAAGCGGGAAUACUUCUUGUGCAUCUAUACCCUGAAACCUCAACCUUCCCAAGAGUCCACCAUACCUUCCCUAUACGUGGUAUUUCACCGCCACUCCUAAAGUAUAUUACUCAUGUGCUAUCUUUAAACCUUCAAAUAUUAUUCCCUGUUUUGUGCCUCUGCUUUCGCUCAUGAGGAAAUAGUAGGUAAUUCAUGAUCUUCUCAUAUUGGACAAGUUUUAUCUUGGGUUUGCAUAUCUAAUCUGCGAACCCCUAACACCAGAAGGGACUAGCAUGAGCGCGCCCAGCUCGUAAAAGAUAAUAACAACCAAAAAAACCUCCUUCACGCUUUGUUGAUGACAAAUCAGAAAACUUUGGUGGUGAUAAACAAAGGAGACUAAGGGGAUGUGAUCAUCCCCACUUUGGGAUCCGUUCCUCAAAACUUGUCCCACAUGAGAAGUAUUGGGCUAUCUACUAGCAUUCGUUGAGAAAUCAUGCACCUCUCAAAAGCUUGUUUUACAAUCUUGUUGAUCUCUAAAAACCUCUAGCACAUGAGUUUUCCUUACUUCCCUCUGCGAAGGGCCAAUCUUUUACUUUUAUGCUGAGUUAUUAAACCUACUUCUUUCUAUGCUGAAAAGAACACACACUUUAUGUUUACAAAGAUGCAUGCAUUUAUAUUGUUUCAUUGAGAGUUGUCAUAUUACACCUUUGUUGAUGGUAUCAUUAAGAUAAGUAAGUUGUUUGUUAAAGCUUAGCGAAAGCAAACAUCUUCCUUUGUGUUAGCAUUUUCACUUCCUGACUAAUAACAUGUUCUUUCAAAAAGCUUCAGUUGAUCUCAUCAAAGUAUAAGAGGAAGAGCAAUAGUUAAAAGUUAUUAGUUGUUCUUUGACUAAGGACAUGGUUGCCAUGGUUUGAUGAGUUUUCUUAGCUCUACAUUUGAUUGUAAUUGAGAUUACUCUUUCAUAAGGGCCUUAUGAGUUGAGAUUGCUCUUGAGGAUGGUUGAGUUUAGUAGAGAAAUUAUGAUGCUUCUUGUCCGUAUUCUUAUUUAUCGACACUUCACUCUUUAAACUUAUGGACAGGUUUACCGAGCUCAAUAUUCGCUUGGGGACAAGCGAAGUCUAAGCUUGGGGGAGUUGAUACGUCCAAAAUGCAUCAGUAUUUUGUAUCAUAAUUUUCCUCUACUCAUUGAUAUAUUUCACUUUAUGAUGAUGUACUUAUAGUGUUUUGGCUUAUUUUACACAGUUUAAUACUUUCCGAUGCCGAAACAGCAGAAGCAGGAUUGUGCGGAGAAAAUAGUACGAAGAGUUACACUAUCAGAACAUCUCCAACUAUGCUGAAAACCGUACGGAAGAAGUUCCGAACGGAUCCCAAAGACAGGCCAAAGAAGAGAUGGAGGGGGGGCCACCAAUCACCGAGGCGACCUGCUGGCGCGGGCCCCCUAGGCCAUGCCAAGAGGCCGCCUGGGUGGUGGGUCCCGCCUUCAGUGCUCUCCUUUGUCCUAUAUGUCCCUCUUGACCAAAAAUUACGGGGACGGAAGAGUUUUCACGAUUCCGUCGCCGCUCCGCGGCGAAAACCUACAAAGAAAAAAAUACCUUUCCGGCGGGCAGAUUCCGCUCGGGAGAACUCCUCCCAGAAGGGGAGAUCGUCCUCAACCGUCGUCACUAUCGUCACAGGCAUCAUCGAGAUCAUCAUCGCCAUGAUCUCCAACACCAACACCAUCUCCACCUUCUUCCCAUCUACUUCACCAUUGCAAUCGGAGUUGUACCUUGCUCUAUUCAUCGCCUCUACUCUAUCGGUGUUGGUUACUCUUUUGUGGUGAAUGCUAUUGAGUUUUGUUGGAGGAUUAUUGUUACGAAAAGAUUGUUAAUCAUAUUUUCAUCACCUACGAUCAUGAUGUCUUUUAGGUCUUGUGAGUGGUUCCAUUAGUUCUUGAGGACAUGGGAAAAGUCUAGAUGCUAGUAGUCAUAUGAUGUUGAAGUAAUAUGUGUUGAUUGAUAUUUAAGUUAUGAUGUCAUUCUUCUAAUACUGUUAUGUGAACAUCGACUACAUAACACUUCAUGUUUUUAAGGACCUAGGGGAAUGCAUCGUGUAGAAAGAAUGCUUAUGGUUGGUUGUCGGAGUGACAGAAACCUGAACCCUAGUUCGCAUACUUUUGCAUGAGGGGGUAUUGGAUCCUAAAGCUUAUUGCUAUGGUUAGGCUUAGCCCUAAUUUCUCUCUUGUAUUUGCGGAUGCUUGCAAGAGGGAUUAAUUAUAAGAGUGUACUUGUCUUAGCCUAUACGGUGCGCUAGUUAAGAUCCACCCACAUAACACUUAUCAAUACAAAACAUAGUACUAGACAGAGUAUGGCGAAAGCACAUGACUAUCUCUCCCGUGUGUCCUUAGGAACGCCUUAGUCUUUAUAAGUUUAGUCCCUUGGAUUAUCAUUUGUGUUUAAAAGGAUUGGGCCACUUGCUGCACCUUGGCAUGAUUUACUUUACUUGCAUUUAAUUCCUUGUUGCUUAUACUAGAAAACCCAUAGAAAGUUACCUUUCAGUGCUUGCACGUAUUCCUUGCUCAAGAUCACUUGUCAAUACCUCCUGCUCCUCAUUGGGUUCAACACUCUUACUUAUCGAAAAGGCUACGAUAGAUCCCCUACACUUGUGGGUCAUCAGUUCCCCAACUAAAACCUCUCUUUAUAAACAGAUCACAUCCGUCCUUCGGUGACAAUCACCCUUCAGGCUCCACCAAGAAACCCUAAAGCUCCAACGCCCAGAGCCAUGGCGGGUUGCUGCUCGCGACCCUUUGUCCCUCUCCCAGGAGAUUGGCCAAGCUACUCCGUUUCCCUGCUCCAGUUGCGCAACCUCGAAGUACAAGGGUAUCUUCCCACAUUGGAUCUUGCGCCCACUCGCGCUGGAUUGACCUCCGCAAAUGGCAAGGCUUUCAUAGAGAAUUUCCCUACCCCGCAAAAGGGAGAAAGGAUCUGCUUCGUCUCUUUCCUGCUGUGAGGUCGGGGCUUCCCGGUUCACCCCUUCCCGAGGGGCUUAUUGGAAUUUUAUGGGCUACACCUUCAUAACCUGACCCCAGGCUCAUUCCUUCACAUCUCACACUUCGACCUACGGAGAAAAUAUUUCUGCCUCGUUCCCCGAACUAGGGGAACAUCAAUUCGGGAAGUCGGCGAAGCCAAAGUGUGGAGUAUAGCUCGUACCAGAUACCCGGUCGAGGCUCAUCAUAAGGAAACCAAUGAGUGGUCUUCAGAAUAGUUUUAUAUUGAGGACAUUCCCUUAUUCGGCCUAGUUCGGAGGGGUUGUUACCGAAUACCCCGAGGUCCCAUUAAAGAAGCAGUUCAAGUGACAGUCGGUCAGUCCCUCCCAAGAAGAGAGCCCUGAAGUAAAACACCUAGCGGCAAAGGUGAGGUUACUUGCUCACAGCGGGCUAACCGUCGUCGAGGUGAUGGCUGCGGCAAUUACCUGGUGUGUCCAGCCACUCCAACUGCGUAUGCACCAUUUGUGGCACUAUAACAGGACAAGUGACACUACGCGUUCUAGACGACAUGGACCGGAUAAUCAAGAAGCUUUAGUGGUUAUUCUGGCCGACUUCGUUAAGGGGUAAAAGAUAAUUUUGCCCGCCUCACUAUGAGGGACGUUUACUGGGUAUAUAUUACCGUCGAAUGGGUAAGUGUGAUCAUAAUCCCAUAGUCUGGAUGCUUAUGCUUGACUUUACCGAUCAAUAACCCCUUUCUCUCCUUAAUAGACUUGGAGGUGUUGGAUUGAGACGGUCGACUGCCCCGCCCCUCAGUCCAAGAAUUACUCCCAUGACGAUGACCCGAGAUUACAUGAGGAUCCGGAGAUUUCAAUCGAAUUUGAGGGUGGAGUAUUUUACCAAGAAAGCGUCGACAAACUCAAGGUGGACCUUGAGGCAGCAAUCCUGGGCCUCUUCCGUCUUCCAGAACGAACAAAAGGGAAACCAAUACUCGAAGAGGGGAUAUACCCCCAUUGUCCCAAAAGUUCCUACAUCCAACCCCAAGGGACGUUGGUCCAUGCGCCUAACUUCAUGCCGAGCUAUACCGGCUAGGGCUGCACCGACCGAGAACAAGUUUCUCGGAUAAGGGACAACGUCGAAAAAAAUGUCGGACGCCCCUUCGACCAAGAGGUAUAUAUAUCAAUCGCUCCCUUUUUUAUGGUAAUGACUACCUUGACUAUUCAUGACCCAUAGCCGAAAUAUUCAGGAGACGUGUGCAACCUUCAUCUGAAAACGCUGCCGAAGUGUACGCCAAUCAUCAAAACCCGAGGUCUUCGGCUAACACGAGAGUUCCGAAUACGGACUUAUUCCUUGACGACCCCGAGGAGUUUUCGGCAACUAAUUCCGAAGCCUAAAGCUUGAUGAACCAUCAGCGGCAAAAGAAGUCCUUGCGCCACCCUGUUUUUUAUGAACAAGAGCUUAAUGCUUUCAACUCUGCAGAUGCAUGCCUUGCGGCCGUGAGAGCCGGAAUCGAGGAAGCGGCCAAGCUGAUGUCUUCCCAUCUACACGUAAGUCAUCGAUUUCCGUUAACCGAACAUAAGUUCGAAACCAGUAGCCCUCAAGCUUAAUUUGGUCGGGGCGGUCGAGUUAAGGGUCAAAAUAAUAAUUUGCCACCAUGCAGGCUCAAAAGAAGGAGUAUGAAAAGUUAGCCAAAGAUUUCAAGCCAAGACAAGCCGAAUUGCAAGCGAGGAAGGUCGAGCUGGAGGGGGUGAAGAAAUUCACCAGAGAAGCACACACUGAGUAAAAUUAUUUUGCAAUGUGCGGAAUUUCCAUGGGAUUUCCUUUAUAACAGAAAACUUUGUCAUAGCAGGCAAAUCUAUAGGCGAAUUAAUAAAAUACUUGGACGAAUCCCGAGAUUCUUAGAGGUAUGUCGAAUCCUAGCUUGAAGCUCGUCAUCGCAUAUUAAAGCGAUGUCGUGAGGAAAAUAACCAACUGAAGGAGGAGAAUAAGCAACAAGCCAUAGAAAUUGAGAAUUUGAAAGCUCAAUUGGUGCAAAACCAUGGAGAGAAUCAGAAACUAAAGGGUGCCAUAUUCUGUAAGUAAAAUCCCAACAUGGAAUGUGAUAAAUCACUUUUUAUUGCCUUGAUCGUAAAGACGUGCAAUUUCCCUUGAUUGGGUCUCUUGACUGGACGUCUCUAGGAAGUGGCUGGAUCUUUCGGGGGGGUUGUUUAAGGAGUUGUCCAUUGUGCAUUAGCGAGCUUGAAAAGUUAUGAGGAGUAUGGUCAAGGAGCUAUGGCCGAAUGAAAGUCCUCCACAUGGAAUGGCCGAGUUUGCCGAGCGGUUCAAAGGAGCUCGGAGUCGCUUCGAGCUAUGGAAUACUUUGGCAUGUCGCGAAGGAGUUCGGGAGGCGUGGGCUAUGGUGAAGACCCGUUUUACCCAACUUAAUCCACAGCACAUGGCCCGAGUUGGUCCGGCAAGGCCGGAUGGCGAAGAGAUUCCUCUUCAUCUAGUUCAUGACCAAGUGAUGCCCGCCACCCGCCUUUCACAAGAAGACCACACCUUAGAUGUCAUAAUAGAUCUUCUCGACCAAUCGCCUAGCACAUGAUUAUAUGUAAUUUUGUAUUCUUGUAUCAAGACACUUCCUUUUGUGUUUGAAUACUUUGUCUUUAAAUGGAUAUCGACUUCUAUCUCCCUAGUUAAUAACUAGGCAGUGUUCCAUACCGUGUAUCGCUAAUUUCCAAGAACUAGGCAAUCCGACCAUGUGGUGCGAACAGACACAAAGCGCACAGUAGGAUGAUGUUACAUUAAGAUAAGACGUAAGAAAAAUCUUCCAAAGAAAAUAGUUCUUCCAUGGGUUCCUUUCUUCGGGCUACUACAGAAAUCGUAGAUGUUAUAGCUAUGUAUCCUUGUAGUGUGGAUACCUUUUACUUCGGGAUGAAUGAUACCCUUUUGUGGUUAAGAUUGCCAAUUACAUGAACCUCAUUCGCAGCCGACCAAGUUGUAUCUUAAGGAACACUACCUUUGGGCUUCACCCAUCUAAGGUAUGUAUUCGGACGAACCGGUCGUAACAAUCGUAGAGGUGCUCCCUUUACCCCCUAGCCAAACGUGCGGGAACACAUGGGGUAAGCACAUGAGCAAGGCAACCGAGCAUUGCAAGAAUCUUCAGCCAAUUGACGCAUAUAGUGGCAUAAAUCAAUGUUCAGUCGAGGCAUAUAGUAAGUUCAUACGAACAGAGUAACGCCUUAAGCAAGAUGACAUGAUGUAGAUGGACAAUCUCAUAUCUAUCAUAAAAGCCCAUCUUGUUACCCUUGAUGGCAACAACACAAUGCGUGCCUUGCUGUCCCUUCUGUCACUAGGAAAGGUCACCACACGGUAUGAACCCAAAACCAAGCACUUCUCCCGUUGCAAGAAUCAUAGAUCUAGUUGGCCAAACAAAACCCAAGACUCGGAGAGACUUACAAGGAUAUCAAAUCAUGCAUAUAAGAAAUCAACAAAGACUCAAAUAUAAUUCAUAGAUAAUCUGAUCACAAAUCCACAAUUCAUCGGAUCUCGACAAACACACCGCCAAAGAGGACUACAUCGGAUAGAUCUCCAUAAAGAUCAUGGAGAACUUUGUAUUGAAGAUCCAAGAGAGAGAAGAAGCCAUCUAGCUACUAACUACGGACCCGUAGAUCUGAAGUCCCCUCCGGCAGGGCACCGGGAAGGGUCUCCAGAUGAGAUCUCGCGGAAACGGAAGCUUGCGGCGGCGGAAAAGUGUUUUCGUGGAUGCCCUGAUUUUUUCUAGAAUUCUAGGGAACUUAUAAGCGAAAGACCUAGGUCAGGGGGCGGCCAGGGAGGCCACAAGCCUGCCCACCGCCGCCUCCCCCCUUGGUGGAGGAGUGGGGGCUUGUGGGCUCCCUGGAGCCCACCUGGCUUGGCCCAAAAGCCCCCUGGUCUUCUUCCGUUCGGGAAAAAAUCAUUUCGGGGUUUUUCUUCCGUUUGGACUCCGUUCAAAAUCAGAUCUGAAAAGAGUCAAAAAGACCGAAAAAACAGGAACUCGCACUUGGCACUGAAUUAAUAAGUUAGUCCCAAAAAAGAUAUAAAAGGUACAUAAAACAACCAAAGAAGACAAUAUAACAGCGUGAAACCAUCAAAAAUUCUAGAUACGUUUGAGACGUAUCGGUCACAACAACGGAUAAAGGGGGCCAAGGGGGAGCAAAGCAACAGUGAGUACUCAUCCAAAGUACUCGCAAGACUUAUACGAGAACUAUGCUAAGUAUGCAACAGUAUCAAAGAAAGGGGAGGUUUAUAUGUGGACUGAAGACAGCAGUGCGAGAAUAGAGAGAAGGCCUAGUCCUAUCGAAGACUAGCAUCUUCAGGGUCUUGCAGCAAUAGACGAGAGUAGAGCAAGGUAACACAAAUAAUAGUCAUAUUGUUGCAGCAAUAUUAAGAUGAGGUCACGCCCAGAGAUCCUUCCUCGACUCCCUGCGAGGAAGCAAUCCCAAGGCAACAAUUCCAGUUAAGUAACAGUUGUAGUUGUAUAAUAUCAGGGCACAACUCCAAGUCGUCCUGUAACCAUGGACACGGCUAUUCGAAUAGAUAAGUUCUUCCCUGCAGGGGUGCACAACAUAUUCCCCGUCAUGCUCGAUAACACUCUGGCCGGACACACUUUUCUGGGUCAUGACCGGCCUCAGAAUAUCGACACGUCACAGCCCCACCUAAGCUGAACGAAGAGGCCAGCCCGGCGGUCUAACUCCUAAGCACAAAGGGGUUGUGGGCCCACUUGCCCUCUGUGCUCCUACACGAUGCAAGGGCGGCCGAUGUCAGUCCUAGCACCCCUUAAUCACAAGCGCGAUGCAUCUCGGGACCACUCGGGCGCGCAGCGCUCCAUUGCUGACGUUUGAAGAGCUUCGGCUGAUACCGCGAUGUCGACUACCCAUAAUUCUUCCCACACAGACGGUUAGGGCAUAAUAAAGCCUUCCAACCAACCAAGAUCAAAUACCCAAAUCCAUUAUCAUUUUAAUAAAGUCAUCGACCCAUCCACGCUGGAAUCACCCACCUAACAUCUAUUCAUCAAAGAUCCCGUAACAUGGUCAAGUAACUGUGAGGUUGUAACAUCGGGGGGAAUCCGAGGUGUCACCCUCGUUGGAUUCCGAACGAUGUAACCGUGAAGGUGGACCUAGAGGAAUCACCCUCGGGGGUCCCACACUUCAGGGGUUGCACGACAGAGACAUCGUCGGGAGUGGUGAAUGAGGAAUCACUCUCGGUAUCCAUGACCGACUAGUUACACUACAGAGGUAUCAUCAUGAGUACUUCGCGAGGUGUCACCCUCGGUACCCUAUAGUAGCUCUGUAGUGCCGCACAACUAAGGGGGGUGUAAGUGUUGUGUCGGAACUGGCUCGUCGAUCACGGAUCAAGACAUGAUGACAAAGCGGGGCAACUGGACUAAGGGGUCGGAGGGGAUGACUGCUCCACCUAUACUAAAUAGUUUAAAGUGCGGUACUGCAAGUAGCAGUUCAUCAAAAUUAGGCUAUGCAUCACAUAGAGGAGCUAACUAUAACAAUAGCAAAAUUCUAAUGCAAGCAGGAGGGAGAAAGAUAUAAGCGAUAUAGGGAUGAUCAAGGGGGUUUGCUUGCCUUGUUGCUCUGCAGCAAAGGGCUGGUCGUCAGGAGGGUAGAUGUACCCGGCAGCAGCGUCAGCCUCGGGGUCUACCGGUAAGAAGAGGGGGGAGAAACAAUAAAUAACAGCAACAGUUGCAACACUAAGUAGGACAUGGCAAGAUCCAGGCUAGGCAUGAGCUAACAUAGUAACAUCCGUCAUAGACGGGUCGGGAAAAUAUCAGAUGAUAUUUCCCGGGUCUUUGGCUACUACCGGUCAGACUAAAAACGAUGGAAAAGUUCCAUAUUUGCUAUCCUAGGGACGCGUGACGUACGAAUGGACCGACUAUCCAGGUUCGUCUCGUUCUGCUGAUCAACUAUCAUGUUAAAAAUAUUUUCCUCUGAGCUGUGGUUUAUUUUUUAUUAAUUUUUUAAGUUUUAUUAAUAUUUAGGAAUUAAAAACAGAUUUAAUUAAUACAAUUAAAUGCAAUUAUGACAUCAGCAUGAUGCCAUGCUCACAUCAGCAGUUGACUAGUCAAACUGACCAGUGGGUCCCAUGUGUCAUAGACUCCAUUUUAAUUAGGUUAAUUAUUAAUUAAUCAGAUUAAUUUAGUGGGGGACCCACGUGUCAUAUUCUAAUAGGUUAAUUAUUUAUCUAUUUUAACAGAUUACUAAUUUAUCUAAUAUAUCUAAUUAUUUAUUUCCCCCCCUAUGUUUUUAGGGGGGCCCCACCUGUCAUUUGGUGGGAGUGGUGGGGCCCUACUGUCAUUGGGACAGCGAGCCCACACAUACGCUACACGUAGACACAUCCAUACCACUAAUUCAUACAUACCACAUAUACACAUAUUUCAUAUACCUACACACAUAUUCCAUACAUAUCCAUACCUAUAUUUGCAUACAUACACAUAUACAUACAUUCAUUUAUUUCCUCUCUCUGUCAUCUCUCUACUCAACUCACUGACAUCUCUCUCAACAGAGAGAGAGGAGGCAACCUCCACGUCGUCAUACAGGAGAUCAACGGCGCUGGGACGAGGCGAUGAGCGCUGGAACGGAACCGGAGGGUGAAGGAGAGGGAGAGGGACGCGUUCUCACACAUGAUGUAGGGGGGUCGGCUAGGCUUGAUGGAGCCGUUGAGGAGGAGGACGGGGACGAGAUGAGGAGGAGCGGUCGGCGGUUCAGUGGAGGCGGUACGGUGAGGGAGGAUUCGAUGGAGGGGGCUAAGAGGGGUCGAUUCCGAUGGCGCGGGGCGUUGUCGGGUAGGCCGGCGGUGGCCCUGGUCGGUGGAGGAAGAGGCGGAUCCGACGAGGUGGAGGGGCCCCGAUAGCGGCCGAUGCUGGAGAAAGGUGACGGCGGGGUAGUGACGGGAGGAGGGCCCUGGCGCGGUGGCUGUGUGAGGCACAGGAAGAUGGGGUCUUCGGGGGGGGGGGGGGACGGCUGGCGCUCGAGGGGAGAGCCCGAGCGGGAUCCAGUGAGGGUGCGAUGGGAGGAGAGGCGGUGAUGCUCGCGAGAGGUGGGGAUGAGAGAAGCGGGGCGCUGGAGCGACGUGGGGAGGGGGGCUCGAUCCAGGGAGGAUUGAGGGAUGGGGAUAGCGACGGGAUCUGGGGAACGGGCGCUGGGUCAGGCGACGUAGGGAGGUGAGGUGGGGAUCGAGAGGGAGUGCACUCGCGAGGGGUGGGCAGCGAGGCGACGGGCCAGGGGGACCCUGGUGGCGCGAGUGGGAAAGGGGAGCGGGGGUUUGGGGCUAGGGUUUCCGUGGGGGUCUUAUACCCCCACGCUGAUGGGCUGUGGGUGUUGUGCCAUUUGGCCCAGUUGGCCGUGGACUUUCUGGGUUUUUUUAUUUUUUUUAUUUUGGUGGGCUUCUUUGGCCUCUUUUAUUUCCUCACAUGGGACAAUNAUAAUAAGCUCAUGAGCUUGGUCUUACUUCACCCUAAACGAAAGAAGACUUCCAUAUCCAAGUUUAGCUCAGACGUAGCUGCCUUUUUUUUGGGAGUGAAGAAGUGUCAAACCAAAAUACCCAAUAAGCAUAAGCAUUUGCUCUCCGUGAAAAGGAGGUGAUCCAGCCGCACCUUCCCGUACGGCCACCUUGUUACGGCUUCACUCCAGUCGCAAGCCUAGCCUUAGGCAUGCCGCUCCUUAUUAAGAAAUAUUUGUAACUCAUCUCACAUUUUUAUUUUAACAUUUGAAAACUUUUCUCGUCGACUUAUUUUUAAAUUUUGAAUUUUACUCGGUUUCGAUUUACAUGAGAUCAACGAUAGAAAUCACGAUGAUGUGGCAUCAUUAGCAUGGGAUCACUGUAGCUUAAUUACAUACAUUACUGUAGCAAAAGCUGAGGAUGUCACAGAGAUAUCCCGGAUCACAUACUUCGAGCUGAGUUCUAUCACAUCCAGCGUGAACUUGCCCAAAUCAUCAUGAAGGAGGUCAUCGUAAAACAGGGAUGUUCCACGAAGAAGGGAAAAUGUCGCGGGAAGACGUCUGGACAUGCAUAUCGGCUGAGCGUCUCGACCUGAAGCCUUUCACCGCGCUCGGGGACUAUCUCCCUCACUUGGAUGGAUGACACGACAUGUUGGAGUGAUUAACGAUAUAUGACAAAGUGUCCCUUUAGUCCAUACUUUCUCUAUGAAGAAACUUUGAGUUAUGCACGACGAAACUUUAUUUGUGAUCUAAUUAAACCGUCCUCCUCAACUAGCGAUACCGCUCUAGUUAUGGCAUUUUGGGUACUAUGAACUUUGUUAUUUAUGCAUAUGAGUAAAAUACAUGUAUGAUCGUUAAACUUGGUGGCAAUGUUCACAAUGGUCCUCAAACUCAAGAACUGCUUGAUUACGGACCUUGAACUUGAAAAUACCGAUUCAAUACGGUCAUUAAACUUGGCGAACUCGUACUGUAAUACGUCUCACAUACGUAUCAUGUAUGCCACGAAGUUUUGUCUCCAUGUGCAGAAAUAUGCCUCUGAUUUUAUUUACUAACAAUGAAAACCUAGAAUUAAAAAUGUGGAUUCGACGUGUGAGUAUGGAAAAGAAAAACUAACUCUAUUGUAGAGCAUCAAACAUAACUAGUAUAAUUGGGGAGUCCGUAUAACUAGUAUAAUUGGAGAAUCCGUACGUCAUUUCGUUAGGACUCCCUCGAUCCCCCACCCAUCGAUACCCUCUCCCAUCGGACGCCCCUCCCCCACUUGUUCAAUUUUUAUUUGUACGUUCUUUUUACAACCAAAAAAAGUUAGCCCGCUGGUUUUUAUUUAACCAAAGGAGAAAACCCGGAUUUUUUUCCUUCUUUACAUAUAAUCCACUAACGAGGUAUCCUUUUCCUCCCCGCAAAUCUCAAUAGCAUCAAAUCUUUCCAAAAAAAAUCACAACAGAAUCAAAACCUUUUGUGCCAAGGAUACCCCCCAUUCCUUCCCCAUCAUAUCUCAAACGAAUCAAAUUAUCUCAAUCAAUAGAGUACAUCACAUACCUAGAUAUGCAAUUUGUGCUUGUCGAAUUCUGCUCAUGUGCAUAUUUCAUAUCUCACUUGGAACUUUAGACAUAUCAAAAUCUAUCACUUUAGAUACAAGUUCUUUUCAUAAUUGCAUCUAGAUGUGCAUAUCAAUUGUUUAAUUGAAAAUCACGAAAAGUUGACUAAACAAUAAAACAAAGAAAUGUAUACAAAAAGAUUUGCAUCCAAUUGUAAUGUACAAUAUAUAUGUUAGAGCCACUCAAUACAAACCUCAAAUAUACUCACAAAGCCCGUGUUUCCACAUCCAGUAUAGACACAAGAUUCUCUUAAGGUGCUGCAAAAAAUCAACCCACGCCGUAUCCCAUCAGGAUGAGGCCGGGACUUCUAGGCUGUGUCGGCCGGCCUUAGGGCUGCUGUAGUGGCACCAUACCCCACAGGCUGCGGCCAUGACUUCGAGGAUGUGGUUCAUCUCGGUAGUCUUCGACGGUUACCCGACGGCGGCCUCCUGCAAUGCGCGGGCCGGGCACGCAUGCAAUCUCCCGGGGGCCCCCAUCCCGCAGAUUCAGCUCCGACCCCAACGUCCAUAGACCUGCGCCCCCCUUAAAUGUCCAUGGCUGGCCGGAGCAACUCCAUAUCCGACGUUUCCUGCGAACAAGCUGCGUCUACUUUCGGUUCAUCUGGCUUGUCGUGUAUCGGUAGCUCCACAACCACCUUUAUGCAGCUUUGACUCCGUCGUGCCUUGGAGCUGCGCCCCCUUCCAGCUGAUUCUUUGAAUGAAAAGAUGAAGUUUAAGUGAUGUAACGUGUUGCAAUUGUAACCAUUCAGCUGAUUCUUCGAAUGAAAAGAUGAAGUUUUCUUGAAAAAUCACACAUACUGCUCAACAUUUUCACAC